RNAcentral lists this long non-coding RNA (180787 nucleotides) under Citrus x clementina. Its description in RNAcentral is "Citrus clementina (C. clementina) long non-coding RNA (CCLE_LNC002778)". The stretch from base 136334 to 136417 matches the Rfam family "tRNA". Lineage: Eukaryota; Viridiplantae; Streptophyta; Magnoliopsida; Sapindales; Rutaceae. The record is from RNAcentral.
CAGCAACAUGUGAAGAGACUCUAUACAAGUCACCUUUAGCAACACCUUCAAGUAAAAUUUUCCUUGUGUUCCUAGCCUUUAUAAAAAACAAAUCACCAAGAAAUUCCAACAGUAACUGGAUUGUCAGCCAAUAAUUUUGAAAUGCUAAGCAAAUUCUUAGUAAUAAAAGGGACAUGAAGAACAUGGUUUUUAAAGGUUUAGAAGUUGAAGUAUUUAGCACAACUGAUCCUACAUGUGUAAUAGCUAAUGCAUUUCCAUCUCCAACAAACAAUUUUUCAGUACUAGUAUAAAUUUGUGAAUCCAGAAGUUUACCUAGAUCAUUUGUAAUGUGAUUUGUUGCUCCACUAUCAAUAUACCAUGAAGGAUCUUCAAUGUGUUCUGGUGGAAGUGAAGAAGGCAUAGCUGAGGAAGAUGAAGCACUUGACUGUCCAGGAUUAUUAUUUCCUUGACCAGAAACAAAAGUAGAUGGUCUAGGGGUGAAUGAGUAAUAAGCAGAAGGAUUACUAUCUGGAUACACCAUAUUUCCUUGAUAGCCAAAACCAGCAUUUAAACCAAAACCUCCAAAACCUCUGCCACCAUUACCAUUAAAAGCUCUUCCUCUACCAUAUUGCCCUUGAUUAAAACCUCUGCCACCAUUCAUAUUACCUCUGCCAUAGUUUCUCUGUGGAACAAAAGAUGAAUUGUACCUAUUUUUGCAUCUAUUGGCUGCAUGACCAGGUAUGAAGCAGAUUUGACAAACAGUUUCAGAGGAAUUACCACCAUUAUUAAACUGACCAUAUCCAUAUCCAUUAAAACCUCCAUACCUAGAAUUAUUUCCAUAAUUUUUUUGAAAAUUGCCAUUAUUCUUUCCAGCAUAUGAGUUCUUCUGAGCAAUAUUUGCUGUCAUAUUGUGCAUCACAUCACCAGCAAUUUUUCCUUUCUUUUGUUCAACUCUAUUUUCAUGAUUCAAUAGCAAAGGAUAUAGUUCAUCUAAUGUUAUCUUCUCACCUCGAGCUAAAACACCUGUGACUAAAGAUUCAUAAUCUGAUGAAUCAAGACCAGUUAAUACAUGAAUCACAAGAUCACUUAACUCAACAGGUUUUCCAGCUAGAGCUAAAGUAUCAGCUAUACGUUUUACUUUUGCAAAGUAAUCAGACAUAUGCAUUGCACCUUUCUUAAUAGUUUGAAUCUGCAUUCUAAGUGUUUGAAUUCUAGCUUGUGAUUAAGAAAUAAACAUACUAGUAAGAGUCUUCCAAAGCUGUUUUGAAGUUGUGGAGUCAAUCACAGUAGCAAGUAGAUUUUGCUGUAUCGACGACAUCAUCUAACUCAACAGAAGUUGAUCAGUCUUCAUCCAAGCUAUGAACUCUGGAUUAAUAGAUUUGGAUUCAGAUUCAGUAAAAAUUUCAGCUCCAUUGUUGUUUCCAAAAGAAAGAAACUACUCAGGACAUUCUUGAUCACCAUUGAUAAACCCUUCCAGACCGUUUCCUUUGAUCGAUGCUAAAAUUUGUGCCCGCCAUAAAAUGAAGUUGUUUUGGUCUAGCUUUGCAGGCGUAACAAAACUAAAAGAGUUGUUAUUUUGAACUGUAUUCGCCAUUUAUGGCUCUAAUACCAUGAAAGAAACUUAGUUUUGCAUUGUUUGGCAAGCUAGAAAAUGAAGAAAAUAAAAGAAAGCUCUGUAAAGAAGUUUGUAGAACCUUUAUUACUUUAGCAUUACAACUGAAUGAAUACAGACUGAUAUUUAUAUUAAGCUACAAUUUGCUCAACACACACACGAGUUUGUUACAUCACAUAACCAUUUGCUGCAUAACUAAUUUGACACAUCAGCUCAACCAGCUAAUUAACUUUGCCAGGUCAGCUUAGUGAGUUGAUCUGCUAAAUUCAGCUACACAGCAACAUCAUGCUCUGCUCUAGCUUCAUUCAAUUCACUAGCAUUUUCCCUUGAUACAUUAGGAGAAAAGACUGCCUGUGAGAUACAACAAUGUAAAUAACUUCUCAUGGUUCAUUGAAUCUAUAACGCACUGAGCCCUAUUCUAAAAUAUGUAGGUUGCUUCUGAAAAAGGGCUUUUCUCACUGAUCUUUAAUCUUCAAGAAAGUUUGUUUCAUUUCAGAAGGUAUAAGUUUCAAACUUAUUGUAUUGGGAGGUUGUAUAGUUGUAACCUAAGCAUCUGCAGGUUCCUGGUUCAACACAUUAUAGUAUGGUAUUUUAUUUUGUCACAAGGCAAUUGGUUACGGGAUCACUUUUGCAACGGUUUGUUGAUGGCGAUGAUGAAUUUCGCAAUAGUAGGUUGAAACUUAUUCCAUCUGUUCCUAAGGUAUCCAUCUUGGCCUUCAUGUAGUAGGACUAUAUUAACGUAUACUUACCCUUUACUGCAUGGUACACUUCAAUUUGUACAAAGAAGGCAUGCAUUUAGGUGUGAAUGUAUUGAUGGGUUGUACCUUCAAACUUUAUCUCCUUUUUACCCUCUUGAAUUUGUUUUGCACUUGUUCUUGAUUUUCAGCACUGAAUCAUGCAGGGGUCAUGGAUAGUGCGCCAGAGUGUUGGAAGCACCCCUUGUUUAUUGGGGAAGGCAGUUGAUUGUAACUAUAUUCGCGGUCCCAAGUACUUAGAAGUAAAUGCUCUUGGAAUUUCUAUAGUACAUGAGAUGUUCCCCUUUCAAAUAGCGUCCAAUACCUUUAACAUGGUUUAACAUUGUUCAUCUUUCUGUAGAUUGAUGUUGACAUCGAUUCUUCUACUGUUGCUAAUGGAGUUUUGGGCCUUGUAAUUGGUGUAAUUACGACAUUGGUGGUUGAGAUGGCUUUCCUUGUACAGGUAUGUAUGAUUGUUUUUUUCCCCCACUGCUAAAUGGACACAAGGGAAAAGACAUGAUUUUGAGAUAUUGCACUGCAACUUGCAUUUUUGCAUACUUGAAUGUUCUCAGAAUGAUAUAAUGCUUCUGUGUGUGUCUUCUUUAUCUUGCUCUUCUGUAUGCAGGCAAAUACUACAGAUGAAUUACCGGAGCGGCUGAUUGGUGCUGUACGUGUUUCUCAUAGAGAACUCAAGUCUGCUGUUGUCCCAAAGCUGGAACCAGAGAUAUCAUGACUCUGGUUUCAUUUCAGCUCAACUGUGUUUUUUUUUUAAUUAAAAAAAUCAUUUGUUUUAGGUAUACAUACAUGUAUUUUGAUUCUAUUUUCAUUGUAAUUUCUCAUUUACUUUGAAUGAAAGUCAUUGGUGUUUUCGAAUGGGAAUUUUGCAUUAAAAAAUGAAGAAUAAUGAAUAGGAAAUUUCCUGAUUCUUUAGUUACUAUUUUUGGUAUGAGUGUAAUUAGUAGUAAAGUAGGUUUCUACUCGCAAACAAGUGAACUACUCGAUUCCCGAGUGGUAUCAACCAGUUUCCAACUUUUUAAUAUACACUAAUUGUUAUUGUUUAAUAGCUACUACUAUUAAAACUCAACAGCUAGCAAAAAUACUUAAAAAAAAUGAUUUUUCUUAUGAUGCUGUGAAAAAAAUUACGGGUGUACUUCUUUCCAUGAGAUCUAUAACAUGGUCUCGACUUCACGAAAUUCUUUUAAUUUAAAGCGUGCUGGUGUGAGGUCAGUUUAACUGAUUAAUUCUUUUUAACAGUGGUCGAGAUAAUUUUACUAUACUAAAAAAUAUUCUUAUUCUGAUAAUGCCACAAAUGUUAUGCUGUUUUCUUCAGAUAAUGAUCUUCCAUUAGGAGAGGUUAGAAAUCAAAUGCUUAAAAGACCAAUUGAACGAAUAAUACAGAAAUUUAGGCAGAAUCUAAUAGAAUAUUGCAUGAAACAUGAAACAUCAAUUCAAGUCCUUUCUUAAACGGAGAAUGCAUCAAACAAAAUCCAAAGUGUCUUGCAAGUCUGUAGCGUGAGCAAAAAAUUGUAAAUAUGUAGAACCAAAUUAUUCAAGUACAGAAGAACGAGCAAGCUAAAUCAUGUAUAAGAGAUUGGCCUGGUUCGGGAUAGCUUCUUCACUGUAUCUGAAGGGUUGGCUCAAUCUCUUCUUUAGAAUUCUGCAGAUUUUGUAAUUACUCGUGUAAGCAAGUAUACAUUGCCACCAUAAGAAUAAUGAAGCUAGAGUAAUGAUAUGACCACCACCUCUUGUGCACAAACAAUAUUGUAUAAACUAAUGCGACAUAAUAUGAUUGGUUAAACAAAAACAUUACAUGGCCCUCAUAAUUUAUUUAUUUAUUUAUUAUUAUUAUUAUAUAUUUUCAGUCAACCAAUCAUAUUAUAUCACAUUAGUUUCUAUAAAAUAAUUUGCUAAAUAGCACCAAAACUUAAUUGAUACUCACCAUUUCAUUGAACAAUUUUUUUAUGGUGUCAUUGAGGUUGCCUUCCCAACAUCGUUCAUCAUCAUCUUUUUCUUCUUUGGUGACGUUCACUUUGUUUAGCAUUGGUGUGUCUAAGAGUCCUUGAGAGAAGAUCUUCAUUUUUGGACACUGUCUCACAACUACUUGUUUCAAGGACGGGAAUUCAAGAGCGUAAUUACCUAAACAAAAGCUUGUUAGGCUUGGCAAACAAUCAAGUCUCAAGUACUCCAAUUCCUUGAAAACAUUGCAAUCUUUCGCUUCUUCUCCAACCUGCAAUUGUAUGAUUUGUUCUAUCAUUUUGCAAUCAACUAUCAUCAUUCUUUUGAGAUUCACUAGAUUUUUAGAUGCUGAGAGCGUCAACACAUUUAUCAAUCCGUGACACUUCGAUACUGCCAAAGCCUCAAGAUUUUCCAAAUGCCACGAAGGUGGUACUAAUUUUUGCAACUUACUACAUUCCGAUAUUUUUAGACUUUUCAAGUUUGCAAACACUUUGUUGGAUUCGGCAUUUUCCUUCCAGAGAUGGUGCACUUUGUGUAAUCCAGACAGCUCUAACCAUCUCAAUCGAGGGAAUGAAACCUGAAAAUCAACAAAAUUAAGUUGUAAAUGAAAAUAUGUAUCCAAUCUCUGCAGUCUUCCCCUGCAUAUUUUAUGGACAAGAUUAAUCACGACAUUUUAUAUUUUUUUUCCAAAUUAGAAUGCUUUGCAGUAGGAUCCCAAAUAUAAGUAUCAAAUCGAUUACCCUUUGAAACACAUAAAUGAAAUCUGAUACUAAAUCCAAUAUGAAUUAGCUAGGAAAACAGAGAUGUUACACACAUAAUUAAUAGAGUUCAUCACCUCGUGUUACCAGGCAUCCAAUUAAUUUAAGACAUUUUAAUAAUUCAUAUUAUAAAGUUAGUUGAUAGCGGAGGUUAUAUUGUUAAAUCAUAUAUAAAUUAAGACGACGUGCAAAAAGAGGAGUCAUUAAAUUCGAUUUGAUUCUAACGAAAUUACAUCUAUGCGAAUGAAAGUGAAGGGAAAUAAUAAUAAUAAUAAUAAUAAUCACCUUUUCAUCGAAGAGAGGUUGUACUUGAUGAGCCAGCAAGAAGUUCUCUUCUGAUGUUAAUUUUUGAGGUUCCUUAUUAUCCGCUGUCAUGUGCAGUACAGAGUUGGAUAUGAAUGUUUCUAUAUCUCGGCAAUUCUCAAUAGUUAGAUUUCUCAACAUAGGCAUUUCAAUUAUAUUCCCAGUGAAGUUGCAGAAUCUUUUGAGUUUUGGAAGAUCAGUGAGCCUCAGCCUGUAAAGCUUAGGAAACAGGGGGCUUAUAUGUUCUUUGUCAGCAUUUAGCUCCUCCAAAUGAAGCACCUCUUCUAUUGAAUCACAAUUCCUCUCUUCCAGCCAUACCAAAUUGUUCAAGCACCGUAGCAGAUUGGCAGGAAUAGCACUCGACAUAUUCGUGCAGUCAUCCACAGCCAGUUGUCGUAAAUUGUUGAAGAAGCUGACAGGCAGUGCUUGGCCAUGCCAUAUUUCUUUCAAACGUGGAAAAUGUGAGAGUUGCAAAUCCCAUAUGUCACGGAAUCCAAUCUGCACAAACAAAAACAAUUGCACUGGAUAUAUAUAAAUUUUUUUUUUGAAUCAACUUACAUGUUUUGUGUUUUAACUUCUAAAACUAUAUAUACAAGGCAGGUGUAUAUGUUCAAAUGUCCAAGUGCAAGGGAGAUGCAUAAGUAAUUUCGACGAAUCGAUUUAACACAUACCAUUUCUUCGUAACACUUUUGUAUAGUGGAAUUAAGGUUGCCUUCCCAAUGGCGCAAUUCACCCUCUCCCUGUUAAGAAUAGAAUUAGUUAGUUAAUGAGUAUGCUGACAUGGCAGCUGAGUCAGCUAAAGGUUGUUAUAGAGGUUGUUAGUAGUAAACUGUGCGUGUGUGCAAUGUGUGUAGAAUCUUCUAUGCACAUAUAAAAAGGCUUGUAAUUUCCAGAUUCAUUAGAUCAAUAAUAACAGAAUUCUCAGCUUACAGAAGUUUUCUUUCUUCCUAUUUUCUUAGUAACCAAACAACAUCACAGUUUCAUAUAAAACUUAAUACUUCCUUUUUACUCACAUGCACUUCGUGCAGCUUUGGUGUGGAUACGAUUCCCUGAGAAAAAGUCUUCAUGUUCGGGUAACAUGUCAUAGAAACUCGUUCCAAUGAUGGGAAUUCAAGAGUGUAAUCCUCCAAACAAAAGCUGGUAAGCCUUGGUAAAUGAUUUCAGGUAAUUUUUAAAUAUUCUAAAUUCAUUUAGAAUAUUUAAAUGAAUUUAGAAUAUUCACUAUUUAGUAUUAGGAAUGGAGAAAGAAUUUCAGGUAAUUUUUAAAUAUUCUAAAUUCAUUUUUCAUCUUGAUUCUAGUUUUUUAAAAAAAUUUAAUUUUCAAACAUGCGUAUUUUUAAAAUAACUAAACUAAAACGCUGUAUUUCCCUUUUUUUCCCGAUAUUCAUGCUUUUAAAAAUGGAAAACAUUUCUGGAAAACACUUCCCAACGCCAUCAACAUGGGACUGUUAUAGAUGAAUUAAGGAAAAGAGAAAUAUAUAGAUGAAUUUGUGAACCUAUAAGAUGAGUGACUAUCCUUUAAUUUUUGAAAAUUGUACUUAUUAAGAUAUGAGCAGAAACAAUUAAAUUGAAUUAUAUUAUGCUGUUGAAUCGUGAUUAAAAAAAUUAUAUUGUUGAUUCUAAUGCUGGCGAACCUAAAAACUGGACUUAAAAUGUAGAUUUGAGAGUGGUGGUUCGAAGUACAAUACUUGAAAUAAAUAAUCAGUGGCUGAAUAUCAUUUGUAAACAAAAAAUGGUUAAAAUAUUGUUGGAUGUAAUUUGAAAAAAAAAAAAAGAUUCGAAAUGAAUACAGCAACCUUACCAAUGGAGGAAAAAUAUUCUUUAGGUUAUCACACUCAAAUAUCUCUAAAUUCUUCAAUUUGCUGAAAGACUCCGAAGCAAGUUGGUGGUGCCAUAUUAUUCUCAAAUUAUUCAUCCAGCUAAUAUGUAAUACCUCCAACCUAGGAAGUCGUACCUGGCAGUUAAAGAUUAAAUAACUAAUUAAUCAAUUAAUUGCAUAAUCAAUUGAUAACUAAAUUAGAGGCAGAUAUUAACUAAACUUGAAGACUCAAAGAAAAGACAAAUUAAAUAUUGUGACUAAAAUUAAUUUUUUUUAUUAAAAAAAAAACCUUUUCGUCAAAGAGAGGAGGAGGUUGCAUUUCAGAAUGAUUGGUGUCUUCUGGUGAGCUCGUAGAGAUGAAUCUUAACAUAUUCCAGCAACUCUGAAUCUCGAGGUUUAGCAAAGAAGGGAAUUCAACAACUAAAUCUGAAUUAAUAUGUCCCGUAUUGGCAAAGCUUGUUAGUUUAUAAAGCCAAUAGAGCUCCAGGGAGUGUAGUUUAGGAAAAACCUUUAAUUCAAUCAACUUUCCUUCUUCUCUUUCUGACCACCCCGUGGUGUCGACUACCCCUUCCAUUGACUCACAAGAUCUUAUCUCAAGAUGCUGGAGUUGCAAAAGACUAUUAACCAUAGAAUAGGAAAACAGAUACUUCAUACGAUGACAACUGCUCACGUACAGCUUUGUUAAAUUUCGACAACAGUACAUUCCUUGAUUAUGAUCGGCCCAUAAUUUUUUCAUGUUUCUUAAUGACCUGAGAUCCAAUUCCUCUAAGCUCGGAAGAAUAACCUGCAAAGAAUACCCGUACAUUUUUGUUCCUUCAAGUACAACCGUCUAGUAUAAUAUUCUUUUGAUGAUCGAAGAUUAAUCGUGAUAAUAAAUUAAUCAAUUAAUUAUUGAACAGAAAAUUAUCACCUUUGGAGCAGGAUCAUCAUCAGCAGUGAUUUCGUUGAAUCCCAAAGAAGUUGUUGGUUUCUCCCUGUCGGGUCCUAUAAACAAACAAAAACAAUAUACAUAAUUAAUCUUUGUUUUUUUUUUCAAAAUAAUUGAGGCGAAGUCAAUUAUCCCACCGGUACUUAAUUUCAACACUUACCAACAAUCAUUUCCUGAUCAUCGCAAAAAGCCACUUCUACCUUUUGAAGCCGCAGUAGGUUUUUGGCUAUGGAGAAUGAGAAAAGAUGCUUCAAUUUGUGACAGAAUUUUACUUCUAUAAUCCUUAAGUUGCUGAAAGAUUGAUCUUCUGUGAGUUGGCUGUCACAUAUUGUCUCCAAAUUGAUCAAACGACGAAGAGACAAUGACUCCAGCAAGGGGAAGACUUUGCGACGAACCCGUCCAACUGAACAGACAAUAUGCAAAAUCUCAGAACAACUUUCUGCAGAAAGAUGCUUCAAUCGUGGAUAACCUUCCCCAUCAUCUAAUUCAUGAACAACAUUCUGAACACCCUUCAGUUCUUCUAGAUAGAGAUAUUCAGUUCUCGUCAACAACAGUUUCAUCCUGUAAUUCUGCAAAAGAACGCCAAACUUUUCCAGCCCCUGGAGCUUCAUCAAUCUUGAUAAUCCAGAUUUAACGGACCAGCUGCUCCACCACUUAUUUCCUAUACAUAUCCUAUAGCUUUGUAAUUCCACAGAGACGAAAUCCUGCGGUAAAAUUUCGGCAUCCCGAACAUGUAUCUCCAAAGUAGUUAGCUUUGACAGCCCAUUCAAUUCAGCAAGACUGGCGUUACUUCCUCCUUCAACCUUCUCCCACUGUGAAAAGCUGUUACCAAUAUAUAGUUCUUCUAAUCGAGAUAAUUUUGAUAUGACAUUUGGAGCUAUCACCACAAGACUGCUACAAUUUCUCAAAUCUAGCAACUGUAAUCUCGUCAAUUGUCCAAUUACAACUGGCAACUCCUUAACAUCAGAAUCUCGGAAGCUGAGAAUCUCUAAUUUCCUUAGCUGUCCAAUUAUAGUUAUUUCGUUCAGUCGGCAACCGUCUAAACACAAUGUUCGAAGGUUAAUGAGGCGACCAAGUGAUGAAGGUAAUGAAGAGAAAAAUAUGCCAGUAAAAUCUAAAACUUUGAGUUCUUCUGUCCCUUCAAAAAAGAGGUCUGAAAUUUGCAAAGAGCUAUCACGCUUUGAAAACAACAAAAGUAACUCGAGACGGGGACAUCCCAACCUUUCGGGAAGCUCUUGAAUAUCUCUAUAAGGUAAAGAAAUAGCAAUUGGACCUUCCCGUAUUGUCUCUUCCAUCUUUUUCUCCACGUAGGCAACAUUUGGAAUAUUAAACAUGAGCUCCUUUUCUGCAAUUGAUACAGCAACAGCAUGAAUGAUGUCAUGCAUUUUAACUUCAUCUUCAGCAUCACCGUCCAACAAUAAGCAUGAAGAUUUGAGUUUGUCGAUCAAUGCAUCCACUCUAUUCCUUGCAUUUUCCAAUGUGCGAACAUAUUUAAACAAACCCAAACCCAUACCCAUACCAUAUCUCAACAAGGAAGCAACUUGUAUAGGAGUACCUUCACCAAAUAGAGAACAAAGAAGGAACAAAGAUUUUGCUUCAUCACUUUCCAAGAAGUCGUAACUCAAUUUUAUGGAAGAAUACACAUCUGCAUCCAUACCAUGAAUUUCUCUUAGAUUGGAACUUCUUAGCUGAUUCAACGCAUCCUUCCAAAUGGCAAGACUCUUAUUUUUCAGAGCACUUGCAACUGUUCUCAGUGCAACAGGCAAUCGUCCGCAUUUUCCAACAAUCUCAUCCGCUAAAGGUUGAAAAGCAGAUGCUUUUGCGGAAUUGCCCACGAUCUUUUCAAAAAAUUGCAAUGCUUCUUCCUUUGAUAAAACUUCAAUUGGGAAAAUCUUCUGAGAAUUCAUAUCAUUGAUCAAUAAAUCUUGACUUCUAGACGUCAAUAUUAUCGUGCGUCUCCUUAGAUCUUGCUUUCUAUCUUUCUCAUCAACAUCCCCAGAAGGAAUUCCAAUUUCUUCCAACCUAAGUUUUUUCCAAAUAUUAUCUAAUAUAAUGAGGACUCGCUUCUCUUUCGUCAAUCUUUGACAAAGUUGUUUUGCUCUGUGGGGUUUGCUAUCAUUCAAGUCAAAGUUCAUGUCUAAAUCGGAAGCGAGCUUGUCUUGAAUUUUCUGAACAUCUGGGUUCUCUGUUACCUCAGCCAUAACGACCUUAUCGAACAACUUAUCUUCCAUAACUUGCUUUGCAAUUUGCUUGACUAGCGUGGUUUUACCCACGCCGCCCAUACCGUGGACCCCAAUUAUGUUGAGCUUAUCAUCCCUCAAUGCCUCCACAACAUCUUGAAAUAAUUUCAUUCUUGAAUCAAAGGCCUCGAAAUCUUUCGCUUGCAUAUGUUCUGUACUCUCUGGAGCAGGACGGUGGGAAACACUAGAGAAGUUGCCUUUUCUCACGAGACUAGCGGCAGCUUCUGCGGCCUUUACUGCUUGUUUACUAAGUUUAUAACGAGAAAUCAAGUUGGGGCACAAUCCUUUGAAGCAGGACUUCUUAGCUCUAUCUUCAUCAUCAAUGAUGGAUUUUGCAACCCCUUCACUGAUGCAUUCAUCAACGCCAUUAAGCCAGUCUGCAACAUCCUUGUAAAUCUCAUCUCUUUGUUGAGUAGCCUGACGAACGGGUAUUCCCACCCUUUCUCUUUUAUAUUCCAGCUGCUUCACUUGAUCUUUUAGCUCAGCUAUGUAGCUCUGGUACUUGAACACAUAAGAUAUCUGCCGCAUAAUCCGUUCGAGCAAUGCCUUUGCACCUUCUGAUACAAUGCUUGAAAAAGCUUCGAGACCCACUUCUGAAGCCAUUGCCUAGCCUGUUGCAUAUAUAUAUACAUUAGCCGAUGGAAAAAUUGGAUUCAAAUAAAUUAAAGUGAUCCAGAGGGAAGGACAAAGAAAGAAAUGACAACGAAUGACUUUUUAAACAAAGGUUUCAAGAGCCUGAAUCGAAAACCAACAAUUUGAAAAAAAAAAAAAGAAUUGGAAGAUGGAUGCAAAUUAACCAUUGCUAAUACUACAUAAGAACACAUAAGUUAACAAUGAACAGUUACUUAAGAAAAUUAAAUGACAAGAUUAAAACAAACAAGCGCUAUUUUUUCUUGGACAAAUGUACCUGUUUAAUUAUUAAAGACUUAAUGAGCUUCACUAUUGGCCUUGAGUAUAUAAGAAUGAGCAAGAGAUCAAUGUCAACUGCAGAGGAAUGUCAGUAAAGGUUUCAUGAGAGUGAGUAAUACAAAUGAAUUGUAAAAGAACAAGACUUAAGCGUGCACCCCCUGUUUUGUUUUAUUCGUUAUGAAAAUGAUAUUGUACCCAAUUUUAAGAGAGCAUAAUAAUAACCAUUUAAUGCAUAAAUUUAGAAUUAGCUUUUUUUUUUGUAAUUCUUUAUUUAAAUAUACACGUCAAUGGAAAAUUUUGAAAAUUUGGAUACAAAAUUUUAAAUCACCAGAAAAAAAAAAGCACGGGAACGGAAAUAGAGGAAUCUUGUUUUACCUUUUUUUUUCCCCCCUUUAACUCUCGUUCUUAUAUAAAUAAUCUUGUUUUGAUGAUUGUGACUCGUGACUGCGGGAAAAAUUCUAAUGGAAACAACUCAAUUUCGGAAGAUAAGCUUAAUUCUGCAAGUGAUGAAUUUGUUCAAUAGACUCUGUACCUGAACUCGUUGGAUUGGUUGAUUGAUGAUUGACUAAAUUUGAAUUAAGUUUAAUAGCUUAGCUAUCAUGUACUCCUUAAAAGCAAACGUAAAUCUUUUUUAGAUUUGACUGAAUUUGGGAACCUGUUGGAUUGAUUGUUUUUAGAUCAUUAAUAUCAGAUACUACAAACGUAAAUAUUUUCUUGUGGUUGAGUCCUAUUCAAAUCACACAAAAUUGCACGACCAAAUAUUAAGAGAACGUAAUAAUAAUCACUCAGUGCGUAAGGGUAAAUUUAGAAUUACGUAUUCUUUUUUAUUUAAUAAAAUCCCAGCGAGAAAAUCAUAAAAUUUAGAUAUAAAAUUUUCAAUCACCAAACAAAAAACAGGGGGAAUGAAAACACAGGAAACUUGUUUUACCUUUUUUUCAUCUAACUCUUGUUCUUAUAUAAUAUUUUCCCUAGUGUUUCAGGCAAGCAAAAAAAAAAAAAAAAUCAAUAAAGAGCAAGUUGCUCAAAUUGAUUUAUCUUGUUUUUCAGGCAAUCUUGUGAUAUGAUGAUAAUGCUUAUGAAUGCUAGAAAAACUUCUAAUGCAAACAACUCUAUUUGGGAUGAUAAGCUUAAUUUUACAAGUGAUAAAUAUAAAUAACUUUUUGUGGUUAAUUCAAUUUGUAAUUACCCUUAGCCCUAUUCUAAAAUUUGUUGGCUGCUUCAGAAAAAAAAAAAAAAAAAUUUCACUCAUCUUUAAUCUUCAAGUAAAAAACAAAUCUAAUAAAAUGACAAACAAACAAACAAAUAAAAGACAGCAAACAAACAACAUUUAGCCAACUGAUAUUUAAACAGGGAUUAGAGUUUUUGUUAUUAACUGAAAGGUUUCAAGGGUCUGAAUAAAAUCCCAGACUUUUUUUUAAAACUUUUUUUUUAAUUAACCAAAGCCAUAUAAUAAGAUCACAGACUUUAACAAUGAACAAUAAUUUGAAACUCAAGCAAAACCAAUCACAAGAUUAAAACAAACCAGAGAAUUUUUUUCUUGGAAAGUAGAUGAAAAGCAAGUAAGAACUGCUAUUAAAGGAUAUUAUUAAAGGAUUUAGAACAUGUAUACCUCUUUAUUUAUAUGGGAUCAGAGAGUCGAUGACCUUCUCUAUUCGCUUCGGAUAUUUAGUAAGAACUGCUAUCAAAAGAAUGAAUUGAUGAGUAAUAACAAUGAAUUGCAAAAGAGGAAGACUUAAUCACGUACCCCUAUUGUACCCGAUUUUUAAGAUUUAAUUUUGAAGUCCAGAAUCAAGACAAAAGACGAAGCCUUAACAAAUAUGCAGUGAGAAUAGUUAAGUUGAAGAAAGCACUAGUUUAUGGCUCUGUGUUUCAUAUGCCGUAUUGAAAUAAUUAAGUUGAAGUUUUCAACGAAUAAAUACCUGGUGUGCUGGAAUAAUUUUAGAAGAAUAUUGGCUUAUAGAGAUUAGAGCAUAUUAGGAGGGAUCAGAUUUGUAAGAUGCCUGAUAAAAGAUAAAGCGAAUGUUAUUAUGGACAUACCAAUUUCCGACUUUUCGGAGUGCAUCCGUCUAUCCAUGACUUGAAAAGAGACCCAAUGUGUGGACAGACUUGAUUACAUNNNNNNNNNNNNNNNNNNNNNNNNNNNNNNNNNNNNNNNNNNNNNNNNNNNNNNNNNNNNNNNNNNNNNNNNNNNNNNNNNNNNNNNNNNNNNNNNNNNNNNNNNNNNNNNNNNNNNNNNNNNNNNNNNNNNNNNNNNNNNNNNNNNNNNNNNNNNNNNNNNNNNNNNNNNNNNNNNNNNNNNNNNNNNNNNNNNNNNNNNNNNNNNNNNNNNNNNNNNNNNNNNNNNNNNNNNNNNNNNNNNNNNNNNNNNNNNNNNNNNNNNNNNNNNNNNNNNNNNNNNNNNNNNNNNNNNNNNNNNNNNNNNNNNNNNNNNNNNNNNNNNNNNNNNNNNNNNNNNNNNNNNNNNNNNNNNNNNNNNNNNNNNNNNNNNNNNNNNNNNNNNNNNNNNNNNNNNNNNNNNNNNNNNNNNNNNNNNNNNNNNNNNNNNNNNNNNNNNNNNNNNNNNNNNNAUUUAAUAAUUAUAGAAGAAUAUUGGCUUAUAGAGCAUUUUAGUAGGGAUAAGAUUUGUGGACAGAAUAAAUGAAAUAAUAAAAAGCAUAACUGAUCAAGUCAUUAUUGAUCUUACUUUGAUUAUUACAUUGCACAUUAGUUUCUUUCUAAAAAUGCCAUUCUUCAUUCAAGCUUUCGCUUUAUCUUUUAUCAGGCAUCCUACAAAUCUUAUCCCUACUAAUAUGCCCUAUAAGCCAAUAUUCUUCUAAAGUUAUUAAAUGCCAUUCUUCAUUCAAGCUUUCAUGGACAUUAUCUACAAACUGAAUCUUCAAUGUAAUAAAAUAAUGAUCAGCCUCACAGGAUACAUAAAAAGCUCAUUUAUCACAAUCAUUUCCUAGUGCAUCAUAAACUUAGAUUAUUUAAUUUUACUAUUAGGAAACCUACUUAUAAAAGGCGCACACUACAAAUUCUAAAUUAAAUUUCUAACUAAGAAUAAAAGGUAAACCCUAGCAAUUUUCCACCAGGUGCCGUGUAGCCUGCAUCAUAAAUUUUGAUUUAAAUCUUUGUAAUCACCGAACAGAAAAACCGGGGAAUGAAAACAGAGGAGCCCUAUUUUUCCAUUUUUUUAACCCUUAACUCUUGUUCUUCUAAUUAUAUUUUUGCUUGGAAUUUCAGGCAAACGAAAAAAAAUAGUGACAACUAUUUAGAGAGAACAGGUGGAUGAUAGCAAAAAUAUUUUUAAUUAAUAUGCAUGAUUAACUCUUGUUCUUCUAAUGUAGUGGCUUGAUUAAUUAAUAUUUUUAAUCAAGCCAUUACAUUAUUGGUAGUCUCUGUGGGCUCAUUUCGUCUCCAGACCUGAUAUUGUAUAUCUCUUUUUGAAUAUGUUUAAUUAAUAUGCAUGCUGCUGAAUAAAGACGAUGAUUUCCAAAUUUUUGUUGCUUUUUUUUUUUCUUUUUGCUGCUUUGGUACAUGAAGAAUGUGGAAAUAGAAAUAGCUUUCGAAGUUUAAUGGCUUGCUUCAUUAGUAAAGAAAGACUAGGAUAUCCGUCCUUUUUGUUACUGAAUUAUUGAUCAAUUGACGGUUGAAGUUAGUUAUAUUAAUUUGUUGUACAAGAAUUGAAGCUUAUAUCUUUACCGUUUCGUGAAAGUGUCAAAUAUGUUCUUUCCUUGCAAUUGUUCAAAAUAUGUUACACUUUUGAAGUCACUAUUACAUAAAGGGUGUUGUAAAAUAGGGAAAGGCGGGUUUAUGAUUAGAUUUUAAUAUGUUUAAUUCAAGGAUUAACCGAAGCUAUUAACCAACGGCUACUAACCGAAAACCGAAUUUAACAAUAAACACUAACUCAGAAUUCAAGAAAAUUAAAUGACAAGAUUAAGACAAAUGAGAGAUAUUUUUCUUGGACAUUAAGAAAGAACUACUAUCAAGAUCAAGGAUUAGAGAUUAUAUAUGCUAUUAUUAAUAGAAAUUAUUAAAGGAUUUAGAACAAGUUCACCUCGUUGAUUAUCUGGGAUGAUGAGUUUCUAUAUUCACCUUGAAUAUAUAAUAACAAUUUUAGUGAGCAAAAGAUCACUGGUAACUGCAGAGGAAUGUGUGAGUUUAAGAGCUUAUUAGAGUAAGCAAUACAAAUGAAUUUUCAAAUUAUGUACUUGGUCAUUGUUGUCCUACUGACGCACGUUUUUUUUCAUGAAUAAUUGCCAGAUCAGAAAAGAAUAAGUUCGGUGGAUUGAAAGAUUGCUGAAGCAAGUAAAACAAUCUUCAUAUCGAACAUGAUUCCAAUUAAAUUAAUCUUUUUAUAAGAUGACUAAUAAAAGACAAAAGUAGAAGCUUUGAUGAAUGAACGAUGACCAAAACUUUUGUAAAAGCGGAUGCCGAUAAAAUAAACAAAAGGCACUUUAAAAAGAAACUAAAGUGCGAUCAUCAAAGUAAGAUCAAUAAUGACUCGAUUUAUUUCACCUAUUCUGUCCACAAAUGAUGCUUCGCUAUUACAAGGUCCGAAUGGACAUUAUUUACAAAUUGUUCUUAUGUUUCACAGAAAAAUGAAAAACCGUUCAUCAUCAUAUAAUUAUGAAAUAAAUAAAUUUUAUUAAUGGAUUAUGGGGAUAUGUUAAUGUUAGGGAUAUGUUCAAAUCAUCAUAUAAGUUACUAAACGCUUCAACAAGAACAAGAAUUAAUGAGUUAAAAGUAAAAAAAAAAAAUUUUAAAAAAAGUUAAAUAAAUAAAACUUAGAAGUAAAGAAUGUUAUUUGCAAUCACCAAAAUGAAAACAGUGGAACCCUGUUUUUCCUCUCAUUUCUCUUUCUCUCUUUUUCAUUUGUUGGGAAGUGUCGCCUAAAACACUUCCUCUGCUAGGUGGAAUUAUUGGCUUGAAGAGAUGAGUUCUUGUCACAAGCACAAAUUUUAUCUGUACAUUAUUUCAUUUUAAAUGAUGAGUUCUUGUCACAUGAUCAUUACUUUUUUUGUUUUGAUUUGGUUAGUUCAUGAUAACAAACAAAUUAUUUUGCAUCACAUUAUGGUAAAAAGUUGCCCUCUUUGUUACUUCCACAGCUAUAUAGUUUAAUAUUUUGUAAUAAGAUCACAAAGUGCAUGGGAACCACUGUUCGAGUACUUCAGCCUAAUAUGAAGAUCUAUUGAAAAUUUUCCUGAUGUCAUGAUAUUAAACAAAAAAAGGUACCUCUUUUACUAAUUAAUAAGAGAAGUUUUGACCGAUUUCAUGUGACUCUCUUUUACUAAUUAAUAAGAGAAUUUUUGGCCUUAUAUCCUUGCUGUGGCGUUAGACUGUUGGUCAUUUUGAUUGUUUCCUACUUUCCGUUUACGCCAGCUGUAACAUUGUAUUAUCACCAUUUUAGCCAUUUAAAUGAAAUUUAUUUUUGUCAAAAAUAAAAUGACACCCUUAAAAUUAAAAAAAAAAUAGUUAUGUAGACCUCAAAUUUUUAAUAAAGAAUGCCAAUACCCCUUUUAACUACAAGAUUCUUAGUAGAUGAUAACUAAAAAAAUUAACUUCAAAAAUUUUCACUAAAUAUAAAUCUAAUUGAAAUAGUUUAAAUUUUCUAGUAGACUAAUAUAUAUAACUUAAAUAAUUAAUUUCAUUAUUAAUUUUUAAAAUGUUAAAUAAUAUAUUUUAAUUUAUUAUAAAAAAUUUAAAUAAAUUCUUGGAUUAGAUAGAUUUUACAAUUAAUGUAAUACUGCUGAUUUAUUAAUAAUAUUAAAAUUAUUUUAUAUGAUAUUCAAAAUAAUUUAAACUUUUAUAUAUUUAUUUUAAUAUUAUGUCUAUUUAUUAUAAAUUUAUAAUUUGGUUUAAUAUAAUACGGGAUUGUAAAAUAUUAAAAUAUUUUUCAAUAUCAAAUUAUUUUAAUAUGUAUAUAUCAUUACAUUUAUUUUAAUAUUGCAUUUAUAUUUAUUAAAGAGUAUUGCAGUAAAGUAAAAAAAAAAAAAGUCUUAUUAUCCCUUAUUCACGAUAUGAGGUUCUACAGAAUUAUUUCCCCAAACGGGUGUCCUUUUCUCAUUUUCAAAAGAAAAAAUAAAGUAAGAAUAAGACCAUGGAUUUCAAAAAACUUAUAGUCCUAUCCCGGGACCAAACGUCUAUUCAUUAUUUUAUUUAUUCAAUAUAAAUGGCCAACUUAAAAAAAUGAUAAAAAUCACACAAAGCUCAAGUGAAAAUUUAGAAUUACAUUUUUUAAUACUCUCGGAGUCUUCUCUCCUGCCCCCUUUUUUUCUUAAAAAAAAAAACCUUAGUGUAAAAUUAGAAGAAUUUUAGAUAUAAAAUUUGACAAUCGCUAAACAGAAAAGCAGCGGAUUAAAAAUAGAGGAGCUCUGUUAUCAUUGCAAUAUUGAUUAUAGAUAAUAUAAUAACUUGUUGUGGUUCAUUGUAGCACUCUGAGCCAUACUUUAAAAUUUACUGGUUUGUUAAUGCUUUUAUUAUUGACAUUAUUGUGUCAAUAUUAUUAUAAUUUAUUCAUUUUAUUGUAAUGAUAAUUUGUCUAGUCUUAGGUACUUAUUAUAUUAAAUUAUGUAAAUUAAUUGAGAAUACUUUUACAGACAAAAGAAACACGUGUAUGUAGGAUUAAUAAGCGAAGAGUUGUAAAUGAAGCUGAUUGCUUCAUUGAGAUGCAUAUUAAAUAAUUAUGGAGAGUUGCUCUAUUUCAGAAGCAUAUAUUUAUACUUCCCUAUCAGGAUUUGGGGUAAGCGAAGUGCUUUAUGUAUUGCAGUAAGCAAAUGUGGGCAACAUCAGAGCCGAAAUAUUAAAAGAUCAUAACGCAUAUAAACGAUUAGUAUAUUCAAGGCACAUAUAGCGGAAAGAGUGCAGAUCUGGCCGUAACUAUUAUGAGGAUUUCCUCAAGUAAAUAUUAAAAGAACAACUAUUCUGAACUAUAUAUUCUUCAUUGUGGGCAGAUUUACUUAAAUACCAACACAAUGAUUCAAUACUUCAAAAGUCAAGGAAAUGUCAAAAUAUGAAAUGAAAAUACUUAAAUACCCUUCUCCCUAACAAAACUUAGUACUUCUAACUGCCAUCGCAGAGAAUAUAUAAAAUUUAAAAAAAAAAUCAUCCAUGAAAAGUUUCGUAACAGAAAAACCGUCUUUCAAAAAAUAAAAAAUAAAAAAUAAAAACAGAAAAAUUGACUCAUUUAUCUGCCAAUGAACCAGUCGGGACUCAUUUAAAAAAGAUUACAAAGCAAAAGUAAAUGACACAAAUUGCAUAGAUAUCUAAGAGCCGCAUCAAAGGACAAAGGUGUUAAUUUGUCCAAGUAAUAAAUUCUCCUAGGUCAAAAGCAAUUAACGAUGAAAACUUUCUUCAUUAAGGUUCUGGCCUACGUAAAAAAACAGAAAAAACCACCCCAAGGUCAAAGCACAACGAUAAGUUUAGAAUUGCAGUUUUUAAUUUUUCUUUUUAAUAAAUCAACGUGUAUUAAAAAUAGAUAAAAAUUUUGAAUAAUGUUUUUUUGAUAAAUAUAGACAUAAAAUUUAAAAAUCACCAAACAGAAAAACAGGGCAAUUAAAAGAGAGCCCUUGUUUCUCCUCUGUUUUGUUUGUUAUUAAACGGGGAAAUGAAAAGAUCGCAAGCAUAAAUUUUGUUUCUGCGUUGUCUCUUCUCAAUGUUGCAUGCAUUCAAAUUAAACCUUAUAUAUGAUAGCAAACUAGCUACUCUGCAUGUACGAUAAGUCUAAAUAAUAGAAUAAUUGUAAAAUGUUCAAAUUCAGUAAUUAAUUAUACAUAUUUAUUUAUUCAAAAAUUAUUAUUAUUAUUAAUUAUUGUCAAUAAUAUAUUAAUAUACUAAUUAAUUAUAAAAAUUUUUAUCAUUCAUAACAAUAACAAUGAUGAUGAUGAUGAUAAUAAUAAAAAUUCAAAAUAUAUUAAUUAAUUAUAAUAAUAUAUUAAUUAUUUAAUACUAAUAAUAAUAAAAAUGUAAAAUGUAUAAAUUGAUUAGAAUAGUUAUAUUAAUAAAUUAUAAACAUAUAUUAAUUAAUCAUAAUAAUUUUUUAAUUGAGGACAAAAUAGACAUUUUAUAGUUUGUGAGAGGGGGCAAAAUGGUCAAUUUUGGGAAUGGGAGAUUGAUUCCCACCACCUUCCUUGGGAAUCAAUUUUCCAUUCCUCAUUCCUAAAUUUGGGUGGCCCCAUAAUUCUGAUUUGGAUCCCUGCCUCCAUCAUUAAUGAUUUCGAUUUCGGAUUCCGAUUCCCCAAUCCAAGAAGUAAAGGCACCAUUAUUGUUAAUUGGUUCAAACACACAAAGAGAAUGUACCGUGUAGCUAGGCGUCAAGGUUGUGUUGCACAAGUAACCUUUUUCUUUUCUUUUUAUUUUUCUUGUUUUCCUUAACGGAUCAGAAGAAAUUGGUGCCUUUGAGAUACCACAAUGUAAAUAAUUAUUUGUGGUUCAUUGAAUCUGUAACACUCGGUACCCUAGGGUUGCUUUGGAAAAAGGGCUUUUCUCACCGAUCGCCAAUAUCCAAGUAAGUUUGUUUCAUUUCAGAAGGUGCAAAGUUUCAAACUUGUUGUAUUGGGAUGUAACAAACUUUGGCCUUAUAUGCCUGCUGUGACGUGAGACUGUUCAUUUUGAUUGUUUCCUACCUUCCACUUACGCACUGUAGCACUGUAUUAUUCACCAUUUUAGCUGUUUAAAUGAAAUUUUAUUUUUGUCAAAAAUAAAAUGACACCAUUAAAAUUUAGAAAAAUAAUCAUGUAGAUCCCAAAUUUUUAAUAAAGAAUACCAAUAUUCCCCUUGACUACAAUACCCUUAGUAGGUGGUAAUAAAAAAAAAUUGGCUUAAAAUUUUUACGAAAUGUAAAUAUGAUUUAAAUAAUUUAAAUUUUCCAGUAGACUACUAUAUAUAAUUUAAAUAAUUAAUUUAAAUAUUAAUUUUUAAAAUGUAAAUUAAUUUAUUUGUAUUUAUAAAAUAUUUGUAAUUAUUUUAAAAUUUAACUAAAUCCUUAGGUUAAAUAGAUUUUACAAUUAAUAUAAUAUUUCUCAUGUAUUAAUAAUAUUAAAAUUAUUUUAUAUGAUAUUGAAAAUAACCUAAAUUUUUAUAUAUUUAUUUGAAUAUUAUGCUCUAUUUAUUAUAAUUUGGUUUAAUAGAAUACGAGAUUGUAAAAAAUUAAAAUUUUUAGAUAUUGAAAUUAUUUUAAUAUGUAUAUAUUAUUAUAUUUAUUUUAAUAUCCUAUUUAUAUUUAUCAUAAAUUAUUAGAGUUAAUUUUUUUAGUUAAUAAAUUUAAAAAAUAUUAUAAUUUAAAAAAAAGUCUUGUUGUCCGUUAUUCACGAUAUGAGGUUCUACAAAAUUAUUUCUCCAAACGGGUGUCCUUUUCUUUUUUUCAAAAGGAAAAACAAGUUCAGGGCCUCAGGGGUUUCAAAAAAUUCUGGUCCUAUAUACCACUAUGACUAAUGGGAAACGACAUUGCAAUUGACAUUGCUUUCCACAAUAUGAUAGAUUAUUGGAGGGAUAUGAGAGAAUUGUCAAACGUUCACACACGCGAGAGCUUUAGGUGGGAUAGGGGAGGAUUGUCAAGAGUUCACACCACGAUAAACUAAUGAUAGGCCUAAUUUUGUUGUCAGUUCUUUAUUUAUUUAUUUUAUGUAUAUCAUACAUUAUUGUAUUUUGUCAAGGUAUAAUAGUACAAGUAAAAUACUAGGGGUGCUGUUAAGUUACAACUUAUGUAACUUGCAAUUUUUUCAAAAAUUAUGUAAAAAAUUUAAUAGGUGGUGGAACCCACAUAUUUUUUAAGAGACUUAAGUUACAGCAGUUGUAACUUAACAAAAUCUAAAUAUUAGACAAUAAUGCAUAUAAUUUGGGUUUGAUUUUUAAAAGAUUAUUUGAGUACCACCUAUCCUUAUGAUAUUAAUGUGAUUAUAUCUUAAUAUUAAAUAAUCAAAAUUUGUUUAAUUAUUAUUUGUAUUUCAUACAUUACAUAUUAGAUUUGUUUGAAUUUUAAGUUGUUGCUAAUAAAUAUUUAUGUUGUCAAAGUCAAAGUCAAUAGCUACAAAAGUAGAGAUAAUGGUAUUGUAUAUAGUUUUUAAGAAUGCAAGGAUAAGCUGGAUAAUUGACAUAAAUUCUAAUGAUUAAAAGAGCAACUAUCCCUUAAGUUAUAAUGUCAAUUUCUUUAAUUAGAAUUUUUUUUUCAUGUGAUAUAACCUUAAUUGCUACAAUUUUUUUUAUAAUAAUAAUGGGAGUUAUAAAUUAUUUAUAUAAAAUUUGGGUUGAAACUAAUGUAACCUAAAAGUGGUUGCUGAAUAACAAUAUUUGAAACUUUAGGUAAUUUUCAUGAGUCCUUUUUAUAUUCAACAACUUGAAUUGGGGGAAAUCCGACUUGAAUUGGCGGUUGAUUUUGGUGAUGUGGCUUUCGGUUUACGCCGGCUUUACAGUGGCGGAAGACUGGAUUUACGGUUGCCGACUGCUAGGGAUUAUGGUGGUAGUGUAAAUUGACGGAAAAAGAAGGUGUUUUGGUGGCGGCGCGUCUAGGAAGCACUCGUGGGUUGUUGUUUCGUGUGGUGACAGCGGGCGGCGAUCAAGGGCUGAAGUUGGUCGGUUUUUGGUCAGCAGAGGCCGGCGAGUUUGUUGGUGGAGGUGGCUGGUGGAGAAAGUGGCUGAAUGGUGGUGGGUUGCUUGGUGGAGCCGCGGGUUUGGGUUGGUGAUUUGCGGCUGUUCAAGCGGUGGUUGAGGCAGCGAUGACUAAGGCUUGGUCGACGGUGGCUAGGGAGGUUUGUGGUGGUGUUGGCUGGCUGAUCGGCGGUGGUGGACGGCGGUGGAGGUUGAUGUGACAGGUAGGGUUUUCAAAUUUGUAAAUUUUUUUUUUGAUGGAUUUGGUUUGGAUAGGUAUGGUGUAUCUAGGAAAGAUGUGCGAUUCGCACAUAAUCAUUUUGAUACCAAUUGAUGGAGCGAGGCGUAGCGGAAGCAGAAUUGAUAGGGUAAGAAACAUUAGAUAUCGUUCUAGUACUAGACCAAGCCAACACGAUUAGUUUACGCUCUAAUUGAAGCGUGAUUAGAUAUCGUUAUAAUCCAAAUGACUCAGUGAGAUUUUUAAUAACGCGUAAUACGAGAUUAGAUGACACUCUAAUCCAAAUGACUCUACAAAAGAGAUUUUGAUAACUAAUCCUAGAGGAAAUUAUAAAAGAGGGGGUUUAUUUAAUAAUUGAACUUGAAGUUAUGAAAAUAAUGACAAGACAUCUUUAUUUUUUUUAUUACAGGCAUCUUUAUUUAUAAUAGAAGAAACCCGCUUUCCUAAGUUAACCUAAAAAGAAAAUUUAAAUCAUAAUUAUAAUGGAAAUAAAAGAUUAAGAUACAUACCAUAAUUAACUCAAACUAAAAUAGAAAAUCAUAAAAUAAUAAAUAUUCUAGAAUUAUAAAUUAUCUAAAAUAACGUUAAUUAACUUCCUAAAUCACUUCUUUGGUGUAAACCAUUUUGCAUCCAUCCUCGCUUUAAAGGUUUGAACCAACGUUACCAACAAUAAUGUAUCAAAGUCCAAUCUAACUUAAGAUCUUGAUACAUCUACCGAUGUCCUUGUUUGAUUAGACAAUAAUGAGUCUAUCUCAUCACUUGUUACCUCUUUCUUGAAGGCUGCAUCUGUUGAAGUGAUAGUCUCGCUUAGAGUUUAAAGAUCUUCUUCCAUGUUAAAUAAAAUGGGCAUUUGAUUAAAAAACUUUAUCUCUAUCUCCUUCUAUCAAAUAACGACAACUAUCCGAAGGAAAAAAAAAAUAGAAAAGUCCAUGGGUCACAAUAAUUUAUGGUCUGUCCCCGGACCCCAUUAUCUGCCACUAUCAAUGAUGAAAAUGAAAAUAAAUGGCAUCUUCCCAAAAUGGCGAAAGAUUUUUGGGGGAUAUGGGGGAAUUGUCAAAAGUUCACACAACGCGAAACAAGUGUUACAUCCAAUUUUAUUUCGUCAUAUAAUGAUAAUAUCAAAUAAUGACAACCAUCCAAAAGUAUGAUGGGUCUUCCAAAAUUUUGAAAAUGUCGUCAACAUUUAAUCUUCAAUGCUAAAGAAGAUGAAAUGACCAAAAAUGACACGCAUGACUCACUCACAGACUAAAUGGCUCUGACCACAUGUAACAAACUUUGAUCUUAUGUCCUUACUGAGGCGUUAGACUGUUGGUCAUUUUGAUUGCUUUUUACCUUCCAUUUAUGCCAUUGUAGCAUUAUACUAUUCACCAUUUUAGCUGUUUAAAUGAAAUUGUUAUUUUUUUUCCAAAAAUAAAAUGGCACCCUUAAAAUUUUAGAAAAUAGCCAUGUAGACCCCAAAAUUUUAAUAAAGAACACUAAUAUCCUUUUUUACUAUAGUACUCUUAGUAGAUGGUAACAAAAAAAAAAAUGACUGUAAAAGUUUUUACUAAAUGUAAAUAUGAUUUAAAUAUUUUAAUUUUUCUAGUAGACUAGUAUGUAUAAUUUAAAUAAUUAAUUUUUAAAAUGUAAUUUAAUAUAUUUAUUUUAAUAAUAUAUUUAUUAUAAAAAUUUUAAACAAAUCCUUGGGUUAAAUAGAUUUUAUAAUUAAUAUAAUAUUUCUCAUGUUUUAAUAAUAUUAAAAUUAUUUGAUAUGAUAUUGAAAAUAAUUAAAACUUUUAUAUAUUUAUUUGAAUAUUAUGUCUCUAUUUAUUAUAAUUUGGUUUAAUAGAAUCAAAUGAAAGUGUACAUGUACAAGAAGAAAGAACCAUACACCAAGUAAAACGUAAAAAGGAUUAAAUAAAUGACACCAAUCCCCGGCAACGGCGCCAAAAUUUGAUGGUUGUCGAAGCCAACAAAAAUAAAUUCCUACUCUAAAUAAAUUGUGUAUAGUGAUUGAGCAGGGUCGUGUCCACAGAGAUCGGUAAUUAUUUAAAUCCUUUUAAAACGUAAAACAUAAAAUGGGGGUUUUGUUGACAAUAAUAAAAAUCAAAUUAAAAUAACAAGAAUGCAAAUUAAAGUUGUAAUUCAAAUUAGAGAAAGCUCUGGUUGAAGGAAUUAACUCAGCUUGAUUCGACUACUGAUCAUUGAUUCAAAUAUAGAUUAUUAUUACUUAUUAAUAGACCGGUUAUAGCUAUUGAGACCCUCUAAUAGCCAAUUUGUCCUUAACUAGUCGAUAACCAAGGUACGACCGUCAGAUAUUUCCCUAAUCAACAGACAACCCUAGAUACGAUCAUAGGAUUUAAUCAAUUGACAGCCUGAAAAACCAGAGAGACCCAAAUCCUAAUCAACACAUAUGAUGAUUCAUUUAAAUUAGAUUGUUUAUUCUCAUAACACAACUCACUGCUAUGUUAUUUGUCACAAACAUUAAAAUCUUCAUACGAUGAAUCCUUUAAUUGACAAUAGAUUAAGUUGAUAAUUAAAUAGUGGCCAAUUACCUAAUUAACAAACAUAAUCAUGAAACUAAUUCAGAGAAUAAACAAAUACCCAAAAAGUAAUAAAACAAUUAAAGCAUAAGAAAGAUCUCACAGUAGUGAUGAAUCAAAGCUUCAUUAACCUUCAACCAGAAAAAUAAGUUUAGUUCUUCAUAGAGAGAAGAGAAAAAUUAGAUCUAGGGUUUUUUUCUUUUUCUCUCAUCCCCCUUUUUCACUAUAGAUUCCUCCCUUAAAUACUCUCUCUCUCUUCUCUUUUAGAGUUCUAAUUAAAAUAAAAUACUAAUAUCUGAAAUAUUAAAUUCGUAAUUACAAAAAUAACCAAAAAUACAAAACAUGUUAAACUAAAAACUACAGGUCCGCAGUUGACAGCACGCGCCCACGCCUUAUCAAGAAAGUUCUUCUGACUCUCUAAAUUUCUCCAAGAGAACAAUCAUCUUUAAACAUCAUCUUAUAACUCAAUUUUAUCACAAAUCAAUAGAAUUGCACCUACAAAAGUACAACACAAGUAAAUCAUUAUUAUUAAGUGCAAAACAUCGAUAUUAAGGGAAGUAGACAAUGCAAAACUAGUGCAUAAAUUGCACUCUAACAAGUUCACACCACGAGAAAUUAAUGAUAGGCCUAAUUUCGUUGUCAGUUCUUUAUUUGUUUAUUUUAUUGAUUUCAUACAUUAUUGUCUUGUUGGUACUAUUUUGUAAAGAUAUAAAAGUACAAGUAAAAUAUUAGGGGAAGUAAAAUAAAAUAUUGGAGGUGCUGCUAAGUUACAGCUGCUGUAACUUACAGUUCCUUCAAAAAUAAUGUAAAAAAUUUAACAUGUGGUGGGACCCACAUUAUGUUUGAAGAGGCCGUAAGUUAUAGCAGUUGUAAAUUAGUAAAAUCCAAAUAUUAGAUAACAAUACACAUUAACAAUGCAUAUAAUUUGGGUUUGAUUUUUAAAAAAAUUAUGUGAGUAUUACCUAUCCUUAAGAUAUUAAUGAGAAUAUAUUUUAAUAUUAAAUAAUCAAAAUCUGUUUAAUCAUAAUAUGUAAUUCAUACAUUGCAUGUUAGAUUUGUUUGGAUUUUAAGUUGUUGCUAAUAAAUAUUUAUGUUGUGAAAGUCGAAUUCAAUAGCUACAAAAGCAGAGAUAAUGGUAUUUUAUGUAGUUUUUAAGAAUACAAGGAUAAGACCAUAACGCAUGAGAUAAUGGUAUUUUAUAUUAAAAGACCAUAACACAUGUAUUUGAGCCAUUUAUAUUGAGGACACAUAUAGAGCGAAGAGUGCAGAUCCGGCCGUAACUAUUGUGAAGCUUUCCUCAAGUAUUCUCAUGCACGCAGACCUUAGCUGGUCAAGUUUUCUGAUUCAAUAUAAUCAAUUUCCGCGCAGUACUAACGACAGCUUCUUUGUAAAGCUCUUCAACCACAAGCAUUUCUACAAGGCAAAAGACUAGGACGUGUCAGAAUGAAUAUCAAUAAGGGAAUGUCUUAUGAAUUUAGUUUAUAUCCUAAUAUAAGACAAUCAAUAAAUAUUAGAUGCAAUCUAAGGGAAUGUCUUAUGAAUCCUGAUUGAUGGCCUCUCACAGUCAGUUAUAUGACAAAGUAGCCACCACAACAAACUUGAACUUGGCUGGAGGUCUCAUUAGCAGUAUACCUCAGAAAUUAAGACAAAGACUUUAAAAUGCAAACUUAUGGAGCAAUUUAAGCACUGAAACUAAUAACAGUACUGUAUUAGCAAUUGACCUCUGCUUUUUUCUUGGACAAAGGUUCUCAUCACAAGGGACUCAUUAGUUGCCCUUGCCUCAAACGUUUGGAUGCUAAGGGGAAAAAGGAAGUUUGAAUUAGUCAAUCUCAUUUCUAAUGGCAUUCACAGAGAACCUAUAAAACAAAAAAAUUAUAAAAAAAAAAAUCAUCCAUAAUUCGCCAAACCGAAAAGAAAAACAGGGGAAUGAAAAGAGAGCCCACGGGAAUGAAGAGAUCAGCUCUUGUCGCGAAAAUGCAGUCGACUGUAACUAUAUCCGGGUCCCUAGUACUUAGAAGUAAAUGCUCUUGGAAUUUCUAUUAUAGAUUGAUGUUUCCCGUUCAAAUAGCUCUUCCGAUACCAUUAACAUGUUCAUCUCUCUAUAGAUUGAUGUUGACAUAGAUGUUAUUCUACUUUUGCUAGUGGAGUUUUCCUUGUACAGGUAUGUAUGAUUGUUUUUUUUGCACUUCUAAAUGGACACUGUUGAAAAGCUUAAAAUUGAACUGAUAAUUUUGUUUGGAAGCUCAGAAAAUUCAUGAGAAAGUGAAAUAGAAUAUUCUGGAUUUCUUUUCUUUCCAUAAUAUACAAAUGACAAACGUAGCAGUAUUUAUACUCGUUGCUUACAUCAUAAAAACAGAAUUAAAACAAGGUACACAACUAUAACAGAAUCAAAAGCGUGCUUAACUAAUUGGCAGAGCUGGCAUAUACUUCUUUAACUAACAAUGCUGCUGACUGGACUUUAGCUCACACAUGCUUAUCGUGCAGCUACUCUUAGUUCACACGUGCUCAGUCUGCUGUUGGCCCAAAGUUGGAACCAGAGAUAUCAUGACUCUGGUUUCAUUUCACCUCAACUGUGUUUUUUUUUUUAAAUUAAAAAAAUCAUUUGUUUUAGGUAUACAUACAUGUAUUUUGAUUCUAUUUUCAUUGUAAUUUCUCAUUUACUUUGAAUGAAAGUCAUUGGUGUUUUCGAAUGGGAAUUUUGCAUUAAAAAAUGAAGAAUAGUGAUUUUUGGAGUGUAAUUAGUAGUAAAGUUGGUUUUUACUCGCAAACAAGUGAACUGCUCGAUUCCCGAGUGGUAUCAACCAGUUUCCAACUUUUUAAUAUACACUAAUUGUUAUUGUUUAAUAGCUACUACUAUUAAAACUCGACAUCUAACAAAAAUACUUAAAAAAAAUGAUUUUUCUUAUGAUGCUGUAAAAAAAAAUUACGGGUUUACUUCUUUCCAUGAGAUCUAUAACAUGGUCUUGACUUCACGAAAUUCUUUUAAUUUAAAGCUUGCUGGUGUGAGAAGGUCAGUUUGACUGAUUAAUUCUUUUUAACAGUGGUCGAGAUAAUUUUACUAUCUAAUCGAAUGUUAUGCUGUUUUCUUUUUCUAAUCUGGUGUGAGAUAAUUAAUUCUUUUUCACAAAUGCUAUGCUGUUUUCUUAGGCUAAGGAUCUUCUAUCAGGAGAGGUUAGAAAUUCAAUGCUUAAAAGAGAAUAAUACAGAAAUUUAGGCAGAAUCUAAUCGAAUAUUGCAUGAAACAUGAAAAAUCAAUUCAAGUCCUUUCUUUAAACGGAGAAUGCAUCAAACAAAAUCCAAAGUGUCUUGCACGUCUGUAGCAUGAGCAAAAAAUUGUAAAUAUGUAGAACCAAAUUAUUCAAGUACAGAAGAACGAGCAAGCUAAAUCAUGUAUAAGAGAUUGGCCUGGUUCGGGAUAGCUUCUUCACUGUACCUGAAGGAUUGGCUCAAUCUCUUCUUUAGAAUUCUGCAGAUUUUGUAAUUACUCGUGUAAGCAAGCAUACAUUGCCACCAUAAGAAUAAUAAAGCUAGAGUAAUGAUAUGACCACCACCUCUUGUGCACAAACAAUAUUGUAUAAACUAAUGCGACAUAAUAUGAUUGGUUAAACAAAAACAUUACAUGGCCCUCAUAAUUUAUUUAUUUAUUUAUUUAUUUAUUAUUAUAUUUUUUCAGUAAACCAAUCAUAUUAUAUCACAUUAGUUUCUAUAAAAUAAUUUGCUAAAUAGCACCAAAACUUAAUUGAUACUCACCAUUUCAUUGAACAAUUUUUUUAUGGUGUCAUUGAGAUUGCCUUCCCAACAUCCUUCAUCAUCAUCAUCUUCAUCAUCAUCAUCAUCUUCUUCAUCAUCAUCUUCUUCAUCAUCAUCUUUUUCUUCUUCUGUGACGUUCACUUUGUUUAGCAUUGGUGUGUCUAAGACUCCUUGAGAGAAGAUCUUCAUUUUUGGACACUGUCUCACAACUACUGGUUUCAAGGACGGGAAUUCAAGAGCGUAAUUACCCGAACAAAAGCUUGUUAGGCUUGGCAAACAAUCAAGUCCCAAGUACUCCAAUUCCUCGAAGACAACGCAACCUUUCGCUUCUUCUCCAACCUGCAAUUGUAUGAUUUGUUCUAUCAUUUUGCAAUCAGCUAUCUUCAUUCUUUGAAGAGUCACUAGACUUUCAGAUGUUGAGAGCGUCAAUAAAUUUAUCAACCCAUGACACUUCGAUACUUCCAGAGUCGCAAGAUUUUCCAAAUGCCACGAAGCUGGUACUAAUUUCUGCAACUUACUACAUUCAAAUAUUUCUGGACUUUUCAAGUUUGCAAACACUUUGUUGGAUUUGGCAUUUUCCUUCCAGAGAUGCUGCACUUUGUGUAAUCCAGAUAGCUUUAACUUCAUCAAUUGAGGGAAUGCAACCUGAAAAUCAACAAAAUUAAGUUGUAAAUGAAAAUAUGUAUCCAAUCUCUGCAGUCUUCCCCUGCAUAUUUUAUGAACAAGAUUAAUCACGACAUUUUAUAUUUUAUUUCCAAAUUAGUAUGCUUUGCAGUAGGAUCCCAAAUAUAAGUAUCAAAUCGAUUACCCUUUGAAACACAUAAAUGAAAUCUGAUGCUAAAUCCAAUAUGAAUUAGCUAGGAAAACAGAGAUGUAACACGCAUAAUCGAUAUAGUUCAUCGCCUUAUGUCACCAGGCAUCUAAUUAAUUUAAGACAUUUUUAUAAUUCAUACUAUAAAGUUAGUUAAUAACAGAGGUUAUAUUGUUAAAUCAGAUAUAAAUUAAGACGACCUGCAAAAAGAUGAGUCAUUAAGUUUGAUUUGAUUCUAAUGAAAUUACAUCUGUGCGAACGAAAGUGAAGGCAAUAAUAAUAAUAAUAAUAAUAAUCACCUUUUCAUCGAAGAGGGGUUGUACUUGAUGAGCCAGCAAGAAGUUCUCUUCUGAUGUUAAUUUUUGAGGUUUCUUGUUAUCUGUUGUCACGUGCACUAAAGAGUUGGAUAUGAAUGUUUCCAUAUCAGGGCAAUUCUCAAUAGUUAGAUUCUCCAACUCAAGCAUUUCAAUUAUAUUCCCAGUGAAGUUGCAGAAUCUUUUGAGUUUUGGAAGGUCAAUGAGCCUUAGCUCGAAAAGCUUAGGAAACAGGGGACCUAUAUGUUCUUUGUCAGCAUUUAGCACUUCCAAAUGAAGCACCUCUUCCAGUGAAUCACAAUUCCUCACUUCCAACCAUUCCAAAUUGUUCAAGCACCGUAGCAGAUUGGCAGGAAUAGCACUCGACAUAUUCGUGCAGUCAUCCACCACCAGGUGUCUUAAAUUGUUGAAGAAGCUGACAGGCAGUGCUUGGCCAUGCGAUAUUUCUUUCAAACGUGGAAAAUGUGAGAAUUGCAAAAACUCCAUGUCACGAAAUCCAAUCUGCUCAAACCAAAACAAUUGCACUGGAUAUAUACAAUUUUUUUUUUGAAAGGCAUUAGAUAUAUAUAUAUACAUUAAACUUACAUGUUUUGUGUUUUAACUUCUAAAAAUAUAUUUAAAUGUGCAAGUGCAGGGGAGAUGCAUGAACAAUUUGGAUGAAUCGAUUAACACAUACCAUUUCUUCGUAACACUUUUGUAUAGUGGAAUUAAGCUUAUUGCCUUCCCAAUGGUGCAGUUCACCCCCUUCCUUUUCAGUCACUUGCACUUUGCAUGGCUUUGGAAUGGAUAAGAUUCCCUGAGAAAAAGUCUUCAUGUUUGGACAACGUAUCAUAGAAACUCGUUCCAAUGAUGGGAAUUCAAGAGUGUAAUUCUCCAAACAAAAGCUGGUAAGCCUUCGUAAAUCAUCAAGUAUCAAAACUUUUAAUUCGCUGAAAGCAAUACGAUUCUCCUUCGCUUCUUCUCCAACAUGUCCUACGAUUUCUUCUAAUUCUUUGCAAUCCGAUACUUUAAGAUUCACCAGACUACUAGGAAUUCCAACCUGAAAAUAAGCAAAAGUGUGCGCAUGUGUGGUGUAUUAAAAAAGUAUGUUAAUCAUACAAUUAUGCAUUUUAUAAACAUAACAAACCAUGAAAUGUCUACUAGAUAAUUUUUUGUUAAACAAAAACGGAACAAGAUAAAUAAAUAAAUAAAAUCCAGAUAAACAAAGAUAAUAAAAAUACAUUUACACUAUUUAGUAUUAGAAACGUAGAAAUAAUUUAAGGCAAUUUCUAAAUAUUUUAGACUUAUUUUGCAUCUUGAUAUCAGUUUUUAAGCAUAAAUUUGCAAAUUUCAACUAUUCCUUCUUUUUUUUUUAAAAAAAAAGGGACCAUUUUCCUUGGUCCCUUUUUUUUAUGUAUAUUUAAAAAUGGAAAAAAAAAUUUGGAAAAGACUUCCCAAUACUGUCAACGAGGGACUGCUGUAAAGUGGAUCUUUAUUAAGUACUUCCAGACUAGAGGAAAUUUCUUUACAAUCAAGGGUCAGUUGUAAAUAAUCAUGAAUUUGUGGUUAAUUAAUGGCAUAAUCAAUUCGUAACUAAACUAGAGAUAUUAAUUAAAUUUGAAGACUUUUAUUUUCUUUUUUUCUUUUUCCAAUCGAAAUGUGAAGAAUUAAGGAAAAGAGAAAUAUAUAGAUGAAUUCGUGAACCUAUAAGAUGAGUGACGAUCCUUUAAUUUUUGAAAAUCGUACUUAUUAAGAUAUGAGCAAAAACUAUUUAAUUGAAUUAUAUUAUGCUGUUGAAUCGUGUUUAAAAAAUUUAUAUUGUUGAUUCUAAUGCUGACGAACCUAAGAUACUUGAAAUAAAUAAUCAGUUUGCUGGCUGAAUAUCAUUUGUAAACAAAAAAUGGUUAAAAUAUUGUUGGAUGUAAUUUGAAAAAAAAAAGAUUCGAAAUGAAUACAGCAACCUUACCAAUGGAGGAAAAAUAUUCAUUAGGUUAUCACACCCAAUUAUCUCCAAAUUCUUCAAUUUGCUGAAAGACUCCGAAGCAAGCUGGUGGUGCCAUAUUUUUCUCAAAUUAUCCAUCAACCUAAUACGUAAUACCUCCAACCUAGUAAGUCGUACCUGGCAGUUAAAGAUUAAAUAACUAAUUAAUCAAUUAAUGGCAUAAUCAAUUGAUAACUAAAUUAGAGGCGGAUAUUAACUAAAUUUGAAGACUCAAGGAAAAGACAAAUUAAAUAUUGUGACUAAAAUUAAAUUUUUUUAUUAAAAAAAAAACCUUUUUGUCAAAGAGAGGAGGAGGUUGCAUUUCAGAAUGAAUGGUGUCUUCUGGUGAGCUCGUAGAGAUGAAUCUCGACAUACUGUUGCACCAACUAAUCUCGAGGUUUAGCAAAGAAGGGAAUUCAACAACUAAAUCUGAAUGAAUAUGUCCCGUAUUGGCAAAGCUUGUUAGUUCUGGAAGAAAAUGGAGCUUGAGGGAGUGUAGUUUAGGAAAAACCUUUAAUUCAAUCAACUUUCCUUCUUCUCUUUCUGACCACCCCGUGGUGUCGACCACCCCUUCCAUUGACUCACAAGACCGUAUUUCAAGAUGUUGGAGUUGCAAAAGACUAUUAACCAUAGAAUACGAAAACAGAUACUUCAUACGAUGACAACUGCUCACGUACAGCUUUGUUAAAUUUUGACAACAGUACAUUCCUUGAUUAUGAUCGGCCCAUAAUUUUUUCAUGUUUCUUAAGUCCCUGAGAUUCAAUUCCUCUAACCUCGGAAGAAUAACCUGCAAAGAAAACCCGUACAUUUUUGUUCCUUCAAGUACAACCGUCUAGUAUAAUAUUCUUUUGAUGAUCGAAGAUUAAUCGUGAUAAUAAAUUAAUCAAUUAAUUAUUGAACAGAAAAUUAUCACCUUUGGAGCAGUAUCAUCAUCAGCAAUGAUUUCGUUGAAUCCCAAAGAAGUUGUUGGUUUCUCCCUGUCGGGUCCUAUAAACAAACAAAAACAAUAUAUACAUAAUUAAUCUUUGUUGUUUUUUUUUUUCCAAAAUAAUUGAGGAGAAGUCCAUAAUCCCACCAAUACUUAACUUCAACACUCACCAAAAAUCAUUUCCAGAUCACCGCAAAGAGCCACUUCUACCUUUUGAAGCCGCAGUAGGUUUUUGGCCAUGGAGAAUGAGAAAAGAUGCUUCAAUUUGUGACAGGCUUCUACUUCUAUAAUCCUUAAGUUGCUGAAAGAUUGAUCUUCUGUGAGUUGGCUGUCACAUAUUGUCUCCAAAUUGUUCAAAUAGCUAAGAGACAAUGACUCCAGCAAGGGAAAGACUGUACAAUGAACCCGUCCAACUGAACCGACAAUAUGCAAAAUCUCAGAACAACUUUCUACCCAAAGAUGCUUCAAUCGUGGAAAACCUUCCCCAUCAUCUAAUUCAUGAACAACAUUCUGAACACCCUUCAGUUCGUUUAGAUGGAUCUCUUCAGCUUCCUUCAGCAACAUUUUCGUCCCAUAAUUCUCCAAAAGAGUGCUAACAUUUUCUAGCCCAUCGAGCUCCACCAUUCUUGAUGUUUUAGAAUUAACGCCUCACAUGCGCCACGCUUCUCCUAUACAUAUCUUAUAUCUUUGCAAUUCCACAGAGACCAAAUCCUGCGGUAGAAUUUCGGCAUCCCGAACGUGUAUCUCCAAGGUAGUUAGCUUUGACAACCCCUUCAAUUCAGCAAGACUGGCGUUACUUCCUCCUUCAACCUUAUCCCACUGCGAAAAGCUGUCACCCAUAUAUAGUUCUUCCAAUCGUGAAAAUUUUGAUAUGACAUUUGGUGCUAUCACUACAAGGCUCCUACAAUUGCUCAAAUCUAGCAAUUGUAACCGCGUCAAUUGACCGAUUUCAAGUGGUAACUGCUUAAUGUCGGAAUAUCGAAAGCUAAGAAUCUCUAAUUUCUUUAGCUGUCCAAUUGCCGCUACAUCUUCUUGUUGGCACCAGUCUAAACACAAUGUUUGAAGGUUAAUGAGGCGACCUAGUGACGAAAGUAAUGAAGAGAAAUGAAUUCCAGUAAAAUCUAAAACUUUGAGUUCUUCUGUCCCUUCAAAAAAGAGGUCUGAAACUUGCAUAGGGCCAUUACCCUCCGUAUACAACAAAAAUAACUGGAGAUUGGGACAUCCCAACCUUUCGGGAAGCUCUUGAAUAUCUCUAUAAGGUAAAGAAAUAGCAAUUGGACCUUUCUGUAUUGUCUCUUCCAUCUUUUUCUCCACGUCAGCAACAUUUGGAAUAUUAAACAUGCGCUUCUCUGCUGCAAUUGAUACAGCAACAACAUGAAUGACGUCAUGCAUUUUAACUUCAUCUUUGGCAUCACCGUCCAACAAUAAGCAUGAAGAUUUGAGAUUGUCGAUCAACCGAUGCACUCUACUCCUUGCUUCUUCCAAUGUGUAAACAUUUUCAAACAAACCCCAACCCACACCAUGUCUCAAUAAGUCAGAAACGGGUAUGACAUUACCUUCACUGUAUAGACCACAAAGACGGAACAGAGAUUUUGCCUCCUCACUUUCCAAGAAUUCAUAACUCAAUUUUAUGGAGGUGUACACAUUUGCUUGCAUGCCAUGAAUUUCUCUUGCAUCCGAUCUUCUUAGCUGAUUCAAUGCAUCUUGCCAAAAGUAACGCUCCUUAGUUUUCAGAGCAUUUGCAACUGUACUCAGUGCAACAGGCAAACCUCCGCAUCUUUCAACGAUCUCAUUUGCUAUACUUUGAAAAGCAGAUAUUUUAGUUGAAUCACCCACUAUCUUCUCAAAUAACUGCAAUGCUUCUUUUCGUGGCAAAGCAUCGAUCGGGAAAUUUUUCUGAGAAUUCAUAUCAAUGCUCAAUAAAUCUUGCUUUCUAGACGUCAAUAUUAUUGUGCAUCUUCUCUGAUCAUCCUUUCUAUCUUUCUCAGCAACAUCUCCAGAAGGGAUUCCAACCGCAUCCAACUCAAGUCUUGUCCAAAUAUUAUCCAAUAUAAUGAGGACCCGCUUCUCUUUCUUCAAUACUCGACGUAGUCGAUUUGCUCUGUCGAAUAUAUUCUCAUUCAACUCAAACUUUAUGCCUAAAUCUGAAGCGAGUUUGUUUUGAAUUUGCUGAUUAUCUGAUUCAUGUGUUAGCUCAGCCAUAACGACCUUAUCGAACAACUUAUCUUCCAUCACUUGCUUUCUAACUUGCCUGACUAGCGUGGUUUUACCCACGCCGCCCAUGCCGUAGACCCCAAUUAUGUUGAGCUUAUCAUCCUUCAACGCCUCCAUAACAUCCUGUAAUACUUUCUUUCUUGAAUCAAAGGCCUCGUUAUCUUUCCCGCCCCUAGGUGAUUCGCUCUCUGGAGGAGGAUCGUAGGAAACAUCACUCUUCAGUUUGUCGCCUUUUUCCAUGAGAUUAGCAGCAUCUUUUGCGGCCUUUGCUGCUCGUUUACUGAGUUUGUAACGAGACAACAAAUUUGGACACAAUCCUUUGAAGCAGGACUUCUUGGCUCCAUCUUCUUCGUCAAUGAUAGAUUUUGCAACCCCCUCCGUAGAUUCAACCCUACUUCGCCAGUCUUUGACACGCUGAUAAAUCUCUUCCCCUUGUCGGGUAGCAUGAUAAACAUGUUGUUGCACCAUUUCGUUUAUACCUCCCAACUCCUUCACUUGAUCUUUCAGCUCUUCUAUGUAGCUCUGGUACUUGAACACAUAAGAGAUCUGCCGCAUAAUCGGUUCGAACAAUGCCUUUGUGCCUUCUGAUAUAAUGCUUGAAAAAACACCUUGACAGAAUUCUACAGCCAUUGCCUGCUGCUUAACGAUAUAUAUGUAGUUUUUGGCUGUUAAAAAAAAAAAAAUUGGAUUCAAAUAAAUUAAAUGAACUAGAGGGGAAGAAAAAGAAAGAAACGACAACAAACAACUUUUUAGAGAAAGGUUUGACAGGCCUAAAUGGAAAACCAACAACUUUUUGAAGAAAGAAAACUUUGGAAGAUAGAUGCAAAUUAACCGUUGAUAAUAAUACUACAUUAAGAACACAGAAGUUAACAAUAAACAGUAACUUAAAACUCAAGAAAAUUAAAUGACGAGAUUAAGACAAACAAGGGAUAGUUUUUGUUGGACAUUAAGAAACAACUGCUAUCAAGAUCAAGGAUUAGAAAUUAUGCUAUUAAAAGAAGUUAUUAAAGGAUAGUGCUCGUGACUGCAGGAAAAUUUCUAAUGGAAACAACUCAAUUUCAGAAGAAUUUAUCCAAUUGACUCUGUACUUGAACUCGUUGGAUUGGUUGAUUUAUGAUUGACUGAAUUUCAAUUCGGCCCAAAAGAUCUUUAACCAAAGUUUAAUAGCUAUCAUCUACUCCUUAAAAGCAAAUGUGUAUCUUUUUUAGAUUUGACUGAAUUUGAUCUUGUUGGAUUGGUUUUUUUUUAGACAAAGUUGUUUUCCUACUGAUUUUUAUUCUUCAAGUAAACUUAGAUACAAAGUAAAUCUAAAAAAAUGACAAACAAACAAUGAAAUAAACGACAACAAACUGGCAAUUUUGAUACAAAGCCAACAAAUAUUAAAAUUUAGAACAUUUUGUUUUCUUGCUUUCUUUUGUUGGAGGAUUAGAGAUUUUGGUAUUACCCGAAAGGUUUCAAGGGUCUGAGUAGAAACCUAUAAUCUUUUUAAAAACUUUUUUUUAAAAAAUUUUUUUUGGGGAAAAGGAUGCAAAUUAACCAAAGGAAAUAAUAAGAGCACAGGCUUUAUCAAUGAACAAAAACUUAAAACUCAUGCAAAAUAAUUCAAUAUUAAAACAAAUCACUGAGGAAUAUUUAAGAACAACUUGAAAGAGCAAAAAGAUCACUGAGGAAUGUGUGAGAAAAGAGUUGACGAGAGAAAUAACAAUGACUUGCAGAAGAAAAACCAUUAAUAAUUAUGUGCAUUUUUAUUUUAUUUUUAUCCGCAUGCACUUUAAUGAUUAGUGCUCCUUUCAUAAAGCAGCUACCGGAAACACACAAAUAUCAUUUGAGAGAGAAACUAAACAGCAAAUCAUCAAAGUAAGAUCAAUAAUAUAUUAUUUGGUUAAUGCAUAUUCAAGAACAAAAACAAAAAUAAAUAAAUAAAUAAAGAAGGUUUGAUUUUGUAUUGCCAACGCUGCUUUUUUGUUAUUUCAUUUGUUCUUUCCACAAAUGAUGCUUGGUUAUAAUUAAGUUUCACAUGGCCAUUACUUACAAACUGUGUUUGUGUUAACAGAAACAUGAAAUUCACAUCACACAAAAUUGCACUAUCAAUUCUUAAUAGAACAUAAUAAUAAUUACUCAACGCAUAAGGGUAAAUUUAGAAUUACAUUUUCUCAAUGCAGAAGGGUAAAUUUAGAAUUACAUUUUCUGAUUCUUUUUUAUUUAAUAAAACCCCAAUGGAAAAUCAUAAAAAUUUAGAUAUAUAAAUUUUCUCCACCAAACAAGAAAAAAAAAGGGGGAAUGAAAACACAGGAUUUAUUUUACCUCUCUUUCAUCUUAACUCUUUUUCAGGCAAACCAAAACAAAAAAAUUUCAAUAAAGAGCUAGUUGUUGAAAUUGAUUUAUCUUGUUUUUCAGGCUAUCUUGUGACGUGACGAUAGAUAAUGCUCGUGAAUGCUAGAAAAUUUCUAAUGCAAACAACUCAAUUUGGGAUGAUAAGCUUAAUUUUGCAAAUGACGAAUGUAAAUAACUUGUUUUGAUUAAUUGAAUUUGUAAUACUCUUACCCUAUUCUAAAAUUUGGAGGUUGCUUGAGAAAAAAGGGUAUUUCUCACUCAUCUUCAAUCCUCAAGUAAAAUUAGGUAAAAAUCAAAUCUAAAAAAUCACAAACAAAUUAACAAAAAAAAAAAAAAAAACAACAACAUUGAUCUUGAGACAAGUGAUAUUUAAACAGAGAAUUCUUUAUUCUUUUUUACUUCCCCCUCCCCCCCCGGGGGGCUCGAGGAUUAAAGUCUUGCUAUUAACAGAGAGGUUUUAAGAGUCUGGAUAAAACCCGUGCUUUUUUAAAAAACCACUUUUUUUUUUCUUUUCUCUUUUUUUUGGGAAGAUAGAUUCAAAUUAACCAAAGCUAGUAAUAAGAGCACAUACCUUACAAAUGAACAAUAACUUACAACUCAAGCAACAUAAAUGAUAAGAUUAAAACAAACCGGAGAAAUUUUUCUUGGAAAAUAGACGGAAAUUAAAUAAGAACUGCUGUUAAAAGAAAUUAUUAGAGGAUUUAGGAGCAUGUGUACCUCUUUAAUUAUUUGGGAUCAGAGAGUUGAUGAGCUCUCUAUUCGCCUUUAAUAUUGAGUAAGAACUGGUAUUAAAAGAAAUUAUUAAGAACAAUAUUUCAGUGAGCAAAAGAUCACUGUUAACUGCAGAGGAAUUUGCGAGUAAAAAUUAAGCUGAAAAGAGCAGUAACAAUGAAUUGCAAAAGAAGGAGACUUAAUCAAGCACCCCUUUUAUACCCGAUUUUUAAGAUUUAAUUUUGAAGUUCCCAAUCAAGAACAAAGACGAAGCUUUAAUGAAGCAUGCAGUGAGAUACAAGAAAUGGAUCGGGCAAAAUACCUUACGAAGCGUUUCAUAUUUUCUAAUGAAAUAAUUAAGUUGAAGUUUUCGACGAAUAAAUACUUGUUGUGCUUGAAUAAUUUUGGCAUAUACAUUACUUGUAUCCGGCGAAAUUGAAAAGCACAUUCAUUUACAGAGCUUGUUAGUAGGGAAAAGCUUCGUAAGAUGCCUGAUAAAAGAUAAAGCAAAAGCUUGAAUGAAGAAUGACAUUUUAGAAAGAAACUAAAGUGCAAUCAUCAAAGUAGGAUCAAUAGUGACUUGAUCAGUUAUGCUUUUUGUUAUUUCAAUUGUUCUGUCCACAAAUGAUGCUUCGUUAUUACUAAUUCCACAUGGACAUUAUUUAGAAACUGAUCUUAUGUUUAACAGAAAAAUAAAAACUCGUCAUCAUAAGCAUUCUUGGUUGUCCUAAACCAGAAGUAGGUGUUUUGCCUGAAAGUACCACUUUGCUAGCAAAUCUAGUGGGUAUACUGAAUAAAUUUUUACAUUAUUCUAUUUGAUCUCUCUGUCUUUAUCCUAAGCAUUCUUGGUUGGGAUCGCUGCAUUGUCCUGUAAUCUGUGUGACUUAGUGAAAAGAGGAAUGGGUAACUGUGGUUAUGGGUACGUGAGAGGUAACGAUGAGGGUAGAUUGUUAAUUUUGAGGAGCGAUUUGCUUGCAUAAUUCAAUGCAUGGACAGAAAUGUCCCUGACCAAAAAAAGGGACCAUCCAUAUCUGAAUCUGAGCAUCAGAGCUUGACUUAUUUGAUAAAUAGAUAUACUUGAACUGUUUUUGCAUAAUAACUAAAAUAUUUAUUUUUAUAUAUUCGAUAAACGAGCUCACUAUUGAUAGAACUUAUUAGAUACUACAACUCAAAUAACUUCUUGUGCUUGAUUGAGGUUUUUAUAUAUUCGUAUGUUUGAGUUUUUUUUUUUUUUUUACUUUCUAAGAAUUAACUUCUACCUUGAUUCUAAAAAAAAAUAUAUAAUUUUACAAAUAAUUUAGUUCGGCAUUUGGUAAAUGAUAACUAUUUGAGAAUAAGUUUUAAAAUGGUUUACUGUACAAAUCUGGUAAAUGAAAAUUAAAAGUGUAAAAUGUUCACAUAAUGAAAAUUAAAAGUGUAAAAUGUUCACUUGCAAUGACAACAAAUACUUAUUUACUUAUUUGUAAUUUAUUUUGAAUAUUAUUGUUUAAAUCAUUUUUUUUACUUACCAGAUUUUUUAAGAGCAUUCUAUUUUCUUUAUUACAUAGUUAAAUAAUUUUUUAUUAGCUAUUUUAUUUUGCAAUAAAAUUAACUUCAAUAUUUUUUUAACUAAAAAUUUUGUUAUGUAGUUCGUGAUAUAACAAAUACUAACAUAUCAUUAAAUUGAUUAAUAAAUUAAGUGCAAAAAAGAAAAUGCAGAAAUUUAAUCUUUAUAUAAACUUUUAUGUACAUAAAAUCAUUGUAAUCAAACUAGUUCAUAGAAAUAUAAUAUUAUAUACAUGUGUGUAAAAAAAACAUAUGACCAUAAUAUUAUCCACUCAUUAAACUUGCUGCACUAUUAUUUCUCAAUCUCUCCAUCUCUCGACCUUCAAGAACAUUACUACCAUAAUCUUCUUCUUGAAUUCAACCUCCAUUUCCUCAUCAUCAACAAUGCGACCAAUUUGCCUUGAUAGCCUUUCAACUCCUCCCACUUUCCUCCCUUUUUGCAGACACUCUUUUUCUUUUUCUUUUUCUUCUUUAAUAGCUUCAAUGGGAACAACCUCAUCUAACGACAAGUCCAUUCUUCAACUAGAAUAGAGUUGGUAGUAGAUAUUUUAGUACUCUCAAACUAUGCCCAAACAGGGUCACCAAUGAUUGUCGUAUUAAAAGACAUUCUAUUUAAUUUUCCUCUAACUCUGGGUCGAUACCUUUUAUGCAAAAUCUAUUUACUUCAGGAAUUUUCUACACAUGUCGAUAGCAUAUUAAAGUGAAUUCAGAUCCUAUAUUAUUGACAUUAAAAUUUAGCCGAAUAGUAAAAAAUUUCCCUUUUUGUUUGUCACACAGCCAUAUAGUCCCAUUUUUGGUUAUAAGCUCACAAUAUGCAAGGGAAAUGAAGAUCUAUUAAAACUUCCCCAUAAUGUUCAUUUUGUUGCUCGGAGGAAUAUAACUACCUAUUAAUUAAUUAGCAAGAAUUGCGUUGCGAGUCCAUGUUUUUGUCGUUUGGAUGGAGGAUGUGCUAUCUUUUUGUUGUAGAUGCUUUGUAAGGCUUUUGAUUUAAUGAUUUAAUGCAGUCAAUUAACAAAAGCUUACAUAUAGUAUUAUGUAGUUGCUGAGAUGUCUGUUCUUGAUAAAGUCGAUUUAUUUACACCCAAGCCAACGGAAUCAAAGCCUUUUCGUUAAUAAUAUACACGGUAAUUGUUUUUGUUAAAUUGAUUUCUAGCUAACAAGAUCUUUGAAAGCAUUUAGGUAGCGUUUACAUUUUAUGUUGGAGUGAGAAUCAUGAGGAGUGAGAAUCCUGGGAUUAGAAGUGUGGAGUGGGAGUCGAAGUAUGUUGUUUACUUACACUGGAAUGGAAGUAUGGAAUUGAAAUCAGAAUCCAAUUUAUUUGUUUACAUUGUCUUGGAUUGGGAGUAAAUGAUUUUAAAUUACAACUUUACUCUUAAAAAAUUAUAGUUAUUACUUACAAAAUUAAUAAAAAUUAUAUUUAAAAAAUAAAAUAUUUAUUUUAUUAUAUUUUUAAAAUAAUAAUAAUAAUUAAUAUUCUUAACUAUGUAAAUCAAAAUUAUUUUAUUAAUUUAAAUUUAAAUUAUAUAAAUAAAAAAUUAUUAAUAACAACAACACAAAUGAAACAUUAUUAUUGUACAAAAUUGAUUUUUAGAAUAAAAUAUUUAUUAUUAUUAAUCACUAAUAUUAAAUAAAUAUAAUAGUAUUAUUUUUAAAUAAGUAUAAUAAUAUUAUAUUUUCAAAUAAAAAUAGAAUAUAGUAAUAUUAUUAAUUCUUUAUGAAUAUAAUAAUAUAAUUUUUAAGUAAUUUUAAAUUAGAAUCAAUAUAAAUUAUUAUUUUUAACCAAAAAAUUAAUAUUAUUUUCAAUAUGUUUAAUAUUAUUAUUUUUAAUAAAUGUAAUUUAUAAAAUAAUAUAAUAAUUUAAUUUAAAUAAAUAUGAUAUUAUUUAUUUUAUUUUAUUAAAUAUAAAGGUAAAAAAUGAAGAGAGGCGAGUGAAUUCCCACUCCCACCUUGCCCCAUGAGAGUGGGAAUCCCAUUCAGUCACUCCAAAGUUAGGUGGGAUCCACAGAGUGGAAUUCUCACUCUCCCUUUGAAAAUUGUAAGUAAACACUAGAGUAAAAGAAAUCCACACUCCUCACUCUCACUCCAAAAAGUACACACUACAUUGAAGAAGCCAUUGACUCAUAAGAAAGCCAUGAUUAAAUACAAGGCGAAGCAUGUGAGCUCGUUUUUCAAUCUCUUUGAUCACUCAUAAGUUUUUCUAUACCACUCACUAUAUCAUCCUUUUAAGUCAAUUUUGACUGAUCAUCAGAGAUCAUGCACCCCACCUUGAGAUGAUUGAUCACCAAUUUGGCAUUGUAACAUUGAUCACCUCUAAUUGGCCAAGCUAAAAUUGGGACCCCAAAACCAAUUGCUUCUACAGUUGAAUUUUAUCCACAGUGAGAUAAAAAUCCACCUGUUAAUUGAUAACUCAGUAUCAAUAAUUGUGGUGCCAUUCCAUCUAUUAUCAAACCCUUUUUACUGGCUCUACUAUCUAAACCACUACGAAAAUAAGCUGGUUAAAUGACGUAGAGGAUCCAAUCUAUUUACAUAAGUUUGAAUUACCUAAAUAAUCGGUGGAUUUGAUGCUUAUAAAUCAGAGGGAAUUGCAGCAGAUACACCUUCAUACUUUAAAAAUUACCUCAAUACCUUAAAAUUUGAUUUUUCCAAAAUUUUCAUCAAUAUCCUUUAAAAGCUGAUAGGAAAUGACUAAGUUAUCCUCGUUUUAAAACACUUCAACUCAACUGGCAGCACCUCUCCCUCCCUCUACUCAAACAAACAAACACUCAUAUAUGCUACAAUUCCCUCCACUACCUUUACUCAAACAAACAAACAUUCAUUCUCCAUACAUGCUAAAUCGAACUUCAACACGAGCAAAUUGAGCUGAGAAAGGGAAGCUGCUACAACUGAGAAAGAGAAGCCUAGUUCGUCGCUACAUAAUCGCCAGCGAGAGUUGAUCCUUUAUUGCAAAAUGGUCAGAAUGUAACUAGUUGAGGUAAGUAAUUCCCUAUAAUUUGUUUUCUUGUUGAUAUUCAAGGGAAAAAACAAAAAGUUAGGGUUUUAUAUUGAAAAAAUAAUUAAUUAGUUGCGGGUCUCUCAUAACAUGUUCGAAAACACAUUUCUAGUUGUUUUGUUGCAUGCAAAUUGUGAAAAAUUAAUGGAUUGUGCCGAUUAUAAUUUUUUCAUGUAACACACGAUUUGGUCAUGUAAGGUUAUGUAAGAUUCAAGGUUGUGUAUUACACGACCUUCAUGUAUUGCACGAUUACAUGACCUUCAUAUAUUGCACGAUUACACGAGCUUUAUGUAUUACACAAUUACAUGACCUUCAAUUCCAGAUUGAGGAGUAAAAAGUUUAUCAUCUCUCCAGGUGUGUUCUGUAAUUUAAUUUUUUGUUUCUUGUCGAUAGAAUAUACACAUUACAUUUAGUUUAAUUAGGCUCACAAUUGGGGACAAUAAAUUGGAAUGGUACAUAUGCCUUUACCUUGUGGAAUGUCAUUACUUAGAGAGAUCCUUAAUUUGCAAUUAUAAGCCAUGGUAAGUCAUGGUAUGUCUAGUUAUGAGUGGAAACACUUUGAUCAUUGCGAAUGGUGUUCUUAUGUGUAUAACAUUACAUUAAUUUCCUAUAGUUAAUUUUUUUUCCUAAUUGAUUUCAUGGAUUAAUUAUAUGCAGGCAUUCCUCAUGUAUGCAUGUAUGUUUGGGCAGAGGAAGAAAGCACUUUGAAGAUUAAAAAAGCUUUUUAAAUGGUUGUACUAUGUUUAAUAGCGAUGUUCAUUAGUGUAUCAUAUCCAAAUAUUGAAAAAUUUGUACACUGAUAACUUUGUUUAUUUAUACUAAUUAAUCUAAUCAUUUCUCAAACUGUCGGAUGUUCAAAUUUAGUUUUUUUUUUCUGCAAUUUAUGAACACACGAUUUGGUCGUUUAAGGUCAUGUAACAUAGGAUUCAAGGUCGUGUAAUAUACUCAUGUAUACAUGACCCUCAGUCGUCUAUGACAUGACUUUGUAUAUUAUUACGCGAUCUUGAAUCAUGUGUUACGAGUCUUUCAUGACCUUCAGUUAUAUAUUACACGACUUUCAUGUACUACACGACUUUAUGUAUUACAUGACUUUAUAUAUUGCGCGAUUAUACAGCCUCCAUGUAUUACACGACCUUAAAAUUACACGAAAUUUUCCAUUAAUCAUUAGAUUAAUUUAGUUCAUUAAAGACUUAAUUUGUGCUAAGAAUUUAUAUUUGCUGCUAUGCAGAAAAUGUCAACGAAAAUUAUUAAAAAAAAGAAGUGAAAUUAAAUUGGAAUCUAAAAAAAUUCCACAUCAUCAUUGGUUUGAAUUGUAAGUGGUGGCAUAGGAUCAGAUGUCUUAAGCUUGAACUUCAUUGUGAUUUCGAAUUCCGAAGUAUCUAUAUCAAUAAAUUGAGCUAAUCUUCACCAAUCCGGCAUAUGUUGUCGAUCGUGGUAUCAUUAUCCCUUUAGCCUUGGAACCUUUGAACUUAUACUCAUCAUUUUGGUCAAUCCAUUCACCAUUGAAGAGAAUAGGUACACGUACCAAAACCAUAUCUGAUGAUACAAUAAAAACAAUAAUAUCAAAUUUCAUAUACAAGUAACUACACGACCUACAUGACUACAUUACUUACAUGACUUACACGACCUACAUGACUAUAUUACUUACAUGACCCACAUGACUUACACGACUAUAUUACUUACACGACCUACAUGACUAACUACAUGACGUGCACGGUAUCAAAAGGAAUGCACGACGCAAAACAUUUUCACCAUAAAUAAAUUAUAUUGCUGAAAAAAAUAAUUAAACAACCUACAUUGCAUAUAAUUCUACAUAUAAGAAAAAAUGGUGAAAAUACAACAUUAUAGAGUGAGGAAAUUUUCUAAAUUUUCCUAAAAAUUAAAAAAAAAUUAAAACCCAACAACAUUAACAUAUCUUAUUGGGUUGUUUAAUGAGCAAUGCACCUAAUUUCAGUUAAAGAAAGAGUGGGUGUUAAAGAAAUGAAUAUAUAAUUGUAUUUGUGUAAGAAGUUAUGAGAGAUUUUGAGAGAUUCUAGGAGAUUUUGAGAAAAUUUCGGCAGCAAGAAAAGAUUUGGGUGAAAGAAAUAUGAAGACAAUGAAGUUGAGUGAAUUUGAUGCAUUCAUUAAGGACAUUUCAAACUUUACUUACAUUUAUUAGGGUAUCCAUGAAAACAAAAAAGGGAGGGGAUAUUUAAAUAAUUUUGAAACUAUUAAAGGGUAUUUAAUUAAAAAACCCUCUAAAUCAUUGGCUAAUGUUGAAUAAUUAUUUAAGGUAGGACCCAACAUGUAUAACACAGAUCCAUAUGAUUUCAAAUCUAAUCAUUUAAUGAUCUCAUCUUCGGUCAUGUUAGAACUCCGCCGGUUGGUUCUCAUCUCACAAUCACGAAGCACUGAACCGGCCGAUUUGUAAAAUUGUUUAGGUAACAAUGGGCCCACUCCCCACACUGGCAUCAACACCAUCGAUCCCUCCACUUGCUUCAUCCAGUGUGGUUGAUCACUCGGUUCUGAUGGACCUAUUUUCUCUGAACCGGGUGCACCUCACAAAGGUUGUGGACCACCAGGAAGGGACCCGUGAGGCCUGCGUUUAAGAUCCGAUUCGAAUAAAGCAAUAUCCUUGGGUAACCCAAGAAGUAAACGGGCCUCUCCCGGUUUGACAUCCUGGAUGCGAGCCUGCCACAUGGCACACUCUACAGCUGCUGAGCAAGCAUCAGAAGUGAAGAACCCAACAAUGGGAACUUCAAAAUUCUUGAAAACAUCAGCCGUCCAGCCCAUCAUAACGCCGAUGACUACGCAAACAGGUCGGCUUUCGGGUUCCCGGGUUGAAAGGAGGUUUCGAAGGCCUUGAAGCAUAUGGCUGUGCAUGACAACAUGGUGGUGAGAAGGAGGUGAUGGUAGUGGUUGAGAUGGGAGGGUAUUUCGGUAAUUUCACAUAGAGGGUAUUGGUGAAGAGAGGAAGGGGUGAUGCUGGUGGUGGAAACGUGAGAGGGAAUAAUGAGGGUAGAUUUGUAAUUACGAGAAGCAAUUUGCUUGCAUAAUUCAAUGCAUGGAAACAGAUGUCCCUGACCGAAGAACGGGACAAUCCAAAUCUCAGCCUCAGCAGCAUUCGCAACAGAGCUUGACAUCUUUUAUGAAUUAUUUGAGACUUAAUUGUUAUUGACUGCUUUUGCCAUCUUUCAUAAAACAUUCUUUGUUAUAUAUUCAAGUAAAUAAAUUUAUCGUUUAAAAUUAAUUUUUCAUGUGGUAAAAGCAAUACUAAAUAUGGGGUGGAGAGAAUAAUUUGUAGGGCAUACCCCCACCAUUUAUUUAAUUUCAUUAAAAAAGAAAGAAAAGAAAUAAAGGCUUGUUCAACAUUCAAUUAAAAUUAACAAUUCCAUGAUAAAAUUACUUGAGAAUAAAAAUUUUUAAAAAAAAAGUAACUCAAAAACGAGGAAUUUUUGAGUAACUGAAGAACCAUAGAUGUUUUUUGGUCAUGAGCAAUUUUUGAGUUGAGACAGAACUUGUAUAAAAAAAUAGUUUUGAAAACUUCUUUUCUUUUUUCGUAAAUAUAGAUAUAAAAUUUUAAAAUCACCAAACACAAAACCAGGAAAAUGGAAGGAGAGCCCCUGUUUCUCCUCUGUUGCAAGAACAAAUUCGGUUUCUACAGUUGUACCUUCUAAAUGCACCAUUUGUAUUGCUUUGUCUCCACUUGAGCUAACGGAAUUUGAUGAAAACAAAAUAGAUAUGAGUGGUGCUAUUCACAGCCCUCAAUAAUUCUCUCAAAACCCCUUUUCUAAUUAUACCCCGUUGAAUAAGUUCAAGACCAACUUUUCCUCUUAUAACACCACCUUCAAUUCCGUUAAUACCCUUGUUCGCUAUGAAAAUGAGGAAAAUGCCUACAUAAAAAGCUGGCUCUGAUAAUCUACCUGAAUUUACAUUAGAAAAGAGUGGACUUUGAGAAAUAAGAAGACAAUAUAGGGAAUUUUACCAAAAUAAUCCAUUUUUAUAUACAGGGAAUGGUAUUUUCUGAUAUAGGGAGGAGUGGAGAAAUUAAAUUCAGCAAAAUAAAGAACCUCCAUCGAGAAGUAAAAAUGAUGAUAUCUUUGUCGUGAAGAGAUUUCUGCCUCAUACAAAUUUUUUAUUCUAGAAUGCUUGAAACCGAAAAGUUCUGUAGUUGUUUCAAUUCAAUUGCAUACAUUGACGAAACAUUAAAUACGGAAAAAAACAAAAAAGAAAUAAUAGGACAGGGGGAUUUCGAGAAGUUCUAAAGAGAGAAAUCUAUUUAUAAGCAUUGAAAAUUAGCUCAUUAAAUUUGACAGAAUAAUAUACAAUCUCACUGUUGGCCAGAAAAUAAUAGUAAGAACUUGUGAACAUAUAUAAUCAAUUGUUUAUUACUUAAGCUCUUUUUCUUCGUUAUUUUGAAUGGGUGCAAAGAAGAGAAGUUUUGUACCCAAAUUCCAACUCGAAUUGUGUAGGCUGCUUGCAAGAGCUUCAUUAGAUUUUUAUUUGUCUUUUAAUAGUGCUUCUCGACAAAUACAGCUAGCUAUCUGUCCUUUUUGUUACUGGACUAUAGAUCAAUUGACAGUUGAAGUUAUAUUAAUUUGUUGUGCUGGAAUUGAAGCUUGUAUCUUAGCCAUUUGGUGAAGUGUCAAAUAUAUUUUUAAUUUCCUUAAAAUUGUUCAAAAUAUGUUUACACUUUUAAAGUCACUAUUAUACAUGAGUGCCCUAAAAUUGGAGAAGGCGAUUUGCCUGACAUUACCUGUAUUCGCUUGUAUAGAGAGGACGAUUUAGAUAAGUCGGAACGGAACAACCUUCAUCACAUGCUUCCUCACGUGGUUACUUAAACUGAUAUGUAAAACGUGCUCCAUCCAUGUCGUUUCCACUAAAUCGUUUUCUGUUAAGAAUCAGCUGAGCAGCACGUGAGCUAAUGAAGCUUUUACGGCUUCAAAACGCAGCCGUUUCUGGGAACCAAACUUGAUUCAUCACCUCACAACUACAGAUGAAUUAUCGAAGUGGCUGAUUGGUGCUAUACGUGUUUUUCGUAUUGAACUCAACUCUGCUAUUUUCCCAAAAGCUGGAAAACAGAAACAUCAUCCCUGUGGUUUUAUUUCACCUCAACCUUUUUCUGAUCCCAUUUUCAUUGUAAUUUCUCAUUUACUUUGAGUGAAAGUCAUUGUUGCUUUCGAACGAGGUUUUGCAACUAAAAAGGAAAAGGGGGCGGCUAUAAUACAUGCGUGCAUCUGAUACAUGCACAAAAACUGACCAUUGGAUUAAAUGGAGUGGAUCUAAUGGCUGAGAUUUGUUUUAUUAUUAAGCAAUAAAAAAAUUUGAAACAACCAGAAACCUGUAAAACCGGUCAUUUGGUUUAAGUUAAAAAUAUAUAAAUGAAAAUAACAAAAAAACCCACCACUCCCCCGCCUCACACGCGCCUCACCGCUCCCCGCUCCCUCGCCUCACCUCUCUUCUUGUUCCACGGCCAUCAACGGCGGCACGAGUCGGCGACGAUCGACUGCGGCUGUAAAUUGACCACGAUCAUCUCUCUCUCUCGGCUUGCUCAAAUUUGGCCGAUCUGUGCGCUUGCUUAAGCUUGGCCGAUCUAUGCUUGCUCGAUUACUCUUCCUAUCUUCAGUCAGAGUCAACUGUUUGACAAGAGUCGAAGUCCAAGGUUCUUUUUUACAGGAUUUGAGCUAUUCCUUUUAUUCUUCUUGCAUGUUCACUGAUAUGAAGCUUUGAUGUGGUGUUCUGAUAGCGGGUGGAAUUUGAGAUUCUCCUUUCUUCUCUAUAUGAAGGUGCUUGUCAUGUGUCAAGAAAAAUAAAAUUAUUUACCAAAGAUUAUUUUAAGGAGAUUUAUUAUUAUUCGUGGAUCGGGAAGUUUAUUUUGUUUUUUGGUCUCUUAUUUAUUUAUUGUUUUCACGAGGAAAUUGCUGUGCUUUUGGAAAUUAAUAUGCUGUGUUGUCAAUGUUGUGUGAAAUCCUUUUAUUGGUGUCUAUGUAAAGUGUUUCAGAUUUCAGACCUGAGAGUUAAUCUUCGCGUACCAGUUGGCUUUUGGGUUUAGUAUUGCUACUUUUAACAUAAUUGACCUAUGGCCCAAAUCAUUUCUAUAGGGCGAAGCAUAUGAAUGAUACAUAUUAUCUUUUUUUGGCCUUAUGUAUUGUUAUUUGCAGUGUGAUUUGGUCUAGCUUAAGAGCUUAAGCUUGCAGGUUGGAUUUGUCUGACAGGGAACAAUUUAAUUUGCUCAUCGUGAUGUUUAUAUCCAUUUUGUACUACUAUCAAUUUCAAUCAUGCCUAAUUUUUAUAUGUAUUUCUCGUGGACUCUCAGGUUCAGUGCACAAGAGGAUGAAGACGAUGGACACCCAAAUUUGAUGUGGAGAACAACUAUUGCAAAUGGUCCUUGAUUUACUUCUCCAAUUGACUUGAAUUGGUUUGACGCAAUUUAUAGUGUAUUUUUGUCAUCUUUGUACGACUAGCAGGUCGUCCUGAUUUGGUACAUGACUGGACACAGGAAUUGGACUCAUAUUUUUCAAACCAGAAUGCCAACAAUCAAGCAUUUUCUUUUGAAAGCACUGGCGUCUUCUUCAAUGCCAAAAAGGUUAGAGAUUUUCUGUAUCUUGUUUUGUAUUUAAUCAGUUUAGCAUGUGGGUGGCAAUCAAGAAAAGUUAUUAUAACAUUUUUGUGUUCCCGAAAAACUGCUGAUGAUGUGUAGUGCAGGAAAUGAAUUGUUUUUGACUUCUUUUUAUUUGUAUUCUUUCUUUUUUCUUUUCUCCCCAACAGGAUUAUGCAUUUCUGAAGAGCUUCUUGAAGUUGAUUACCAUGUAUGCCACUUUCUUUACUCUAUGCUCAGGAUGUGAUUUUGCCAAGCAUUAAAAUGGUUUAGGUCAGAACCAUCAUCUAAAGUUUACUUAAUGCAGCCGAGAAGCUGUAGUAGAGCAAGGAAGGCUGUUGGUGUUAUGAAGGCCAGCUGUGAAGAAAUAUUUGAACUUGUAAUGAGCAUGGAUGGGACACGAUACGAGUAUGCUUCUUUUCUAUUUUUUAUUUUUAGUUACUUUAACAUAAUCAAGACUAUAUUGGCUGUCUCUGUAAGCUGAGUAUUAUAUUUCCUCUUGCAUGCUGUGAAAUUCACAUUGUCUCCAGUCCCGAUUCUGUAUGUGCCUUUUUGAAUAUAUUUAAUUAAUCUGCAUGGUGCUUUCUAAAGAUUAUUACAAACUUUUGUUGCUUAAGUAUAUGAAGAAUGUAGAAAUGAAAACAGCUUUUGAAGUUUGAUGGAUUGCUUCAUUAAUAAAGAAAGACUAGGACUCAUUUUUAUAACUUUUCUCCACUUAGCUAAUGGUAUUUGAUGAAGACAAAAUAGAUGUAGCUAUCUAUAUUUUUUGUUGCUGAACUAUAGAUCAAUUGACGGUUGAAGUUAGUUAUAUUAAUUUGUUGUACUAGAAUUAAAGCUUGUAUCUUAGCCAUUUCAUGAAGUGUCAAAUACGUUCUUUCCUUUUUUUUUUUUUUUUUCAAAACAUGUUACACUUUUGAAGUCACUAUUACAUAAAAGAGUGUUCUAAAACAGGAGAAGGCGUGCUGCCUGAAAUUACCUGUUUCCUAGCAAAUCUAGCUGGUUUGCGAAUUAGAUUUUAACAAGUCUCUUGGCAAGGUUUGCUAGUAAUGUGUUCAAAUUAUUCUAUUUAAUUUUACUGUCUGUACCCUAAUAAUUCUUGGUUUGCACCAUUGCAUUGUUCCAUAAUCUCUGUGCGUUGGCUUAUAAAGGCCAGCAAGGCUGAUCAUUUGUCGAAUAGUUAUUUCCAUGAAAUUCCUAUCAAUUUGACUCAGUAUUUAGAGGUCUUGAAGAGGGCAGUGUACUAGACAUGGAUUUCUACCUCUUUUGGUUGUACAAUUGUUGUAUUUCUUGGCCAUCAGAUCUUUUUAAUGUACCUUUCUCAAAGUUCAUGCCGCACGUACACCGUUUUUCAUGUUUUGUGCAUGUGGGAUUGUAGUCUUCUGUAUCGCAGCUUAGUUGAAGAGGUAGAUGGUCAUACGGCUAUUCUCUAUCAUAGGCUUCAGCUGGACUGGUUUCCAAUGUAAUAGUCUCUUGAUUCAAUCAUCUCAUUUAUGCUUUGGUCAGAAUAGAACAUUUAUUGUUUCCUUCUUUCCCCUUUCCUCUCUUCUGAUGUAAUAUGUGAGGAAAUUACCUAAAAUUUCUGUAUCCCAAUGUAAUUGUUGGAAUUCAGAAAUAAAAUAAAUACACCGUCUUGUUUUUCCCUCGGUUCAGUCCCAAGUUCUCUUUGGGCCUUCUGCAAGUUUUUAAACAUACUGUGACAGUAAAAAAUCUAGUGAUUGAGAUCAUUUUGAUGAAUUUAAUUUUAAUUCUUAGCUGAUACUUUUUCUGGAAUUUUUUUCUUAUGUUUCCUCAAUAUGACUUAAAUAUAGGGCUUAGUUUGGUUUAGAAGUUCAUCUAAAACCUUCUCCUUGAUUCCAAAAAAAUUCUCUAGAAAGGUCUCAGAUGGAUUUUAGGGGAGUUUUGUGGCAAAUUUGAAAAGUUCAGGGGAAGGGUCUAAUGAAUUUUAAAACCACAUGGGUUAUCUGUUUUAUUCAGAGGAUAGUGGAAUUCCCUGAAAUUUAUCAUUUUUAUUUAAAUAAUCUUCCUACUUUCCUCUGCAGAAUUUAUUUAUAUAUAUGAAUUCAUUUGGUUGCAGGUUUGUUUGGCCCCGCGGCCUUUGUUAAGUGCGUUAUUGGCGUUGAAAUGACGCUGCGAGUUAUGGUAAGGUUCUUGCUUCCCCACUUCUUGAAAUUAAAUCUAUCUUUUCUGGCACUAGAAGUUUCCAUAAGCUGUGUUUUGUUAUCGCGCAGUUGUGUUAUUUCAUUCUAGGGAGCAUAUGAACUGUGGUCCACAACCCGGAUAUGUACGAGCUCACAUGGAGAGUUAGUUUUCUGUCCUUUACUUUGGUUGAUGUAGAGAAUUAACAAGUGACUAAGUCAUGCCAAGUUGCACCACUUGCUUCCUGUAUUCUGAUUUCUCAGGUGGUGGAUUCAACAUUUCCCCACUAAAACCUCAAAAUGGUAGGCCCAGAACACAAGUACAGCAUCUUAUGCAGAUUGAUCUAAAAGGGUGGGGUGUUGGUUAUGUGUCAAUGUUUAGCAACACUGUCUUCUGCAGAUGUUAAAUAGCAUUGCUGGUAAGUUUCUUGCUUUCACAUUUUAUUUUGCGCUGUUAUGGGUUAAUAUGUUUCUGUUGGGUGGCCAUUUUAAGUCAUAUUUUUACGUGUUACUGUAUUUUCUUCAGUCCUUUUAUAGGGAACACACACAUACACGUAUGUAGAGUCACCUUUUAAUGAGGGAUCUACCAUUUUAAUGAAAUGAGGAAUGAGCUAAAAGAUAAAAAAUUCACGAACUCCAAUGCAAUAUGUGUGUGUGCGCGUGUACACCUUUUCUAACUCUUGUUCUUAGUUAGAUAUUUUUUGGGAUUUCAGGCAAAUGAAAAAAGAGAUUAAGAGAAUGAUUUCAAGAGAACAGGUGGAUAAUAACUUAAAUAUUCAUUUUUAUACAUUUUGUUAAUGUCCUCUUUAAUGGAUUUCUAUGGAAUUAACCUUGUAAUUGGUGUAAUUACGGCAUUGGUGGUUGACAUGGCUUUCCUUGUGCAGGUAUGUAUGAUUGUACUGCAAUUUGCAAAUUUGCAUACUUGAAUGUUCUCAGAAUGGUAUAAUGCUUCGUGUAUGCAGGCAAAUACUACAGAUGAAUUACCGGAGCGGCUGAUUGGAGCUGUACGUGUUUCUUAUAUAGAACUCAAGUCUGCUAUUGUUCCAAAGUUGGAACCAGAGACAUCAUGACUCUGGUUUCAUUUCACCUCAACUGUUUUUUUUUUUAAUUGAAAAAAAAAAAUCAUUUGUUUUAGGUAUACAUACAUGUAUUUUGAUCCCGUUUUCAUUGUAAUUUCUCAUUUACUUUGAAAGAAAGUCAUUGGUGUUUUCGAGUGGGAAUUUUGCAUUAAAAAAUAAAGAAUACUUAAUAGGAAAUUUCAUAAUUCUUUAGUUACUAUUUUUGGAAUGUGUGUAAUAGUAUUAAAGUUGGUUUCUACUCGCAAACAAGUGAACUACUCGAUCCCCAACUGCGACCACGCUAGUUGUCAUUUAAAACUCAACAACUAACAAAAAUACUAAUAAAAAAAUGAUUUUCUUAUAUUGCUGUGAAAACAUUUAUGGGUUCAUUUAUUUCCACAAGAUCUAUAAUUUGGUCUUGACUUUACGAAAUUCUUUUAAUUUAAAGGGUUUUGGUCUGAGAAAGUCAGUUUGACGGAUUAAUUCUUUUUAAUAAUGGUCGAGUUAAUUUUACUAUACUCAUAAAACUAUUUUUAUUCUGAUAAUGCCACAAAUGUUAUGAUGUUUUCUUCAGCUAAUGAUCUUCUAUCAGGACUAGUUAGAAAUCAAAUGCUUAAAACACCGAUUGAAUGUAUAAUGCAGAAGUUUAAACAGUACCUAAUUGAAAAUUGCAUGAAACAUGAAACAUCAAUUCAAGUCCUUCCUUAAACAGAGAAUGCAUCAAACAAAUCCAAAGUGUCUUGCAAGUCUGUAGCAUGACAAAAAAGUUGUAAAUGCGUUUGGAACCAAAUUCUUCAAGUACAGGAGAACGAGCAAGUUGAAUUAUGUACAAGAGAUUGGCCUGGUUCGAGAUAGCUUCUUCACUGUACCUGAAGGAUUGGCUCAAUCUUUUCUUUAGAAUUCUGCACAUUUUGUAAUUACUCGUGUAAGCAAGCAUACAUUACAACCAUAAUAAUAAUAAAGCAAGAGUAAUGAUACGACCACCACCUUUUGUACACAAACAAUAUUGUAUAAACUAAUGCGACAUAAUAUGAUUGGUUAAACAAAAACAUUACAUGGCCCUCAUAAUUUAUUUAUUUAUUUAUUUAUUAUUAUUAUUAUUAUUAUUAUUAUAUAUUUUCAGUCAACCAAUCAUAUUAUAUCACAUUAGUUUCUAUAAAAUAAUUUGCUAAAUAGCACCAAAACUUAAUUGAUACUCACCAUUUCAUUGAACAAUUUUUUUAUGGUGUCAUUGAGGUUGCCUUCCCAACAUCCUUCAUCAUCAUCAUCUUCUUCAUCAUCAUCUUUUUCUUCUUCGGUGACGUUCACUUUGUUUAGCAUUGGUGUGUCUAAGACUCCUUGAGAGAAGAUCUUCAUUUUUGGACACAGUCUCACAACUACUUGUUUCAAGGACGGGAAUUCAAGAGCGUAAUUACCUAAACAAAAGCUUGUUAGGCUUGGCAAACAGUCAAGUUCCAAGUACCUCAAUUUCCCAAAAACAAUGCAAUCUUCCGUUUCUUCUCCAACCUGCGACUGUAUAAUUUCUUCCAUCAUUUUGCAAUCAACUAUCUUCAUUCUUCCGAGAUUCACUAGAUUUUUAGAUGCUGAGAGCGUCAACACAUUUAUCAACCCGUGACACUUCGAUACUUGUAGUCCCCACAGAUUUUCCAAAUGCCACGAAGGUGGUACUAAUUUUUGCAACUUACUACAUUCCGAUAUUUCUAGCCUUUCCAAGUUUGCAAACACUUUGUUGGAUUCGUCAUUUUCCUUCCAGAGAUGCUGCACUUUGUGUAAUCCAGACAGUCUUAACUUCCUCAAUUGAGGGAAAGCAACCUGAAAAUCAACAAAGUUAAGUUGUAAAAGAAAAUACGUAUCCAAUCUCUGGAGUCUUCACCUGCAUAUUUUAUGGACAAGAUUAAUCACGGCAUUUUAUAUUUUAUUUCCAAAUUAGUAUGCUUUGCAGUAGGAUCCCAAAUAUAAGUAUCAAAUCGAUUACCCUUUGAAACACAUAAAUGAAAUCUAAUGCUAAAUCCAAUAUGAAUUAGCUAGGAAAACAGAGAUGUUACACACAUAAUUAAUAUAGUUCAUCACCUCGUGUUAUCAGGCAUCCAAUUAAUUUCAGUCAUUUUUAUAAUUCAUACUAUAAAGAUAGUUAAUAACUGAGGUUAUAUUGUUAAAUCAUAUAUAAAUUAAGAUGACAUGCAAAAAGAUGAGUCAUUAAAUUUGACUUGAUUCUAAUGAAAUUACAUCUGUGCGAACAAAAGUGAAGGGAAUAAUAAUAAUAAUAAUAAUAAUAAUUACCUUUUCAUCGAAGAGGGGUUGUACUUGAUGAGCCAGCAAGAAGUACUCUUCUAAUGUUAAUUUUUGAGGUUCCUUGUUAUCAGUUGUCACAUGCACUACAGAGUUGGAUAUAAAUGUUUCCAUAUCAGGGCAAUUCUCAAUAGUCAGACUCCACAACAUAGGCAUUUCAAUUAUAUUCCCAGUGAAGUUGCAGAAUCUUUUGAGUUUUGGAAGAUCAAUGAGCGUUAGGCUAAAAAGCCUAGGAAACAGGGGGCCUAUAUGUUCUUUGUCAGCAUUUAGCUCUUCCAAAUGAAGCAUCUCUUCUAGUGAAUCACAAUUCCUCACUUCCAGCCUUGCCAAAUUGUUCAAGCAUCGUAGCAGAUUGGCAGGAAUAGCACUCGACAUAUUGGUGCAGUAAUCCACCUCCAGCUCUGCUAAAUAGUUGAAGAAGCGGACAGGCAGUGCUUGGCCAUGCCAUAUUUCUUUCAAACGUGGAAAAUGUGAGAGUUGCAAAUACUGUAUGUCACGGAAUCCAAUCUGCACAAACCAAAACAAUUGCACUGGAUAUAUAUAAAUACAUUAAACUUACAUGUUUUGUGUUUUAACUUCUAAAACUAUAUAUACAAGGCAGGUGUAUAUGUUCAAAUGUGCAAGUGCAAGGGAGAUGCAUAAGUAAUUUCAACGAAUCGAUUUAACACAUACCAUUUCUUCGUAACACUUUUGUAUAGUGGAAUUAAGGUUGCCUUCCCAACGGCACAAUUCACCCUCUUCCUGUUAAGAAUAGAAUUAGUUAGUUAAUGAGUAUGCUGACAUGGCAGCUGAGUCAGCUAAAGGUUGUUAUAGAGGUUGUUAGUAGUAAACUGUGCGUGUGUGCAAUGUGUGUAGAAUCUUCUAUGCACAUAUAAAAAGGCUUGCAAUUUCCAGAUUCAUUAGAUCAAUAAUAACAGAAUUCUCAGCUUACAGAAGUUUUCUUUCCUCCUAUUUUCUUAGUAACCAAACAACAUCACAGUUUCAUAUAAAACUUAAUACUUCCUUUUUACUCACCUGCACUUCGUGCAGCUUUGGUGUGGAUACGAUUCCCUGAGAAAAAGUCUUCAUGUUCGGGCAACGUGUCAUAGAAACUCGUUCCAAUGAUGGGAAUUCAAGAGUGUAAUUCUCCAAACAAAAGCUGGUAAGCCUUGGUAAAUAAUCAAGUAUCAAAACUUUUAAAUUGCUGAAAGCAAUACGAUUCUCCUUCACUUCUUCUCCAACAUGUCCUAUGAUUUCUUCUAUUUUUUCACAGUAUGAUACAUUAAGAUUCACUAGACUAUUGGGAAUUCCAACCUGAAAAUAAAGAGUAGCAUUCAACUAAAUUCAAAGUAUGUCAAAAUCAUACAAUUGUUUUAUGAAAAAUAACAAACCAUGUCUACUAGAUAUUUUUUGUUAAAGAAAAAAGGAAAAAAAUUAAAACAAAAAUAAAUAAAUAGAAGUCCAGAAAAACAAAGAUAAUGAAAAUGCAUUUACACUAAAACGCUGUAUUUCCCUUUUUUUUUUCCCGAUAUUCAUGCUUUUAAAAAUGGAAAACAUUUCUGGAAAACACUUCCCAACGCCAUCAACAUGGGACUGUUACAGAGUGAAUAUUUGAGGAAAUUUUUUAAUAAACGGUCGAUUCAAAAUGACCAUCAUGAAUUUGUGCUUAAUCAAUGGCGUAAUCAAUUCAUAACUAAACUAGAGAUAUUAACUACAUUUGAACACUUUUCUUUAUUUUAUUUUUAAAAUCGAAAUCUAAAGACCCAAGGAAAAGAGAAAUAUAUAUGAAUUUGUGAACUUAAAAGCUGAGUAACUAAGUAUCUUUUAAUUUCUGAAAAUCUUAUUCAUUAGGAUUUAAGGAAAAAAAACAAUUAAAUUAAAUUAUAUUAUGCUGUUAAAUCGUGUUUAAAAUAAUUAUAUUGUUGACUUUAAUGCAGGUGAACCUAUAAAUUAGAUUGAAAAUGCAGAGUUCAGAAUGGUGAUUUGAAGUACAAUACUUUUUUUCCCUCUAGAAGUUUGAAGUACAAUACUUGCAAUAAAUAAUUUGUGAAUGAAAAUUAUUUGUAAACAAAAAAAUGAUUAAAAUAAUUGUUGAAUGUUAUUUGAAAUAAAAAUUCAAAAUGAAUAUAGCAAUCUUACCAAUGGAGGAAAAAUAUUCAGUAGAUUAUGACACACAGAUAUCUCUAAUUUUUUCAAUUUGCUAAAAGACUUCGAAGCAAGCUGGUGGUGCCAUAUUUUUCUCAACUUAUCCGCCCCACGAAUAUGUAAUACCUCCAGACUUGGGAGUCGUACCUGAAGUUAAAAAUUCAAUGCAAUUAGAGAUGGAUAUUAAUUAAAUUUGAAGACUCAACGAAAGAAGAAAUUAACUAUUAAGAAUAAAAUUAAUUUAAAAAAAAAACCUUUGCAUCAAAGAGAGGUUGAGGUUGCAUUUCAGAAUUAGCUUCUGGUGAGGCAAAGCUACUUAGUUUUGGAAGACCAUCGAGCUGCAGGAAGUGUAGUUUAGGAAAAACCUUAAAUUCAUCUCUUCCUCCUAACCCCGUGGUGUUGACUAUCCCUUCCAUUGACCAACAAUUAAUAAUCUCAAGAUGUCGGAGCUGCCCAAGACUAUUAGCCAUAGAAUAUGAAAACAUAUACUUCAGAGGACAACACCUUGUCACGGUCACUUUUGUUAAAUUUUGACAACAAUACAUUCCCUGAAAUUGAUCGGGCCAUAAUUUUUUGAUGUUUGUUAAACUGACAAGUUCCAGUUCCUCCAAGCGUGGAAAAGUAACCUGCAAAGAAAAACCAUACAUUUUUUUUCCUUCAACUACAACUUCUAAUAUAAUAUUCUUUCGAUGAUUGAAGAUCAAUCGUGAUAAUAUAUUAAUUAAUUAAUUAUUAAACAGAAAAUUAUCACCUGAUCAUCCUCUGCAUUGAUUUCUGUGAAUCCCUGAGUAGUUGUUGGUUUCUCCAUGUCGGGCCCUAUAAAUGAACAAAAACAAUAUAUGAUUAACCUCUGUUGUCCCCUCCCAAAACAAAAAAAAAAAAAGAAUGAGCCAAUGUCAAUAAUCCUACCAAUAAUUAAUUUAAACACUUACCAAUCAUCAUUUUCAAUUUAUUGCAAUUUACCACUUCUACUUUUUGAAGCCCCAAUAGGUUUUUGGCCAUAGAGAAUGAGAAGAGAUACUUCAAUUUUGGACAGGAAUAUACGUAUAUAAUCCUUAAGUUGCUGAAAGAUUGAUCUUCUCUGAGUUGGCUGUAGCAUAUCGUCUCCAAAUUAGUUAAAUUAAUAAGAUCCAAUGAUUCCAGCAAGGGAAAGACUUCGCAACGAACCCGUCUAACUGAACCGACAAUAUGUAAAAUCUCAGAACAACCUGUUACAUGAAGAUGCUGCAAUCGUGGAAAACCUUCCCCAUCGUCUAAUUCAUGAACAACAUUCUGAACACCCGUCAGUGAGUAUAGACGGAGAUCUUCAGUUCUCUUCAGCAACAUUUUCGUCCCAUCAUUCCCCAAAAGAAGGCUAACUUUUUCUGGCCCCUUGAGCACCAUCAAUGUUGAUGUUUUAGAUUCGACGAGUCGUCGGUUAGACAUUUGUCCUAUAAAUAUCUUAUAUCUUUCCAAUUCCAUAGAGACAAAAUCCGGCGGCAGAAUUUCGGAAUCCGAAACAUCUAUCUCCAAAGUAGUUAGAUUUGACAACCCCUUCAACUCGACAAGACUGGCAUUACUUCCUCCUUCAACCUUAUCCCACUGUGAAAAGCUGUUAUGCAUAAACAGUUCUUCUAAUCCAGAUAAUUUUGAUAUGACAUUUGGUGGUAUCAACUCAAGGCUCCAACAAUUGCUCAAAUCUAGCAACUGUAACCGCGUCAAUCGUCCAAUUUCAAGUGGUAACUGCUUGAUAUCGGAAUCUGCAAGGCUGAGAAUCUCUAAUUUCUUUAGCUGUCCAACUAUUGCUAUAUCUUUUAGUCGGCAAUAGUCUAAACGCAAUGUUUGAAGGUUAAUGAGGCAACCAAGUGAUGAAGGUAAUGAAGAGAAUUGAAUUCGAGUAAAAUUCAAAACUUUGAGUCCUUCCGUCCCUUUAAAAAAGUGGUCUGAAACUUGCAUAGAGCCAUCACCCUCCGCAUGCAAUAGCUCAAGACAGGGACAUUGCAACCUUUCAGGAAGCACUUGAAUACCUCCAUAAGGUAAAGAAAUAGCAAUUGGACCUUCCUGUACUGUAUCUUCCAUCUUUUUCUCCAAGUCGGCAACAUUUGGAAUAUUAAACAUGAGCUCCUCUUCUGCAAUUGAUACAGCAACUACACGAAUGACGUCAUGCAUUUUAACUUCAUCUUCAGCAUCACUGUCCAACAAUAAGCAUGAAGAUUUGAGUUUGUCGAUCAACGUAUGCAAUCUCCUCCUUGCUUCUUCCAGUGAGUAAACCUUUUUAAAAUAGUCCAUACCCAUACCAUAUCUCAAUAAGUCUGGAACAGGUAUAGCAUAACCUUUACUAAGUAGACCACAAAGACGGAACAGAGAUUUUGCCUCCGCACUUUCCAGCAAGUUGUAACUCAAUUUUAUGGAGGUGUACACAUUUCUUUCCAUUCCAUCAAUUUCUCUUGCAUCGGAACUUCUUAGCUGAUUCAAUGCAUCCUUCCAAAUGUCAAGAUCCUUAGUUUUCAGAGCUUUUGCAACUGUACUCAGUGCAACAGGCAAUCCUCCGCAUUUUUCAACGAUCUCAUCUGCAGUGGGUUGAAAAGCAGAUAUUUUAGUUGAAUCACCCACUAUCUUCUCAAAUAACUGCAAGGCUUCUUCUUUUGAUAAAGCAUCGAUCGGGAAAUUUUUCUGAGAAUUCAUAUCAGUGCACAAUAAAUCUCGACUUCUAGACGUCAGUAUUAUUGUGCAUCGUCUCUGAUCAUCCAUUCUUUCGUUCGGAAUCCCAACUUUAUCGAACUCCAGUUCCCCCCAAAUAUUAUCCAAUAUAAUGAGAUGCCGCUCCUUGUUCUUCAAUACUCGACAUAGUCGAUUUGCUCUGUCGAAUAUACUCUCAUUCAACUCAAACUUUAUGCCUAAAUCAGAAGCAAGUUUGUCUUGAAUUUUCUGAUGAUCUGGGUUCUCUGUUACCUCAGCCAUAGCGACCUUAUCGAACAACUUAUUUGUUUCCAUCACUUGCUUUGCAACUUGCUUGACUAGCGUGGUUUUACCCACGCCGCCCAUGCCGUAGACCCCAAUUAUGUUGAGUUUCUCAUCCUUCAACGCCUCCAUAACAUCCAGUAAUACUUUCUUUCUUGAAUCAAAGGCCUCGUUAUCUUUCCCGCCCCUAAGUGCUUCGAUAUCUGCAGAAGGAUCGAAGGCAAUUUCUUCACUCUUCAGUUUGUCGCCUUUUUCCAUGAGAUUAGCAGCAUCUUUUGCGGCCUUUGCUGCUCGUUUACUGAGUUUGUAACGAGACAACAAAUUUGCACACAAUCCUUUGAAGCAGGACUUCUUGGCUCCAUCUUCUUCAUCAAUGAUAGAUUUUGCAACCCCCUCCGUAGAUUCAACCUUACUUCGCCAAUCUUUGACACCCUGAUAAAUCUCUUUGCCUUGUCGAGUAUCAUGCUUAACACGUUGUUGCACCAUUUCGUUUAUACCUUCCAACCCCUUCACUUGAUCUUUUAGCUCAUCUAUGUAGCUCUGGUACUUGAACACAUAAGAUAUUUGCCGUAUAAUCGGUUUGAACAGUGACUUUGCACCUUCUAAUACAGUGCUGGAUAAAGCAGCCAGAGCCACUUCUGCCAUUGUCUGCUACUUAACAAAUCUAAUAAUAUAUCAAAGAAAGGAAUACAAAUAAAUUAAAAGGAACUAAAGGGAAAGACAGAGAAAGAAAAGACGGCAAACAACAUCGCAAUAUUGAUCUUGAACCAACUGAUACCUAAAUAGAGAAUUUCUUUUACUAUCUUAAGGAUCAGAGGUUUCGCUAUUAACCGAAAGGUAUCGCUUCUAUUUUGUCACUUUGAACGAAUAACUUUAUGUUUUUAACGGAUGUUUAAUACAAAUUGCAUACAUUGGGUGUAAAAUUAAAUAAAUUUAAAUAUUUAUAAUAAUUUUAAUAAUUGAAUAAAACUUUGAGUAAAUGACUGAUAAUUUCUCUAAGAUGAUUUAUUGUUUGGGGUCUAAGAUUUUAAAUAUUCAACUUAAAAGAUUAAUAUCUUAUAAAUUGAUUAAUUAAUUAAUCAUUAAGCAACUAAAUUGGUCCCUGGAUGUCAAUUUAUUUAAUAUUGACGCACCUAUUUUUUUUUUCUGGCAAAUAAUUAUUAAUGCACUUAGGNNNNNNNNNNNNNNNNNNNNNNNNNNNNNNNNNNNNNNNNNNNNNNNNNNNNNNNNNNNNNNNNNNNNNNNNNNNNNNNNNNNNNNNNNNNNNNNNNNNNNNNNNNNNNNNNNNNNNNNNNNNNNNNNNNNNNNNNNNNNNNNNNNNNNNNNNNNNNNNNNNNNNNNNNNNNNNNNNNNNNNNNNNNNNNNNNNNNNNNNNNNNNNNNNNNNNNNNNNNNNNNNNNNNNNNNNNNNNNNNNNNNNNNNNNNNNNNNNNNNNNNNNNNNNNNNNNNNNNNNNNNNNNNNNNNNNNNNNNNNNNNNNNNNNNNNNNNNNNNNNNNNNNNNNNNNNNNNNNNNNNNNNNNNNNNNNNNNNNNNNNNNNNNNNNNNNNNNNNNNNNNNNNNNNNNNNNNNNNNNNNNNNNNNNNNNNNNNNNNNNNNNNNNNNNNNNNNNNNNNNNNNNNNNNNNNNNNNNNNNNNNNNNNNNNNNNNNNNNNNNNNNNNNNNNNNNNNNNNNNNNNNNNNNNNNNNNNNNNNNNNNNNNNNNNNNNNNNNNNNNNNNNNNNNNNNNNNNNNNNNNNNNNNNNNNNNNNNNNNNNNNNNNNNNNNNNNNNNNNNNNNNNNNNNNNNNNNNNNNNNNNNNNNNNNNNNNNNNNNNNNNNNNNNNNNNNNNNNNNNNNNNNNNNNNNNNNNNNNNNNNNNNNNNNNNNNNNNNNNNNNNNNNNNNNNNNNNNNNNNNNNNNNNNNNNNNNNNNNNNNNNNNNNNNNNNNNNNNNNNNNNNNNNNNNNNNNNNNNNNNNNNNNNNNNNNNNNNNNNNNNNNNNNNNNNNNNNNNNNNNNNNNNNNNNNNNNNNNNNNNNNNNNNNNNNNNNNNNNNNNNNNNNNNNNNNNNNNNNNNNNNNNNNNNNNNNNNNNNNNNNNNNNNNNNNNNNNNNNNNNNNNNNNNNNNNNNNNNNNNNNNNNNNNNNNNNNNNNNNNNNNNNNNNNNNNNNNNNNNNNNNNNNNNNNNNNNNNNNNNNNNNNNNNNNNNNNNNNNNNNNNNNNNNNNNNNNNNNNNNNNNNNNNNNNNNNNNNNNNNNNNNNNNNNNNNNNNNNNNNNNNNNNNNNNNNNNNNNNNNNNNNNNNNNNNNNNNNNNNNNNNNNNNNNNNNNNNNNNNNNNNNNNNNNNNNNNNNNNNNNNNNNNNNNNNNNNNNNNNNNNNNNNNNNNNNNNNNNNNNNNNNNNNNNNNNNNNNNNNNNNNNNNNNNNNNNNNNNNNNNNNNNNNNNNNNNNNNNNNNNNNNNNNNNNNNNNNNNNNNNNNNNNNNNNNNNNGGGAUUAUGGGGGUAUGCUAAUGCGGCAACCUGACUGUGAGUCGGGAAAAGCUAAUGAGGCAACUUUGCUUGUGCUGCUUCUUUUUUUUUUUUCUUUUGCUUUCUUUUUUGCUUUUUUUUAAUAAUAUUAAAUAAUAUAAAUUUUAAUUUAAUUUAAUAGAAUAUUAUAUAAUAUUAAUUUUUAUUUUCUCUUAUUUUGACAUCAUAAUUAUUAAUAUAAAUUAAUUAUUUUUAUUCAUAUUUUAAUUUUUAUUACUAAAUAAUAAUUAUAUAAUAAUUAAUAUAUAAAAUUGAUUAAUAAAUACUUAAAUAAUAUAAAAAUAAGAAUAUAACUUGAUAUUACAUUAUUUAAUUAUAUUAUAGUAAUUAAUAUAUAUGAAAAUUUAAUAUAACUAAUAAAAAUAUUUAUAUAUGAAUAAAUUUAAAUAAUAUUAAUUUAAAAUUAAUAUUAAUAAAAAUAAUAAUAUAAAAUAUCAUUAUGUUAUGAUAUUAUUUAGGUAUUAAUAAAUAUUAUUUUCUAAAUAUAUAAUUUAAGUUAAUCACAAAAAAUUAAUACAGUACAGUGUAGCACCAAACAUUGUAUUAUGCUGUAUGCCUGUAUUGUAUUAGCACUGAUUGGGUGUAAAGCGUUUGUAAGUGGCUUUUUAAGUCUGCCGUCAAAUCCCCUGCAAAAGCUUUUUUCUUAAUAUCACGCGUGUUGGUACUACAUAAAACCGUAAACUCUAACAAUUUCUUUGUUCUUUCUUAAUAUCACGCGUGUUGGUACUACAUAAAACCGUAAACUCCAACAAUUUCUUAGUUCUCAACACCCCUUAAUUUACAAGAAUUAAUCACUUCAAGGGUGGAUUAGGUAUAUCUUUAGUUCAUAUAUAACUAGCAAUAUCUAAUAUCCCAUAUACAUGUUUUUCUCCCAGAAUGUAAACCAACUAUUCAUAUCUUAGACUCCAAGUAUUCGUAUCUUAAAGUCAAUCGAUAAUAUUAAUUUAAAUUUAAUAAUAAUAUAAAAUAUUAAUAUAAUAUAAUAUUUAAUUUAAAUUAAUUACAAACAAAUAAUAUAGUACAAUGUAGCACCAAACAUUGUAUAGCAUUAUUAUAAUACAAUGCUAAUGCAAUACAAUAUAAUAUAAUCCACCAACAUUAAAAUAAUAUAAUAUAGCAUAAUACAAUACAGUGUGUCAAAUGCACCCUUAGGGUGUGUUUGGUAUGUGGUAUUGCAUAGCAUUAAAUGUGGGCCCAACAUUAAUUUAAACCAAUAACAUGUUUGGGAGCAAUUGAGGCUUAUUGGGAUUGGGUAUUGAGGGGUGCGCUAAUGCGGGAACCACCGCAUUAGCUUGUCUUUUUUUUUUUACUUUUACUUAAUAAUAAUAUAAAUGAAUAAAUAUAUAAUUUUUAAUUUUUAAUAUAAUAUUAUUUUUAUUUUUAUAUCAUAAUUUAUUAAUAAAUUUAUAAUUUAAUAUGAUUAAUAAUAAAUAUUUAAAUAGUAUAUAAAAUAUAAUAUAAUAUUACACUGUGUAAUUAUUGUAAUAUAAUUAAUAUAUAUAAAUUAUUUAUUUUUAAAUAAUUUAAUAUAAAAAAUAAAAAAAUAUUUAAAUACAAAUGAAUUUCAAUAAUAUUGAUAUACGAUUAAUAAUAACAUAAAUAAUAAUAUAAAAUAUUAGCACAAUUCAUUUUGCUAUUAAAUAUGUUAUAACAAUUUUGUCAUUUUAUAAUUUUGUGGUGUAUAUGAACAUAUGUCUUAAGAUUAUUUUUGAACAAAUCUUGUAGGUUUUAACUAUUUAUUUUUCUUGUUAUAUUAUUUCAAGAUUAUUUGAUUAAAUUAUUUGCUUCGAUAUUUAACAAGUUAUAUAUUUAGAAAAUAUAGAAAAUAAAUGUUAUGCUUCCAAAAAUUAAAGGAUAUAACGUUCGAUCUUUAUGAAGAAUUAUGAUAUUUUUGAACAUUUAUACUAAAAAAUUAUUAAAUUUUUAGAAAAUUAAAAGAUAUAACAUUCGAUCUUUAUGAAGAAUUAUGAUAUUUUUUAACAUUUAUACUAAAAAAAUAAUUAAAUUUCUAAAAUUUAAGACCUCUAUAUUUAGUUUUUUUUAAGUACUAUUAAUAUUAUUUUAUAAAUAUAUAAUAUAAAUUAAUUACAAAAAAUUAAUACAGUACAGUAUAACACCAAACAUAAUAUAAUUAAAAAUUAAUACAGUACAGUGUAAUACCAAAUAUUGUACAAUAUUAUUAUAAUACAGUACUAAUGUAAUACAACAUAAUACAAUACACUGCAUAAAAAUAAUGUAAUUUAGUGUACCAAACACACCCUUACAGAACUUUUGCAUAUCUACACAGCGAUUUUAAAUAUUACUGAUAACUCCUGAGAAAUGUGUGAGAAAGGAGUUGAUAAGAGUAAUAACAGCGACUUGCAAAAGGAAAAGACAGAAUCAUUCACCCCUUUUUAUAUCAUGUAUUUGGUUACUGUUGCCCUGUUGACGCAUGUAUAAAAUAACCGUAUGUAUUUUUUUUGGCUGUUGCUUAACAAAAUGUGUGUUUGUGUGUGUAUAUAUAUAUAUUUGCUGUUUGAAAAAAUUGGAUUCAAAUAAAUUAAAAUGAACUAGAGAGGAAGAGAAAGAAUGAAAAGACAACAAACAAUUGAUAUUGAUCUCGAACCAACUUCUUUCUUUCUUUCUUUCUUUUUUGUGUUUUUUUUUUCGCCCGUACCCCCUCUCAGAUUAGAGUAUUGGCUAUUAAAUGAAAGGUUUUAAGGGUAUGAGUGAAAAACAACAUUCUUUUUUAGAAACUAUUUUAGAGGAGGGAUGCAAAUUAAAUGACAAGAUUAAGACAAACAGGAGAUAUUUUUUCGUGGGCAUUAAGAAAUAACUGCUGUCAAGAUCAAGGAGAUUAUGCUAUUAAUAGAAAUUAUCAAAGGAUUUAGAACAAGUUCACCUCUUUAAUUAUCCGGGAUCAGAUAGUUGAUGAGCUUCUCUUCUUGGCGUUGAAUAUUUAAGAAUAAUUUUAAUGAGCAAAAAGAUCACUGGUAACUGCUGAAAAAUAAGUGAGAAAAGAGUUGAUGAGAAUAAUAACAAUGAAUUGAAUAAAAAAAGGACUUAAUCAUGCACCCCCUUUGCAUAUCAUGUAUUUGGUUACUGUUGCCUUGUUGACGCAUGUAUAGAAUAAUUAGUGACUUCUUUCAUGAAGAAUUAAACUUGGAAUGACCAAAAGACGAAGCUGCGGUGUAUUGUUGGACCAAAUUAAGUUGAAGAAAGCACUAGUUCACAACCUUACGUUUGGAUAUAUUCUAAAGAAAUAAUUAAACAGCAAAUCAUCACAUGCACUUUAAUGAUUUGAUCUAUUGUUUUCAAAAGAAAUUGCAAUUAACAGUUUUUGUCAAAAGUUCGCACUGCGUGAAACUAGUGCUAAUAUAAUUUAAAAAAUUAAUUUCAGUAUUAGUUUUUAAAAUGUUAAUUAUUAUAUUUAUUUUAAUAAUAUAUUUAUAUUUAUUAUAAAAAAUUCUGUUAAACAUUUGUGUUAAAUAGAAUUUAUAAUUAAUAUAAUAUAUCUUAGGUAUUAAUAAUAUUAUAAUUAUUCUAUAUGCUAUUGAAAAUAAUUUAAAUUUUUAGACGUUUAUUUUCACAUUAAGUUUCUAUUUAUUAUAAAAUUUAGUUUAAUAUAGUAUAAGCUUGUAAAGUAUUAAAAUAUUUUUUCAUAUUUUUUGAACAUAUUAAAAUUAUUUUAAAAUAUAUUUAUAUAUUAACAUUGAAGUCAAUUUUUUAAGUUAAUAGAACCAGUAGGUGUUAUAGUAAAAAAGCGUUUCUUAGCAUCACUUAUUGAAAAUAUAAAGAUCUAUAUAAUCAUUUUUUCAAAUAUUGAGAUGUAGUUAUAAAAGAAAAAAUAAAUUAAAAAAUUUUAAAUUUUAAUAUGGCCAUCGUAGAGUUAGAAUCCCCGCUCCAACCCGAUUUGGAGAUGAGCUUGGUCUAUUUAUGUUUUGGAAAAAGAAAAACCAAAGGAAAAAAAAGGCACCCGACCAAAUCAAGUAACUCAUCAAAUAAAAAAUAAAAAAAGGAAAGAAAUUUAAUGACUUGCAUGCAAUUUUGGAUCUGAAAUUAAAAUUACAUAAAAAUUAAGGAUUACGUACCUUAAUAUUUACAGCUUAUUUGAUGGACUCAACAGGUUUAAGCAACAUCAAAAUGUUUGUGGCUCCUUAAAUGAGCCCCCGACAUGGUGCAAAUGACAACAUCGACUUGUUUGACAGCUCCAACAAGGCUACGAUGAUCAGAAGAUGAGCCCUCAAUCAACAAGCUAAGAUUGGCUUCUCUAUCCUCUUCGCCCCACAACCAGCGCCUUGCUCUUUGUCAUUUUUCCUCUUGUUAGUUUUCUUCUACAUAUAAUUAUUACACUGGGAAGUAUACACACACCUCUUUUCUUUUUAUAGUACCUUACUAUUAUAUCUUUACAAAACAAUAUCACCCUAAGACAGCUAUGUAUGAAAUAAAUGAAAUAAAUAUAUAAGGAACUGACGAAAUAAAAUUAGAUCUAACUCUAAUUUCACGUUGCGUGAAUUUUUGACAAUUCACCCGUAUCCCAACAAAAGCUUUGUCAUAUUGCGAAAAUACCUUUUCAAUGUUUCAAUUGCAAUGUCAUUGCCAUUAUUCAUAGUGGCAGACAAUGGACGUCACGGGACGGUAGAAGUCUAUGUUACGGCUUGUGCAAGUAACAGCAGCCAAUGGGGAACUUCCACGGGUGCUAGAGGAGAGAGAAAGAGGUCCCAAUGCAAGGUGAUGGAAAUGGGAAAGUUCGAAGCUGUUACUUUCAGCUUCUGCACCUUAGCCAUGUCCCACGGGACAAGGCUAGAAGUUAUCAUGACCAUAAACUUUUCUAAUUUAUUUUUUCCUUUCAAAAAGGGACAAGGAUACGUUUCGGAGAAUGAUUAUAUUUUUAAUAAAAGAAUUCUUUUUUAUUAUAAUACUUUUUUCUUUAUUAAUUUAAAAAUAUUGACUCUUAUAUUUUAAUAAAUAUAAAUAUAAUAUUAUAAUAAAAUAUAACAAUAUAUACAAAUAUUUAAAAAAAUUUAAGAUUUUAUUAAAAGAAAUUUUAUAAUAAAUACAAAUAUAUUAUUAAUAUAAUUAUAAUAAUUUGCAUUUUAAAAAGUAAUACUGAUAUUAAUUUUUUAAAUUAUAUUACUCUACCAAAAAAAUUAAACUAUUAAAUUAUAUUGAUAUUUAUUAAAAAAAUUGAAGUUAAUUCUUAUUAUAUUUUUAAUUGGAAUUUUUUCAUGUGACAUAAUUACAAUUGCUACAUUUUUUUCCCUAAAUAAAGAUGGGAGUUAUAAAUUAUUUGUAUAAGUGUCUGUGUGUAAACUAAUGUGACAUGAAAGUAAUAGCUGAAUAACAAUAAUGGAGCUUUAGGUAAUUUUUUAUGAGGUCUUCUUGCAAUUUCAACACUUAAACAGACUUGUCCUUGAUCCCAAUUUAUUUACCCCAUUUGGGCCCCUUAUGACAAACAUAUUCUUGUGGAAUGAAAAACAUCAGGAGAAGAAAAUGUUUUAUUAUAAUAGAAAAAGUUGUCCAUAAGUCUAUUCAUUUUUUUUUUAUUCAAUACAAAUGCGGGCCGCGUUCUGUGGGUCUNNNNNNNNNNNNNNNNNNNNNNNNNNNNNNNNNNNNNNNNNNNNNNNNNNNNNNNNNNNNNNNNNNNNNNNNNNNNNNNNNNNNNNNNNNNNNNNNNNNNNNNNNNNNNNNNNNNNNNNNNNNNNNNNNNNNNNNNNNNNNNNNNNNNNNNNNNNNNNNNNNNNNNNNNNNNNNNNNNNNNNNNNNNNNNNNNNNNNNNNNNNNNNNNNNNNNNNNNNNNNNNNNNNNUAAGUAGAGUGAGACUCUGGCAUCCUCUAAAUAUCUCUCAACACUCUUUCUUAUUAACCCCAUUAAAAUAUUUAAAAAUAUUAUAAAAUUCUUUUAACACCUUUUUUAUGGCAAAAAUACCCUUAGUUUAAAUUUAUUAAUAUAAACCCCAUUUUAAUUUUUGACCCCUGAUUGUGAUUUUUUUUUAAAGCACCUGAAUUUUGAAACAAUUAAUUAUCUAUUGAAAAAGAAAGAAAGAAAAGGAAAACAAAAGGAAAAGGGCACUUGCUCCAAGAAAGUUCUACUUUAAUGUGGCAAAUCAUUGAAACACCACAUGGCCAAAACUUUACUCUAUGCAUGACAACUCAUUGUAAUUGAUAAUGACCCUCGCAAACACUUGGCUACCAUGCGUGUAAUUCUAAGGCCAAGUGCUAAUUUGGUUUACUGAUGAAGAUGCUGAGCACAAGCUUCUGAAAAUGCAGAAUUACGAAUUUUUCGAAAGACUGCGAACCUUUAUGGAGAAAGACAACUAGGCCACUGGAAAACAUGUCGGUGGGAAAAUAAUUCUGAUGAUCGUUCAGCUCGUCCUUUGCUUCAUAAUUACUUUCUUCUUUCUUAAUUUCUCUCAUGGGUCUCGGUUUCUUCCUGAAGCUUGUUGAUGAUGAGUUGCAUAUGCCGAUAAUUCCUCACCAGAAAAUAAGAUGAAAAGGUAACUUUCUUAAUUUUUAAAAUGCUGAAUUUCAAUUUAAGGUACUAUUCAUUUUGUCUCUUUCAAGUUAUUUUUCAUUUUUCUGCUGAUAUUUUAAUAUUUACAGUCAAUUGUAGCAUUACUUAAAUUUAUAGUAUGUAGAUCAUAAUUCAUAAAUUAGUUUGCAGUUGGAGUAAACUCGAAAAUGUUAAAAAAAUAAUAAUAACAACAAAAAGAGUAGAGACAAGUUGUCAUCUUGAGUAACAAUAAAAUAAAGAAUUGCAGCUUUUACAAAGUCUUUCUUUAAAAAUAUGAAAUGAAUAAAAUGACUAUUAAAAUGGUUCAAAAUUUUCUGAUAGUGUCAUUGACUAGCUAGAUCAAUUGUUUCUUGUGUGGUAACUUCAAACACCAAAUCCUUGAAAGCAAGUAUAUUAGUUUUGUAUGGUGUUGCCCAGCCUUCUGCACAUGGUUCAUGAUAUUUGAUCCAACUAUUCGCAAUAGGAGGAAUAGGUGAAGCUGGAAGCAUGAACACCUGUAAAAAAAAAAAAAAAGCCAUAGAAAAAUUAGUCCAAUAAUUAAGAUAUUGCAGCAUAAUUUGAAUUUCUAAACUUUUACAUACCUCUAUGAAAUGAUUUCUAUUAACAAAUCCAAUAGCAAUGAUUUUAUGCGAGGAGCGUGAUAAUGGAAUAGAUCUAAGUGGAAGGAAUGUGACAAUCAGCACAUCUGAUAUAUGUAGUAAUACCACAUUAUAUUUAGAAGCAAUAAUAUGACCAAUUUCAGGCAUGGUCAUCCAAUACUCUCUUCCUGGGUUAUUCUCAAAGUAUAAAAGUGAAUGAAGCACCUCCUCUGCUCUACCAGCAUAUUCAAAGACUCUUUUAUAAUCAUUAAAGUGACUUUGCAACUCAACAACUAAGACUUUCCUGACUUGUGCCCAGUUAUCUUCACCAAUACCUAUUAGGUCAGCCACUGCCUGAAAACCACAAUUACCAUCUGCAACAACAUCUCUAACACCACAAAUAUAAGGCCUCAAACCAAAUGGAAAUGAAUCAAUAUAAGAAGCAUGCUUUGGUGCUUUUGUUUGAGAAACACUCAUUUUUCGUUGCCCUUUUGGUUUUUUUGUAGUUGUACUUGAAGACAUAAUGUCUGGAGAAUGAUUAUCCUGUGCGGAUACUACAUACUCAAAUCUUGAUGGAUCUCGGCGGGUAGAUUUAUCAAGCUUUUGGGAGGGUCGUCCUCGAGUCUUAGCUUUAACAGGUAGCUCAAUUAAAAAAGUUAAGAAUGGAUCAGCUAAUUCUUUCAGUUUUCUUUUUAUUUGCAUUUUUCCGAAACCAUCUGAAUCUUCAAAACGCUUGAUAAUCAUUUCCAUUUCAGGGGUACAACUCAACUCUGCUGAUUUUUCAUAGCUGGUGCAGACAAGGUCUAAUUUCCUCCAAUGCAAAUGUACAGAAUCUAAAGGUAUCGGUCGACCUUCACGCUUAUACUCUGCAAUUUCAUGUGCACACGGUAGCCCAUAAGUGUGUCGAACUACACAACCACAUGCUGAAAUAUCUAUACCAAUUAAAUCAGCUCUUUUUGACUCACUUAGUAUCAUAUCUAAUGCAUUUCUAGCAACUAACCCCCUUAAUUCUUUAAAAACUGAAGGUGUGAAACUAUGUUGCACAGUAGUCAAACUCUUCUCAAAUGAUGCCUUAAUUUUUGUAUGUUGCAACUCUACCAAAGAAUGAAGUUUUGUCCAUAAUGUUACAAAGUUUCCUUGGGAUGAACAUAGUUGCCUUUUUAAUUUUGAAUGUGCAGUCUCAGCCCUAAAAAUAAACCAACAAAAAAAUAAUAAAAAGAUAUAUAAAAAAAUGGUGUUGAGUUUAUUUAUAAAAUCAUUGAAAACUAAAUAUUGGUUACCUGUUGGUUGUCAUAUUUCCGAAAUGCAUAAUAAAGUCUGUCCAUGCUGCAAUAAAUUUUUCUUUAUACUUAUCAAGCCAUGUCUACUUCACAUAGACAAGUGCUUUCGGAUAUCUAGCAUAAUCACUCUAAAAAAUACUCAAGUGUUGUAUGUACUCUUGUUCAGUGGCUGAGAACACCAGUACAUUCCAGUUGCUGUUAAAGGCUUCCCAUCUUUCAUUAGUAUGAAAUAGCCUCUUAUAAUUAGCUAACACAUUUUUUGAAAUAUGCCAUCUACAAAGUAAAUUAGUUGCACUUGGAAAUAUCUUUUCAAUGGCAUUCAUCAGAGCUAAUUCCCUGUCUGUCACAAUCACAGCUGGUAACAUAUCAUCUUGCAUAAUGGUUUUCAAUCUUUCUAAUGCCCAAAUAUAGUUAUCUUCUCGUUCGGACUCAAGAUAUGCAAAACCAACAUUAAAUGUCUUUGCAGUCGAUGUGUCACCAACUAUUUCUAACAACGGAAACUUAUACUUAUUGACUUUAUAAGUGCAGUCCAUUAUCAGAACACUUGGAAAAGCUUUUAACAAAUCAAAAGUAAGAGGAUGUGCCUAAAAUAUGUCUUUCACACAAUUUGUAUCAUCAUCACUCCGAUGCCACUCAAUGUAAUUAUGAUCAUGCAAUUUACUCAUAAGCUGUUGCAUUUGUGACCGUCCGCCCAAUUCGCGAACCUUAUAUUUAUACCGAGCAUUAUAAACCGUCUUCAUUGUUGUAACAUUAAAUGUAUCCCUAGUCUUUAAAGUAUGUAAUAUCUCUUUUGGCCGAACAUUAUUUUUAGACAAAUCAACCAAUAUACUAACAUCUUCAUUAGUAAGUCUACCUGCAAAUGAGUGGCCCUCAAGAUAUUGUGCAAAAUGAUGGUUAUGCAAUCCACAGAUUACUUUUAACACCCAAUCUUGAUUAUUCACCAACAUUUGACCCUUUAAUAAAAAUGGACAGCCACACUUUUUUGUUCCAAUUGCAUUCGGUCUUUUCUUCUUUUCCAAGUCGCUAUUCUGCUUAGACAUGUUGGUACUUCUUUUCGGAUAUGCACCACUUCUUUCACAAGCAAAAAUUAUCCUUGGUCUCCUUCCAAUCACAUUCACGUCAGAUCUUUUAAUAAUAAUCACAAGUCCAUUUUUUUCCCAACAUCAUGCAUCCAUCGAAUCAACUUGUCUCUACUGGUGAAAACCUAUGAGAAAGACAAUAAUAUAUUAGUUAAUGAUACAAAGAAAAGAGAAUAUAUGUAUGAAAAUUUAUUUAGCAUUUUACCUCUUCAGUAGUGAAUGCAGCAGUGUAAUCCAUAACAUCUACUUUAUUAUCAAGAAUGACAACUAUGGUAGAACUUUCCUCCUUUACAAUCAUUGUAAGAUAUUACAUAAGUUAAUACAAGACACAAAACUAGAAUAAUAGCAAUUUAUUCAGCAAUAAUCAACCAAACAAUUGACAUUUGUUAAGGGAUAUUUGUUGAACAUUGUUCAACGCUCUCCCAGUCAUUAUAAUUCUAAAACAAUAAAUUAAUAGCAAACUUACUUUUUUAUUAUCAUCCCCAUCUAUUUGCAUGAUUAUUUUGCCCUAAAUUUGAAACUCUUAGAUUAGGGUUUAAGAAAGAAAAGAGAGUUUAUAUCGUAUGCCACACAAAGAAUUUAAAACUCUUAAACAAAAAUAUGCCAUAUAAGAAAUUUUUAAGGGGAAAAAAAUAUUUGAUUUUGAGUGGGGGUUUAAUUAGAAAUUGUCUUAUUAUGUAAUUUUAAUAAAGGUUAAAAUUGUAAAAUAACUAAAGGGGUGUUAAGAGGUAUUUAGAGGGGUGCCAAUAGUCCCACUCAAAUAAGUAAUGGUAACAAAAGACUAAUUUGUAAUAUUGAAGUGUACGGGCUUAACUAAAUCCAAAAAUUAGUAAGUUAGCUCAAGAGUUGAGAGUUGUCCAAAUCUUAAAUGUUGAACCCAAGUUCAAUACUCAAUUGAUGCGGGAUGUUAUUCCUAACACCUCCCGUCAUGUGUAGGAUUGGUAAAAAAACUCGGGUCAGUCCCGCCUAGACCUACGGGCUUUAUGCAUGGCCCGCAUGAUGAAGUUACGAAAUUAACCUAAAAAUUUGAAACUUACGAUGAAUGGCCUUGCUUAAAGAUUUUUGCAACUUUAAUUUAUAACGAGUAUGUAUAUAUACACACACAAAAGUUUAGAUUGCAUUUGGAUGACUUUUUUAAUCAAUUCAAACAAUCUGAAAUUUAUCAGAUUAAUCCGAAUUUGAUCUGUAUCUGAUUUUGCCCGCCCCUACUAUUUAUAAGCCCAAGUGACUCUCUUUUACUAAUUAAUAAGGGAAUUUUUUACCUUAUAUCCUUGCUGUGGCGUUAGACUACUGGUCAUUUUGAUUGUUUCCUACCUUCCAUUUACGCCAGUUGUAACAUUGUAUUAUUCACCACUUUAGCCAUUUAAAUGAAAUUUUAUUUUCAUAAAAAAUAAAAUGACACCCUUAAAAUUUAAAAAAUAGAUAUGUAGAUCUCAAAUUUUUAAUAAAGAAUGUCAAUACCCCUUUUAACUACAAGAUUCUUAGUAGAUGAUAACCAAAAACAUUAACUUCAAAUUUUUCACUAAAUGUAAAUCUGAUUGAAAUAGUUUAAUUUUUUUCUAGUAGACUAAUAUGUAUAACUUAUAUAAUUAAUUUCAUUAUUAAUUUUUAAAAUGUUAAUUAAUAUAUUUUUAAUUAUUAUAAAAAUUUUAAAUAAAUCUUGGAUUAGAUAGAUUUUACACUUAAUGUAAUACUUCUGAUUUAUUAAUAAUAUUAAAAUUAUUUUAUAUGAUAUUCAAAAUAAUUUAAACUUUUAUAUAUUUAUUUUAAUAUUAUGUCUAUUUAUUAUAGUUUGGUUUAAUAUAAUACGGGAUUGUAAAAUAUUAAAAUAUUUUUCAAUAUCAAAUUAUUUUAAUAUGUAUAUAUUAUUACAUUUAUUUUAAUAUCACAUUUAUAUUUAUUAUAAAAUAUAAAAUUAAUAAAAUUAAAGAGUAUUGCAGUAAAGUAAAAAAAAAAGUCUUAUUAUCCCAUAUUCACGGUAUGAGUUUCUACAAAAUUAUUUCCUCAAAUGGGUGACCUUUCCUCAUUUUCAAAAGAAAAAAUAAAGUAAGAAUAAGUCCAGGGUUUCAAAAACUUCUAGUCUUAUCCCAAGACCUCCAUUGUCUACCACUAUGACUAAUGGAAAUGACAUUGCAAUUGACAUUGCUUUUCGCAACAUGACAAAUUUUUGGUGGGAUAUGAGAGAAUUGUCAAAAGUUCAUGCCGCGUGAGAGUUUUUGGUGGGAUGUGGGAGAAUUGUCAAAAGAUCACACCACGUGAUAUAACCAUAAUUGCUACAAUUUUUUUUAAUAAUGAUGGGAGUUAUAAAUUAUUUAUAUAAAUUUGUGUAGAAACUAAUGUAACAUAAAAGAAGUAGCUGAAUAACAAUAUUUGGUGCUUUAGGUAAUUUUUAUAUGAGCCUUUCUUUUAUUUAGCGACUUUAGUGCUUAAACAAAUUUGUCCUCGAUCUUAAUUUACUUACCCCAUUUAAGCCUAUGAUGACAUAAACAUAUUCUUUUGUGACGAAAACAUCAAGAGAAGACAUCUCAUGUUUUAUUAUAACACAAAAGAAGUGGUCCAAACGUCUAUUCAUUCUUUUAUUUACUCAAUAUGAAUGGCCAACUUUAAAAAAUGAUAAAAAUCACACCACGCUCAACUGAAAAUUUAUAAUUACAUUUUUUAAUACUCUCUAUACUCUCUAGCCUCUCUCUCCUGCCCCCUUUUUUUUUUAAAAAAUAAACCUUAGUGUAAAAUUAGAAGAAUUUUAGAUAUAACAUUUGACAAUCGCUAAAUAGAAAAGUAGGGGAUUGAAAAUAGAGGAGCUCUGUUAUCAUUGGAAUAUUGAUUAUAGAUCAUAUAAUAACUUGUUGUGGUUCAUUGUAGCACUCUGAGUCAUAUUCUAAAAUUUAUAGGUUUCUUAAGGUUUUUAUUAUUGACAUUAUUGUGUCAAUACUAUUAUAAUUUAUUCAUUUUAUUGUAAUGAUAAUUUGUCUAGUCUUAGGUACUUAUUAUAUUAAAUUAUGUAAAUUAAUUGAGAAUACAUUUAGAGACAAAAGAAACACGUGUAUGUAGGAUUAAUAAUCGCAGAGUUGUAAAUGAAGGUGAUUGCUUCAUUGAGAGGCAUAUUAAAUAAUUAUGGAGAGUUGCACUAUUUCGGAAGCAUAUAUUUAUACUUCCCUAUCAGGAUUUGGGGUAAGCGAAGUGCUUUAUGUGUUGUAGUAAGCAAUGUGGGCAAUAUCGGAGGCGAAAUAUUAAAAGAUCAUAACGCAUAUAUUUGAGCCAUUUAUAUUGAAGACACGUAUUGAAGACACGUAUAGAGGAAAGAGUGCAUAUCCGGCGGUAACUAUUAUCAGGCUUUCCUAAAAUAUUCUCAUGCUUCCUCAACUGUUCUGAACUAUUCUUCAUAGUGGGCAGAUUUACUUAAAUACCCUUCUACCUAACAAAACUUGGUACUUCUAAUUGCACUCGCAGAGAAUCUAUAAAAUUAAAAAAAAAUUCAUCCAUGAAAAGCCUCGUAACAGAAAAACCAUCUUUCAAAAAAUAAUAAUAAAAUAAAAACAGAAAAACCGACUCAUUUAUCUGCCAAUGAACCAAUCGGGACUCAUUUAAAAAAGAUUACAAAGCAAAAGUAAAUGACACAAAUUGCAUAGAUAUCUAGGAGCCGCAUCAAAGGGCAAUGGUGUUAAUUUGUCCGAGUAAUAAUUAAUUUCAAUAUUAAUUUUUAAAAUGGAAAUUAAUUUAUUUAUAUUUAUAAAAUAUUUGUAAUUAUUUUAAAAUUUUAACUAAAUCCUUAGGUUAAAUAGAUUUUACAAUUAAUAUAAUAUUUCUCAUGUAUUAAUAAUAUUAAAAUUAUUUUAUAUGAUAUUGAAAAUAACCUAAAUUUUUAUAUAUUUAUUUGAAUAUUAUGUCUCUAUUUAUUAUAAUUGGGUUUAAUAGAAUACGAGAUUGUAAAAUAUUAAAAUUUUUAGAUAUUGAAAUUAUUUUAAUAUGUAUAUAUUAUUAUAUUUAUUUUAAUAUCCUAUUUAUAUUUAUCAUAAAUUAUUAGAGUUAAUUUUUUUAGUUAAUAAAUUUAAAAACUAUUCUAAUUUUAAAAAAAAGUCUUAUUGUCUAUUAUUCAUGAUAUGAGGUUCUACAAAAUUAUUUCUCCAGACGGAUGUCCUUUUCUUAUUUUCAAAAGGAAAAACAAGUUCAGGGUCUCAGGGGUUUCAAAAAUUCUGGUCCUAUCUACCACUAUGACUAAUGGGAAACAACAUUGUAAUUGACAUUGCUUUUCACAAUAUGACAAAUUAUUGGAGGGAUAUGGGAGAAUUGUCAAACAUUCACACCACGCGAGAGCUUUAGUGUGGGAUAGGGGAGGAUUGUCAAGAGUUCACACCACGAGAAACUAAUGAUAGGCCCAAUUUCAUUGUCAAUUCUUUAUUUAUUUCAUGCAUUAUUGUUUUUCUAAAGGUAUAAAAGCAAAGUAAAAUACUAGGGGCGCUUUUAAGUUACAAUUGAUGUAACUUACAAUUUUUUCAAAAAUAAUGUAAAAAAAUUAAUAGGUGGUGGGACCCACAUAUUUUUUAAGAGACUUAAGUUACGGCAGUUGUAACUUAACAAAAUUUAAAUAUUAGAUAAUAAUACAUAUUAAUAAUAUAUAAUUUGGGUUUGAUUUUUAAAAGAUUAUUUGAGUACCACCUAUCCUUAUGAUAUUAAUGUGACUAUAUCUUAAUAUUAAAUAAUCAAAAUUUGUUUAAUUGUUAUUUGUAUUUCAUACAUUACAUAUUAGAUUUGUUUGAAUUUUAAGUUGUUGCUAAUAAAUAUUUAUGUUGUCAAAGUCAAAUUCAAUAGCUACAAAAGCAGAGAUAAUGGUAUUGUAUAUAGUUUUUAAGAAUGCAAGGAUAAGCUGGAUAAUUGACAUAAAUUCUAAUGAUUAAAACAGCAACUAUCCCUUAAGUUAUAAUGUCAAUUUCUUUAAUUAGAUUUUUUUUUUUAUGUGAUAUAACCACAAUUGCUACAAAUUUUUUUUUUUAUAAUAAUAAUGGGAGUUAUAAAUUAUUUAUAUAAAAUUUGGGUUGAAACUAAUGUAACCUAAAAGUGGUUGCUGAAUAACAAUAUUUGAAACUUUAGGUAAUUUUCAUGAGUCCUUUUUAUAUUCAGCAACUUGAAUUGGGGGAAAUCCGACUUGAAUUGGCGGUUGAUUUUCGUGAUGUGGCUUUUGGUUUAUGGCGACCUUACAGUGGCAGAAGACUGGAUUUACGGUUGCCGACUGCUAGGGAUUAUGGUGGGGGUGUAAAUUGACGGAAAAAGAAGGUGUUUUGGUGGCGGCGCGUGUAGGAAGCACUCGUGGGUUGUCGUUUCGUGUGGUGGCGGGCGGCGAUCAAGGGCUGAAGUUGGUCGGUUUUUGGUCAACGGAGGCCGGCGAGUUUGUUGGUGGAGGUGGCUGGUGGAGAAAGUGACUGAAUGGUGGUGGGUUGCUUGGUGGAGCCGCGGGUUUGGGUUGGUGAUUUGUGGCUGUUCAAGCGGCGGUUGAGGCAGCGAUGACUGAGGCUUGGUCGACGGUGGCUAGUGAGGUUUGUGGUGGUGUUGGCUGACUGAUCGGCGGUGGUGGGCGGCCGUGGAGGUUGAUGUGACGGGUAGGGUUUUCAAAUUUGUAAAUUUUUUUUUUUGAUGGAUUUGGUUUGGAUGGGUAUCGUGUAUCUAGGAAAGAUGUGCGAUUCGCACAGAAUCCCUUUGACACCAAUUGAUGGAGCGAGGCGUAGCGGAAGCGGAAUUGAUAGGGUAAGAAACAUUAGAUAUUGUUCUAGUACUAGACCAAGCCAACGCAAUUAGCUUACGCUCUAAUCGAAGCGUGAUUAGAUAUCGUUCUAAUCCAAAUAACUCAAUACGAUUUUUAAUAAUGCGUAAUACGAGAUUAAAUGACACUCUAAUCCAAACGACUCUACAAGAGAGAUUUUGAUAAAUAAUCAUAGAGGGGUUUUAUUUAAUAAUUGAACCUGAAGUUAAUGAAAAUAAUGACAAGACAUCUUUAUUUUUUUUUAUUACAGACAUCUUUAUUUAUAAUAAAAGAAACCCGCUUUCCUAAGUUAACCUAAAAAGAAAAUUUAAAUCAUAAUUAUAAUGGAAAUAAAAGAUUAAGAUACAUAUCAUAAUUGACUCAAACUAAAAUAGAAAAUCAUAAAAUAAUAAAUAUUCUAAAAUUAUAAAUUAUCUAAAAUAACGUUAAUUAACUUCCUAAAUCACUUCUUUGGUGUAAACCAUUUUGCAUCCAAACUCGCUUUAAAGGUUUGAACUAACGUUACCAACAACAAUGUAUCAAAUUCCAAUCUAACUUAAGAUCUUGAUGCAUCUAUCGAUGUCCUUGUUUGAUUAGACAAUAAUGAGUCUAUCUCAUCACUUGUUACCUCUUUCUUGAAAGCUACAUCUGUUGAAGUGAUAGCCUCACUUAGAGUUUAAAGAUCUUCUUCCCUGUUAAAUAAAAUGGGCAUUUGAGUAAAAAGCUUUAUCUCUAUCUCCUUCUAUCAAAUAACGACAACUAUCCAAAGGGAAAAAAAAAAUUAGAAAAGUCCAUGGGUCACAAUAAUUUAUGGUCUGUCUCCGGACCCCAUUAUCUGCCACUAUCAAUGAUGAAAAUGAAAAUAAAUGGCAUCUUCCCUAAAUGGCAAAAGAUUUUUGGGGGAUAUAGGGGAAUUGUCAAAAGUUCAUACAACGCGAAAUAAGUGUUACAUCCAAUUUUAUUUCGUCAUAUAAUGAUAAUAUUAAAUAAUGACAACCAUCCAAAAGUAUGAUGGGUCUUCCAAAAUUUUGAAAAUGUCGUCAACAUUUAAUCUUCAAUGCUAAAGAAGAUGAAACGCCCAAAAAUGACACGCAGGACUCACUCAAAAACUAAAUGGCCCUCACCACAUGUAACAAACUUUGACCUUAUGUCCCUGCUGAGGCGUUAGACUGUUGGUCAUUUUGAUUGCUUUUUACCAUCCAUUUACGCCAUUGUAGAAUUGAACUAUUCACCAGUCUAGCUGUUUAAAUGAAAUUGUUAUUUUUUUUCCAAAAAUAAAAUGACACCCUUAAAAUUUUAGAAAAUAGUCAUGUAGACCCCAAAAUUUUAUUAAAGAACACUAAUAUCCUUUUUUACUAUAGUACUCUUAGUAGAUGGUAACAAAAAAAAAAUGAUUGCAAAAUAUUUUAGUAAAUGAAAAUAUGAUUUAAAUAGUUUAAAUUUUCUAGUAGACUAGUAUGUAUAAUUUAAAUAAUUAAUUUUUAAAAUGUAAUUUAAUAUAUUUAUUAUAAAAUUUUUAAACAAAUCCUUGGGUUAAAUAGAUUUUAUAAUUUAUAUAAUAUUUCUCAUGUUUUUAUGUUAUAGAAAUAUUAAAAUUAUUUGAUAUGAUAUUGAAAAUAAUUAAACAUUUUAUAUAUUUAUUUGAAUAUUAUGUCUCUAUUUAUUAUAAUUUGGUUUAAUAGAAUACGAGAUUGUAAAAUAUUAAAAUAUUUUUAGGUAUUGAAAUUAUUUUAAUAUAUAUAUACAUAUUAUUAUAUUUAUUUUAAUAUCCUACUUAUAUUUAUUAUAAAAUAUUAAAAUUAAUUUUUUUAGUUAAUAAAUUUAAAAAAUAUUAUAAUUAUAAAAAGAGUCUUAUUGUCUGCUAUUCACGAUAUGAGAUUCUACAAAAUUAUUUUGAAAAUGAAAAAUAAGUCCAGGGGUUUCAACAAAUUCUAGUCCUAUCUGCCACUAUGACUAAUGGAAACGACAUUGCAAUUGACAUUGGUUUUCAUAAUAUGACAAAUUUUUGGAGGGAUAUGGGAGAAUCGUCAAAUGUUCACACUACGCGGGAUUUUUGGAUGGGAUCAGGGAGGAUUGUCAACAGUUCACACCACGAGAAACCAAUGAUAGCCCUAAUUUCGCUGUUAGUUCUUUGUUUAUUUAUUUUAUUUAUUUCAUACAUUGUUGUCUUGUUGGCAUUGUUUUGUAAAGAUAUAAAAGUAAAGUAAACUAUUAGGGUGCUGCUAAGUUAAGCUGUUGUAACUUGCAGUCCCUUAAAAAAUAAUGUAAAAAAUCCACAUUUGUUUGAAGAGGCUGUAAGUUAUAGUAGUUGUGACUUAGCAAAAUCCAAAUAUUAGACAAUAACGCACAUUAACAAUGCAUAUAAUUUGGGUUUGAUUUUUAAAAAAAUUAUUUGAGUAUUAGCUAUCCUUAAGAUAUUAAUGUGAAUAUAAUUUAAUAUUUAAUAAUCAAAAUCUGUUUAAUCAUAAUAUAUAUUUCAUACAUUGCAUGUUUAAUCAAAAUCUGAUUGCUUUUUACCUUCCAUUUACGCCCACUGUAGCAUUGUACUAUUCACCAUUUUAGAUGUUUAAAUGAAAUUUUUAUUUUUUUUCCAAAAAUAAAAUGACACCCUUAAAAUUUUAGAAAAUAGCCAUGUAGACCCCAAAAUUUUAAUAAAGAACACUAAUAUCCUUUUUAACUACAGCACUCUUAGUAGAUGGUAACCAAAAAAAAAAAAUUGAUUGCAAAAUUUUUUAGUAAAUGUAAAUAUGAUUUAAAUAGUUUAAAUUUUCUAGUAGACUAGUAUGUAUAAUUUAAAUAAUUAAUUUUUAAAAUGUAAUUUAAUAUAUUUAUUUUAAUAUUAUAUUUAUUAUAAAAUUUUUAAACAAAUCAUUGGGUUAAAUAGAUUUUAUAAUUUAUAUAAUAUUUCUCAUGUUUUAAUAAUAUUAAAAUUAUUUUAUAUGAUAUUAAAAAUAAUUAAAAAUUUUAUAUAUUUAUUUGAAUAUUAUGUCUCUUUUUAUUAUAAUUUGGUUUAAUAGAAUACGAGAUUGUAAAAUAUUAAAAUAUUUUUAGGUAUUGAAAUUAUUUUAAUAUAUAUAUAUAUAUAUAUAUAUAUAUUAUAUUUAUUUUUAUAUCCUACUUAUAUUUAUUAUAAAAUAUUAAAAUUAAUUUUUUUAGUUAAUAAAUUUAAAAAUAUUAUAAUUAAAAAAAGAGUCUGAUUGUCUGUUAUUCACGAUAUGAGGUUCUACAAAAUUAUUUUGAAAAGGAAAAAUAAGUCCAGGGGUUUCAACAAAUUCUAGUGCUAUCUGCCACUAUGACUAAUAGAAACGACAUUGCAAUUGACAUUGCUUUUCUUAAUAUGACAAAUUUUUUUAGGGAUAUGGGAGAAUCGACAAAUGUUCACACUACGCGGGAGUUUUAGAUGGGAUCAGGGAGGAUUGUCAACAGUUCACACCACGAGAAACCAAUGAUAGCCCUAAUUUCGCUGUCAGUUCUUUGUUUAUUUAUUUUCAUUAUUUCAUACAUUGUUGUCUUGUUGGCAUUGUUUUGUAAAGAUAUAAAAGUAAAGUAAACUAUUAGGGUGCUGCUAAGUUAAGUUGUUGUAACUUACAAUCCCUUAAAAAAUAAUGUAAAAAAUCCACAUUUGUUUGAAGUGGCUGUAAGUUAUAGUAGUUGUGACUUAACAAAAUCCAAAUAUUAGACAAUAACGCACAUUAACAAUGCAUAUAAUUUGGGUUUGAUUUAAAAAAAAAAAAUUUUGAGUAUUACCUAUCCUUAAGAUAUUAAUGUAAAUAUAAUUUAAUAUUAAAUAAUCAAAAUCUGUUUAAUCAUAAUAUAUAUUUCAUACAUUGCAUGUUUCAUCAAAAUUUGAUUGCUUUUUACCUUCUAUUUACGCCCACUGUAGCAUUGUACUAUUCACCAUUUUAGAUGUUUAAAUGAAAUUUUUAUUUUUUUCCAAAAAUAAAAUGACACCCUUACAAUUUUAGAAAAUAGUCAUGUAGACCCCAAAAUUUUAAUAAAGAACACCAAUACCCUUUUUGACUAUAGUACUCUUAUGGUAGCCACAAAAAAAAAUUGACUUCAAAAUUUUUUAGUAAAUGUAAAUACGAUUUAAAUAGUUUAAAUUUUCUAGUAGACUCGUAUGUAUAAUUUAAAUAAUUAAUUUUUAAAAUGUAACUUAAUAUAUUUAUUUUAAUAAUAUAUUUAUUAUAAAAAUUUUAAACAAAUCCUUGGGUUAAAUAUUUUUAUAAUUAAUAUAAUAUUUCUCAUGUUUUAAUAAUAUUAAAGUUAUUUUAUAUGAUAUUGAAAAUAAUUUAAAGCUUUAUAUAUUUAUUUGAAUAUUAUGUCUCUAUUUAUUAUAAUUUGGUUUAAUAUAAUACGAGAUUGUAAAAUAUUAAAAUAUUUUUUGGUAUUGAAAUUAUUUUAAUAUAUAUAUAUAUAUUAUAUUUAUUUUAAUAUCCUACUUAUAUUAUUAUAAAAUAUUAAAAUUAAUUUUUUUAGUUAAAAAUUUAAAAAAAUAUUACAGUUAAAAAAAAAGAGUCUCAUUGUCCGUUAUUCACGAUAUGAGAUUCUAUAAAAUUAUUUUCAAAAGGAAAAAUAUGUCCAGGAGUUUCAACAAAUUCUAGUCCUAUCUGCCACUAUGACUAAUGGAGACGACAUUGAAUUGACAUUGCUUUUCGCAAUAUGACAAAUUUUUGGAGGGAUAUGGGAGAAUCAUCAAGCGUUCACACCACGCGAGAGCUUUAGGUGUGAUAUGGGAGAAUUGUUAAGAGUUCACACCACGAGAAAUUAAUGAUAGGCCUAAUUUCGUUGUCAGAUCUUUAUUUAUUUUUUAUUUAUUUCAUACACUAUUGUCUUGUUGGUAUUGUUUUGUAAAGAUAUAAAAGUACAAGUAAAAUAUUAGGGGAAGUAAAGUAAAAUAUUGGAGGUGCUACUAAGUUACAGCUGCUGUAACUUACAGUUCCUUAAAAAAUAAUGUAAAAAAUUUAACACGUGGUGGGACCCACAUUAUGUUUGAAGAGGUCGUAAGUUAUAGCAGUUGUAAAUUAGUAAAAUCCAAAUAUUAGACAAUAAUACAUAAUAACAAUGCAUAUAAUUUGAGUUUGAUUUUUAAAAAAAUUAUAUGAGUAUUACCUAUCCUUAAGAUAUUAAUGAGAAUAUAUUUUAAUAUUAAAUAAUCAAAAUCUGUUUAAUCAUAAUAUGUAAUUCAUACAUUGCAUGUUAGAUUUGUUUGGAUUUUAAGUUGUUGCUAAUAAAUAUUUAUGUUGUGAAAGUCGAAUUCAAUAGCUACAAAAGCAGAGAUAAUGGUAUUUUAUGUAGUUUUUAAGAAUACAAGGAUAAGUAGGGGUGGGCAAAUCGGGUUUCGAUUCGGGUUGUUCGGGUUUCGGAUUGGGUUUCAACCCGUUCGGGUUGGAGAAUUGAACCCAAUCGGGUUGAAAGCACCAACCCGAACCAAACCGAACCGAAUUUAAUUCGGUUCGGUUCGGUUUGGGUUGGCAAUUCGGAUCGGAUUGGGUUGAUAAUUCGGGUUAAAAUUUCGGUUCGGGUUAAUUCGGGUUAGAAUGGGUUGGAACAAUUUAAUCUAAAAAUUCUAACAACAACCACUUAAAAUCUAAAAAUUUAAAUUUCAAACAUUCUUAACAACAAAUAUCAAUUACAAAUCAUCCUUAAUAACAUUUCAACAAUUUAAAAAUCUCAAUUCCAAACAUUCCAAACAUCCUUAAGGAACGAUUUAAUCUAAAAAUUAUAACAACCUCUUAAAAUCCAAAAAUCUUAAUUCCAAAUAUCCUUAAUAACAAAUAUCAUCUACAAAUCAUCUUUAAUAACAUUUCAAUAAUUUAAAACUCUCAAUUCCAAACAUCCUUAAUAACAAAUAUCAACUACAAAUCAUCUUUAAUAACAUUUCAAUAAUUUAAAACUCUCAAUUCCAAAUAUUCCAAACAUCCUUAAGGAACAAUUUAAUUCAAAAAUUAUAACAACCACUUAAAAUCUAAAAAUCUCAAUUCCAAACAUCCUUAAUAUAUAUAUAUAUAUAUUUUUUUUUUUAAUUUAAAAGCUGAAUCUUAAAAAAAAAAAAAAGCUUCAACCCGAACGGGUUGAAACUUUGAAUCCGUUCGGGUUUCACCGGUUAACCCAAACCGAACCGAACGCCCACCCUAAGGAUAAGACCAUAACGCAUGAGAUAAUGGUAUUUUAUAUUAAAAGACCAUAACACAUGUAUUUGAGCCAUUUAUAUUGAGGACACAUAUAGAGCGAAGAGUGCAGAUCCGGCCGUAACUAUUGUGAAGCUUCCCUCAAGUAUUCCCAUGCACACAACCCUUAUCUGUUCAAGUUUUCUGAUUCAAUAUAAUCAAUUUCCGAGCAGUACUGACGACAGCUUCUCUGUAAAGCUCUUCAACCACAAGCAUUUCUACAAGGCAAAAGACUAGGACGUGUCGGAAUGAAUAUCAAUAAGGGAAUGUCUUAUGAAUUCAGUUUAUAUCCUAAUAUAAGACAAUCAGUAAAUAUUGGAUGCAAUCUUAGGCUAACAUUUGGUUGAUCAUUAUACAAAAAAAAAGGUACAAAAAUACAAAACAGAGCUGAUUGAUGGCCUCUCACAGUCAGUUAUAUGACAAAGUAGCCAUCACUACUUGAACUUGGCUGGAGGUCUCAUUAGCAGUAUACCUCAGAAAUUAAUACAGAGACUUUAAAAUGCAAACUUAUGGAGCAAUUUAAGCACUGAAACUAAUAACAGUACGGUAUUAGCAAUUGACCUCUGCUUUUUGCUUGGACAAAGGUUCUCAUCACAAGGGACUCAUUAGUUGCCCUUGCCUCACACUUUUGGAUGCUAAGGGGAAAAAGGAAGCUUGAAUUAGUCAAUCUCAUGUCUAAUGGCAUUCACAGAGAACCUAUAAAACCAAAUAAAUAAAUAAAGUUUUCAUCCAUGAAAAGCUUAGUAAUGGAAAAACCGACUCUUUUAUCUGCCACUGACGAAAAAAAAACUGAAGUAUUAAAUAGAUAAUGAAUUUAAUUUUUUUCUUGGAAAAACUAAUAAUAAAUUAACAAUUAGAUAGUACUAUUAAUUAGAGAUCUUUAAUAUUAAGGUUAUCAAAUAUAGAAUGUGUAUAAAAAUUCUUAAUUAUAAGAUAAUUACUAACUAAAAAGAGGCCUAAAAAAGAAGAUUUGCUAUUAUAAGUAAUACCAAAAAUAAAAAGGGAGACUUCCUAAUUGUUUAAUUGUUAAAAAAGAGGAUUUGUUAUUAUAGGCCUAAUUUGCCUAUGCUUAAAACCGUUCCCGGAUGUAAAAAAAUAAAAAUUAUUGUUAAAUUCCUGACUAAUAAGGUCAUUGAAAGUAUUCAAAGGACCUGAACUAUACCACGUUGCAAGUGAGCUCGUAUUUUUAUCCCUUGAUCUGCCAUCGGUAUUUCUCUUCCACUCACUAUACCAUCCUUUUCAAUCGAUUUUUAUUGAUCAUAAGAGACCAUGUGGCCCACCUUUUUUUUAUUUUGGAUCCAUAACCCAAUGCUGGCCCAAGUUAAACAGCAAAUCAUCAAACGCACUUCAAUGACUUUGAUUUUGAUUUUUUUUUUCAAAAGAAGUAAAAAAAUCCAUGGGUCGCAAUAACUGCUGGGAAAUUUAUAAAAAUAGUCAUAAAAUAUUUGUAUUUUUUAACUUUAAUCCCUUAAAGUUUUUUCUAUCAUAACUAGCCAAAUACCCUACUUUUGGACUAGAUUACCCUCAUCACUUUUAUCAAAUUUAUAAAGACAUGCCACUUUUUCAAUUCCAGCACAACUAAAUACGGUUCUUCUUCAAUAACUUAACAAACAUUUAUCACUCUCAACAAACUUCAUCACUCUCUAUAAAUCAAUUACAUAAUUGAAUAUAAUCAUCAAUGGGAGAGCUUCUUAAAAUUAGUUUAUGCUUUUACACAAUGUAAAUCUUUAAUCUAUUGAUUUUAUCAACUAAAUUUGAAAUUAAAGUGGGUUUUGUUACAAAUAUUGUUAUUUUUCAUUCAUAAAACAAUGUGAUUUGUUAAAGUACUUAGUUUGAGUUGAGAAAUGAAGAAAAAUCAUUGAAAAUAUAGAAAAAUCGGGCAAAAAACGAAGUUCAGAACAAGUGAGAUAGGCAAGUGGGACAGGUGCAUGUCUCACAUAAACGCACUGCAUUUAUGUGCGACAGGCACCUGUCCCACUGCUUGUCGCACAUAAACCCAUAAAUUUUAUAGAGUACAUGAUUUUGGAUUUGAUUUGUCUCGUCAUAAGCUUCGAAACAGUAUAUUAUACGCCUAAAACGAACAUAUGUAGCUCAAGUUAUAGCUUUUGCAAUAUAUAUGAAAUUUAGUGAGACAGGCACCUGUCCCACUUGCCUGUCUCACUAAAUUUCAUAUAUGUUUCAAAAAUCAUAACUUGAGCUAUAUAUGUCCGUUUUAGACGUAUAAUAUAUCAUUUCAAAGUUUAUGAUGAGACAAAUCAAAUUCAAAAUUAUGUACUCUAUAAAAUUUGUGGGUUUACGUGCGAUAGGCAAUGGGACAGGUAAAAUGAAUAAACUCUGAGCCUCUCUCUAUAACACUAUAUAGAACCCUAAGCCUAAGUCUCACAUUCGCAACCGCCCCACAUAUCAGAACCACAGCGAACUGCCUCCGACCCUACGGACCCAAAAAAAUUAUUGUAUUCCUGCUCUUUCACUUCAAUAAUUUUUUGUAUUAUUCCAUAUCUUUCACUUUAAUAACCCAAAAGCUUUCCUCUGUUUCAACCCAAAAGCUCAAAUUCCUUUUUUCAAUCGAAAUAAAACGUAGCCACAAAACCCUAAUUCACCACACCAAUUUAUCUCUGCCCGGUAUUCAUUUAAACCCUACCUCGCGGUUCAAUGUCAUUCAAUACGAUUGCAGAUGCCGUUUCAACUUGACAUUUAGUUAGCGCCAUCCCGUUCUCUAUGGUAAGCCUUAACCCUAACAACUAAUCGACUGUGGUAGCACGUUGCUUGUUAGGAGUGGGGAUACAUUAUUUGAAUAUAUGAAUUGGGUGAUGUUAGUGAUUCAUUCCCCUAUUUUUCGUGAAUUGAGAUUUGUGUAUAAUGCUAGUAAGAUUGCUAAAAAUUUCAUAUUUUGUAUUGUUCCAGUUGAAUUUCUUGCUUGUGGAAGAUAAAACAAAAGUUCAAUUUCAUGUUGAUUUAAUUCUUCUUUUUUUUUUCUUCUUUAUAGUCACGCUCUGGCUUUGGUGCUAUGCUUAGUGCAGUUUAUGGUUUCAAGAUUAAGUCACGUUUAUUUGAUGGCAUCGAUUCCAUCAUUAAGAAGCUCUUCUUAUUUUAUCUCAGUUUCAAUUUUCUUUUAUUAUCUGCCUCUACCUGAAAAUGGACGUGUUUUACUAGUAAGCAUAGACUUUGUUUAUUUAAUUGAUAUUAUAAUUUUAUGUAUAAGAAUGGAGGUUUAUUUUGAAAAAAAAAAAGAAAUAAAAAAAUAGACUCUGUUGAAGCUAAUUAGUACUGAAUUUUUUUUGGUGGUGCGACCAGAGGUGGAAACAGGGUAUGAAAAUGUGUUACUGGUGAGGUUGCUGCUUAAGAUGAGAAUGGCUAAAAAUCUGUCAUACGUUCAAAUUUUGUUUGUGUUUGGAAGAAUGGUGUUGACUGUAUAUUCGUUUGGAAGAAUGGUGUUGAUUGUAUAUUCAUUUGCUUAGCCUUUUGACAGAUGGAUUUGAAACUGACGACAAAUGUGAUUCAAUUUACAAGGUUUUCGAGGGGCUCACAGUGGAAGGGAUAUUGAAGAACUGGUCUAAGAUAAAGCCUAUGAUUGUGAAAGAUUGGAGUGAGAAUAUAGAUGCUCGUUUAAAUCUUUUUGGCAAGGUCAGAGAUGAAUGGAUAGAUAAGGAUUUAUUUGACUACUUCGUCUGGUGCUAAUAGGUAUUUUAGGCAAGCUUUUUGAGAUAACACUGAGCAAGUUAUACUACUAGUUUGCACAUGAUGAUCAAAACUCUCGAAAAGUAAAAUAAAAUAAAUUAUUAACUUUUACUUUCAUCUUUUGCAUAGCAAUCAAUGUGGUGCUUGUUCUGUGACAACUUUGAUAGUCUACUUAAUUAUUGGUUAGCAUUUGGACCAAAAAAGUUCUUAUGAUUUACAUGUUUUGUAGAAAUGCAUGAACCUUAAAUGUGCUGAUCAGGGAGUUUAAUUAUUGCACCUUGAAAUUCAUUUAUUGUUAACUAAUUGGCUUUCCUUUGCAUAAAGACGCUUAUAAGGCUUGAGUGGACGUCUUUAUGGGCAUAUUAUUUGUAUUUCUAUAUGCAUGCCUUUAUCAUUAAUUUAUGUGCUGCUUGUAUUUCUUUAUGCAUGCCUUUAUCAUUUAAUGGCCAGCUCCCUCUCCUCUUUUGUAAUUUGAAUGGUAGUAUGGGCCUCCAUUUUACAAAUCUUUAACAUUUUUUGCUGUAAAUUAAUUUUUCUUUCAAAUAUUUUGGAGGUCAUUGGAAUUCCUGUAGGUCUAUUUACCAGAUUUUAGUACGUUUAAGGUUUUAAUUUUGCUUAGACUUUAAUUUCUCUGAAAGAUUGUAGUAUUGAUCCUCAAAGAAAGAUCAUGCUACUUCAAAUUAUUUUGAAGUGUUGCUAGUUAUAGCCUUACAUAUCAAAUUCCAUUUGUCUGGAAAUUUAUUGAUAGUUGUUACAGCAGCAUAUUUUAUGACUCUACUUCUUAGUUAUGUAAGUUCAUUAUGUUUAGGUCAGAGGCAGUCAGCUGUGGGGAAUCGAUAUAUACACAGAUGACUUUGAUCUUGUUGCUGGUACGUGGUUCUAUGAAUAAUUGUUCACAAUAAUUGUGUUUGCCUCACUGUUUUUGUUUUAUGAGGUCUAUAAUUGAUCUUGAGAUAUUACUUUCUAGUUCUCAUGCAAGCAAGUUACUACCUUCCCACUGCAUCUCCUCCUUUAUCUGCUAUUCAAGAGUUGCGUGCCAUAAUCUGGUGUUACCUCUGCAAGAUUGUGAAUGAAUAUGAUGCCUCUAAAUUUAUUUUAUACAUAAUGCUGAUGCUGAAUAAUAUAUUGUAGCUCCUGUCAUAUUCUACUUUGACUUUUUAUAUUCUGUUUCAUAUAAAAAUCUUAUUCAACUUUAGUUGUUCAUGAGCAAAUGUCACAUGUAUAAGCCCAAAUGAUGCUUAAAGGUAGCGCGGCUACCUUUAGUUUGAGCCUACAAUGGAUGAAAAAGAAAUUGAAACUGAUAUUUUGCUGUUUUUCUGAUUUUUCAAAGUAUUUUAGAUCCUGACUUUUGUUUGGACUUGAUGGUUAUAGAUUGUGUCUAGAUUUGUUAAGUUGUUUCCAACACCUCGUGCCAAAUGAAAGCACAAUCUUUCUGAUUCAGAUGUCUUGUUAAUUAUGCUUCAUUUUUUUCGUUAAAGAAUGGAUGGUUGCAUGGAUUGAUGGAGUUGGAGUUCAACCAAUAAUUCUAAUUUUUUGGACUUAAAAUGCCUUUUUCUUCUGUAUAAAAACUUUAGUAAGUGCUAUUGAGUUGACAGAAGUUGAAUACUUACAGGUUGUUUCACACAUUUUAAUCGUUUUACAUAUAUGAAUUUCUGUUUUUUGAAUUGCAGAAAGGAGGUGGAACUAUUGAUUUGGAGCCUUAUCUUACUCAAUCAUCGACAGCGGAGCCUACCCUCGCUCCCAUGGCAGUGGAACGGACAACGACUACUAGGGCUGCAACAUCAGUUGGUUUGGGUCUGUUUUGAGUUUAUUGUCAUUUAUUUGGCAAUGUUUUGAUAGCGAAUUUUGAUAUGUCAAUAUAAUGUGUAAUUGUUUUGGGUUGAGCUGGUAAUUAUGCUGGAUUAGAUUGGUUUGGUUUUGGUGCUUCUCUGACGGAACACUGCUUUUUUUAGAAAUUUUGAAUGUAAUAUGAGACUACAUUUAGUUUAAUUGAACACUGCAUCUAGUCUAAUUACUAGACGUGUGGCAUUUGGUUUGGUUUAUCCGAUAUUCUCCAGAAUUUCACUUGCAUCUGGUUUUGUUGCAUAUGUUUGCUUGCAUUUGAUGGCAGUAGCAGACUGUUUGGUUUUGUGAGAUUUGAUGGCAGUUUGGUCUGUUCUUGGUGUUGAUUUAAGAUUGUUCCUGUUGUGCUGAUGUUAAUUGCAGGUGCUUGAAUCAGCUAGGGUUGCUGGUUUAUUCAGAUGGUUGACUCAGGCGUUGUUACUGGUUAAUUCAGGUGGCUGACUCAAGUUGUUCAUUUAAUGUUAGGAAGCAAAUUAAGAAUUAAUGAAGUAUUCAUUUAACUAUAAUUUUUGUAGUUAUAUUAUUUCAUAACUGAAUUAUAAUCUAUGAUACUUUUGAACAAAUUAGAGAAUUUUUAAAUAUGAAUUAAAUAUGUGUGUGUAUGUACAUUUUGCUAUUUAUAUAAUAAUUUAAAGAAUAUAUUUCAAUUCCCACAAAAAUAAUGGCUCCAAUUUCAAUAAUUCCCGCCAAAUAAUUAAAUUUUUUUAAUUUACCACCAAAGUAUAUCUUAAAGAAAUUUUAGUUAUUCUUGCUAGAUUUAACAAAAAUAAUUUGUAGGAUUAAAUUUAAUUAAAAUAAUUAAAUAAUUUUAUUAUUCCAAUUAAAAAUGUCAUGUUUAUACGACAGACAAUAGUCAUGAAUGGGAAGUAUUCGUUACAUGUUUUUCCUUGGGAUUUCAGGCAAAUGAAAAAAAGAUUGAGAAUGAUUUCAAGAGGACAGGUGGAUGAUAAGUAUUCAUUUUUGUAUAUUUGGCUAAUGUCCUCAUUAGUGGAUUUUUAUGGUAUUGAUCUUUUUUUUUUUUUAAUUUUCAAUUAGUUGCAGCCCUAGAGGAAGAGCAGGCUGAUCAAAUUGAUUUGUCUUGUUUUUGGGGCAAUCUACGACACGAUGACCGUGAUAAUGCUCGUGACUGCUGGAAACUUUCUGAUGUAAAUAACUUUAGAGUUCGUAGCAAGCAUUUUUGUUAUGACAAAACAAAGGUUCCCCCAUAUUUUGUUUAUUUGUUAUUUAUGGUACUUAUUUAUGGUAUUUAUAUAUCCUGCAUAGGCUAGGUAGACAGGUUAUGAUGUAGUUUGGUUGGCUCUUCUUGUGCUUUGUGCAAUUUGUAACUGCAGAUACCUGCGGGAAAACAUUUAAUGGAUCUUGUUGCUGUUGAUUGGUUCAAAGACACAAAGAGAAUGGACCAUGUAACUAGGCAUCAAAGCUGUGCUGCACAAGUAACUAUUCUUCUCUUUUUUAUUUUUCCUUUUCCAUUGACGGAUUAGAAGAAAAUACUGCCUGUGAGAUACUGUAAUGUAAAUAACUUCUCAUGGUUCAUUGAAUCUAUAACACACUGACCCUCUUCUAAAAAAUGUAGGUUGCUUCUGAAAAAGGGCUUUUCUCACUGAUCUUUAAUCUUCAAGUAAGUUUGUUUCAUUUCAGAAGGUAUUAAGUUUCAAACUUAUUGUAUUGGGAGGUUGUAUAGUUGUAACCUAAGCAUCUGCAGGUUCCUGGUUCAACACAUUAUAGUAUGGUAUUUUAUUUUGUCACAAGGCAAUUGGCUAUGGGAUCACUUUUGCAACGGUUUGUUGAUGGCGAUGAUGAGUUUCGCAAUAGUAGGUUGAAACUUAUUCCAUCUGUUCCUAAGGUAUCCAUCUUGGCCUUCAUGUAUUAGGACUAUAUUAAUGUAUACUUACCCUUUACUGCAUGGUACACUUCAAUUUGUCCAAAGAAGGCAUGCAUUUAGGUGAAAAUGUAUUGAUGGGUUGUACCUUCAAACUUCAUGUCCUUUUUACCCUCUUGAAUUUGUUUUGCACUUGUUCUUGAUUUUAAGCACUGAAUCAUGCAGGGGUCAUGGAUCGUGCGUCAGAGUGUUGGAAGCACCCCUUGUUCGUUAGGGAAAGCGGUUGAUUGUAACUAUAUUCGCAGUCCCAAGUACUUAGAAGUAAAUGCUCUUGGAAUUUCUAUAGUACAUGAGAUGUUCAUCUUUCAAAUAGCAUCCGAUACCAUUAACAUGGUUUAACAUUGUUCAUCUUUCUGUAGAUUGAUGUUGACAUUGGUUCUUCUACCGUUGCUAAUGGAGUUUUGGGCCUUGUAAUUGCUGUAAUUACGACAUUGGUGGUUGACAUGGCUUUCCUUGUACAGGUAUGUAUGAUUGUUUUUUUCCCCCACUUCUAAAUGGACACAAGGGAAAAGACAUGAUUUUGAGAUAUUGCACUGCAAUUUGCAUUUUUGCAUACUUGAAUGUUCUCAGAAUGGUAUAAUGCUUCGUGUGUGUCUUCUUUAUCUUGCUCUUCUGUAUGCAGGCAAAUACUGCAGAUGAAUUACCGGAGCGGCUGAUUGGUGCUGUAGGUGUUUCUCAUAUAGAACUCAAGUCUGCUGUUGUCCCAAAGUUGGAACCAGAGAUAUCAUGACUGUGGUUUCAUUUCACCUCAACUGUGUUUUUUUUUUAAUUAAAAAAAAUCAUUUGUUUUAGGUAUAUACAUACAUGUAUUUUGAUUCGAUUUUCAUUGUAAUUUCUCAUUUACUUCGAAUGAAAGUCAUUGGUGUUUUCGAAUGGGGAUUUUGCAUUAAAAAAUGAACAAUAGUGAAUAGGAAAUUUCCUGAUUCUUUAGUUACUAUUUUUGGUACGAGUGUAAUUAGUAGUAAAGUUGGUUUCUACUCGCAAACAAGUAAACUGCUCGAUUCCCGAGUGGUAUCAACCAGUUUCCAACUUUUUAAUAUACACUAAUUGUUCUUGUUUAAGAGAUACUACUAUUAAAACUCAACAGCUAACAAAAUUACUCAAAAAAGAUGAUUUUUCUUAUGAUGCUGUGAAGAAAAUUACGGGUUUACUUCUCUCCACGAGAUCUAUAACAUGGUUUUGACUUCACGAAAUUCUUUUAAUUUAAAGCAUGCUGGUGUGAGAAGGUCAGUUUGACUGAUUGAUUCUUCAAAAAUAUUCUUAUUCUGAUAUUGUCACAAAUGUUAUGCUGUUUCGGCUAAUGAUCUCCUAUUAGGAGAGGUUAGAAAUCAAAUGCUUAAAAGACCGAUUGAACGAAUAAUACAGAAAAUUUAAGCAGAAUCUAAUCGAAUAUUGCAUGAAACAUGAAACAUCAAUUCAAGUCCUUUCUUAAACGGAGAAUGCAUCAAACAAAAUCUAAAGUGUCUUGCACGUCUGUAGCAUGAGCAAAAAAUUGUAAAUAUGUAGAACCAAAUUAUUCAAGUACAGAAGAACGAGCAAGCUGAAUCAUGUAUUAGAGAUUGGCCUGGUUCGGGAUAGCUUCUUCACUAUACCUGAAUAAUUUGCUAAAUAGCACCAAAACUUAAUUGAUACUUACCAUUUCAUUGAACAAUUUUUUUAUGGUGUCAUUGAGGUUGCCUUCCCAACAUCCUUCAUCAUCAUCAUCUUUUUCUUCUUCGGUGACGUUCACUUUGUUUAGCAUUGGUGUGUCUAAGACUCCUUGAGAGAAGAUCUUCAUUUUUGGACACUGUCUCACAACUACUUGUUUCAAGGACGGGAAUUCAAGAGCGUAAUUACCCAAACAAAAGCUUGUUAGGCUUGGCAAACAAUCAAGUCCUAAGUACUCCAAUUCCUCGAAACCAUUGCAAUCUUUCGCUUCUUCUCCAACCUGCGAUUGUAUGAUUUCUUCUAUCAUUUUGCAAUCAGCUAUCUUCAUUCUUCCGAGAUUAACCAGAUUUUUAGAUGCUGAGAGCGUCAACACAUUUAUCAACCCGUGACACUUCGAUACUUCCAGUCCCCACAUAUUUUCCAAAUGCCACGAAGGUGGUACUAAUUUUUGCAACUUACUACAUUCCGAUAUUUCUAGACUUCCCAAGUUUGCAAACGCUUUGUUGGAUUCGUCAUUUUCCUUCCAGAUAUGCUGCACUUUGUGUAAUCCAGAUAGUGUUAACCAACUCAAUUUAGGGAAUGCAACCUGAAAAUCAACAAAAUUAAUUAAGUUGUAAAUGAAAAUAUGUAUCCAAUCUCUGGAGUCUUCCCCUGCAUAUUUUAUGGACAAGAUUAAUCACGGCAUUUUAUAUUUUUUUUCCAAAUUAGUAUGCUUUGCAGUAGGAUCCCAAAUAUAAGUAUCAAAUCGAUUACCCUUUGAAACACAUAAAUGAAAUCUGAUCCUAAAUCCAAUAUGAAUUAACACGCAUAAUUAAUAUAGUUCAUCACCUCAUGUCACUAGGCAUCUAAUUAAUUUGAGACAUUUUAAUAAUUUAUACUAUAAAGUUAGUUAAUAACUGCGGUUAUAUUGUUAAAUCAUAUAUAAAUUAAGACGACAUGCAAAAAGAUGAGUCAUUAAAUUUGAUUUGAUUCUAAUGAAAUUACAUCUAUGCGAACGAAAGUGAUGGGAAUAAUCAUCAUCAUCAUAAUAAUAAUAAUAAUAAUAAUAAUAAUAAUCACCUUUUCAUCGAAGAGAGGUUGUAGUUGAUGAGCCAGCAAGAAGUUCUCUUCUGAUGUUAAUUUCUGAGGUUCCUUGUUAUCUGUUGUCACGUGCACUACAGAUGUAGAAUUGGAUAUGAAUGUUUCCUUAUCAGGGCAAUUCUCAAUAGUUAGAUAGUCCAACUCAGGCAGUUCAAUUAUAUUCCCAGUGAAGUUGCAGAAUCUUUUGAGUUUUGGAAGAUCAAUGAGCCUUAGAUUGGAAAGCUUAGGAAACAUGGGGCCUAUAUGUUCUUCCUUGGCAUUUAGCUCUUCCAAAUGAAGCACCUCUUCUAGUGAAUCACAAUUCGUCACUGUCAGGUAUUGCAAAUUGUUCAAGCACCGUAGCAGAUUGGCAGGAAUAGCACUCGACAUAUUCGUGCAGUCAUCCACCACCAGGUCACUUAAAUUGUUGAAGAAGCUGACAGGCAGUGCUUGGCCAUGCCAUAUUUCUUGCAAACGUGGAAAAUGCGAGAGUUGCAAAUACUCUAUAUCACGGAAUCCAAUCUGCACAAACCAAAACUAUUGCACUGGAUAUAUACAAUUUUUUUUAAAGGCAUUAGAUAUAUAUAUAUAUACACACACACACACAUUAAACUUACAUGUUUUGUGUUUUAACUUCUAAAACUACAUAUACAAGGUAGGUGUAUAUGUUUAAAUGUGCAAGCGUAGGGGAGAUGCAUGAACAAUUUGGGUGAAUCGAUUAACACAGACCAUCUUUUUGUAACAUAUUUUUAAAUGUGCAAGUGCAAGGGAGAUGCAUAAGCAAUUUGGACGAAUCGAUUAACACAUACCAUUUCUUCGUAGCCCUUUUGUAUAAAGGAAUUAAGGUUAUCGCCUUCCCGAUGGUACAAUUCACCCUCUUCCUUUUUACUAACUUGCACUUUGCAUGGCUUUGGAAUGGAUAAGAUUCCGUGAGAAAAAGUCUUCAUGUUCGGACAAUGUGUCACAGAAACUCGUUCCAGUGAUGGGAAUUCAAGAGUAUAAUUCUCCAAACAAAAGCUGGUAAGCCUUGGUAAAUCAUCAAGUAUCAAAACUUUUAAUUUACUGAAAGCAAUAUGAUUCUCCUUCGCUUCUUCUCCAACAUGUCUUAUGAUUUCUUCUAAUUUUGUGCACUUCGAUACAUUAAGAUUCACCAGACUACUAGGAAUUCCAACCUGAAAAUAAGCAAAAGUGUGUGUAUAUUAAAAAAGUAAAAAUGUAAGAAUAUCAUUCAACUAGGUUCAAAGUAUGUUUAAUCAUACAAUUAUACGUUUUAUAAACAUAACAAACCAUGAAAUGUCUACUAGAUAAUUUUUUAUUAAACAAAAAAAGCAACAAGAUAAAUAAAUAAAUAAAAGCCAGAUAAACAAAGAUAAUAAAAAUGCAUUUACACUAUUUACUAUUGGGAACGUAGAAAGAAUUUAAGGCAAUUUCUAAAUAUUUUAGACUUAUUUUGCAUCUUGAUAUCAGUUUUUAAGCAUAAAUUUACAAAUUUCAACUAUUCCUUUUAGGGAAAAAAAAUUCAACCAAAAUGCCGCUUUUUCCCUUUUCCUUGGUCCCUUUUUUUAUGUACAUUUAAAAAUGGAAAAAAAAAAUUGGAAAAGACUUCCCAAUAUUGUCAAUAAGGGACUGCUGCUGUAAAGUGGAUCUUUAUUAAGUACUUCCAGACUCAAGGAAAUUUCUUUACAAUCACGGGUCAGUUGUAAAUAAUCAUGAAUUUGUGGUUAAUUAAUGGCAUAAUCAAUUCGUAACUAAACAAGAGAUAUUAAUUAAAUUUGAAGACUUUUAUUUUCUUUUUUUCUUUUUCCAAUCGAAAUGUGAAGAAUUAAGGAAAAGAGAAAUAUAUAGAUGAAUUUGUGAACCUAUAAGAUGAGUGACGAUCCUUUAAUUUUUGAAAAUCGUACUUAUUAAGAUAUGAGCAAAAACUAUUUAAUUGAAUUAUAUUAUGCUGUUGAAUCGUGUUUAAAAAAUUUAUAUUGUUGAUUCUAAUGCUGACGAACCUAAAAACUGGACCUAAAACGUAGAUUUCAGAGUGGUGGUUCGAAGUACGAUACUUGAAAUAAAUAAUCAGUGGCUGAAUAUCAUUUGUAAACAAAAAAUGGUUAAAAUAUUGUUGGAUGUAAUUUGAAAAAAAAAAAAAAAGAUUCGAAAUGAAUACACUCAAAUAUCUCCAAAUUCUUCAAUUUGCUGAAAGACUCCAAAGCAAGCUGGUGGUGCCAUAUUCUUCUCAAAUUAUCCAUCGACCUAAUACGUAAUACCUCCAAACUAGGAAGUCGUACCUGGCAGUUAAAGAUUAAAUAACUAAUUAAUCAAUUAAUGGCAUAAUCAAUUGAUAACUAAAUUAGAGGCGGAUAUUAACUAAAUUUGAAGAAGACUCACGGAAAAGACAAAUUAAAUAUUAUGACUAAAAUUAAUUUUUUUUAUUAAAAAAAAAACCUUUUCGUCAAAGAGAGGAGGAGGUUGCAUUUCAGAAUGAAUGGUGUCUUCUGGUGAGCUCGUAGAGAUGAAUCUUAACAUAUUACUGCAACUCUGAAUCUCGAGCUUUAGCAAAGAAGGGAAUUCAACGACUAAAUCUGAAUGAAUAUGUCCCGUAUUGGCAAAGCUUGUUAGUUCAUAAAGCGCUUCUAGCUGCAGGGAGUGUAGCUUAGGAAAAACCUUUAAUUCAAUCAACUUUCCUUCAUCUCUUUCUGACCACCCCGUGGUGUCGACUACCCCUUCCAUUGAAUCACAAAGCCUUAUCUCAAGAUGUUGGAGUUGCAUCAGACGAUUACAAUUCCCCACGUACAGCUUUGUUAAAUUUUGACAACAGUACAUUCCUUGAUUAUGAUCGGCCCAUAAUUUUUUCAUGUUUCUUAAGUCCCAGAGAUUCAAUUCCUCUAAGCUCGGAAGAAUAACCUGCAAAGAAAACCCGUACAUUUUUGUUCCUUCAAGUACAACCGUCUAGUAUAAUAUUCUUUUGAUGAUCGAAGAUUAAUCGUGAUAAUAAAUUAAUCAAUUAAUUAUUGAACAGAAAAUUAUCACCUUUGGAGCAGUAUCAUCAUCAGCAAUGAUUUCGUUGAAUCCCAAAGAAGUUGUUGGUUUCUCCCUGUCGGGUCCUAUAAACAAACAAAAACAAUAUACAUAAUUAAUCUUUGUCGUUGUCUUUUUUUUUUCAAAAUAAUUGAGGCGAAGUCCAUAAAUCCACCAACACUUAACUUCAACACUUACCAACCAUCAUUUCCAGAUCAUGGCAAAAAGCCACUUUGACCUUUUGAAGCCGCAGUAGGUUUUUGGCUAUGGAGAAUGAGAAAAGAUGCUUUAAUUUGUGACAGGAUUGUACUCCUAUAAUCCUUAAGUUGCUGAAAGAUUGAUCUUCUGUGAGUUGGCUGUCACAUAUUGUCUCCAAAUUGUUCAAAUUGCGAAGAGACAAUGACACCAGCAAGGGGAAGACUUUGCGACGAACCCGUCCAACUGAACCGACAAUAUGCAAAAUCUCAGAACAACUUUCUACAGAAAGAUGCUUCAAUCGUGGAAAACCUUCCCCAUCAUCUAAUUCAUGAACAACAUUCUGAACACCCUUCAGUUCGUUUAGAUGGAUCUCUUCGGCUUCCUUCAGCAACAUUUUCGUCCCAUAAUUCUCCAAAAGAGUGCUAACAUUUUCUAGCCCAUGGAGCCCCACCAAUCUUGAUGUUUCAGAAUUAACGGGCCAAAUGCGCCACCACGCUUCUCCUAUACAUAUCUUAUAGCUUUGCAAUUCCACAGAGACCCAAUCCUGCGGCAGAAUUUGGGCAUCCGGAACUUGUAUAUUCAAAGUAGUUAGCUUUGACAGCCCCUUCAAUUCAGCAAGACUGGCGUUACUUCCUCCUUCAACCUUAUCCCACUGCGAAAAGCUGUCACCCAUAUAUAGUUCUUCCAAUCGAGAAAAUUUUGAUAUGACAUUUGGUGCUAUCACUACAAGGCUCCUACAAUUGCUCAAAUCUAGCAAUUGUAACCGCGUCAAUUGUCCAAUUUCAAGCGGUAACUGCUUAAUGUCGGAACCUCGAAAGCUAAGAAUCUCUAAUUUCUUUAGCUGUCCAAUUGCCGCUAUAUCUUCUAGUUGGCACCAGUCUAAACACAAUGUUUGAAGGUUAAUGAGGCGACCAAGUGAUGAAGGUAAUGAAGAGAAAGGAAUUCUAGUAAGAGUUAAAACUUUGAGUUCUUCUGUCCCUUCAAAAAAGAGGUCUGAAAUUUGCAUUGAGCUAUAACGCUUUGAAAACAACAAAAGUAACUGGAGACGGGGACAUCCCAACCUUUCGGGAAGCUCUUGAAUAUCUCUCUGGGGUAAUGAAAUGGCAAUUGGAUCUUUCCGUAUUGUCUCUUCCAUCUUUUUCUCCACGUCAUCAACAUUUGGAAUAUUAAACAUGCGCUCCCCUGCAGCAAUUGAUACAGCAACAACAUGAAUGACGUCAUGCAUUUUAACUUCAUCUUCAGCAUCACCGUCCAACAAUAAGCAUGAAGAUUUGAGAUUGUCGAUCAACCGAUGCACUCUACUCCUUGCUUCUUCCAAUGUGUAAACAUUUUCAAACAAACCCCAACCCACGCCAUAUCUCAAUAAGCCAGAAACUUGUAUCGCAUGACCUUCACUGUACAGACCACAAAGACGGAACAGAGGUUUUGCCUCCGCACUUUCCAAAAAGUCGUAACUCAAUUUUAUGGAGGUGUACACAUUUGCUUUCAUGCCAUGAAUUUCUCUUGCAUGCGAUCUUCUUAGCUGAUUCAAUGCAUCUUGCCAAAAGUAACGCUCCUUAUUUUUCAGAGCAUUUGCAACUGUACUCAGUGCAACAGGCAAACCUCCGCAUUUUUCAACGAUCUCAUUUGCUGUACUUUGAAAAUCAGAUAUUUUAGUUGAAUCACCCACUAUCUUCUCAAAUAACUGCAAUGCUUCUUCUUUCGAUAAAGCAUCGAUCCAGAAAAUUUUCUGACAAUUCAUAUCAUUGCACAAUAAAUCUCCACUUCUAGACGUCAAUAUUAUUGUGCAUCUUCUCUGAUCAUCCUCUCUAUCUUUCUCAUCAACAUCCCCAGAAGGAAUUCCAACUUCAUCGAACUUCAGUUCUCUCCAAAUGUUAUCCAAUAUAAUCAGGACCCGCUUCUCUUUCUUCAAUACUCGACGUAGUCGAUUUGCUCUGUCGAAUAUAUUCUCAUUCAACUCAAACUUUAUGCCUAAAUCAGAAGCAAGUUUGUCUUGAAUUUUCUGAUGAUCUGGGUUCUCUGUUAUCUCAGCCAUAGCGACCUUAUCGAACCACUUAUCUUCCAUCACUUGCUUUGCAACUUGCUUUACGAGCGUGGUUUUACCCACGCCGCCCAUCCCGUAGACCCCAAUUAUGUUGAGCUUAUCAUCCCUCAACGCCUCCAUAACAUCUUGAAAUACUUUCAUUCUUGAGUCAAAGGCCUCGAAAUCUUUCACUUGCAUGUGUUCUACCAGCUUUGGAGUAGGACGGUGGGAAACAUUGGAGAAGUUGCCUUUUCCCAUGAGACUAGCUGCAGCUUCUGCGGCCUUUGCUGCUUGUCUACUGAGCUUGUAACGAGAGAUCAAGUUUGGGCACAAUCCUUUGAAACAGAACUUCUUAGCUCUAUCUUCAUCAUCUGUGAUGGAUUUUGCAGCGCCCUGAGUGAAUUCCUUGACGCUAUUAAGCCAGUCUGCAACAUCCUCAUAAAUCUCAUCUCCUUGUUGAGUAGCCUGAUGAACGGGUAUUUCCACCCUUUCUCUUUGAUGUCCCAGCUGCUUCACUUGAACUUUUAGGCCAUCUAUGUAGCUCUGGUACUUGAACACAUAAGAUAUCUGCCGUUUAAGCGGUUUGUACAGUGACUUUGCACCUUCUGAUACAACGCCGGUUAAAAAAGCCAGACACGCUUCUACAGCCAUUGCCUGUUGCUUAACGAUAUAUAUGUAGUUUUUGGCUGUUUAAAAAAAAAAAAUGGAUUCAAAUAAAUUAAAUGAACUAGAGGGGAAGAAAAAGAAAGAAACGACAACAAACAACCUUUUAGAGAAAGGUUUGACGGGCCUGAAUGGAAAACCAACAACUUUUUGAAGAAAGAAAGCUUUGGAAGAUAGAUGCAAAUUAACCGUUGAUAAUACUACAUAAGAACACAGAAGUUAACAAUAAACAGUAACUUAAAACUCAAGAAAAUUAAAUGACGAGAUUAAGACAAACAAGGGAUAGUUUUUGUUGGACAUUAAGAAACAACUGCUAUCAAGAUCAAGGAUUAGAAAUUAUGCUAUUAAAAGAAGUUAUUAAAGGAUUUAGAACAAGUUUACCUCUUUAAUUAUCUAGGAUCAGAGUUUAUGAGCUUCACUAUUGGCCUUGGAUGUAUAAGAAAAACUUUAAUGAGCAAAAGAUCACUCUUAACUGCGGAGGAAUGUGAGUAAAGAGUUUAUGGGAGUAAAGCAAUACAAUUGAAUUGUAAAAGAACCAAGACUUAAGCGUGCGUCCCGUGUUUUGUUUUAUUAUAUAAACAGAACAUAUGUUCAUUUUUAACAAAUUGAUCAAUAACUCUAUUCGCUAUUUAAUUAAUAAUGUAAUCAAUUUUAAGAGAAUAUAAUAAUAAUCCUUCAAUGCAUAAAUUUAGAAUUAGAUUUUUUUUUACUUUUUAUUUAAAUGUAAAUCUCAGUGGAAAAUUAUAAAAAUUUAGAGAUAAAAUUUUUCAAUCACCAAACGGAAAAACAGGGGAAUGAAAACAGAGGAAUCUUGUUUUACUUUUUUUUUCUUUUUAAACCUUAACUCUUGUUCUUAUAUAAAUAAUCUUGUUCUGAUGAUAGUGCUCUUGACUGCAGGAAAAUUUCUAAUGGAAACAACUCAAUUUCGGAAGAUUAGCUCAGUUUUGCAAGCGAUGAAUUUAUUCAAUUGACUCUGUACUUGAACUCGUUGGAUUGGUUGAUUUAUGAUUGACUGAAUUUCAAUUCGGCCUAAAAGAUCUUUAACCAAAGUUUAAUAGCUAUCAUCUACUCCUUAAAAACAAAUAUGUAUCUUUUUUAGAUUUGACUGAAUUUGAACUUGCUGGAUUGGUUUUUUUUUAGAUUAUUAAAAUUUGGAAUAUUUUUUUUUCCUUGCUUUCUUUUGUUGGAGGAUUAGAGAUUUUGGUAUUACCAGAAAGGUUUCAAGGGUCUGAGUAGAAACCUAUAAUCUUUUGAAAAACUUUGUUUUUUUUUUUUUUUAAUUUUUUGGGGAAAAGGAUGCAAAUUAACCAAAUGGAAAUAAUAAGAGCACAGGCUUUAACAAUGAACAAUAACUUAAAACUCAUGCAAAAUAAAUUCAAUAUUAAAACAAACCAGAGAAAUUUUUUUCUUGAAAAGUAGAUGGAAAUUAUGAAAGAACAGAUGUCAAGAUCAAGGAUCAGGGAUUCUACUACCCAAAAAAAAUAAAAAAUAAAAUUAAAGGAUUUAGAAAAUGUGCACCUAGAGUUGGUGAGCUUCUCUCUCUAUUCACUUGAAUAUUUAAGAACAACUUGAAAGAGGAAAAAGAUCACUGGUAACUGCUGAGGAAUGUGUGAGAAAAGAGUUGACGAGAGAAAUAACAAUGACUUGCAGAAGAAAAACCAUUAAUCAAGCACACCUUUUUAUAUCCUGUAUUUGGUUAUUGUUGCCCUCUUGACGCAUGUAUAGAAUAAUUACGUGCAUUUUUUUUAAUCCGCAUGCACUUUAAUGAUUAGUGCUCCUUUCAUAAAGCAGAUACCGGAAACACACAAAUAUCAUUUGAGAGAGAAACUAAACAGCAAAUCAUCAAAGUAAGAUCAAUAAUAUAUGACUUGGUUAAUGCAUAUUCAAGAACAAAAACAAAAACAAAUAAAUAAAUAAAUGGAGAAGGUUUGAUUUUGUACUGCCAACGCUGCUUUUUUGUUAUUUCAUUUGUUCUUUCCACAAAUGAUGCUUGGUUAUAAUUAAGUUCCACAUGGCCGUUACUUACAAACUGUGUUUGUGUUAACAGAAACGUGAAAUUCACAUCACACAAAAUUACACUAUCAAUUCUUAAGAGAACAUAAUAAUAAUCACUCAACGCAUAAGGGUAAAUUUAGAAUUACAUUUUGAAAUUGAUAAAAUGUUUUUUAUGGGAUUUCAGGCAAACCAAAACAAAAAAAAUUUCAAUAAAGAGCUAGUUGUUGAAAUUGAUUUAUCUUGUCUUUCAGGCUAUCUUGUGACGUGACGAUAUAUAAUGUUCGUGAAUGCUAGAAAAUUUCUAAUGCAAACAACUCAAUUUGGGAUGAUAAGCUUAAUUUUGCAAAUGACGAAUGUAAAUAACUUGUUUUGAUUAAUUGAAUUUGUAAUACUCUUACCCUAUUCUAAAAUUUGGAGGUUGCUUGAGAAAAAAAGGGUAUUUCUCACUCAUCUUCAAUCCUCAAGUAAAAUUAGGUAAAAAGCAAAUCUAAAAAAUCACAAACGAAUUAACAAAAAAAGAAAAAAAAAAACAACAUUGAUCUUGAGACAAGUGAUAUUUAAACAGAGAAUUCUUUAUUCUUUUUUACUUGCCCCCCCCCCCCCGGGGCUCGAGGAUUAAAGUCUUUGCUAUUAACAGAGAGGCUUUAAGAGUCUGAAUAAAAACCCGUGCUUUUUUUAAAAAACCACUUUUUUUUUCUUUUUUCUUUUUUUUUGGGAAGAUAUAUUCAAAUUAACCAAAGCUAGUAAUAAGAGCACAGACCUUACAAAUGAACAAUAACUUACAACUCAAGCAACAUAAAUGAUAAGAUUAAAACAAACCGGAGAUAUUUUUCUUGGAAAAUAGACGGAAAUUAAAUAAGAACUGCUGUUAAAAGAAGUUAUUAGAGGAUUUAGGAGCAUGUGUACCUCUUUAAUUAUUUGGGAUCAGAGAGUUGAUGAGCUCUCUAUUCGCCUUGAAUAUUGAGUAAGAACUGGUAUUAAAAGAAAUUAUUAAGAACAAUAUUUUAGUGAGCAAAAGAUCACUGUUAACUGCAGAGGAGUAAAAUGCUGAAAAGAGCAGUAACAAUGAAUUGCAAAAGAAGAAGACUUAACCAAGCACCCCUUUUAUACCCGAUUUUUAAGAUUUAAUUUUGAAGUUCCCAAUCAAGAACAAAGACGAAGCUUUAAUAAAGCAUGCAGUGAGAUACAAGAAAUGGAUCGGGCAAAAUACCUUACGAAGCGUUUCAUAUUUUCUAAUGAAAUAAUUUAGUUGAAUUCUUCGACGAAUAGAUACCUGUUGUGCUAGAAUAAUUUUGGCACACACAUUACUUGUGCCCUGUGAAAUUGAAAAGCACACUCAUUUACAGAGCUUGUUAGUGGGGAAAAGCUUCGUAAGAUGCCUGAUAAAAGAUAAAGCAAAAGCUUGAAUGAAGAAUGGCAUUUUAGAAAGAAACUAAAGUGCAAUCAUCAAAGUAGGAUCAAUAGUGAGUUGAUCAGUUAUGCUUUUUGUUAUUUCAAUUGUUCUCUCUUUUUUCAAUCUCUCUUUAUGUUAUAAUUGAAUAAUUGUAUAGAAAGUGUGACGGUUGCUGCAGCAUUAUGAAGUCAAAAUUGAGAACGACAUUAAAUAAUCAAUCUCUUUAUGUAUUUACUCGAAUGUCUGAUAGUGUUCAGACUUGGAUUUUCAAUAAACACAGAUUCGAAAUCCAAAUAAUUGAAUAAUUGUGUACGUUCAAAUUCAGCAUUUAAUUACUAUAUAAUUAGACAUAAAUGUGUAUAUAAUUUUACUUUCUAAGAAUUAACUUCUACCUUGAUUCUAAAAAAAUAUAUAUAUAUAAUUUUACAAAUAAUUUAGUACGGCGUUUGGUAAAUGAUAACUAUUUGAGAAUAAGUUUUAAAAUGGUUUACUAUACAAAUCUGGAAAAUGAAAAUUAAAAGUGUAAAAUGUUCACAUAAUGAAAAUUAAAAGUGUAACAUGUUCACAUACAAUGACAAAAAUAUAUUUAUUUACUUAUUUGUAAUUUAUUUUGAAUAUUAUUGUUUAAAUCAUUUUUUUACUUACUAGAUUUUUUAAGAGCAUUCUAUUUUCUUUAUUACAUAUUUAAAUAAUUUUUUAUUAACUAUUUUAAUUUGCAAUAAAAUUAACUUCAAUAUUUUUUUAACUGAAAAUUUUGUUAUGUAGUUCGUGAUAUAACAAAUACUAACAUAUUAUUAAAUUGAUUAAUAAAUUACGUGCAAAAAAGAAAAUGCAAAAAUUUAAUCUUUAUAUAAACUUUUAUGUACAAAAACCGUUGUAAUCAAACUAGUUCAUAGAAAUAUAAUAUUUUAUACAUGUGUUUAAGAAAAACAUAUAACUAUAAUAUUAUCCACUCAUUAAACUUGCAGCACUAUUAUUUCUAAUUCUCUCCAUCACUCGACCUACAGGAACAUUACUACCAUAAUUUUCUUCUUGAAUUCAACCUCCAUUUCCACAUCAUCAACAAAGCGAUCAAUUUGCCUUGAUAGCCUUUCAACUCCUCCCACUUUCCUCCCUUUUGCAGACACUCUUUUUCUUUUUCUUUCUUUAAUAGCUUCAAUGGGAACAACCUCAUCUAUCGACAAGUCCAUUCUUCAACUAGAAUAGAGUUGGUAGUAGAUAUUUUAGUACUCUCAAACGAUGCCCAAACCGUGUCACCAGUGAUUGUUGUAUUAAAAAACAUUCCAUGUAAUUUUUCCUCUGACUCUGGGUCGAUACCUUUUAUGCAAAAUCUAUUUACUUCAGGAAUUUUAUACAUAUGUCGAUAUCAUAUUAAAGUGAAUUCAGAUCCUAUAUUAUUGACAUUUAGCCAAAGGUAAAAAAUUUUCCUUUUUGUUUGUCCCCCAACUAUAUAGUCCCAUUUUUGGUUAUAAGCUCGCAAUAUGCAAGGGAAAUGAAGAUCUACUAAAAACUUCCCCAUAAUAUUAAACAUUAAACAAUAUCAACAUUUUGUGCAUAUGGUGCCUCUCCAACAACUUGAUGUACAUUAUGUUGCUCGGUGGAAUAUGACUACUUAUUAAUUAAUUAGCAAGACUUGCGUUGCGAGUCCAUGCUUUUGUUGUUUGGAUGGAGGAUCUGCCAUCCUUAUUGUGAAAUAUGAACUAAAUAUACACUCACGACAUGUCAUAUGUUGAGUCUGUAGUAGCACGACAUGUCAUCUGAUAAGCAUUUGGAACAAAACCGACAUGAGCCAAAAUGUCGUUCUUUGUUUAAGUAGCUCACGUGUUUGGCAUGUGAGCUGAACAAGACUCUUACUCUCAGAAACGACUGAACCAGAAGCCGUUUUGAGCAUGCUUAUUCAAGACACGUUGCAAGCACGUGGCUGAGGCUGAAUCUGUUAUGUUAGCGGGAAAAGCCGCUGAGGAAGGCAUCCAGAAUCAGUUAAUAAAGAACUGGAGUUCUGGGUUUUUCACAACAGGGCCAGAAAACAGAGAGAGAGCAGAGAAAGAGGGAAUGCGAGAGAGAGAGAGUUCUGAAUAGGCUUGUAAUCUCCAUUUGUGUUUGCUCUCUGUAAACUCUUGAACAAGCAAUAAAGUGAAAUCACAGAGUUUGUUUCCAGUGGAUGUAGGCAUCAUUCAUUUGGUGCUGAACCACUUUAAUUCGUGUGUGUUUUGUUCUUGAUCUAUUUGUUAUUCUUGAUUCUUAGUAGGUUGACUUCUUCUUGGUUGAAUCUUGAGUAUAAACCAGUGAGUGAAGUGUUCUUGGGGUGGGUUUAGUCUUGAUAGUUAGGGCUUAAACCAAAACACUUUUAUUUUAGAUGCUUUGUAAGACUUCUGAUUUAAUGAUUGAAUGCAGCCAAUUAACGAAAGCUUACAUAUAGUAUUAUGUAGGUGCUGAGAUGUCUGUUCUUGAUAAAGUAGAUAUAUUUACACCCAAGCCAACGGAAUCAAAGCCUUUUCGUUAAUAAUAUACACGGUAAUUGUUUUUGUUAAAUUGAUUUCUGGCUAACAAGAUCUUUUUUUUUUUUUGAAAGGGCUAAAAAGAUCUUUGAAAGCAUUCAAAGAAGCCGCCGAACUCAUAGGAAAGCCAUGAUUAAAUAUACGGUGAAGCAAGCGAGCUCGUUUGUUAAUCUCUUGAUCACUCAUAAGCUUUUCUAUACGGCUCACGAUAUCAUCCUUUUGAAUCGAUUUUGAUUGAUCAUCGGAUAUCAUGUCCCCACCUUGAGAUGAUUGAUCACCAAUUUGGCAUUGUAAUGUUGAUCACCUCUAAUUGGCCAUGCUAAAAUUGGGAGCCCACAACUAAUUGCUUCCAUAGUUGAAUUCCAUCUACAAUCAAAUAAAAAUCCACCCAUUGAUUGAUGACUUAGUAUCAAUAAUUGUGGCGCCCACCCAUCUAUUAUCAAUCCCCUUUUAACCAAUAAAGUGUUGGCUCCACUGGCAAUGGAGUCCCCUUAAGUGGUUUGACUGGGUUUGCUCCCCAGUUCGAGUCGCAGGGAAGUCGCCUUUGUUGGGAGAACCUGUGCCUCUCGGUUCGAGCGGGGACUUCUAGUCUGGGUUGUGGUACGGGCUUAAAGGUGCCUCCCACAGUUGGGGCCCUCCCCAGGAUACCUCGUGGUCAAAACCAAAAAAAAAAUCAAUCCCCUUUUACCGACUUUACUCUCCAAACCACUGGAAAAAUAACUGCCUUCUACUGGUCUGUCUAAACCGGUUAAAUGACGCGGAGGAUCCAAUCUACCUGCACUAGUUUGAAUUACCCAAAUAAACUGUUGAUUUGAUGCUUCUAAACAUUGGCAAGGCUGAAUACUCCUCUAAGGUGGGACGCACUUUGGUACCAAAUUAUAUGUAUAGCACAGAUCUACGUGAUUUCAAAUCCAACCAUUAAGCGAUCUCAUCUUCAGUCAUGUUAGAACUCUGCUGGUUGGUCUCGUCUCACGAUCAUGAAACGCUGAACCGACCAAUUUGUAAAAUUGUUUAGGUAACAAUGAGCCCACUCCCCACACCGGCUUUCCCAUUUGAUUGGCUAAAUAAUUAAUAAAUGGUCCCUCAAGAUCAUUACAUGUGUUAGAACAUCAACGCCAUCGAUCCCUUCACUUCCUUCAUGCAGUGUGGUUGAUCAUCGGGUUCUAGUGGACCUAUUUUCCCUGAACCGGGUGCACUCUGCAGAAGUGGUGGACCACUAGGAGGGGGCCCACAAGGCCUACGUCUAAGAUUCGAUUCAAAUAAAGCCGUAUCCUCAGGUACCCCAGGAAGUAAAUAGGCCUCCCCUGAUUUGACAUCUUUGAUGCGAGCCUACCACAUGGCACACUCUACAAUUGUUCAACUAAAAUUAAUAAUAUUGUUCUAAUUAAUUACUCGAUAAGCAAAUAGUCAUAGACAAAUCUAUCCCUAAUCCCACAUUUACAAAAUAAAGAAUUGAAAUGAGUUUAUGUGGCUUUGAACCCAAGCCCUCAAGCCUAGUGGCUGGAUCUUGACCACUUUGACAUAAUUAUUAUAACAAUUUUUUUUUUCAUAUUUCACUAAGCAUCUUUUGUUAUAUAAUGAGGAAGAUAAGUUGACGGAGAAGGGUUCUACUUUUACUAGUAGAUGAGAUUUAAAUUAAGAAGGUUAGUUUUAGAUUGUUAAAUUUCCUUAGACGAUUAUUCAUGUGAGAUGUUUAACAUAUACUUGAGUUAGUCGGUGCCUAACAAUUCUUGUGAUACAUGAAACCAACCAAUAUGAAAACCAUAUGAAGUUGGUAGGAUUAGAUUAAUUUAAAUGAAAAUAAAAAUUAGUUUAUGCUAUUUAUUAAUCUUAUACUGUUGAAAAUUGAAAGUUAAUUCUUUAGCCUGUCAAUUGGUUCAUGACAUAAUUAAAAUAUUCAAGUAAAUACAUUUAUCGUUUAACAUUAAUUUUUCAUGCGGUAAAACCAAUACUAAUUAUAGAGUGGAGAGAAUAAUCUGUAGGGUAUACCCCCACCUUUUAUUUCAUUUCAUUUAAAAAAAAAAGAGAGAGAGAGAAAAGUAAAGGCUUGUUCAACAUUCAAGUAAAAUUAACAAAUCUAUGAUAAAAUUACUUCAGAAUAAAAAUUAAAAUGUUUAAAAAAAAAACGGCAACUCGAAAACGACAUACAAAUACCGCAUAGAAGGUUUUCGUCACGAGAUAUUUUUGGGCUGAGACAACACUUGUAUAACUUAGCAUAUAGCUUGGAUGACGGUGAGAAUAAGAAGGAAAACGGCACCGCAGACCGAAAUGCCAGCCCAUGGAGUAUUGAAGUAAUUUUUUUUCACAAUUCAAAGGAGGUUUUGGAACUUACCACAAGGCUGAGUAUUUCAACAGUUAUGGAUGACAUAAUCCAGCUAAGCAGAAGCUGAUCUUGGCGUUUCCACACAGCAUAUUCUGGAUUUUCAUGACCUUCAGAGAUUGACGAAGUGCCUUCAAAUCCAGGUGAAAGAAAUUGAUCAGGACAUAGCUUUGAUCCAUCGAUAUAAGACUCAAGUCCAUUGCCUCGAACUGAAGAGAGCACCUGAUGUUUCCAGAUCGUGUAAUUUGUACGAUCUAAUUUGACUGGUGUAGUGAAGGUGAAAGAAGCUAUGGCACUGGUAUUAGAUUGUGAAUUUGAGUUCGUUAGAGCCAUUGGAUCUAGCUCUGAUACCAAGUUAAAGAAGCUUUUCCUGUUUGUUUACUCAGAAAGUGAAGGAAAAAUACAGAGAAAAUUAUGUAGCUAGAAUGAAUCUAAAACCAUCUUAUUAAUCUAUAUUUGGUUCAAUAUACAACAAUAUUUAUGCUACUCACUGGAACCUUCUAUAUGAAACAAACACGUGAACUCAAUACAAUUCAGCUUAACAAACUUUUAACGGGAAAUAACUAAACAGAGCAACGGCUUGCCAGCGUGGCUGCUGACUCAGCAGCCGACUAAUCAUACUCUGAAAAAAAAUCACCAAACAGAAAAACAGGGGAAUGAAAAGAUAGCCUCCGUUUAUCCUCUGUUCUGUUUUCAUUGUUAUUAAACAAGGGAAUGAGAAAAGAGAGCCCCUGUUUCUUCUCUUUUUUGAUUUUUUUAAUUACUAAACUGGGGAACGCACGGAUCACCUCUUGUUGCAAGCGCAAAUUCUUGUUUCUACUUUAGUACCUUCUAAAUGCUGCAUGCAUUAAAAUUAUUCUUACAUAUGCUAACAUAAUAGCUACUGUACAUGUAAGUUCUUGAUAAAUCCAAAUAACAUAAUAAUUUUAAGAGUUCAAAUUUAGAAUUUAAUUAUAUAUAUUUAUAUAAAUCCAAUGUGCAUAUCGGAUAUUGCAUGCUGCAAUGAUCUCAUAUGUUUCCUCAAUAUGACUUAAAUAUAUAGGCCACAACUUGGUUUUGAAGUUAGUCUAAAGCCUUCCCCUUGAUUCUAACAAAUUCACUAGGGAAGGUUCAUAUGGAUUUUGGGGGAGCUCUAUGGCCAAUUUUAAAAGUUCAGGGGGGAUCAAAUGAAUUUCAAAACUGCAUGGGUUAUCUAUUUCAGUCAGAGGAUAGUGGAAUUCCCUGAAAUUUAUCCUUUUUAUUAAAUUAAUCUUCCUCCUUUCCUCUGUGGACCUUUGCUAUGUGUGUUAUUGGCGUCCAAAUGACGAUGGGAAUUAUGGUAAGGUUCUUGCUUCCCCACUUCUUGAAAUUAAAUAUAUCUUUUCUGGCACUAGAAAUUUCCACAUGCUGUGUUUUGUUAUUGUUUGGGAGAAAUACGUCAACGAGACCAGGCGUGGUGAGCAGAUAUCUGAUAGCAGAGUUCCGCGAACCGGUGUGUUCCGUAAAAGCCUGGUGCGCGGAGGAACAGGAGCAGAAGUAUCCCGCUCGUCCACGAACACGUCAUCCGCGAGGCCAAUUUCCCGUAAGAGGCAUAAGGUCAUUCCGGCUAGAGGUCGAGAGGCGAGGAGACCCGGUCGACGGCAGUUGGCAAGACAUGCUCCCCAGCCCGAGAAUCUAGGCACGACAGCCACGCUUUCCCCAGAACUGUGGCGUAACACGCAAAAUCUCACGGAACCACGACAACCACGCUUUCCCCAGAACCGUGGCGUAACACGCAAGAUCUCACAGAACCACGACAGCCACGCUUUCCCCAGAACCGUGGCGUAACACGCGAGAUCCCACGUUUGCCCAUAACGCAGCAGUCAGAGUCCCAUACCGUCUCGAAAAAAGCGGAAAACUGGGAUUCAGGGGAGGCCUAUAAAAAGGUAGCCAACGAAGGUAAAAGGGUUAGCAUUUUUAAGAUUAGAAAAGAAAUAAAAAAAGCCAUAAGACCUGUGGCAAGCGUUCCCCGAACCUUGAUAUCUGAAUUGAGCGUCGGAGGGUUUGCGCCGGGAAAACAACCGGCGUACUCUGACUUGUCUGUGUGCGCAGGAACCUCUGGAGAAGAAGCCUCACGAGGAGACCUCCUGGUCGUGAAGAAGUUGAUCGGGCAGAGAUCCUGGUCGUAGAACGAGGAGACCCGGAAUCCCGCAUCAACAUUUUGGCGCCGUCUGUGGGGAACAGAGCAAAAAGCUUCUGUUGAUAGCAAGAGGAGGGGCGAAGCAAGUGAAAAGCAAUGGAGACAUGAGGAAGUAGUGGACAAGGGGGUGAUAGGAGGCCUAACGAUUCCGUGACGCUGAGGGAGAUAGUCAGUGAAGCACGGGAAAAAGUCAUGUUCGACCGGAUGGAACGGGUGGAAAAGCAGAUGGAGACCUUGACAACCAUCCUAGAUGAGCUGCGGAGCGAGCGAAGUAUAAUCCAAGAGGGAAGGGGGAGAGGCGGUGGAGUGGCACCAGGUCCCGAUAGUGCGGGGAGAAGUCAAACCACCGGGAGAUUUGGUGGUGAGAGAGGUAACGUACCUCUGCGGGGAGAAUUUCAUAGAGAAAGAGAGCGGUCCCCGGCAAGGCAGACUGGCGACGAGGACGAUGGAGUGGUGAAUGCAGAGGAAACGAAGUUGAGACAACACUUGCAUGAUGUAGAGCAAGAGCGGGAUCAAGUUGCAGCACGUGACCCUGGUCGUGCAGUGCAGCUGGAGGAGGAAGUGCGCAGACUAGCGCAGAUAAUCGACGACAUGCAAGGAAGGAACAGAGCCCCUGGUUGGAGGAUAAUGCUAGACGGAGAAUCACCGCUCGCAGCAGAGAUCAUGAGGGCAGUUAUUCCGAGAGAUUUCCGCCUCCCAGACCUCAGAUACUCGGGAAGAACUGAUCCGUUGGUGCACAUAGAGCGCUUCAACGACAUAACUGGGGUACAAGGAUUAUCUCAAUCCCAAAGGUGCAGAGUGUUCCCACUAUCCCUUGAGGGACGUGCACGAGAAUGGUACAGGAAACUUCCUCGGGGCAACAUUAAAACCUUCGAGCAGAUGUGCCAGGAAUUCGCGGAGCAGUUCAGUGGGGCAAUGGCGCCGGAAGAUGACAUGAUGGAGCUGAAAAGCAUGAAACAGGGGGAGCAAGAAACCCUUCGGGAAUUCAUCAAGAGGUUUCAUCGGGCUGUCCUCGACUUGGGAGCCUUCAACCACCCUCAGGCGUUAAGGGGAUUGAAAGAAGGGGUGAAGAUAGGAAGGCUGUGGUACAAUUUGAGAAGCCCAGCUAUUCAAACGUAUGCAGCCGCAUACGAACAGGCUAAGAGAGACAUCGAGAUUGAAGAGGAGAAGGCUGCACGGAUUAAGACAGACCAGUUACAAGGGUUGGGGAGGAAAGAGAAGAAAGCAUUACCGGGGAAUGGGCCGAUCAGGAGGAGGGACCACCAGGCCUCCGGUAGCGGAGCAGGAGGUCGGGUAGCCGCUUACCAUUCUCAUCAAAGGCCACCACAGUAUCAGCGCAGCAGGGCGCAACCUCCUCGUUCCCCAGUUAGGGAGCCUUGGAGAAGACAUGAGUCGGCAUCUGGUGGUCUCCAUCAACACCCCCACGGUAGCAGAGCGAGCAGACCAGAAGUACUUCCACCGCCCCCAACUCAGAGCGGGGCAAACGGAGAAAGAGUAGUGCACCUGAUCGACCAGAACCCGGACUAUGGGCGGUACACUUCCUUGAAGAUGUCCCUGGAUGAGGUGUACGAGGCCAUAAAGGAUCGAGGGCUGUUGCACCUCCCUACACCAAUAACAAAGCUACCCAACAGGAGGGAUAGAGGGCGUUAUUGUAAGUUCCAUGGCACCCAUGGCCAUACCACAGCAGAGUGUAGAGAUCUCAAGACCCAGGUCGAAGAUUUGGUGAGAAAUCGGUACCUGGACGAGUUUAUGGAUGGGACUUUCCCGAUGGGGGCCGCAACAGGUGAAGGGGAGCAGAGUGGCGGAAACGUGAGGCACGAGCAGCCUGCAGUAAGGGUGAUCGCCGGGGGCCCGACAUUGGCCGGAGAUUCCAACAGAUCGAGAAAAAAUUAUGCUAGGUACGCCAUGACCAGUAAAGAGGUACUCCUCAACACCCCAGCAGCCAAACGAGCAAGGGUCAGGCAAGUGCCAAUCAUGUGGACGGAUGAGGAUGAGGAAGGGAUUCUAUACCCCCACGAGGACGCUUUAGUCAUCAAGGCUACUAUCGCUAGCAAGAAGUUUGACCGGAUACUGAUUGAUACAGGGAGCUCAGUUGAUGUGUUAUUUAAGUCAACCCUGGAAGAGAUGGGAAUAGCCGACCGGAAGUUGGAAUACACCAAUACCUCCUUGAAGGGGUUCGGAGGAGGGAAGCUGGUCCCUCUGGGCGUGGUCGAGCUGCCUAUCACAAUUGGGAGCUCCCCGACAGAAAGAACAAUGAUACUGGACUUUGUCGUAGUGGAUGAGGAAGGUCCUUACCAGAUGAUCUUAGGUCGGCCAUUUUUAAGGAUGAGCAAAGCGGUGUUGUCCAACCAUUAUCUGGCCCUGAAGUACCGGGUGAAUGGGGUAGUAGGAGUGGUACGAGGAGACCAGAGGAUCGCAAGAAGCUGCUACUCCUCGGCAGCAAGGGAAGCAAUGCAGAUAACAUCCCUCGAUACCCGAGUGGAAAGCAGGAAGGGCAGACAAGAACCUGUAGAGGAUCUGGAAACAGUAAGCCUGGGACCAAAGAACCCGGAAAAGACGAUCAGAAUCGGGUCGAGACUUAGGGGAGGGCAAAAGCAGGAGUUGGUGAAAUGCUUACAGGCUCAUGCUGAUGUGUUUGCUUGGACACAUGAAGACAUGCCAGGGAUUGACCCUGAGGUAGCAUGUCAUAAGCUGGCAAUAAAGAAAGGUGCUCGGGCAGUAAGGCAGAAGAGGAGGUGCUUCAACCAGGAGAGGUAUGAGGCUAUAAAUGGCGAGGUGGAGAAGCUCCUGAGAGCAGGGUUCAUUCGGGAAGUCAGUUACCCUGAGUGAAUAUCGAAUGUGGUGUUGGUAAAGAAGGCAAACGGCGAGUGGAGGAUGUGUGUGGAUUUCACAGACCUCAAUAAGGCGUGCCCAAAAGACAGCUUCCCUUUACCAAAGAUCGAUCAGCUGGUAGAUUCAACGGCUGGACAUGAUCUGCUCAGCUUCAUGGACGCGUUCUCGGGAUACAACCAGAUCCCCAUGUACGGGCAGGAUGAGGAGAGCACGGCUUUCAUCACUAACCAAGGUUUGUUCUGUUACAGGGUAAUGCCAUUCGGUCUCAAAAAUGCGGGGGCCACCUAUCAAAGGCUGGUGAACAAAGUCUUUAAGCCGUUGAUUGGGAAAACCAUGGAGGUGUACGUGGAUGACAUGAUCACCAAGUCCAAAAUCCCGGAGGAACAUGUCAGACACCUCGAGGAGACAUUCGAGCUUUUGAGGAAGUAUAAGAUGAAGCUCAACCCGGAGAAGUGUGCUUUUGGGGUCGAGUCAGGGAAAUUCCUUGGAUUCAUGGUGAGCCAUAGGGGGAUUGAAGCAAAUCCCGAGAAAAUCCAGGCGAUUGUGCAAAUGACGUCUCCUCAUAACCUGAAGGAGAUGCAGAGCCUCACGGGGAGGUUGGCGGCGUUGAGCAGAUUCAUAUCCAAGGCUACAGAUAAGUGUCAGCCAUUCUUUCAAGUAAUAAGGAGGGGAAAGAAAACAGAAUGGACCCCAGAAUGCGAGGAAGCCUUGCGGAACUUGAAGCAAUACUUGCAGCAAGCUCCGCUGCUGUCCACACCGAGGGAUGGGGACAUGUUGUAUCUGUAUUUGGCGGUAUCGGAUCGGGCCGUCAGUUCUAUUCUGGUGAGAGAGGAAGAAGGAGUUCAGUAUCCGAUAUACUACACCAGCAAAGCCCUGCUCGACGCUGAGACCAGAUACCCACCGUUGGAAAAAUGGGCACUUGCCCUUGUGGUUGCUGCUCGGAAGUUGAGGCCAUAUUUUCAAGCAUUCCCGGUUUCGGUAGUAACAAACCAGCCAUUGCGUCAAACUCUGCACAAGCCAGAUGCCUCUGGUCGGCUCGUCAAGUGGGCUGUAGAGCUGAGCGAGUUCGACAUAGACUAUAAACCCCGCGCAGCGAUAAAAGCCCAGGCAAUGGCUGAUUUCGUAGCCGAAUUCACAGAGCCCGAAGUAUGCUUAGAUCAACAAGAUGCAGAUAUAGGCAAUGACGAAACUCAAGUAUGGCAGAUGUCUGUGGAUAGGUCAUCAGGGGAGCGGGGUUCAGGAGCAGGGAUUGUCUUGGAAGGCCCAGAGGGGGAGGAGAUCUCUUAUGCUGUAAAGUUGGAGUUUGCAGCCACGAAUAACCAGGCAGAGUAUGAAGCCUUGAUAGCAGGUCUGGAAUUAGCUAAGGCCGUGAAAGCAAACAGAGUUAAGAUCAGAACUGAUUCCUAGCUGGUUGCAAAUCAUGUCAGUGAAAGAUUCCAACCAAGAGAGGAGAAGAUGGAGCAGUACCUGAAGAUAGUCAGGCAGAUGAUGGGGAAGUUUGAAGCAGUGGAGGUAAUACAAAUCCCCAGGGAGCAGAAUAGUCGAGCAGACAUUUUGGCUAGGAUGGCAGCAGUAGCCGACCCAAAAAUGCCAAAGUCGGUUCCUCUGGAGGUGAAGUCCAGCCCAAGUAUUGGUCAGAAUUUGGGGGUGUUGCGGAUAGAACAAAAAUGCUCGUGGAGGGAUCCGAUAGUUUCAUACCUUAGGGACGGGGUAUUACCACCAGAUAAGGUGCGAGCUCGCAAGCUUAGAGCCCAGGCCUCGAGAUACACGAUGAUUGAUGGGGUACUGUAUCGGCGAGGAUAUACACUAUCGAUUACUUCACGAAGUGGAUAGAGGUAGAAGCCCUUAGCAGGAUCACAGAGUCGAGCAGACAUUUUGGCUAGGAUGGCAGCAGUAGCCGACCCAAAAAUGCCAAAGUCGGUUCCUCUGGAGGUGAAGUCCAGCCCAAGUAUUGGUCAGAAUUUGGGGGUGUUGCGGAUAGAACAAAAAUGCUCGUGGAGGGAUCCGAUAGUUUCAUACCUUAGGGACGGGGUAUUACCACCAGAUAAGGUGCGAGCUCGCAAGCUUAGAGCCCAGGCCUCGAGAUACACGAUGAUUGAUGGGGUACUGUAUCGGCGAGGAUAUACACUAUCGAUUACUUCACGAAGUGGAUAGAGGUAGAAGCCCUUAGCAGGAUCACAGAGAAGAAAACAACGGACUUCGUGUGGAGAAACCUGGUCUGUCGAUACGGGAUCCCUUAUGCCUUGGUAACGGAUAAUGGCAGGCAGUUCGAUAAUCACAGCUUCAGGGAUUUCUGCCAGAACCUCGGGAUAGAGCUGAAGUAUUGCUCGCCUGCUCACCCUCAAUCGAACGGACAAGUAGAAGCAGCCAACAAGACCAUCAAGAGGCUUUUGAAAACCAGGCUUGGAGCAAAAAAGGGUGCGUGGGUUGACGAGCUGUCAGGUGUGCUAUGGGCAUACAGAACAACCCACAAAACAGCAACUGGGGAGACACCGUUCGCUUUGGCUUUCGGACAUGAAGCGGUCGUGCCGGCCGAGAUAGGAACGACCACACACCGGACAAAUCAUUUCAAUGAGCAGGAGAACGACGAGCAGAUAUGUUUGAAUCUUGAUCUGCUAACGGAAAGGAGGGAGCAAGCAGCCGAGCGAUCGGUCAUUUACCAACAGAGGGUUGCUCGGUAUUAUAACCAGAAGGUGAACAUACGGCAAUUCAGGGUCGGAGACUGGGUACUGAGAAGAGUGAAUCAGAGCACCAAAGACUCGACUCAAGGAGUGCUGGGACCGAAUUGGGAAGGGCCAUAUAGAGUCAAGCAGAUAGCGGGACCUGGAGCUUACAAGCUGGUACGCACGGACGGCCACGAGGUGAAACGCCCAUGGAACGCAGCACACCUCCGAAAAUACUUCCAGUAAGACUUGUUCACAUGUGAAAACUAUUUUUGCUCAUGUUCAUUACCGUUUAUCUUUCACACUUAUUGUCCAAACAAUCUCAUGUAAGUCGAAUCUUGCCAUUAAUGGAACGUCGAAGAAUUUCUUUCGCUUGAAACCGAGAAAGUUGCCUAAGGCAUGCAAAGGCUCGACAAAGUCUCAAAGCCUGUCUUAUGGCGAGACAGAAGCCAAGCAUGCCAGGAUCUGCUCGGCCACGAGAAGGCGAACAGAAUCCCAAUCCUUGAAGAAAUGCCUAAGGCAUGCAAAGGCUCGACAAAGUCUCAAAGCCUGUCUUAUGGCGAGACAGAAGCCAAGCAUGCCAGGAUCUGCUCGGCCACGAGAAGGCGAGCAGAAUCCCAAUCCUUGAAGAAAUGCCUAAGGCAUGCAAAGGCUCGACAAAGUCUCAAAGCCUGUCUUAUGGCGAGACAGAAGCCAAGCAUGCCAGGAUCUGCUCGGCCACGAGAAGGCGAGCAGAAUCCCAAUCCUUGAAGAAUCCAAGGCAUGCAAAGGCUCGACAAAGUCUCAAAGCCUGUCUUAUGGCGAGACAGAAGCCGAGCGUGCCAGGAUCUGCUCGACCGUGCGAAGGCGAGCCGAAUCCCAGGCAUUGAAGAAUCUCCAAAGGCAUGUGGCGAAACCAUGAGCCAAGCCGGAACCUGCUCGUCUAGACAGACACAAGCAGAUUCUCAACCGAAAAUUAAUUCAUAAUUACAACACAAGAAAGUAAUCAAAAACCAUUUUUAUUAAUUUGUUAAUAAUUAACAGAGGGGACAAUCUCAAUGAACAUUGUUCAUUACAAUACAAGAAAUAUAUCAAGAAGAUGAUGGACCAGUAAGCCCGGCAGCAUCGGUUGGCUGGACCUCCUCAGGUGCUGGAGGGGUAUCACCAGUUGCGUCCGGGGGGGUACUUGCCUCGCCGACAUCAGCAGGGACUGCAUGAGCAGGAGAGUCUUCCUCCUCAAUCACGAUCGGCUCUACCCCAUCAGUAUCUUCCUUAGCCGCCUCCUCGUCCAUGUGUUGAGCAACACCAGCUGCAAGGUCAUCCAUCUUCAGAUCAGGGUGUUGCUUCCCGAGGACGGCCAUGAUGCAACGAUAGGAAUGCCGAAGGCCCUGGUCGUACUGGUUGUCAGCCUCCCUCUCCAAGUUCUCGACCUGAGCUCGGUGGGAGUCGCGGAGAGAUUCGAGCUGAGCCUCAUACGUAGCCUUCUGCCUUUGCAGAUCCUCCUUGACCUUGGUAAGCUCCUCCUCGAGGGAAAUGGCUUUUGCUUGAGCAAGUGAUUCUUGCUCUAUCAGCUUCAGAUUCUCGAGAUUCAGCUCCCCUGCUUUCUUCUCGGCAACGUCAGCCCUGGUCGUCGCCAAUUGAAUAUCCUCCUUCAUCUUCCGGUCGUAGCGGCCAACCUUAGCCUUGUAAUAGGUGGUCAGGCAGCUGAGGUGGAAAGCGUUAUGCUGCAUGGCCCCCACCAGCUCACCCAAGGUGCGGCCGUCAAAGUCCUCCAGGUCCUUCUUGCUCACGAGUUUAGUUAACUCAUUGAGGUAAGGGACCAGAUGUUCUGCUCGGCUGUCAGGUAAGCGAGACCAAGGCCCGACAGGAGGAGAAGAAGAAGCAGGAUCUGUGGCUGCUCCACUAGCUUCCCCGACUUUCACAGAAGCAGGAGGUAAAGUCUUCAAGGGUGGGACCUGCUGCACGAUGUUGGCCCGCUUUGCAGCAGGGGCAUCCUUACUCUGGUCCCUCUUCGUGGUUGGAGGUCGGGAACGUUUUCGGGUCAAAGCCCCAAUCACAGCGUCCUCCAUCCUAUAGCCAGGAAGUAUCAAGCGAGACUCGAGCAAGUUGUAUGUAGUUAACAGUUCUCGGCUCGAGCAGGAAUUGGCUGGUCAGGUUCAAGCGGGAAGUGGACACCCCAAGAAACUACAACACAAACAGACACUUGGUUAGAGACAAGCCAAUAAAGCAAGAACAAUUAUGAACGCAAGACAUCUAGAGCGAGCAGGCAACCUGGGACCGUGAAACGGGGUGGGACGCGACAAUCCUUCCCGUCUAUUUGUGCAAUUUGACCCCAAGGACCCCCAGCAAAAAAGAAUUUCCUCUUCCAAGCCCCACCACCACCGGUUGGAAGAUCGGUUAUGGGUUUCCGGCUCUUGGUGCUAGAUUGGAAGUAGUACCAGCCGGCAUCUUUGGGGCUGCUCUUUAGCUGGUACAAGUGCUUCACCUCAUCAACCGUGGACUCGCUUCCGAAAAAGGACUUUUCUCAUUAAUUUUUGAUCUUCAAGUUAAGUUUGUUUCAUUUCAAAAGGUAUUAAGUUUCAAACUUGUCGUGUUGGGAGGUUGGAUAGUUGUAACGUAAGACAUCUGCAGGCUUCCGGUUCAAAACAUUACAGUAUGGCAUUUUAUUUUGUCACAAGGGAAUUAGUUAUGGGAUCCCUUCUGCAACGAUUUGUUGAUGGCGAUGAUGAACUCCGCAAUAGUAGGCUGAAGCUUAUUCCAUCCGUUCCUAAGAUAUCCAUCUUGGUCUGCAUCUAUUAGGACUUUGUUAACAUGUCGUAACCUUCACUGCAUGGUACACUUCAAUUUGUUCAAAGAAGGCAUACAUUUAGGUAUAAAUGUAUUGAUGGGUUGUACCUUCUAACUUAAUGACCUUUUUUCACUCUGUUGAAUUUGUUUUGCACCUGCUCUUGAUUUUAAGCGCUAAAUCAUGCAGGGGUCAUGGAUCGUGCACCAGAGUGUUGGAAGCACCCCUUGUUUAUUAGGAAAAGCAGUUGAUCGUAAUUUUAUCCGCGGUCCCAAGUUCGUAGAAGUAAACGCUCUUGGAAUUUCUAUAAUACAUGAGAUGUUCCCCUUUCAAAUAGCUCGUCCGAUACCAUUAACAUGGUUUAACAUUGUUCCUCUGUCUUUAGAUUGAUGUUGACAUCGGUUCUUCUAAUAUUGCUCUUCUUUAUCUUACACGUGUCUCUUCUUUAUCUUACUCUUUAGUAUGCAGUCAAACACUACAGAUGAAUUACCAGAACGGCUGAUUGGAACCAGAAACAUCAUGACUGUGGUUUCAUUGCACCUCAACUUUUUUUAAUACCCGAAAAAAAAAAAUCAUUUGUUUUAGGUAUACGCACAUGUAUUUUGAUCCCAUUUUCAUUGUUUUCUUUGGAUGAAAGUCAUUGAUGUUUCCAAAUGAGACUUUUGCAUAAGUAUAGCUAGUAGGAAAUUUUCUGAUUCUUUAUUUACUAUUUUUGGAAUCUGAGUGUAAUAGUUUUAAAAUUGUUUAAUCGGUCUCUAAAUGUCGUACUCACAAGCAAACAAGUGAACUGAUUGAUUCCCAACCGUCACUCAACCGGUUUCCAACUUUUUAAUAUACACAAUAACUGUGUUUGUUGAAUAGCUAAUACUAUUAAAGCUCAACAUUAACAUAGAUACUAAUGGAAAAAUUGAUUUUCCUAUGAUGCUGUGUAAAGAAUAUGGGUUUACCUACUUCCAUAAGAUCGAAAACAUGAUCUUGACUUCACGUGAUUCUUUUAAUUUAGAGAGUGCUGGUUUGAGAAGGUCAGCUUGACGGAUUACUUCCUUUUAAUAAAUGUCAAUACACUAUAUUUGAUAAUACUAUAAAAAUGUAAUAAACAUUGUCUUGUGCUGUUUUCUUCAACUACAGAUCCUCAAUUGAAUCAGUCAAUCAGGUUAGAAAUCAAAUGCUUAAAAUACCAAUUGGAGAAACAAUAUAGAAGUUGAAUAUUGCAUGCAUAUGAAACAUCAAUUCAAGCCCUCACUUAACCAGUGUGCACCAAGCAAAUCCAAAGUGUCUUGCAAUUAUGUAGCAUGACCAAAAUGCUAUAAAUGCAUCUGGGAACAAAUUUUUGAAGUAGAGGAAAACGUGCAAGUUGAAUCAUGUAUAAGAGAUCGGCUUGGGUCGAGAUAGCUUCUUCUUUAUACUUGAAGGGUGGGCUCAAUCUUGUCUUUAGAAUUCUGCAUGUUUGUAAUUAUACAUGUGUAAGCAAGCAUACAUUACCAUAAUAAUAACAAUAAGAAAAAAGAAGCAAAUGUUAUGAUACGACUAUAAACUCCAUCAGACAAACAAUAAUGUAUAAAUUAAUGUGACAUAAUAUGAUUGAUUAAACAAAAACAUCACAUGGACCACUUGAUUUAUUUUUUAUUAUUAUAUAUUUUCAGUCGACCAAUCAUAUUAUACCAUAUCAAUUUCUACAAAAUAAUUUGGUAGUUAGCGCCAAUACUUAGUUAAUUAAUACUGACCAUUUCAUUGAACAAUUUAUGUAUGGUGUCAUUGAGGUUGCCUUCCCAGCAUCCUUCUUAUUUUUCGGUGAGUUUCACUUUAUUUAGCGUUGGCGUGCCUAUGAUUCCUUGAGAGAAAAUCUUCAUCUUUGGGCACUGUCUCACAAGUACUUGUUUCAAGGACGGGAACUCAAGAGUGUAAUUACCUGAAUAAAAGCUUGUUAGGCUUGGCAAACAGUCAAGUCCCAAGUACUCCAAUUUCCCGAAAACAAUGCAAUCUUUCGCUUCUUCAUUUAAUAAUUAUAGAAGAAUAUUGGCUUAUAGAGCAUUUUAGUAGGGAUAAGAUUUGUGGACAGAAUAAAUGAAAUAAUAAAAAGCAUAGCUGAUCAAGUCAUUAUUGAUCUUAUUUUGAUUAUUACAUUGCACAUUAGUUUCUUUUUAAAAAUGCUAUUCUUCAUUCAAGCUUUCGCUUUAUCUUUUAUCAGGCAUCCUACAAAUCUUAUCCCUACUAAUAUGCUCUAUAAGCCAAUAUUCUUCUAAAAUUAUUAAAUUCCAUUCUUCAUUCAAGCCUUCAUGGACACUAUUUACAAAUUGUUCUUGUAUUUGACAGAAAAAUGAAAACUCCUCAUCAUACAAAACUGCAUGAACAAAUCUUCAAUUUAAUUAUGAUAAAAUAAUAAAUUCCAUUAAUAGAUUAUGUUGUAUUUUUUUUUUUUUUGACCACGAGAUAUCCUGAGGAGGGCCCCAAUUGUGGGAGGCACCUUUAAGCUCGUACCACAACCCAUACUAGAAGUCCCCACGGGAACCGGGAGGCACAAUUUCUCCCAACAAAGACGAUUUUCCUGCGACUCGAACUGGGGAGCAAACCCAGUCAAGCCACUUAGAGCCAACACUUUGUUGGUUAUGUUGUAUGUUAAUGUGAGGGAUUUGAUCAGGUGAUCAUAUAAUUUAGUAAACGCUUUAAGAAGAACAAGAAUUAAUAAGUUAAAAAUUAAAAAAAUAAAUAAAUAAAGAGUAGAUGGAAAGAAUGUUAUUUGCAAUCACUAAACCAAAGAACAGGGGAAUGAUAAGAGAGGACGGUUACUGCAACAAUAUGAAGUCAACAAUAUAAAGUGUUUACCAACUUAAAACCAGGGCUAUAAAGUGUUUGAUGAAUUAUUUUUUAAUUAAAAAAAAAAAACUGAUUUAGCGGGAUAAAACAAUGCUCCAUUCCGUUUAGUAUGUGAAGUCCAGAGUAUUACCUACUACUAACUAAAUCCGCUUGAUUCACAAGACUACCAAGAGAUAACUGAAUCAUUAUUUAAUUUUACUAUUAGGAAACCUACUUAUAUAAGGCGCAAACCACAAAUUCUAAAUUAAAUACCUAACCAUAAAUUAAGAUCAACCCUAACAGUCAUCCACCAGGUGCCGUGUAGGCUGCAUCAUAAAUUCUGAUUUAAAUAUUUGCAAUCACCGAACAGAAAAACAGGGGAACGAAAACAGAGGAGCCCUAUUUUUCCAUUUUUUUAACCCUUAACUCUUGCUCUUCUAAUUAUAUUUUUCCUUGGAAUUUCAAGUAUGAGAUGAAUUUGGAGAAAGUAAAUAAAUUUGAAUUACGUGAAAAAUUCUAAUUUUUUUAACCCUUAACAGUUGGUAUAUUUUUUUUAGGUCAUAGAUUAAUAAAUUUCUUUUAAAAAAAUUUAUAAUAUCAAUUAAUAUUAUAACCUAUAGAUUAAUACAGAUAAAAAUAUGAUUGAUUUAUCUCCACCACCUAAGUCUUAGCCAAAUUUAAUUAAAGAUUAAUUUAAUAAAUUACCGAAAAUAAUAAAGUAAACGAAAAAUAAAGCACGCAAUUAAGUAAUCAUGCUUCUAAAGGGCUAAUUAACCAUAAUAGGCAUAGGUAUUAAUUUGACUUCUAUGAAAGUCCCUUCUAGUUUCUCAAAAUUCAAAAAUUACAAUAAAAAGCCAAAGAAAAAGUCAAUGCUUCUAAAGUAGAAAAGUUUGAGUACUAGAUAGGCUGCCCAAAAUACAUUUUCAUUACUCACAUAUCUCUAUAGAAAGUAAUUUUUUUAAUAAAAACAACCUAUUUGGCUAAUAUUCAGUAGUCUUUUUUGUUGAUGGAAUUAUCCUCUUAACAAUAUUUUAAAAAGUUUACAUGAAUAUUCCUUUUUUAAAAAAAAAAAGAAUAAUAACGUGUAUUGUUAGGAUAAAAAUGAUCAUCAAUACGUAUGUAUAUAGGCACAAAUAUAUGAAAAAAAAUCAAGUUUAAGUACAAUGUAUAGGUCAAUGCCUAAGAGUCAAGCCUAAAUUAGGGGUAUAAAAAACUACAAAAUACAAUUUCGUACACUACAAAAUUUUGAUAUCAGCAGUAGGGGUAUAAAAAAAUCAUUGUUGCCAAAAAUCCAAAAGCUAACUAGAGGUUUGGUUUUGUUUCAAAAAUUAAAAAAACAAGUCAAUUCGUAAAAUCAAAAACAGAAAAAGAAAAACAAAAUAUAGAGGAAUUUACAGUUUAAAAAGAAAAACCAAGCCAAAACGAAAUUGAAUCGAAAGUCGAACCAACUCAGUUCAGUUUGAUUUGAAUUUUAUUUUAUAAAAAAAAAUGAUCGGAACCAACUAAACUGUAUUAUGUUAUAAAUUAUUAUAUAACAUAAAUUUUUGAAUACCUUUGUGACGAGCACAAUUUAAAAUUUUAUGAUUUUAAAUUUUAACAUUAAUGGAGAGUUAAUACUCCACCAUUUUCCAAUUUUUACAAUACAUAUUACCAGUUUAGAUAUGCUGUAUAUUAUUGUUAUAAUUUUUCGAGCAAGAUAAUAUUUGUCAAUUGGUGUUAUGACAUCAAAAUACUUGGUAUUAGUUAGUGCUAAGUGCUUCUUUUUCUUAAAAAAAGCGGUUCCUUAGUUUUAAAACAAAAAUCAUUAUCCUGAAAUUCUCCAUUUGCUUUGUUAACAGAUAUAACAAAAUAAAGUGAUAAAAGUUUAAUUUAUAAAACUUCGGCAUUUAUAUCUAUCAGAUUCAACACUUUAGUGUCAUAGAUUUAUUUCGGUGGAGCACGAUGUGGGUUGGGCCAGGCUUAGAAUUUUAAGCACGAGAGCCUUAAAAAUAUGAUAUGAUUAGAGAUGGACUGAGCACAGCACGAUGAAAAUGCCCACAAUAAGCACAUUAUAUUUUUUUAUUGAAAAUAAACUUAAAAUUUUAUGUUUUAUAAAUAACUUGAAGUUGAAUUUUUUAAAUUCAUUUAAUUCUUAGUUUAAAAAAAUAUUAUAAUUAAUUUAUAUUUAUAAUUUAUUAAAUAAAUAAUUGAUAUCAUGAUUUUAAUGAAUAAAAUUAUAAAUAUAAUGAUUUUAUAAAUAUGCAUUAAUAUUAUUGUGAACUAUGAUCUAUGACUCUAUGUAACUCUAAGUUAACAAUUAAGUUAACCCUUAAGAAAAUAUUAUUAUUAUUAUUAUUAUUGUUGUUGUUGUUGAGUAUUAAAAAAAUUAUAAUACUAAGAGGUCAAACUUAGAUCUAUUAAAUAUUACAUUUUCUUACUAUUAUUAGUUUAUUAUUAUUGAAUAUAAACUUGAGUUUUGAUUUUUUGAUUCUAUUAAAUUUGAAUAAAAGUAUAGACCUAAGAAAAAUAUAUAGACUUGAAAAAAAUACGCCAACAGUUUAGUAUGCCCUUUAAAAAUUAAAAAAAAAAAAAAACUUAGUGAGCUUUUUUUCUUAGGCAUAGCACGGCAUGUAUCGGCAUGUGUGUUAGGCCGGACCUAAACAAAAAAAAUAAAAUAAAUCUCGACACGACACAACACAAGCAUAAGCACGCAUGGGCCUUACUUACUGGCCCGACCCAUUGAGCAUCUCUAACUGUAUCUAUCUCCGCCAUAAUAAAUUAAACAUCGGGUAACUACUAGACUAGGCAUUAGCAUAUAAACUAACUAACUAUAGUACCAAAAAGAAUGAUGCGACAUUGUAAAAGAGAUGGGGCAAAGGGCAGAAUGGGAAACGAAUGAACCAAAUAAUAGUAUAUAAUAAUAUGGAUUUGGUAAAAAUAAAAAAUAAAUAAAAUAAAGUGGUGACACGUACCUCCUUUUAUUUCUCGAUCGAGUAGUGCAGAAAGUGGAGUGUGUGUGUGUGUGUUAAUUGUGAAAUGUCAGCCAAUUUUUUCUCUCUCAUUCUGAAACAGCUCAGCAGGAAUAGUGUACACUAGAGACGUCUGUCUGUCAGUCAGAACUGCCAAAAGAGCAAAACGGGUGCACGUACAAAUUAAAUCAGCCAAUCAGCGAUAUAUUUCAGUUACUAAAAGCUAGCACAGAGGGAACAAGCAAUAUGCAGGGCCAAAAGAGAUGAGACCCCUGAACCCGAACCCUCCUGAAUGAUCUGAUCACAUCUGAUUCGAUGUCUCGAGUCAUUAGAUUUAACAUAUUUUAACAAUAUUUCUCAGUUAAUAUGUGAUUUAAUUAAAGGUCAAGUUUACAUCUGAAAAUGAACUUAUUAAAAAUUAAUUUGAAAUAACAUCUAAGAUAUCUAUUUGUUUAUAAUAAAAUUUAAUUGUCAUAUCAGAAUUAUUUUCCGUUAGACUUUACAAUAAGUUAAUCCCAAAUAAAUUGACAAUUUCAAUUUUAAAGUUAGUUUGUAACUUUAAAAUAAUUUUCUAAUAAAAAUUUAAUCUGAAACAUUUGCAAUAAUAUCAAGUAUUUUGAUGUAAUAACACCAAUGUUUCACAUGCACACACAAGUCAUAUAUAAGUUAACAAAAACAUCAUUUGUUAUUAACAAAAUCAUGUUAAUUUUUAAUUCUUAAAUUAACUCCCUAUUAAAUUUUGGCUAAAUGUUAGAGUGCAAUUUAUGCACUAGUUUUGCAUUGUUUACUUCCCUUAAUAUCGAUGUUUUGCACUUAAUAAUAAUGUUUUACUUGUGUUUUACUUUUGUAGGUGCAAUUCUAUUGAUUGAUGAUAAAAUUGAGCUAAAAGAUGAUGUUUAAGGAGGAUUGUUCUCUUGGAGAAAUUAUGAGCGUCAGAAGAACUUUGUUGAUAAGGCGUGGGCGCGUGCUGUCAACUGCGGACCUGCAGUUUUUAGUUUAACGUGUUUUGUAUUUUUGGUUAUUUUUGUAAUUACGAAUUUAAUAUUUCAGAUAUUAGUAUUUUAUUUUAAAUAGAAUUCUAAAAGAGAAGAGAGAGAGAGUAUUUAAGGGAGGAAUCUAUUGUGAAAAAGAGGAUUUGGAUUGGAGAAAAAGAAAGAAACCCUAGAUCUAAUUUUUCUCUUCUCUCUAUGAAGAACUAAACCUAUUUUUCUGGUUGAAGGAUAAUGAAGCUUUGAUUCAUCACUACUGUGAGAUCUUUCUUAUGCUUUAAUUGUUUUAUUACUUUUUGGGUAUUUGUUUAUUCUCUGAAUUAGUUUCAUGAUUAUGUUUGUUAAUUAGGUAAUUGGCCACUAUUUAAUUAUUAACUUAAUCUAUUGUUAAUUAAAGGAUUCAUCGUAUGAAGAAUUUAAUGUUUGUGACAAAUAACAUAGCAGAGAGUUGUGUUGUGAGAAUAAACAAUCUAAUUUAAAUGAAUCAUCAUAUGUGUUGAUUAGGAUUUGGGUCUCUCUAGUUUUUCAGGCUGUCAAUUGAUUAAAUCCUAUGAUCGUAUCUAGGGUUGUCUAUUGAUUAGGGAAAUAUCCAACGGUCGUACCUUGGUUAUCGACUAGUUAAGGAGAGAUUGGCUAUUAGAGGGUCUCAAUAGCUAUAACCGGUCUAUUCAUAAGUAAUGAUAAUCUAUAUUUGAAUCAAUGAUCAGUAGUCGAAUCAAGCUGAGUUAAUUCCUUCAAUCAGAGCUUUCUCCAAUUUGAAUUACAACUUUAAUUUGCAUUCUUGUUACUUUAAUUUGAUUUUUAUUAUUGUCAACAAUUCCCCCAUUUUACGUUUUACGUUUCAAAAUGAUUUAAAUAAUUACCGAUCUCUGUGGACACGACCCUGCUCAAUCACUAUACACAAUUUAUUUAGAGUAGGAAUUUAUUUUUGUUGGCUUCGACACCCAUCACUAAAUCAUUAUUGCAAUUUAUAAAUUAAUAUUUAUAAAAAAUUAUGAAUCAUCCAAAAAGCUGCUUGAUAUAGAUUAAUUUCAUGGUCAUCAAUUUUUUUUUAUUUAUAUACCUUUAAAUUAUCACUUGUAUCAUAUGAAAAGACCAUAUUACCCCUCUAACGUCAUCAUAUUUAAACGGCAACUAAGCUAUGGUGAACGACAUUAUAUUUUGUCAACUUAAGAUGAAUGACUGAUAUACCCUAAAAGUAUUGUAGUAAAUUUGAUAAUAAAGUAUACAAUUGAUAAUUUUCCUAUUUAUAAUUUAUCCCCUUAAUUAUGAGUAAUUUUGUUUUUGUCUUCAUUUGUCCCUUUCCUACAAAACCGUACAAGUUACAUAUAUAAAACAUUCUUCUUUAAUCAAGUUUGGAAUAUUUUCAUCCUUAUGUAAAAUUAUGCAUAUAUCUUUUGAGUUUCUCAAUUGUACUUGAAAAAAAAAAUUACAUUUAAUCACGGUUGGUUAUCCAUAAAAAAUUUUAGGUGGAAAGUUCACGCGUUUUAAAAUUUAAUUGUGGAAUUAUAUUACAUUUAUUAUUUAGUUUCAAUUUAAUCAUGUAUCAAAUUCAUAUUUUAAAACAUGUGGAAAUUUAUAAUAUAUAAUGAUUCUAUGUAAAUAUAUUAUCUCAUUUCUUCAUUCUUUUGUUAUUAGUUCUCCUCCACCACAUUAGAUAUAUUUUGAAGUUUUCUAAUGUAAAUGUUACUAACAAAUACGCAUUGAAUAAUUAUCGGGUAGUUUAUAUUAUAAUUUAAUAAUAGCCACAACAUAAAUGUACAAUUUGGUGAUAGUAAAUGCCAUUACAUGAAAAUGAAAUCAUCAUGUUGCAAACAAGAUGCAACCAAGGGAUUGCAAACAAUGUUAAGUUACUAUUGGGUCACUUGAACUCCUGGGCUCUCUCCUGUGUAAUUUAUAUUAGACUGUCGCGUACAAAACGCAGACAUAUAUAUACAUACAAGUAGUGCUUUGGCAACAGACACAAUAGCCAAGAAGCAGCCCUUGUUUUCAAAUUCAUUCAAAUGCCAGCCUGCAGUUUUGAAUCCUUCAAAUUGUGCUCCACCUUUUGAGGGGACGAUGAAGAGUGAAAGAAGAGACAAAUGGCAGAAAUAUCAUCCAUUGCAAUGCCUCGUUUCUUAUAUUUCCAUGCCCGAACAGCACAUUCCACCAAUCUUUUUGCUGCCUUUUCCCUAUCCACUACUGAAGAAACAAUCUCCACCGCCUCUUGGUUCGAAAUCACAUCCCAAACCUGAAGAACAAUCCAUAAUUGAUCUUUCAAACAUUGACGUUAGUUCAGAUCAAAAGAUAAUUCCAAUAUGUGGAUACGUAUCCCGUCUGAUGCCAGAAUGAUAAAUUGGUCUCGUGUUGUUAUGUUUCUUUGCGUUACAUGGGGCACGGAGAUUAGGCCAUAGUCCUUGACACAGUAAUCACCCAAGGCUCUUGAUAUGGCUAGUCCCGGAGUCUCACCAUUCGGCAUCCAGACUCUGUAUACGCCUGGCUCAUCAUUUAAGCAAAACACAAGCCCUUUGGACUGCGUUAUUCGCUCCGCUUCCUCUGUAUAGGCCAGUGAAGACAAGAACCCGUACGCAGACCUUAAAACACACCCAUAUAUACACCUACACGAGGCAGAAAUAUUUAAGAGACAAUGAGAUAAUUGAGAUCUGAUUGGUAAAAUAUUGUUAAUUAAUAAAAAAUAAUUAAUAUACUUGCUAUUUAAGUAUUUUACUAAUACUUUAAACAUCAGUAUUCAAUGAUGUUAAUAUGUGAUUUUAAUAUUAAAUUUAUGUUCUCAUUUAUAACAGUAUGGUCAUCAGUAUUCACAACACAUCAUAUAUUAAUGUAUGGGUUUAUUAAUAUUAACAAACAUUUAUUUCCAAAUAAAUAUGGUAGCCUUAGUAUUUAAGAAUAUUCUUUAUUGUCUAGUCGUCUGUCCAAGGAAGAACGGGCCAUCAUCAAAUUUAUCAACGGCCUUCUCUAAGUAAUCAAAAGCAGGACCUGUGACAAAUUAAAACUUUUUCCGUGAGUUCAGCACAUAUAUAUACAUAUUCAAAAUGCAUUCCAUUAUAAACAAGUAAGCAAGUUUCAAAUCCUACCAGCUUGUUUUGCUGGGUCUCCUUUGAAUGAAGUAUACACAUCGUUGGUGAAGGUAUCGAUGUGGGAAAACAGUUCAUCAGCAAACUUUCGUUUCUCAGGAUCCUACAAUAUUUUCACAACAUUACUUUACUCAAAGUUGAGAGAGAGAGAGAGAGAGAGAGAGAGAGAGAGAGAAGCUUUUAUUAAAAGCAACAAUGUAAUCAGCAAAAUCUUACAUCAGGUAAAAGUGAAGGCCCUUCAAAAUUGCUGUCAACAUAUUUAAUCAAAUCAAGAGAUUCUCCAAUAACUUUGCCAUUGUGCUCCAGUGCUGGAACCUGUAAAGAACUCUAAUAGGUAAAUAUACUUCAUAACUCCAGCAAUGAUCUCUAAUCUUGCACGAAAGUGUAACAAUCAGUUUAACUCUUUCGUUGUGUUUUCUUGCAAGCAAGCAACUUGCUCAAAUCAGAAUAUGUUAAGAUUUUACUAGGCACACAAAGCACAAAGACACCAUUCCAAUUUUAUUCAGGAACUCCUCCGCACAGAUUACAAGCAUUUCAAUUUCAAAGAUGGGGCAUAAGGACACAGAGUCACAUAAUUAGGCUAUUUGGUAUUGAGGUGCUGUGGUUUUUUUAGCUACAGCUGCCACACGUACCCAAAAAAAAAAAAAAAACUGUAACUAUAAAAUAAAAAUUAAAAAUGCGUAAUAAAUAUGAAUUUUAAAUUAAGAUUUUGACAAAAAUAGUAGAAAUAUUAUAAUUUUACAAAACACUUUAACUCUGUACCUUUUAAUCCAUAGCCGCCCUACCUCAAUACCAAACACAACUAAUCUCUUCCUUUUCUAUAUCUGAAUUGGUCUAUCAACACCUUGAUUAGAAAAAUUCCUAAUUAUUAUUCAGAAACUUUCUAAUACUAUUCAAAAUCUUCCCAGCAGAUUCUAAGCUCCAUGUUAACCAAAAGAAUGCACAUAUUGUUGAUCUAUCAAAUUACUUAAAUGAUCAAUCAAAUAAAAUCAAAUAUUAUUAUUGAUCACACAUCAGCAUCAGCAUCAGCAUCACCUUGUUAACAGGAUAAACCUUCUCCUUGUACCAAGCGGGCCUAUCUUGGAGGUUCAGUGGAACUAACUUAAUCUUGUCUUGUAAUCCCUGCAGCAGCACACCAAAAGUUGUCAAAUUCAAAGAGAGUAUUACGACAAAGGCGAAACGAAUAAACCAUAAAUUACUGUUAUUGUUAUUAUUAUUAUUUUAAUUAAACCUAGAAAGCAGAGACGGGUCAACAGUGAUAAAAAAAAUAUAAUAAAAAUAGUAAAUAAAAAUAAAACCUUGUAGUUCCUGGUGAUCCACACACGCUGAGCAAAUGGGCACGAGUAAGAAAUGUACAACCUGGGAGUUCCAUCGAACAGAGGUGGUAGCUCGGCCUUCGAAUCCAACGGUGGAGGAAGAUUCUCUUGCGCUCUAUCAAAGAUGACACAUGAUCGUUAAAAUAAUGAUCAUAAUUAAUUAUGAAAUUCCAAAAAAAAAAAAAAACCAAAUUCUUGUUGUGGCCAUCGAGGAAGGUAAGACUCUAGAGGUUUCCUGAAUGCUUUUCUUUUGCUUUGAAGAAGAAAGUCAUAUGAUACCGAAAUGUGUCUCUACGCAGAAUGAGUGCGCUUAUAUAUAGAAGCUUUAAAGUAACCUUCUGAAGCCAGCAGUGACGCAAUGCGCACGUGUUAGGGUGUCAUGAUAAUAAUGCAUGUUGCCAAAAAAAAGGGCAAAAUUCUUAUCAGUUUUAGGCAAUUGCCAUGCAUAUUAGUUGGAUUCAAUGGCUGCAAGGGAGAAGCAGUGAGAAUAUCGCUGAUUAAUUAAAUUUGUAUAAUAGAAAAAAUUUGGUAUAUUUUUUUAUGACAUAUUGCUAAAAAUGUGGAGGCUUUGAUAUUAAAAAAGAGUUAUUUAUAAAUAAUGUUAUUAUGUUAUUGUUGAUUAUUAACAAUAAAUUUUUAGGAGAUAUCAUUUGGUUUACAAGUAGUUCAUCAACCGUGUUUAUUAAAAUGUUACAAACAGGAUUACAAAAUAUUAAAUUAUCCUAAACCCAAUUAAUAUCUGCAGGGAUCAGACGACUGUUAGAACAUAUGUUCUAUAAUUUUUCUCUGGAAAAAUAUUAUUUCUUGUACAAACAUAAUAAAUAGCUAUUUAUAACUUAAUAAUUCAAAAAUAGUUAAUUUAUAAAAAGACUAUUCUUGGUGUUAACUAAUGCAGUGGAACUGAUAUAAAUUAACUUAUUGUAAAGAAUUCACUGUAAAGAUAUCAUUUGUUAAUUGUUAAUUAUAAAUAUCCAAUAUUAAAAUUAAUUUCUGAUUUAAUCCAUGAUUGUCAAGCUAUUGUUUUCAUGGUUUACAAUUUUUUAAAAUAGAAGAGGUAAAACAUUAAGUAAAAAGUUUUCAAUCUCGUAUAAAACAAUGUAGAAUGUUUUAACCAAUUCAAAAUUUUUUAUAAUAAAGCAGUUAUUUUCAAAAUUCACAUUAUGUUUCUAUUACUCAUAAAAAAAAAUCCCUUCAAUGAAUGCAGACAUCCUUGAAAGAAACUUCACUACUCUAACAAAAAGGCCAAAAUUUUAGAAAAUGACAGGAAAAGAGAACACCAAUUGUCAACUAGAGUACCCUUUGUGAAAAACACAAUAAUAAAUAGCUGAUAUAUGAUUAGGUUAAUUAAUUGAUUGGAUUGGAAUCAACUUCGGACUGUUUUGCCCUUCCCUGCAGUGCAGCGUAUUAGGUGGCGAAUGAAGUAACUGGCCUCACUAAUUUUAAGUAAAAAGAUUGUUAAUAUUUAACCGCGUCUUAUCAACAUUCUUUGUUUUGAUUAAAAUAUACGACAUCGUUUGCAGAAGAGGCAGCAAGGGCAACAACGUGCCAAGUAUAAUAGACAAAUUUUUUAUCAUAUUAAUUGAGAAGGCUUGAGUUCUGGCCGAUGUUAAUAAAAUUUAAAACACAAAAAAACUGAUAAUGUCACGGCUGGUGAGAUGAUAUAUAAAUAUUAAAAAGAAAAAAAAGAAUUAUCAAUAUUUAAUUUUUGAAGAUUAAACUCAUUAAUUAAAGUGAAUCGUGCAUGCUUUGCUAGCUGAUAUCGCGCGCGCGUGUGUAUGUAUAAAUAUGUUAGAUCAAAUCCAAAGCUAAUUCCAAGUAUUAUAUUAUAUAUAUGUUACUAUUAUUAAUUAGAAUUCCCAAGCUCAAGCUAAUUAAUUGAUGGUAAUCUUUUGGAUGCACUUAAUUGUAAUUAACCGGAUCAAAUUUUGAAACCAAAAUAAUUCACGGGGCAUUCUAGCUUCUAGCUAAUUCAUCCAAAAAAAUAUAAAAUUAUAUAAAAAUAAUAAAAAUACGUGUGAUGUCAGCUUGAUGCGUACAUUCAAAGUUCCAAUUGAAAACAAAUAGAUAUUCAUUUUUCUUGUCAAAUUAUUGAAAGAGACAUCUCUUAAUUUCUUCCAUCACCAGCAACGGUUGAGUGACCUUGUCUUACAUUGUGCAGCAGCCUCCUCGAAGUAAAAAAAAAAAAAAAAUAUAGCCCAUUAUCUUGGCUUUUGGCUGGAUCCAAAUUUUUGUUAAAUACAAAUAAAUAUAAUAUCAAAUUAAAUAUUCCAAUAAACCUUCUAAUAUCUUCUUUGAACAGUUUUAUUUUUAUUUUAUGAGGGAAGAGUAAACCAUUAAAACUAUAAUUCAUCAUAAAUUUAUUGUGCCAAUUUUUUUUUAAAUCCAUAAUUUUGUGAAAUAUAAAUUUUAAGAAUUGAAAAAUAUCAUUAUAGCUUUCAUAUCCAAAGUUAAUUUUGAUAUUUUUGUACAAAUACAUAAUCUUCAAAUGUGGAUAAUGUAAAAGAUGAAAAUUGUCAAAUUAUUAGAUAAUUGUUUUUACAAAAUUUUAACGAUCAGAAAAAUCUUAAUUUAUAUGUCUUAGUUUAAAGAAUUGGUAUUAUCAAAUGUUACUUAAAUGUAAAUAUAAUAUAAAUAUUUUAUGUAUUUAUAUGUUACGUUUAUGAUUUGGUCACUGUUUAUCUAAAUUUUAAUAAAAUCAGACAUAUUUAUGUAAUUUACUCAUUAAAAAAAAAAUCCAUGAUUUAAUUUGCAAUGAUCAAAUUGUUGUAUUUUGUCAUAUCAAAAUACAUAUUUUUGUACAAUUACCCAUUAAGUUUAUGCUACAAUCAAGCUAUUUAUAAUAUAAGUGUGAUUUUUGAAUUUAAUAUUGAUAUUAGUAUUAAAUAUGAUAAUAAAAAAAUAUUUUAUUAGAUAUUAAUUGGGUCAUUUGUGUUAUUGUUUUUAAAAAUUAAUGACCUGCAACAUUAAUUGUCAAUAAUGGGUUUUUUUAAAACAUGCUGGUGCCCGGAUGUAAAUGCCGGUACCUCCCAAGUCAGUAGCCUUAUUAUAAUCCCGUCAGCAUAUUGGCCUGCCCCUGUACCAUUACUCCAAUUGAUGCUGAAAAUAUAACAACAUCAGUGACCGCGUUGUCGUUUCCCGUGAUGUUUAUUCCGAUGCCGGAGAAAUCCUUUUCGCGAUCAUCCCCGCCGAUGUUGAUGUGUUGGCCGAUGAAGGAAUUUCUUAUAUACGUUUCGUGGCCAUCUUGGAUGGAAAUGCCAGCGGUAGUGAAAUGCGAAACGUAACAAUUGUCCACUGUGGUUCUUAUUGAAUUUAUAAUGGCAAUGCCGCCACCCCUAAAAUUGGAGUCCAACAUAAGCUCCUUCAAAGUAAUGUAUUCGUAUAAUGACGAUGAUGAUGACGAUCUUAACUCUAUGAGAUGUCCGUUGCCCGAAAAAUCAUCCGAUGCUCGGAGGGACCCACCGUGUAUCUAUGUAUACAUAUAUAGAUGUUAAAAGUAAGAAUUAAAAGUAAGAAUUAAAUUUUAAAUUAAUAUGUGAUUUGGUAUGAUUCCUGGCAUUUUGUAUUCGGUUUUGUAGUCCUUCAUAAGACUGGCAAAAAUCAUUAUCAAUUAAACAUUAUGUUGUUAUAUUUUUUUAUUAUAUUUUUUUAAUGAUCUUUAUUUUAUUUGCUUUAAACAAUAUCUAUUUUUCAAAAACAAUACUUUUGACAAACAAACCCUAAAGUGAUGAAAGAGAAAGCAUGCAUUUUGCACAUGUUUAUAAAAACAAGAGAGUAUAUUUAAUCUCAAUCUGUAAUUCUGUAUAAUGUAUUAUUCUUAAGUUUGAAUCAAAUUAUUCUUGAUUCCAUCCGCCAAUCCAUCUCGGGCCAUUGAAUUAUGCAUAGCUAUUAUGGUAAUGGUCUCUUUAUUCUCCUCACAAUCAAUUAAUUGUGAUGACCAUACUGUUCUCACGAUUCUCAACCGCAAAAAAUUUAAAUAUUGUAUUGUACAUUUUUAUAAACAAAUUUUAUGUCAUCUCCAUUAUUGUGGAAUUUUAAUAUCCUAAUACAAUAUUAUGAUAGUAAUUGGGUCAAUAUGGGUAUUGGAUCAUAUUAUCGUUAUAAAUAUUAAUUUAUUAUAACUGAGUGUGUAAAGUAUCUUUUUUUAUUGUUGUACCAUAUUUAACUUUUGGCUGCAAAUAUAUAUAUAUUUAGCAUUAUUUAUAUCAAUAAGUUAAUAUAUAUAUCCUUUUCUUUAACAUCAAAUUUAAGUUUUUAAAAAGUUAUGAUAAUUCACUAAUUUGGUAUUUAGGAAAUUAAAUCCAUAUCAAUUUAUUAGAUAUCUUAAACCGUAUGUAAAAAUAGAAUAUUGACCAUUAUUCUAUUAGUAAUAUAUCCAUUAAAGAUUUUGACGUGCUAUGGUCUAAAAAAAUUAACUUGGCGGGAUGUUAUGAUUAUAUUCAAGGUGAUAGGGAAGAAAGUUAUGAGGAGACCCCAUUGAAGCCUAUAUAUUAUAGUAUGCAUAAAGACUCAAAAUGUGCACUUGAAAUAACAGUUGUCACUGACAGGUUAAGAUAAACUACCAAAUUGGCACUUAAAGGAAGAAAUUCUAGUAUUAGUGUCAUAUUUUAUGCCAUAUUAUGUAAUGCAUAUUAGUAAUGAUUUCUUCAUAAUAUCGCAGAUAUAUAAAAGUUCAUCUAGCUAGAUGCAUUGUAGAUUUUGUGAGAAUUAUUUUAUUCCGUCCAAAUGAGUUCACAUUAUUAUCCAAUUUUCCUUUUUUUAAGUUGAUUUAUGAAAGAAAAAAAAAAUGACACCAAUGUUUUCCACGUCGCCGCAAGUCUCAUCGAUAAAAGUCCAUCUACAAAUUAGUUCAUAAUUCUUUUUGUAACUUCGCUAAAAGCUAGUCAAGUCAUUGCUAGCAAGCCUCAAAAGCACGAAGUACGCGAAUCACGGCGAUAACUGAUAAUAACUUGGUUGUCCGGUUUCGCAUACUAAUUAGCUUGAUUGAAAAUCGUGAAGUAUGGGGCACGACUAACGCAACGCAUACGUCUCAUGCAUUAGGCAAAUAUUGUACGCGACCCAUGUUGAGAGCACAAAUCCACUAUCUACAAGUACUAUAUAUAGAGCUGCAAUGCGUGCUUCAAGUAUUCACAACUUACCCCCAGCUGGCUAGCCAGCCUCUAUAAUUUGAAGGGAAAAAAAAAAAAAAAACAACAACCUUGUUCAACUUGCAAAUACCUACCAAUUAUUAUGGAGAAAAGCUUUGAUAUCAUUGCCCUGUCUAUGAUCAUUCUGGUGACUUAUUCAUCUAAAAUGGUGUCGGUCGCCGGCCGGUCGCUGCAUGAACCAUCCAUUGUUGAGAAGCAUGAAAAAUGGAUGGCUGAGCAUGGGCGCACUUACAAGGACGACCUGGAGAAGGAAAAGCGGUUUAAGAUAUUCAAAGAAAACCUUGAAUACAUUGAGAAAGCCAAUGAGGAGGCGAAUCGGACGUACAAGUUAGGCACCAAUGAAUUUUCAGACUUAACUAAUGAGGAGUUUCGUGCUUCAUAUACAGGAUACAGGGUGCCAAGCCAGUCAUCUUCAUCACGGCAAUCCACAACAGCAUCCUUCAAGUAUCAAAACCUGACUGACGUUCCAACUAGCAUGGACUGGAGAGAGAAAGGAGCUGUCACUCCUAUUAAGAACCAAGGUCAAUGUGGUAAGUAAAUCGUAUACUAAAUAUUUAUGAAGUAACUAUAAUAGAUUAUUUAGCCUCCAACCUCUUUCAGAACUCAAACUCAGUUGACCAUCAGCUAAUUAAUAAAAACAGCUUGACAACCGUCUGCCAAACCCCUGCUGGGGCAUGUUUCAUGUAACUUAAUCAAGCCUUUUUUUUUUUUUUCCUUAAUAUGUACGAUGCAGGAGACUGUUGGGCAUUUUCAACUGUGGCGGCGGUGGAAGGGGUGACUGAGAUUAGUAGUGGUAAUCUUAUUCCACUUUCGGAGCAGCAAAUACUAGACUGCUCAAUAGAUGGUAACCGUGGAUGCGGUGGCGGUUGGAUGGACAAUGCCUUUAAAUAUAUUAUAAAAAACCAGGGUAUUGCCUCAGAAGCGGAUUAUCCAUACAAGGAAGUCCAAGGGACUUGUGAAGACGCACAGGUCAAGGCAGCUGCUAAAAUUAGUAACUUUGAAGAUGUAAAACCCAAUGAUGAGCAGGCUUUACUCCAAGCUGUAGCCAUGCAGCCAGUAUCAAUUUGCAUUGAAGGAAGUGGACCAGACUUCCAGAGUUACAAAGGCGGUAUUUUUAACGGAGGAUGUGGAACUCAGUGUUCUCAUGCUGUUGCUAUCGUUGGAUUUGGGGCAACUGAAGAUGGAAUGAAGUAUUGGUUAAUUAAGAAUUCAUGGGGGGAGAGCUGGGGUGAGGCCGGCUACAUGAGGAUUCUCAGAGAUGUUGAAGCACCUGAAGGUCUCUGUGGCAUUGCCACUAAACCUUCCUACCCAGUUGCAUGAGUAGCAGUAUUUUAUAUUAUAAAUAGCCGCCUCUUAAUAAUGAUGUCUUCAAGCCUACACAUGCAUUAGCCUCGAAAGGCUUAUACGAACCGUAUGAAUCGUAUGAUUCUGUGGUUUUACCUAUGUUGAGUAUUUCAUAAGUUGUAAUUGAACGCCAAUAUUUGGUAUUAGUUAAUGUUAAAUCUCUCGUUUAAAUAUAAGUUUGAUCUUUGCAGUAAUUAGUCAUUUACAUUUAAUGCCACGGAUACUCAAUUCGACCAAGAAAUACAUAGUUUAUAUCUUAGUUACUCUGAUAUUUUAUGUGGCAUGUUAUAUGUCGUUCAUUGAUUAAGUUGUAAGAAUAGUAUGUAAAUAAUUAAUAAUAAAUUUAUUUAUUAUCAUUUAUGAGACAAUAAAUGAUUAGUGGAACAUUAAUUAAAAUACAAACUAUUAUUAUUUAUUUAAGAAAUAUAUAUUGGUCAAUGAAAUUAAUGCAAGACAAAAAGUAACUGAAUUUUGAUUACACGCUUGAUGUCUGGAAGUACAAUGAUUAUGAAUUUGUGUUAAAUUAGGUCAAAGUUUUAAGUUAAAAUAAUCAAACCUAUAUACUCACACUAACUUUUAAAGUUUGAGUGGAAUUUGCCCGCUUUAAUUGGGGUCUCAUACAGCAAAAAAAUUUUGGCCAUCUUGAAUUUCUUUUUCUAAUUACUUAUAAAAAUUUAAAGGCUUGGUAAUUUCCCUCCCCCAAAUUCUGUCUUUAUUCCUAAGUAAAUUAGUUAGUCAUUAUUUCAAUAAUUAAAAUUAUUCUAAGUUCUAAAUUUUGGGCGUGGAGGGAAAGUUAAGCGCAAGUAGCCGUGACUGAUUAAUAUUAAACAAUAUAAUUUAAUGCAUUUUUAUUCUUCAUCUAUUUUUUUAAUAUUAGUUUUUGAACAAAAUAGUAGAACGAUAGUUAUAAUUUAUUAAUCAAAUUUUUUUACUUUCAUAUCCAUAUUAUAUUGUCAGUAAUAGUGUCAUGUAAUGAUAAUUAAAAGUAUUAGGAGAUACUUUUAAAAGUCGACCGCCUCAUCAAAAAAUCAGGAUGGCCAAGUGGUCUAAGGCGCCAGACUCAAGUUCUGGUCUUCGAAAGAGGGCGUGGGUUCAAAUCCCACUUCUAAGUAAUUUUUUAUUUUUUAUUCAUUUUUUUACAACGUUACGACUAAACGACGUCAUUUUCAUUAAACGGCAAGUCGUUUCAGUCGUCUUCUUUAACGGAAUAAAAAAUAUCUAAACCGAAGACCAAUGUUUCCAAACCCGCUGUAAACCCUACAGAUAACCCUCAUUGCCACUCGCAUCACUGAGUUCUUAACCUGAGUUAAAAUGGCCGAGUCCGCAUCCGAACUCAGUGAGUUCCGGAUUUUUCCGGCGGACUCACCGCCACCACAACCGAAUUCAACCGGAGUUCCGGUUCAUAAUCUAACACCAGAGGAGCUCGUGGCCAAAGCCAUAGCUCCAGUUAAGAAACAGUUUCUUCGUCAUUAAAUUCCAAAAUAAAUUUUAACAUAAUAAUUAAUUCUUUUAAUAGAUAAAAUUGUCUAUAUGCACGAUUGAAUUCAGCCCCAAAAUGUUAAUUAAAAAACAAUUAUCCAAUAUUCAAGAUAGUUUGAAUCGUCAUUCUCAUAUCGUUAUAAUGUCAUGAAAUAAUUGUACAAAAACAAAUGACCAAUAAAUUCACAAACGUAUAAUAUUGCCUAAUGUAAAUAACUUAUUAAUUAAUAUUGAUAUAUUAUUAAUUACUUAAUGUUUUACCUUUUUAUAAAACAUAAAAUUAUGUUUACUUCCAUUCAAGAUAUCCCAAAAAAAUUAAUCUUUUUGGAUGAUUCAUAAUUUUCAAGAGGAUGUUUUUACACCAUACCAUCGUCAAAUUGAUAAGGGCCAUGUUAUUUUUUAUUUAAUUAAUUUAAAUUUCAACUAGAGAGCUAUUGGAAUCGAUCACUGUAAAAGUUAAGUUGUGAUGUAAUCACACAAUCUUGAGAUCUGCUAUUAGAAAAAUAAUUGAAGAACCAAAUCCCAAUGAAAAUACAUCCAAAAUGAUGUCGUUUUGAAUUUGUUCCAAAAAAAUAAAAUAAAAUCAAACUCACUAAAAAACAACAUGUGUGUUUUUGUUAACCUUUUAUCGAGUUUUAAUUUAAAUAUUUAUCAUGUACUUUUAUAUUCUAUUCAGGACCGGCUCAACCAUAUUUGAGGCCUUAGGCAAAUGGUUUUAAUUAGUUUUUCUUAAAAUUUAAGACAAAAAAUAUGUAUAUUAGUUAUGAGUGAUGAUACAGCCACAAACUCUUGUACAAAUUGACGUGGUAUUAAUUUAUUGGUUGAAUAAAAAUAUAAAAUAAUAAAAACAAAAUCACGUGAGCCAAGUGAUAUUUAAUUCAACCAAUCUUAUCAUGCCACAUCAGUUUAUACAAGAGUUUGUGGUUAUAUCAUUACUCAUAAGUUAUAUAAUAUUUAUUGAAAAUCAAUUCUUCAAACACUCUCUAAAAUGUAAAAUUAUUAAAUAAAAUUAUAUUACACUAUUGUCAAUCCUUGAAAUUUUAAUUCAAUUAUAAUAUUUUUACUUUUUUUUAACUCAAAUUACAUCUUUUAUACUACUUCUUUUCUACAUUAAAUUAAUUUUUUUAUUCUUCUAUUUUCUAAAGUUUUUUUAUAUAGUUAUUUAUUUCACAAUAGAAAAAAAAGCACACAAAAAUAGUAGAUGAAUAAAAGAAUGUAUUAAAAAGAAAUAAGAACACAUAAAUAAUACAAUUAAUUAAGAGAAUAAUAAAAAAUAAAAUCUGAAAUUUGAAAUUUGAGAUGAAAUCAUAAAUUAACUUUAUCUUUAUAUUAAUUAUUUGAAGAUUUGAGUAAUGACUAAUAGCCAUAGAGAAUAGAAAAAAACUAUUAGAUUUUUUCUUUUUUUUCUUGAGUGGAAAGUAGAGGAAGCAAGAUUUUUUUUCCCCUCUCUCUCUUUCUUUCUCUCAAAAACGAAGAACAUAUGGUGUCUUCAUUGUUAGAAGAAAAAUUUAAUGGAUAAGUAAUAAAAUGUGGGGCUUUUAUAGAGGUUUAAAAUGAAUAUAAAACUUUUUAAUUAUAAGUUGUUAAUUCUAACAAUGAAAUAUCAAAUUUAUAGGAUUGAAACUAUUAAUUUAUCGGUUUUGUAGGAAUUAAAACUACUAAGUACUACAUUAAAUAAACUUUAUAGGAACUCGGUAGUUUAUUUGAGAAAAGAUAAUUACAAAAUAAUAAUAAAUUAGAUGCAUAAUAAUGAUUUUUAAAUUCACUUUCCUCUUUUAUAUACAAAAUAAUCAUCUUAUAGGAUCUUCAUGUAAAGUAGGGCCCUAAGCAACCGCCUAAGUUGUCUAGAGAUCGAACCGCUACUGAUUCUAUUACUAAUUUUGAAAUUUUCAGACAUAUUUAAGCUCCACUAUUUUAUUUUUUUAAUCAAAAUAGUAUGUUUAUUAAUAAUGAUUAUAAAAAAAAGAUAAUGAUUCAAUAAUGUUGUUUAUAUAUAUUGAAUCAACUUUAAAAGUCAACAUUUACUUUACACACUCAUAUAAAUGCUAAAAUAACCCUUUAUUUAUUUAUUUUUUUAAGGCUGUAGAAUGUAUUCAUUACAAAGAUAGAGUAAAUUUAAUUUGUGGUAUUCAAAAUUUGAUGAUUACAAUUUUUGAGUUGAUGGUCUUAUGCUUCAUAUUUGCAUUAAUUUUAUGUUUAAUGGUAGAAUUAUCAAGCUCAAUGACAGUGAUUUCAUGUAAAGCUUUAUUUCCUAAUUACAAUUUUAAGUUAAUGGUCCUAGAUUUCAUAUUAACAUUAGUUUCAUAUAUCUUUUAGGUUCAAUAUUAAUGAUUUCAUGUAAUACUCAAUGAUUUCUAGUUUAAUGAUUACAAUUGUAAGUUGAUGGUCAUAUAUUUCAUGCUUAAUAGUAGAAUUAUAUUAAUGGAUGAAGCUGUUGCUAUCAUUUACAUUAAUAUUUAUUUCCUGGAACUCAUUUAUAGCACAUCUCAAUGUCAUUAUUUAAAAAUUUAAAUUGAUGGUUGGUUUUGUAUUCAUUACAUCGGAUGAUUUAUAUUUAAAUAAAUUAUUUCAAUCUCAUAUCGUUUUAUUAUGGGUGAUUUUAUAUCCACAUUAAAAUUUUUAAAGUUGUUAUCAUAACUUUUUAAAAUCAGAGUUGUGUUUAUUUAUCAAUUUAAAACGUCAAUAAUCUACUAUUGGCUUAACAAUUGAUAUUCUCAUUUGGGAAUCAUCAAGAUUUUAAAAUUUUUCAAAGCCCCCAUGCUCAAUUUAUACGCAAAAAAGAGGGGGGGGGGGGUGGGUGGUAAGAUGCAUGAUCAGAAAUGAAUUUGGCAAGUAUUUGAUUGAGUUGAGAGGUCACUAAUCUCACUUAAUUUGCGAAUCACAAUAUGAUUGUUUUCAAUCGGCACCAAAACGAAGGGCUGGUUUUGGUUAUUAUAGUGCCUUGUUCUAUGAAGGAUUUUGGUUACCCACAUAUGGGAUUGAUCUUUGCUUCUACUCAGUAUAAAUUCUUGAAUUAUACUAUAUAUGGGAUUGAGACUUUCGUUAAAUUUUAAUUUAUAAUAUUUUUCCGGAGAAAAGUAAUUAGCAUGAAACACAACAGCGGUGAAUCAUCUCAUUUUUCAAGAAAUAAUAUUUGUCAGAGCUUUUUUUUUAUAUUAGUUUAUAAUUAACUUUUUUUUUUAUAUUAAUCACGAGGUAUCCUGGGGAGGGCCCCAACUGUGGGAGGCACCUUUAAGCCCGUACCACAACCCAGACUAGAAGUCCCCGCUCGAACCGGGAGGCACAGGUUCUCCCAACAAAGGCGACUUCCCUGCGACUCGAACUGGGGAGCAAACCCAGUCAAGCCACUUAAGGGGACUCCAUUGCCAGUGGAGCCAACACUUUGUUGGUUGUUUAUAAUUAACUUUAAUAUGUAAUAAUAUAGCAUAUUCUGGGAAACCUGUUGGGAUAAUUGUUUUUAAUAUUAUUAUGAUAUUACGCAUGAUUGGCAGUCGCAACUCAUCAUCAUCAUCAUCUGAAACCAUAUUAACAAACAUUUAUUUAACAAUAUUCUUUAUGUAAACAGGAUUACCCUAAACCCAAUUAAUAUCUGCAGGGAUCAGAUGACUGUUAGAACAUAUGUUAAAUUUGUAUAAUAUAUGAUUUAAAAAUUUAAAAAAUAAAUUUUUCUUUUUUGGAGAUAACAGUUGGUAUAUUUAUGAUUAGUAAAACUAAAAGUUUUAUUUUUAUUCUAUGUGCUCCAUCAUGGCAGUAGUUAUUUUUUUUGCGAUUAAACAUACUAUUUUGAUUUAAAUGGAUUACAAAAUGGCACAUUUUUUUAACCCUUAACAGUUGGUAUUUUUUUUUAAUAAGAUUAUUAAUGCAUCAAGUAAUCUUGUUUUGAUGAUUGUAACUCGUGACUGCGGGACAAUUUCUAAUGGAAACAACUCAAUUUCGGAAGAAAACUUAAUUUUGCAAGUGAUGAAUUUGAACUCGUUGGAUUGGUUGAUUUAUGAUCGACUGAAUUUCACUUUUCCUCAUAAGAUCUUUAACCAAAGUUUAAUAGCUAUCAUGUACUCCUUAAAAGCAAUUUUUUUUUAGAUUUGACUGAAUUUGAACUUGUUGGAUUGGUUGCUUUUAGAUUAUUAAUAUGAGAUAUUACAACGUAAAUAUUUUCAUGUGGUUGAGCCCUAUUCUAAAAUCUGUAUAGUUAGCUUUAGAAAGAGGGCUUUUCCUGCUGAUCUGUAAUCUUGAAAUAAACUUAGAUAUAAAUAAUGAAAUAAAAGACAACAAACAAGCAAUACUGAUACAAAGCCAACAGAUCAGAGUUUUUGGUACAAAUCCAAUAAAAGACAAUAAACUUAGGACCUUUUUUUCUUGCUUUCUUUUGUUGAAGGAUUAGAGUUUUUGGUAUUAUCAGUAAAGGUUUCAAGGAGUAAAGCCUAUAAACUUUUUUUUUGGGGGGGGCGCCGCCGCGGGGAUUUUACACCAUACCAUCGUCAAAUUGAUAAGGGCCAUGUUAUUUUUUAUUUAAUUAAUUUAAAUUUCAACUAGAGAGCUAUUGGAAUCGAUCACUGUAAAAGUUAAGUUGUGAGGUAAUCACACAAUCUUGAGAUNNNNNNNNNNNNNNNNNNNNNNNNNNNNNNNNNNNNNNNNNNNNNNNNNNNNNNNNNNNNNNNNNNNNNNNNNNNNNNNNNNNNNNNNNNNNNNNNNNNNGAAAAAUUAAGUUUUCAUAGAAUAAAAUGGUACGAUUUUUAAUUGAACAAUUGAGUGCAAUCAGUAACAAAGGCUUUACAUAUGCAAGUAAAAUUUGUAGGUUGCUUCAGAAAAAAAGGGCAUUUCUCACUCAUCUUUAAUCUGCAAGUAAAAUUAGCUACAAAGCAAAUCUAAUAAAAUGACAAACAAAAGAACAAAACAAAGAAAAGACAGGAGGCAAACAACAUUGAUCUUAAGCCAACUGAUAAUUAAACAGAGAAUUCUUUUUUUUUUUUUUUUUAACCUGUUGCUCAAGGAUUAGAGUUUUUAUAUUAACAGAAAGGUUUAAGGGGUCUGAAUAAAAGCCCACAAUUUCUCUAUUUUAUUUUUAUUUUUAUUUUUUGAAAGGAGCUUCACUAUUGGCCUUGAAUAUAAAAGAAUGAGCAAAAGAUCAAUGUCAACUGCCGAGGAAUGUGAGUAAAGAUUUCAUCAGAGUAAGUAAUACAAAUGAAUUGUAAAAGAACAAGACUUAAGCGUGCACCCCGUGUUUUGUUUUAUUGUACGUAUAAACAUAACAUGUUCAUUUUUAACAAAGUGGUCAAUAACUCUUUUUUUUUGGUACAAAGACGUGCCUAGCAUAGACUAGGGCAAAACAAAACGGGGGUGUGAAACCCCAAUACAAUCAUGACGAAUCCAAAACCCAGCCCCUAAAGGAAGAGAAUUGAAAAGGUGCAAUUCAACAGGUAGUGAAAGAGCAGAGUUUGCAGGAAAGUCAGCUGCAAAAUUUGAUUCUCUGUAAACAUGCUUGACCUGCACUUGCCAGGUUCUGUUAAGCAAUUCCUUAAUACCCCUGACAAGAGAAGCAUGUGCAUUUGGCCUAAUCUCGUCAUCCGCCACCAAACGAGUAACACAAAGGCUGUCAACCUCCACCUGAAGCUGCCGAAUUCCAUUAUCCCAAGCCAUACAUAACCCUUGAUAAAGGCCCCAUAACUCAGCACCAAUGAUGGUAACCACACCAACAUUCAUUCCAAAACCAAUUAUCCACUCUCCAUAACAGUUUCUAAUCAAGCCACCCGUACUAGACAGACCAGAACUUUUACGAGCUCCAUCUGUGUUGAGUUUAAAACAAGGCCAAGUAGGUGCCACCCAUCCAAAAUAUUUCUAAAUCUUCAUGGCAGCAGGAACCAAACAACUCUGAUUAACCUUUUGAAUUUCUUCUGUACGGAUCUUAAUAUCCAUUACAACAGUACUCUUGCUGGUAAAAACACCAUUAUGCAGAUUUUGGUAACGCCAAAACCAAAGCCUCCAAACUGUGACCCCAAAAAGACACGGCCAGUCAAACAUACCAUCAUACUUCCACAAGUUCCUCAAAUUAUAUAACGCCCAAUCUCGGAGAUUCAAACUAAAAAAUUGAUGACUAAUCCCAUGGGGUAUCAAUGACGACCAUACAUGCUUAGCACUGGGGCAAUCCCGCAGCACAUUAAGAGUAUUUUCAACAACACAGCCACACCUUGCACAACUCAUAUCAUCAACAAUAUGUCUCCGGAAAAGUUCUGCUUUAGUUUUAAGUCUAUUUUGACCCACCACCCACAGAAAGGUUUUGAUAUGUUGGGGACCUCUCCACUGCCAAAGAAUGCGCCAAAAGGAUUCUUCAUUGUGAACCUCCAUUUUUGACAAAGCCCUAUAUGCUGAAUUAGUAGUGAAAUCUUCUGACUUAGAAUAUGCCCAGUACAUGUAAUCAUCCUCAUCAUUUACACUGGGAGGCUUGGUGGCUGCAAUUUUGAGAAGUAAAUGAUGGGGAAAUAAAUUCUCAAAAAGCCGCCAAUUCCAAGUACCCUCAACAGUGAUAAACCUCGCCACACACUCCUCAAGCUGCUGUAAACGUAUCGGCUGCAAAGCGAAAGUAUACAAAGGGUAUUCCUCUGUUACCCAAUUAUCCCACCAAAAUCUAACUCGGUUGCCAUUUCCAAUGUCCCAUUUGAUCCCUUUUAAAACCUCAUGCCAAAUGCCUCCCACAGCCUUCCACAUGUAAGAGCCAUAUUUCGUAGGUAAUGUGCCGGGGAGGGCUUUAGGAGCCAGCCCAUACUUAGACAAGAGAACCUUCACCCAUAAACUAUUUGGAGAAGCAAUUAAAACCCACCCAAUCUUCAUGAGCAGAGCAUCAUUCAUUAAAUUAAGCUGCUUAAGACCAAGGCCUCCGCUAGGUUUCAGUUGACAUAUUGUAUCCCAUUUCACCAAACUGAUUUUCUUCUUGUCUGCUGCCCCGCUCCAAAUAAACCUCCUACAAGCCUGAUCAAUUUUCUCCCGAAUACCAAACGGAAUCUUCGUGGUCUGCAUUGCAUAAAUAGGAAUUGCCUGGAUUACCGAUUGAGUGAGAGUGAUCCUACCCGCCAAGGACAAAUGUAUCGCAUUCCACCCCGACAAACGUUGGUUCACUUUGUCCAAAAUUCCCUGAUAAGUCAGCUUAUUAACCCGUGAAUGAAUAAUUGGCAUUCCUCAAUAUUUCCCUAGGUUUUUUGUGACAGAAAAACCCAAGGAAUCACCAAUUUCCUUAGCCUCAGCAGACUUUAUGUUGUGGGAGAAAAAAACUUGUGUCUUUGUUUUACUAACUUUCUCUCUAGAGCUCAUACAACAAACAUUCAACACUUCAUUAUAACCAUUGCUUGCCUACAGGAAGCCUCUGCAAGCAAGAUAAGAUCGUCAGCAAAAAAUAAGUGAGAUAAAGAGGUACCUCCACGAGACAGUUUAAUAGGUUUCCAGUGCCCUCUCUUCACAGCGUCAUUUAUUCCAUGGCUUAACCUUUCUAUACAUAACACAAAGAUAUAUGGGGAAAUGGGGUCUCCCUGUCUAAUACCCCUAGAAGGGGUAAAAAUCUCUGUAAUUUCUCCAUUCCAUAGAAGUUGCAUAGUCGCCGUUGUAAUACAUUCCAUAAUAAGCCGAACCAAAAUAGUAGGCAAUCCAAACUCCCUCAAGGUUUCAUAAAUAAAAUCCCAGCUUAAACGAUCAUACGCCUUUUCCAAAUCCACCUUAAUGGCCAUCUGCCCAAUCCUCCCUUUCUUACGUCUCAUCAAAUGAAUAACUUCCUGAGCAACCACUAUGUUUUCCGUUAUGUGUCUCCCCCGGAUAAAACUAGUCUGGGUAGGUCCAAUGAGGUCAGGCAAGAUAGAUUUCAGCCGGUUAGCUAAUAACUUAGUGAUAGUUUUAUAGAUAACCGGGCAAAGACUAAUCGGACGAAAAAGCUUAAGGCUAAUAGGAUUAUCCGACUUAGGAACCAACACAAUCAGAGUUUUGUUCAACUCCUUAGGGAUCUCGUUGCCAUUAAAAAUACCUUUUAUAAGACUACAGACAGAUUUUCCCACUACAUGCCACUGGGUCUGGUAAAAGAGAGCAUGCAACCCGCCUAUUCCAGGGGCUUUCAAAGCCUUCAUGCCGAAGAUCACAUUCUUAAUUUCCUCAUCCUCCACUGCUUGUCCCAAAGCUUGCAUUCGACUUUCCUCAAGGACUGGGAAGGCGUUAACAACAUGGUAUGGAUGAUAGAUUGCAUCCUCUUUGGAAUAGAGCUUUGAAAAGAAGGACACAGCAUAAUCUCUAAUCUCAUCAUUAUUCAACAACCAAUAACUCUAUUCGUUAUGAAAUUGAUAUUGUACCCAAUUUUAAGAGAGCAUAAUAAUAACCAUUCAAUGCAUAAAUUUAGAAUUAGGAUUUUUUUGUAAUUCUUUAUUUAAAUAUAAGCUUCAAUGGAAAAUUAUAAAAAUUUAGAUAUAAAAUUUUAAAUCACCAGACCAAAAAAAAAAAAAAAAAAAAAUAGGGGAACGGAAAUAGAGGAAUCUUGCUUUACCUUUUUUCCCUUUAACUCUUGUUCUUAUAUAAAUAAUUUUGUUUUGAUGAUUGUAACUCGUGACUGCGGGAAAAUUUCUAAUGGAAACAACUCAAAUUCGGAAGAUAAGCUUAAUUAUGCAAGUGAUGAAUUUGUUCAAUUGACUCUGUACUUGAACUAGUUGGAUUGAUUGAUUGAUGAUUGACUAAAUUUGAAUUAAGUUUAAUUGCUUAGCUAUCAUUUACUCCUUAAACGCAAACGUAAAUAUUUUCUUGUGGUUGAGCCCUAUUCUCAAAUCAGUAGGUUGCCUUUGAAAAAGGGCUUUUCUCACUGAUCUUUUUUUUUUUUCUUUAAUUCACACGCACUUGAUUAUUGAAUUCUUUCAUGAAGAAAUAAACUUGUAAUGACUUAAAGAUUUAAUUUCAAGUUAGAAUCAAUACCAAAAGACGGAGGUUUAACAAAGCCGUUUAGUGUGAUAAAAGUACUUUAAAAAAUGUUGUUCGACCCAAUUAAGUUGAAGAAAUAAUAAAGUUUUCAUGGAAUAAAUACCGGUUGUGCCUUAAUGAUUUUGGCAUAGACGUUGCUUGUGUACUGUGAAAUUGAAAUGAAUAUUAAGUGACUGCGCGAUGUAUAUGCCUAAUAAAAGAUCAGCAAAAGCUUGGAUGAAUGUUUGAGGACCAAAACUUUUAUAAAAGCAUUUUUGAGAGAAACUAAACACCAAAUUAUCAAAGUAAGAUCAACAGUAUAUGAUUUGAUUUAUACAUAUUCAAAAACAAAAUAAUGAUUAAUAAUAAAGUUUGAUUUUGUAUUGCCAACGAUGCUUUUUUGUUGUUUCAUUUGUUCGACGUGGCCUUAUUUACAAAUUGGUUUAUGUUAACAGAAACAUGAAAUUCACAUUACACAAAAUUGCAAGAACAAAUAUUAAGAGAACGUAAUAAUAAUUACUCAAUGCGUAAGGAUAAAUUUAGAAUUACAUAUUCUUUUUUAUUUAAUAAAGUCCCAACGGGAAAUCAUAAAAAUUUAUAUAUAAAAGCUUUCAACCACCAAACAAAAAACAGGGGGAAUGAAAACACAGGAACUUGUUUUAACUUUUUUUCAUCUAACUCUUGUUCUUAUAUAAUAUUUUCCCUAGUAUUUCAGGCAAAAAAAAAAAAAAAAAAAUCAAUAAAGAGCAAGUUGCUCAAAUUGAUUUAUCUUGUUUUUCAGGCAAUCUUGUGAUAUGAUGAUAAAGCUCAUGAAUGCUAGAAAACUUCUAAUGCAAACAACUCUAUUUGGGAUGAUAAGCUUAAUUUUACAAGCGAUAAAUAUAAAUAACUUUUUGUGGUUAAUUGAAUUUGUAAUUACUCUUAGCCCUAUUCUAAAAUUUGUAGGCUGCCUCAAAAAAGAAUAAAAAAAAAUUUCUUACUCAUCUUUAAUCUUCAAGUAAAAAAAAAAUCUAAUAAAAUGAAAAACAAACAAACAAGUAAAAGACAGCAAACAAACAACAUUUAACCAACUGAUAUUUAAACAGGGAAUUCUUUCUUCUUCUUCCCCCCCCCCCCCCCCCCCCCCGGGCUCAUGGAUUAGAGUUUUUGCUAUUAACUGAAAGGUUUCAAGGGUCUGAAUAAAAUCCCAGACUUUUUUUUUUUAAUUAACCAAAGCCAUAUAAUAAGAUCACAGACUUUUAACAAUGAACAAUAAUUUGAAACUCAAGCAAAACCAAUGACAAGAUUAAAACAAACCAGAGAAAUUUUUUCUUGGAAAGUAGAUGAAAACUAAGUAAGAACUGCUAUUAAAGGAUAUUAUUAAAGGAUUUAGAACAUGUAUACCUCUUUAUUUAUAUGGGAUCAGAGAGUCGAUGACCUCCUCUAUUCGCUUCGGAUAUUAAGUAAGAAUUGCUAUCAAAAGAAUGAAUUGAUGAGAGUAAUAACAAUGAAUUGCAAAAGAGGAAGACUUAAUCACGUACCCCUAUUAUACCCGAUUUUUAAGAUUUAAUUUUGAAGUCCAGAAUCAAGACAAAAGACGAAGCCUUAACAAAUAUGCAGUGAGAAUAAUUAAGUUGAAGAAAGCACUAGUUUAUGGCUCAGUGUUAAGUUGAAGUUUAUGAAAUAAUUAACUAGUUUAUUAUGCUCAAGUCAGUUUUUGGGCCUUUGCCAAAAAACUUGUGCCACCACUCAUAUGGCUUAAUAAACAUUGUCUUAAAAACCAAAAGCUUUUUGAGUAAUUUGCAGAAAAAUGAAAUAGAGUGUAAAAGAAAGGAUUUUCCAUGAGAAGAAGAGAGAAAAAGAUGCCUUGCAGACCCCGAAAAAAUAAAUAAAUCCUCCUUUUAAGGUCACGCCCCACUCUCCUCUUUUCCCCUUUGUUCUCCUCCACUUACGGGAGUUAAGGAUGAGAUAAAAGUAAUGCCUCCACUCUCCAUUUUUUUCUCCUUUUUCCGUUACCAAACAUCAGUCCCCCAGUUUCUAGUGUUGAGAGUUUUAACGAAUCAAGACUGGAAACUAUAUGAAUUUUAAAGUGACAUCGAUGUGGUUGGCAUAAAUCGGCUCGGGAUUGCUAAAAUUAACCUUACUAUUAGCAAAAAAUUUCAAGUUUUAAACUUUUACUUGCCUUUAAAUAUACCAUUUUCCUACUCGCAUAAUCAUGUAAAGCAGGUUUCAUAAGUUCACGUAUUUAUCUCACCUGAAGUAAGUUUUGAGACUUAGUCAUUUAUCUGCUUUAGAAUAUUUUUCACUCAUAUAACUCUUGCUCGCCUAAUCUUGGUCGGGCAAGAGCAGGCAAACUUUGACUUCGUCUCACUACGAGGAGGUUUAGAGACUGUAAGCCUUUCACUUGAAGUACCCUUUUUUUUUUUUUUUUACUUUCUGCUUGCCUUCACAUGGUUGAGCAGAUUCUGGCAAGCUUGACUUCUUGUCUCGCCAUCGAGCAAACUUUGAGACUUUGAAGUCUUUUAUGUGCCUUAGAAACUUUCUUGGGAUUUUUGUUCUCUGCUCGCCUUUACAUGGUCGAGUAGAUUCUGGCGAGCUUGGCUUCCUAUCUCGCCAUCAAGGAGGCUUUGAGACUUUGGAGCCUUUGCUUGCCUUAGAAACUUUUUUGGAACUUUUGUGGUUUGCUCGCCUUCGCUUGGUCCAGCAGAUCCUGGCAUACUUGGCUUUCUGUCUCGCCAUAAAUAGGCUUUGAGACUUUGGAGCCUUUGCUUGCCUUAGAAACUUUUUUGGAAUUCUCAUUGUUUGUUCGCCUUCACAUGGUCGAGCAGCUUCUAGAGAGCUUGGCUUCCUGUCUCGCCAUCGAGGAGGCUUUGAGACUUUGGAGCCUUUGCUUGCCUUAGAAACUUUUUUGGAACUUUUGUGGUCUGCUCGCCUUCGCUUGAUCCAGCAGAUCCUGGCAUGCUUGGCUUCCUGUCUUGCUAUAAAAUAAGCUUUGAGACUUUGGAGCCUUUGCUUGCCUUAGAAGCUUUUUUGGAACUUUUGUGGUCUGCUCGCCUUCGCUUGGUCGAGCAGAUCCUGGCUCCUGUCUCACCAUAAAAUAGGCUUUGAGACUUUGGAGCCUUUGCGUGCCUUAGAAGAUUUUUGAAACUUUUUUGGUCUGCUCGCCUUCGCUUGGUCGAGCAGAUCCUGGCAUGCUUGGCUUCCUGUCUCACCAUAAAACAGGCUUGGAGACUUUGGAGCCUUUGCGUGCCUUAGAAGAUUUUUGAAACUUUUUUUGUCUGCUUGCCUUCGCUUGGUCGAGCAGAUCCUGGCAUGUUUGGCUUCUUGUCUCGCCAUAAAACAGGCUUUGAGACUUUAGAGCCUUUGCGUGCCUUCAAUGUGCUCUUAUUUGAGGUUUUUGCUUUAAAUCCUAAAAUAUGGACAACCAUCAAAAAUUUAAUUUCGGACUUGUAACUUAUAACUUGUCCAGAAAAUAGCUCACAUUUACAACUUGCGCUUUAGCUAUUUAUAUAUGUUUGGGCCUUUGAUGGAUAAACAUCCUUGGUGUUUUUAUUACCAUCUAUAAUAUUUGGUUAGCAAUAUUAUUAAAGACCUUUGCUAAAGGUGCGGAGCACCAUUUCCCAACACUAAAGAUAUUAAAAUUUAUAUAUAAAAUAAAUCAUAUUAUAUAAAAUAUGUAAUCAACAAAUAAAUGGUACCAUAAAAGUUUAAGCAAAGUCAUAUCACUGUAUCAAGGAAAUACGAUCUCAUGCUAACCCAAGUUCCAUCAAUCCUUCGGUCAAGCAUGUUGUGUGCUAAUAUAUGACUAUGCUAUAUAUUCUAUAAUAUGUAAUCCUUCGGUCAAGCAUGUUGUGUGCUAAUAUAUGACUAUGCUAUAUAUUCUAUAAUAUGUAAUCUUAACUAUUUUCUAUUAACGACUUAAUAAGUCAAAACCUCAUCCAUCAGAUUUUUGAAGUCAGGUAGUGGAUUUAAAGGAUAAAUAUAAAACUGGGGUUUUAGAACAAGUGCACCUGAGAUUGUGCUCUGCAUUAUUUCAUUAGUACUUCAUCAAACAAAUCCCGAGCUUGACUCUGCUUUGCUCCCUUCUUAGAAUUAUUCUUGCAAUAUUUUAACACGGGCACAAAAUGAAUAAAAUAUGAAGGAAACAAAAAUCCAACUUCAUCAAUUCUUUGAAGCUUGAAGACAUGCCUAUCAAUUCUCAUCAUCAAUAAAAAUUUGUUUUGUUUUAAAACCAUUAUUAAGGUUAGCCAAAAUACCAAUACUCGGCCUCAUCCAGAUUAUGCUAAUUAUACUUCUUCCAACACUCAUUAACGAUUAUGAGAAUUUGUGCAAUGUGGAUGACAGGUACUAUCAAAAGACAGCGAAUAUAUGCAUAAUUUCUAAUGUUCUCUUUGCGAAAAUAUAAUAAAGCUAUGGUUAAGAAUAACUCAUGCUCUCAAUCAGUUUGAUACUUAUAUUAAAUAAACUGAAACAGAACCUGGGUUUAGAUCUUGGCUCCUGGGCAACAUUCUCUCAAGCAUAUAUGUAGUGUAUGUAGUGUAAUCAGCAACAAACUCACUUUUGAACUUUCAUAUCCCUUGAGGCGAUUUAACGAACAGCUCCUGAUUUGAAUUUUAACAAUUCUGCCUCAACUUGUAAUGAACCGAGUUUUAUACCAGAAUUGUCUAUAUACUUUCCCUGCAUAGUCUUCACAUGAAAACUAGCUGCAUGAUUGAUUGAUGGGGUGUAAAACCAGUAGGAAAUAUCUUGAAGAAACCAAAGAUCCGUGGAUUUUUAUGCUUACCACCAAAUGAAUUUAACAAUUUGUGUAAUCUUUAUUUUAAGAAAUUGAACAUUGAUAAUACCGCAAAUCGAUUGCUCUUUUGAACAGACUUUAUAUCUUGAGUUCGAUGAAAAGAGAACAAUCAAUCAAGAAAUAUAAAUACAUCAGCAAAAUAAUGAUGGUAGUAGCAUUACACAUCUAAUUAGCCAUAACGAAGCCGAAUAAUUAGCCAUAAUAAAUCUGAACUGUUAACAUUAUGUCAAGCAUGUUGUUGGAAAAUAUUAAAUUAAUUCAUUUGCAAGUAUAAUAGCAUGUAAUCUUGAAUUAUGAAUGAAGCCCAUUCUAACAAGCUAAUUUUGUAAAGGAACAUUAUCAACGAAUUCCAAGGGAUAAUAUUCAAUUUCAGCAAAUAUAUCAUGCACGGUAUUGAAACAUGCAUGUUAUUAAAGAAUUUCCAAGCAUCUCUCAUUUGAUAAAUCAAUAAUCAUAGCAAUUGGAAAUUGAAUUUUAAUGACAAUAUACUUAAAGCAAUAAAUAAGCCAAAACCUUUACAGGUAAGCAUUCCAUCCAGCCUUGAUUGGCUUCCGUGUUUGAGCCAGCUUAUCAAUUUGUGCAUGAUAAUAUUCUGCCUUUGGCUUGGCCGGAUGAAAAAUUGGUAGAGACAAGAAGUUGGCUUUUUGUACCGAUUCCCCACAGACAGUGCCAAAUGUUGAUGCCCAAAUCUGAUCUAGUCUAUUAGCGACUUAAUAUCAAACUUCUACACCAGCAUUAGAUUUAUUUGGUAGAGAAUCGAUUGGUCAAUCGUCAAGAUGUCCUGCAACCACUAGCGAUUAACUUGCGAAUACUUAAAAUCAUAGAAGACGGUCAGAGGCGCUGAAAGUUUUUCCGACGUGAACCCUCCGACACUCAAGUCAGUUUCUGGGCCUUUGCCAAAAAACUUGUGCCACCACUCAUAUGGCUUAAUAAACAUUGCCUUAAAAACCAAAAGCUUUUUGAGUAAUUUGCAGAAAACUGAAAGAGUAUAAAAGAAAGGAUUUUCCAUGAGUGGAAGAGAGAAAAAGAUGCCCUGCAGACCCCGAAAACAUAAAUAAAUCCUCCUUUUAAGGUCAUGCCCCACUCCCCUCUUUUCCCCUUUGUUCUCCUCCACUUACGGAAGUUAAGGAUGAGAUAAAAGUAAUGCCUCCACUCUCCAUUUUUUUUUCUCCUUUUUCCGUUACCAAACACCUACAAAUCUUAUCCCUACUAAUAUGCUCUAUAAGCCAUUAUUCUUCUAAAAUUAUUAAAUGCCAUUCUUCAUUCAAGCUUUCAUGGACAUUAUUUACAAAUUGUUCUUGUAUUUGACAGAAAAAUGAAAACUCCUCGUCAUACAAAACUGCAUGAACAAAUCUUCUGUUUAAUUAUGAUAAAAUAAUAAAUUCCAUUAACAGAUUCUGCUGUAUGUUAAUGUGAGGGAUUUGAUCAGAUGAUCAUAUAAUUUACUACACGCUUUAAGAAGAACAAAAAUUGAUGACUUAAAAAUUAAAAAAUAAACAUAUAAAGAGUAGAUACAAAGAAUGUUAUUUGCAAUCAACAAACUGAAGAACAGGGGAAUGAUAACAGAGGACGGUUGCUGCAACAUUAUGAAGUCAAAAUUAAGAAAGGCAUUUUUUUCUUUUUUUUUUACAUUAUUCUAUUUAAUCUUAAAUUUUUACAAUCACCAAAUGGAAAAACAGGGGACUGAAAACAAAGAAGCCCUGUUUGCAGAAACAGGGGAGUUUCCGGGUUUCUGGAAACAAACUCAGAAACGAAUGAACUGGCUGCCGGCGGUACUUUCUAGAUAAAUCUCUUGGUGUAUAUAAGCUUUCAUGAUCUGGUUUUAGUCUGGUUAGGUUCAGCCACUGUGACUGUUAGGGAUUCUCGUAAACUGAAUUUAAAGUUGCGGCUUAAAGUGUUUACCAACUUAAAACCAGAGCUAUAAAGUGUUUGAUGAAUUAUUUUUUAAUUUAAAAAAAUAAAAAACUGAUUUAGCGGGAUAAAAUAAUGCUCCAUUCUGUUUAGUAUGUGAAGUCCAGAGUAUUACAAAGAGAUAACUGAAUCUUCAAUGUAAUAAAAUAAUGAUCAGCCUCAGAGGAUACAUAAAAAGCUCAUUUAUCACAACCAUAUCCUAGUGCAUCAUAAACUUGAUUAUUUAAUUUUACUAUUAGGAAACCUACUUAUAUAAGGCGCACACCACAAAUUCUAAAUUAAAUUUCUAACUAAGAAUAAAAGGUAAAGCCUAGCAAUUUUCCACCAGGUGCCGUGUAGCCUGCAUCAUAAAUUUUGAUUUAAAUCUUUGUAAUCACCGAACAGAAAAACCGGGGAAUGAAAACAGAGGAGCCCUAUUUUUCCAUUUUUUUAACCCUUAACUCUUGUUCUUCUAAUUAUAUUUUUGCUUGGAAUUUCAAGCAAACGAAAAAAAAAAAAGUGACAACUAUUUAGAGAGAGCAGGUGGAUGAUAGCAAAAAUAUUUUUAAUUAAUAUGCAUGAUUAACUCUUGUUCUUCUAAUGUAGUGGCUUGAUUAAUAUUUUUAAUCAAGCCACUACAUUAUUGGUAGUCUCUGUGGGCUCAUUUCGUCUCCAGACCUGAUAUUGUAUAUCUCUUUUUGAAUAUGUUUAAUUAAUAUGCAUGCUGCUGAAUAAAGACGAUGAUUUCCAAAUUUUUGUUGCUUUUUUUUUUUCUUUUUCUGCUUUGGUACAUGAAGAAUGUGGAAAUAGAAAUAGCUUUCGAAGUUUAAUGGCUUGCUUCAUUAGUAAAGAAAGACUAGGAUAUCUGUCCCUUUUUGUUACUGAAUUAUUGAUCAAUUGACGGUUGAAGUGUCAAAUGUGUUCUUUCCUUACAAUUGUAUAUGCUAUUAUUAAUAGAAAUUAUUAAAGGAUUUAGAACAAGUUCGCCUUUUUAAUUAUCUGGGAUGAUGAGUUUCUUUAUUCACCUUGAAUAUGUAAUAACAAUUUUAGUGAGCAAAAGAUCACUGGUAACUGCAGAGGAAUGUGUGAGUUAAGAGCUUAUUAGAGUAAGCAAUACAAAUGAAUUUUCAAAUUAUGUACUUGGUCACUGUUGUCCUACUGUCGCACGUAUUUUUUCAUGAAUAAUUGCCAGAUCAGAAAAGAAUAAAUUCGGUUGGCUGAAGUAAGUAAAACAAUCUUCAUAUCGAACAUGAUUCCAAUUAAAUUAAGCUUUUUGUAAGAUGACUAAUAAAAGAUAAAAGUAGAAGCUUUGAUGAAUGAACGAGGACCAAAACUUUUGUAAAAGCGGAUGCCGAUAAAAUAAACAAAAGGCACUUUAAAAAGAAACUAAAGUGCGAUCAUCAAAGUAAGAUCACUAAUGAUGCUUCGCUAUUACAAGGUCCGCAUGGACAUUAUUGAGUUCUGCUAUUUGAACUACGCGAAGACAAAACAAAGACAGAAAAAUUGACACUGUUACUUCAACGGCUGUUUAUUACUUUUUGAAUUUAAAAAAUAAAAUAAUCAAAAGAAAAAGGAAAAGGAAAAGUAACGAAAAAAAAGAAAUAAAAUAAUCAAAAGAAAAAAAAAAGAUUACUUUUUGAGUUAAUCUUUCUCCAUCUCUCAUCUCUGCUAUCUGCGUUCACGCACAAAGAAAAAACUCUUCAUCUCACCAUUUUCAUCUCUUUGCAUCUCACCAGUUCCGCAUCUCAGUUACCAUAAGGAAGAAGUUAGAUCUAGAUCUAUAAACAGAGAUUUUGAUAAAAUUAGUACUGAUUAAUUAGUAAGUUAGUGACUCUCACUAUAUUCAAAUAAAAUUUUUAUUGUGUUCUAUAUAUUUAAAUGAUUAGAAUAUUUAAUUUAAAUUGUAAAAAUUCGUAAAUUUUUAUUUUUUAUAUAUUUAAAUUGUUAUGAAUUGUUAUGAUUUUUUUAAUUUAAAUGGUUGUUAAAUAAUGGAAUAGAUUAUAACAAUUUCUGAAUGUGUUUUAUGAACUUUAAAUUUUUAAAAUUAUGUUAGAUUUGACUUUAAAUCUUUGAAAUUGUAGUGAUGGAAUAAUAUUUUGUGUUAAAUUAAAUUUUUAAUUUUUGAAAUUAUGUUAGAUUUGUUUAAUUUUGUCCGCUUGCAAUUUAUUUGUUCACGCUAUCAUGAAGUGAUAUUAUAUAGGCAUCGAUGGUUUUUUAAUUAUUACAAAAUAUUAUUUUUUAAUUAUUUAACAAAAAUUGAUACAAAAUAUUAAUUUUGUAUGACUGAGAGAUACAUAGGGUUAAACAGGACGAGUAGAGAAAGGAACGAAUGAAAAAUAAGUGGAAUGAACAAAGUAAUUAACGAGAAUGAAUAGAGGGGACAAAGUGGAGAACGAGUAGUUGAGGAUGAGAAUAAGUGGAUCAGAUUUUAAAUAAUAAAGAUAUUUAAAAAAUUUUCAUUUUUUAUUAUAAUAUUUGUUGUUGGUCCCACCAAAAAAUUGGAUGAGAGCAGGCGUGAAAGAGCAUUUUUUUUCAUUUUUAUUCUUUAUUUUAAUAAUUGUUAUCGGUCCCACAAAAAAAGAAAAUUGAAUGAGGAAAGGCGUGAAACGGCAGCCAAUUUCUGUCGUCCCAUCGUCGUGCUUUCGUCUAUUUACCAUUUCUCGACAUUAUUUACAAAUUGUUCUUAUGUUUCACAGAAAAAUGAAACACUGUUCAUCAUACAAAAUUGCAUGACCGAAUCUUCAAUUUUUAUAAUUAUAAAAUAAUGGAUUAUGUGUAUGUUAAUGUUACGGAUAUGAUCAGAUCAUCAUAUAAGUUACUAGACGCAUUAACAAGAACAAGAUCUAAUGAGCUAAAAGUUUUUUUUUUAAAUUAAAUAAAUAAAGAGUAAAAGUAAAAAAAAAUGUUAUUUGCAAUCACUAAAAUGAAAACAGAGGAGCCCUGUUUUUCCUCUCGUUUCUCUUUCUCUCUUUUUCAAGUAGUAGAAAAUGAUAACAGAGUUUGAGAGCUCACUGCUUUCAUUAGUUGGAAAGUGUCGCCUAAAACACUUCCUCUGCUAGGUGGAAUUGUUGGCUUGAAGAGAAGAGUUCUUGUUACAAGCACAAAUUUUAGCUGUACAUUAUUUCCUUUUAAAUGCACCAUUGUUGCACAGAUUUGAACCCUAUGAUCAUUAGUUUUUUGUUUUGAUUUGGUUAGUUCGUGAUGACAAAUAAAUUAUUUUCAUCACAUUAUGGUAAAAAGUUGCCCUCUUUGUUACUUCCACAGCUAUUUAGUUUAAUAUUUUGUAAUAAGAUCACAAAGUGCAUGGGACCUAUUGUUCGGGUACUUAGCCUAAAAUGAAGAUCUAUUAAAAAUUUCCCUGAUGUCAUGAUAUAAAACAAUAAAAGGUACCAACUUCAGCUUAAAUUCAUAUAAAAUUAAACCUUACCACAUACUGUAUUGAAACAAAUUACUCAUCUUUAUUGGUAACAUCAUCACCUUCAUAAAAUAUAUGGUAUCGUACAAAGUUCUUGCGCUGGGUUCGGGCAUCUAACAACGAGGACACAGCAACCUAUUCGCUAGGUUAGAGACCAAAGAGCCAACAGCAAAUGUGCACGACGCAUGUCACUAUCAUGAAAACAACAUUCUUUUUCUUUUUUUUUUCUCCUCAAUAAUUUCAGAUAUAAUAUUUUAACUAAGUUUGUAACACUGUUGAUUGAAAUUAUCAAGUACGAAUGUGUGUAGAUUUUAACAUGUGCACUCAUAAUUAUUAUUGUGCAGUUUUAGACUUAGUUGGGUAUUGAGGUGCUAAAACUUUUGCCGUAAGAAAAAAAAGUUUUAAGUAUAAAAUAAAAUUUAAUAGUAUCUAAUAAAUUUAGUUUUUUAAUAAUAUGUUGAGUACAUAAAAGCCCCAGGUCGGCCAUGCUACUAUUUUCACCCCGGCAUGGAUCACCUUAGCCAAAUGGUAUGAGCAGAACGCAGGAUAAACACGAGCCAACCAGAGACGAGUACCGGCCAGGGUAAUGUACCGACCAGAAUCAUAUACCGAGCCGACACCAAUUCCCCAAAAAAGCGGGAACACGAUCCCACAGAAUCACGGUAGUUGCGCUUUUCCCAGAACCGUUGUGGGAGAUGCGAGAUCCCACGUUUGCCCACAAUGUAGCAGUUAAAAUCCCAUGAGAGGCUACCACUACCCGAGAAAGGGGGGGAUGAAGGGUGAGUGAAAACGUGGGACAGCGGCUAUAAAAGAAGAAGAAACCGAUUAAGAAGGGGAGAGAAAAAUUGAGAGAGGGAAAACGCUGCCAAAUUGCAAUCAUGCCAUUUUCUGACAAGACUCCGAAUAAUUUAGAAACCAUUUUUAGAUCUAAAUUGCACUGUUUUCCCGUAAACACCUUGAGCUAACUUAGGCAUUGGAGGGUUUUCGCCGGCAAAACCACCGGCGACUCUGAUCCGUUUUUGGUGAACGCAGGUCUAGUAAGAGAAAGGAGGGUGAUUCCAACCUCAGAGGUUCGAGCAACAGUCGAUAACGUAAACGUUGGUGAAAGAAUCUGGUCGGUCAAAAGGCGAGCAGAUUUAAGCAUCAACAUUUUGGCGCCGUCUGUGGGGAGCUGGAUAAAAAGCUACCACCGAAUUAGUAGUUACCGGAGAAACAACGAACGAUUAGACAUGGAUUUGCCAAGGAAGGACGCUUUGAGGGAGGAUAACGAAUCGGGGGAGACAAGCACCCUUCGGGAAAUUGCAAAUGAAGCCCGAGAGAGGGUGAUGCAAGAUCGAUUGGAAUAGAUGGAGAAGCAAAUGGAGACUCUCGCUACCAUACUGAAUGAGCUGAGAGAUGAGCGGAGAAGGGAUUGCGAAAUCCCCGUGGGGAGAGAUGAUGUGGGAGCAGAACCCAACCUCCGGAGGCGUAGAGUCGAGGAGAUCCCUCCGCCGGUGGACCAACCUUAUGGGGUGCAUCCCCACAGAAGCACUGGUUGAGUUCCUGGAGAACAAAUAGAUGAAGGGAGGAACUAACCUCGCCCCAGGCGAGCACUGGAAGCUGAUGGCCGAGGAGCCAGUGCUGAUGAAGGAGAGUUAAGACAGCGGUUGCAGAAUGUCGAGCAGGAGCGAGAUCAGAUAGCUGCACGUGAUCCUGACCGUGAUGUAGAAUUGGAGGGAGAGGUGCGCAGAUUAGCGCAAGUGAUAAAGGAGAUACAGGGUAAGAGGAAGCCCCCGAGCUGGAGGAUAAUGCUAGAUGAAGAAUCUCCACUAUCAACUGAGAUCGUGGGUACCAUAAUCCCAAGAGAUUUCCGCUUCCCCGACCUCAAAUACUCCGAGCGAAGUGACCCGCUGGUGCACAUUGAGCGUUUCAACGACAUGAUAGGUGUGCAGGGGCUGACACCAGCUCAGAGGUGCAGGGUGUUCCCGUUGACAUUAGAGGGACGAGCCCGAGAAUGGUACCGCAAGCUGCCCCGAGGAAGUAUAAAGGGGUAUGAGCAGAUGUGCCAGGAGUUGGCCGAGUAGUUCCGAGGGGCAGUGGCCCCAGAGGACGACAUGAUGGAACUGAUGAGGAUGAAACAGGAGGAGCAUGAAUCCCUUCGAGAUUUUGUAAAACGAUAUCACCGAGCCGUGCUAGAUCUGGGGGCUUUUAAUCACCCGCAGGCGUUGAGGGGAUUAAAAGAAGGUGUAAGAAUCGGCCGACUGUGGUAUAACUUAAGAAGCCCCCUUGUACAGAAUUACUCGUCGGGGUAUGAGCAGGCGAGGCGAGAUAUAGAAAUCGAAGAGGAGAAAUCAGCAAGAAUAAAAAGUGAACAGCUGGACGAGCUGAGGCGAAAGGAACGGAGAGCCCCAACAGGGAGCGGGUCGGGAAAACGAGCUGGAGAAUCUUCAGUGAUGGGCGGAAUAUCGGCUCGGUCCCGCCCUUACCCCAUAGCUCCGAGAUCGCAGCAGUUCCAGCACAACCGGGCUCAACCUCCGCGUCCCCCAUUUCCGGAUCGGCAACGAGAAUUCCGGCAGAUGGCUGCCCACCCCUAUCACAACACUCCCAGAGCAUUACAUGCAACCAAUUCCAGGGCUAGUCGACCAGAUCAGUUAGCAACUGGGCCAGCCUGAGGUGACAUUCAUGAUAGCCGAGCAGUUCAGCUGGUAGACCAGAGCUUGGCGUAUAGACAGUACACUCCAUUAAAGAUCUCCAUGGAGGAAUUGUAUGAGAGGAUCGAGGGACGAGGCUUGUUAUACCCUCCAGCCCCUAUAACAAAACCGGCUCACCGACGGGAUAAGAGCAAAUUCUGCAAAUUCCACGACACUCAUGGUCACACUAUCAGCCAAUGUCGUGACCUGAAAAUUCAGGUGGAAGAUUUGGUGAGAAACCGUUAUUUGGACGAAUAUGUAGAUGGAAUGUCCCCCGUCACUGAAUCACAGUACACGCGGGAUGAAGGAGCUGAGAUGGGCCUGGAACGUGAACAGCCGACUAUCCGUAUAAUAGCAGGGGGGCCAACAUUGGCUGGGGAUUCGAACAGGGCACGGGAGAACUAUGGGAGAUAUGCCCUGACUAGCAAAGAAGUGCUUUUCAAUUUUCCGGCAACCAAGAAGGCAAAAGUGCGGCAAGUUCCCAUUAUGUGGACAGAUGACGAUGAAGAGGGUAUCUUAUAUCCGCAUGAGGAUGCAUUGGUGAUCAAGGCAAUGGUGGCUGGUACAGAAUUGCGACGAAUACUAAUAGACACAGGCAGCUCGGUUGACAUCCUGUUUAAGUCGGCUCUAGAUGAUAUGGGGAUUGCAGACUUGAAAUUGGAGCGGACAAAUACAUCCUUAAAGGGAUUUGGAGGGGGAUGGUUAACUCCCAUGGGGAUCACCGAACUCCCAAUUACUAUGGGGACAAAGCCAUUUGAAAGAACAAUGAUGCUGGAUUUUGUCGUGGUAGAGAAAAGAAGCCCUUACCAGAUGAUACUGGAGAGACCGUUCAUGAGGAUAAGCCAAUGUGUUGUAUCCACGCAUUACUUGGCACUGAAAUACAGAGUAAAUGGGGUGGUUGGCGUAGUAAAAAGCGACCAGAGGAUGGCAAGGAGUUGUUAUGCUACAGCAGCCAAGGAGACACUGCAGGUUACUUCUCUAGAUAAUCGAGGAAAGUCUAAAAAGGGCCGCCAAGAGCCUGUUGAGAAGCUGGAGGAAGUUGCGGUAAGCAAAAGCAACCCGAGCAGAGUAGUGAAGAUCGGGUCAGGAUUGGUUGGGGCAGUAAAAGGCGAGCUGAUAAAUUACCUACAGUCUCAUGCGGAUAUAUUCGCCUGGUCUCAUGAAGAUAUGCCCGGAAUUGAUCGCGGGGUAGCUUGCCACAAGUUGGCAAUCAAGAAGGGGGUAAGGCCGGUGAGACAGAAGAGGAGAUGCUUCAACCAGGAAAGGUACGAGGCCAUAAACGCCGAGGUGGAGAAGCUGUUGAAAGCAGGAUUUAUAAGGGAAGCCAAGUACCCAGAAUGGAUUUCAAAUGUCGUCCUGGUAAAAAAGGCCAACGGGAAGUGGAGAAUGUGUGUGGACUUCACGGACCUCAAUAAGGCAUGCCCAAAGGACAACUUUCCCCUACCCAAAAUAGAUCAGCUGGUGGACUCAACAGCAGGUCACAGUCUGCUCAGUUUCAUUGAUGCCUUUUUCUGGAUACAACCAGAUACCCAUGGACGAGCAGGAUGAGGAGAGCACUGCCUUUAUAACUAACAUGGGUUUGUUUUGCUACAGGGUAAUGCCUUUCGGCCUAAAAAAUGCAGGAGCCACCUAUCAAAGGUUGGUAAACAAGAUCUUCAAACCGUUGAUUGGACACACUAUGGAGGUAUAUGUGGAUGAUAUGAUUACGAAGUCCAAAGAGCCGAGGGAUCAUGUGAAGCAUCUAGAAGAGACCUUUGAAUUGCUGAGGAAGUAUGAGAUGAAACUAAACCCGGAGAAAUGCGCAUUUGGGGUAAGCUCGGGCAAAUUUCUGGGAUUCCUGGUAAGCCACCAAGGGAUUAAGGCCAACCCCGAAAAAAUACGAGCGGUUACAGAUAUGAGAUCUCCGCGGACAGUUAAAGAGGUGCAGAGCCUUACAGAGAAGUUGGCAGCAUUGAACCGAUUCAUCUCGCGGGCCACAGAUAAAUGCCACCCUUUCUUCCAAAUCAUAAAGAAAGGGAGAAAGAUGGAAUGGACAUUAGAGUGCGAGGAAGCAUUUGGGCAACUGAAGGAAUAUCUGGCCCGUGCACCGUUACUGUCAACUCCGAGAGAGGGUGACCAGCUGUUUUUGUACUUGGCAAUCUCCAAGCAAGCUACCAGCUCAGUCUUAGUCAGGGAAGAAGAAGGGAAGCAACACCCGGUAUACUACACGAGCAAGGCCCUGGUGGACGCAGAAACCAGAUAUCCACUAAUGGAGAAGUGGGCGCUGGCUCUGAUAACGGCAGCACGCAAACUCCGACCAUAUUUCCAAGCCCACCAGAUCGUUGUGAUGACUGACCAGCCCCUUCGGCAAGUGCUUCAAAAACCAGAUGCGUCUGGUCGGUUAGUAAAAUGGUCAGUGGAGCUGAGCGAAUUUGACCUGACCUACAGGCCCCGAGGAGCAAUCAAGGCCCAAGCCCUGGUAGAAUUUAUGGUAGACCGAGCUGAGCCAGGGGAAGGAGAUCGGGAGUAGCAACCGUUAGAGCAGGAGAAAACAGAGGGGAUGUGGUUGGUAAUGGUUGACGGAUCAUGUAGUGAGCAAGGAUCCGGAGCAGGAGUUGUAAUACGGAGCCUAGAAGGAUCCGAAAUAACGUAUGCAGUAAAGUUUGAAUUUCAGCUCGCAAACAACCAAGCUGAAUAUGAAGCCUUUAUCACCGGGCUCGGACUCGCACAUGCCUUAAAAGCAAAAAGGGUAAAAAUUCGAGCAGAUUCCCAAUUGGUAUGUAAUCAGCUCAAUGAUCAGUUCCAAGCAAGGGGAGAGAAGAUGGGCCUUUAUUUGAAGAAGGCGAAGUAGAUGGUCGGGCUUUUCCAAGAGGUGGAGGUGAAGCAGAUAUCUCGGAAUGAGAAUUACCGAGCAGAUAUUUUGGCUAGGAUGGCUGCAGUUGCAGAUCCGAAAUUACCUAAGUCGGUUCCACUAGAGGUAAGGACCUCGCCAAGUAUAGGAGAGGAGGUAGAGGUGAUGAGAGUAUGCAUUGGAGAAUCAUGGAUGGACCCGAUUCGCGCAUAUAUCCGGGAUGGAAUCUUACCAGAGGACAAACAGCAAGCCAGGAGAUUAAAAUGCCGAGCAGCGAGGUACACUCUACUAGAUGGAGUGCUGUAUCGCCGAGGGUUCACCUUACCCCUUUUGAGAUGUGUGGAUGAUGAGGAGGCAGAUUAUGUACUGAGGGAGAUUCAUGAAGGAAUAUACGGCAAUCACUCGGGAGCAAGAACUUUAGCCUUCAAGGCACUCCGGCAAGGAUACUUUUGGCCAACUAUGCACCAGGAUGCGAAAAGGAUGGCAAAGAACUGUAAAACCUGCCAAAGCUUCUCUAAGGUUCCUGCACAACCCCCAGAGAAGCUGACCACUAUGACAUCCCCGUGGCCUUUCGCUCAAUGGGGAAUCGACUUGAUUGGUCCGUUACCUAAGGGCCGAGGAGCGGCGACACAUGCAAUUGUGGCAAUAGACUACUUCACCAAGUGGGUAGAAGCGGGAGUCCUCAGCCAAAUCACCGAGAGGAAGACAACAGAUUUUAUUUGGAGAAAUAUCAUUUGCAGAUACGGGAUCCCCUAUGCCAUCAUUACAGAUAAUGGGAGACAAUUUGACAACAGCAACUUCAGGGAAUUUUGCCGAAAUUUGGGGGUGGACCUGAAGUUCUGCACCCUCGCACACCCCCAGGCAAACGGACAAGUGGAAGCAGCCAACAAAGUAAUAAAAAAGCUUUUGAAAACUAGAUUGGGAGAGAAGAAGGGAGCCUGGGUUGACGAACUACCAGGAGUAUUAUGGGCCUACCGGACAACUCACAAAACCGCCACAGGGGAAACCCCGUUCGCUUUAGCCUUUGGUCAUGAGGCGGUAAUCCCAGCAGAAAUCGGAGUAGGAACACAUCGAACAGAAUAUUUCGCUGAGGAGAAAAACGACGAGCAGAUCUGCUUAAACCUGGACCUGCUGGAGGAGAAAAGGGAAGGGGCCUCGCAGAGAGUGGCCCAGUGUCAGCAACGGGUCAUGCGCUAUUACAACAAGAACGUACGCGUGAGGCAGUUCCGAGCAGGAGAUUGGGUACUUAGGAAGGUGAACCAAAACACCAGGAAUCCUAACCAUGGCGCUCUUGGCCCAAAGUGGGAAGGCCCGUAUAGGGUGGUACGAGCCACUGGACCAGGAGCUUAUAAGUUAGCGUACCUAGAUGGACGAGACGUGAGGAGGUCAUGGAACGCCGAGCACUUGAAGAAGUAUUUCCAGUAAGCAAAGUGCUCUACCAAAUCUUCAUUUUGACAAAUUGUUUGUGUUAACUGCAUGAUGGCUUGAUGCAUAUGUAUGUAUUCAGUAUUUUUGUAACACAUUCAUGUUUCAAAUAAAGAUGAAUUCAGCAUGAAAUCCCCCUACUAGCAAAGCCAAAUAAAAAUUCUACGAAGGCAAGCAAAUGCCUACUUCUGCUUGGUCAACGAAAGACCAGCAGCUAAUUUUACGAGAAAUUCACUAAGGAAAGUGAGUGCCUGUUUCUGCUCGGUCAACGAAAGACCAGCAGCUAAUUCCGCAAAAAUUCUAUUAAGGCAAAUAAGUGCCUAUUUCUGCUCGGACAACGAUAGACCAGCAGCUAAUCUACGAAAAUUCUACUAAGGCAAGUAAAUGUCUGAUUCUGCUCGAUCAAUGAAAGACCAGCAGCUAAUCUACGAAAAUUCUACUAAGGCAAGUAAAUGCCUGAUUCUGCUCGGUCAAUGAAAGACCAGCGGCUAAUCUACGAAAAUUCUACUAAGGCAAGAAAAUGCCUGCCUCUGCUCGGUCAACGAAAGACCAGCAGCUAAUCUACUAAGGCAAGUAAAUGCCUGCCUCUGCUCGGUCAAACGAAAGACCAGCAGCUAAUCUACUAAGGCAAGAAAGUGCCUGCCUCUGCUCGGUCAGCGAAAGACCAGCAGCUAAUCUACGAAGGCAAGUGAGUGCCUGCUUCUGCUCGGUCAACAAAAGACCAGCAACUAAUCCUACGAAAAUCCUACUAAGGCAUGAAAGUGUCUACUUCUGCUCGGUCAACGAAGGACCAGCAGCUAAAUUUAUGAGACUUUUACUAAGGCAAAUAUGUGUCUGCUCCUGCUCAGUCACCGAAGACCAGCAGGCGAUUUUGCGAAAAUUUUUACCAAGGCAAACGGAUGCCUAUUCCUGUUCGAUGCACUAAAGAACCAACAGGCGAAACCAGACAAAAAAGCCAAUAGAGAGCAUUUAAAAAAUUUUAUAAACGUUCAAAUGUUUACAAAGCAAAUGAAAAACUAGAGUCUUUACAAAAAUAGACCUAAGGAUUAGGAGGAUCAACGGCCUCAGCAGGUGAAGGGUCAGCUAUCUCGGGAGGUGGAAGGUCAGCAAUAUCGGGAGGAGGAGGCACGGACCCCUGCCCCACUUCAAAAACACGCUGCCCAGCUUCUCCCUCCUGCACCCCAUUCAAAGGAACCUCCACCUGCUCCUGCUCAUCCUGCUCCUUAUCUCCUUGGCCGGCCCCAGCCAUAUACCUCUCCACCCCAGAUUCCAGCUUGCUCAUGUCGAGCUCGGGGUAUUCUUCCUUGAGUACAGACAUGAUGCACUUAUAGCUGAAAGCAACCCCGGAGUUAUACUCAGCAUCCAACCGAUCAUCCACAUCAGCGGAUUUGCCUUUCUCUUCAGCCAGCUGGUCACUCAGGGAUUUGAUCUCUCCCUCAAGGGCGGUCCUCAGAGUAUCUCUUUCACUUUGAGUAGCCUGAAGAUCGGACUUCAGAUCACCCAGCUCACCCUCAAGCUUGGAGGAAGUAGACUCAGCAACCGCAACUUUCUCCUCAAGCUCCGUAAGCUGCUUGUUCAGCUCGGCCAGCUUCUCUUUGGACCGAUCAGCAGAUUCGGCUUUCUUUUUCAACUCCUGGUUAUCAGCUUGAAGCUUCCUCUCAUGACGCGCGGACCCGGUCUUGUAGCACGAGACCAUUGUGGCCAGCCUGAAAGAGACUCUUUGAACAGAAGCAGCUAACUCGGAGAGGUCCAUGCUCUCGAUGUCCUUCACCAUCUUGGGCCCAACCGAUUUUUUGUAAUCUUUCUGGUAUAGGCUCAGGUAGUCACCUUGAUCCCGAGAUGGAAGAGGAGCAGAUCGGUCCCCAGACUGCAAGCUGACCUCAGGACUCUUGUCGGAGGUUUUCUCCCCACCACUCUUACAGGGUGGGGGAGGGGGCAGAGCAGGGACAGGAGCCUUGGAGGGGCCGACACUAUUCUUCUUUGGAGGAGGAGGAAGGUUGCUGGAGCUGCUUGGAGCCCGACCACGCUUCCUGCUCAUUGCGCUGAGGAUCUUGUUAUCCAUUCCAGCGGCUAUGUCCACUAGGCCCGAACCGACCAGGUUUGUUGGUGACAGGAGGUCUUGGCAGGUAGACGCGUUCACCAGAGCAGUUUCCACCUGAAGCAAAGGCCGAUCUUCAAGCCCCUUUAUCAAACCCCACGACUCUGAAAGAACAAACAAGGUUAAAGAACCCAAUAAGUAACAAGUCGAGAAAGAGUAUAGGCAAAAAAUAAACGACCUGGGGUGACAAAAUGUGUUGGAAGGUAAAUAUCACCACCCAACGAAUGAGCUGCUGGACACUAAGCUCCUCCAGCAAAGAAGAAUUUGUUCUUCCAAUUUUUGCACGAGGAGGGGAAGCCGGUGAUUGGUUUCCUCUUCGCAGAGCUUGACAUGAAGUAAUACCAGCUUGCUUCCUUCGGGCUACUCCUCAGCUGGUAUAGAUGCUUCACUUCAACGAGGGAGGGCUCCUCUGAUCCACACCUCUUCCACAACACAUAUAUAGCCGAGAGAACCCUCCACCCAUUGGGAUAUAGCUGACCUAGGGCCAGAUGCAUACCACCCAAUAUCUUAGCGAAAUAACGUUAAAGGGGCAGCCGAGCUCCUAAUUUGAAGCUCUCCAGGUGCAUCGUCACAUACCCCCGCGGAGGCCGACUAGGGACGUCACCUUUUCCUGGAACUACCAGGAGAAUCUCCGCAGGAAUGUCGUAAAGGUUCCUCAGCUUGAACAGAUCAGUUUGGGUGGUGACACAAGCUGUGUAGUCAAUAGGGUAAAAAUCCGCCUCUACCCUAUGACCAAGGUGCCUUCUCUGAGGAGGUCCGCUCGGUCCAGAGCUGCUCCCCUCACCAUCACCAACUCCUUCAAGGAUCCCAACCCCAUCAAAGCUGUGCUUCUCACCAGAGCCCGACGCAGGUCCACCUCUAUUCCCUACAAGCUCUAGUUCGGGGGAGGGAGAGACAACCAAAGGGCGUGGGUACUCAAGGGUAUCCCUGCCAUGGGAAGGACCUACACUACUGGAGGGACCUAAGAAAUCGGUGGGUAUUGGCACGUUGAGGCCCGAAUCCCCUGAUUCUUCCUCGCCCUCAUCAACAAUUAACUUUCUUUUCCGGUUUGACAUAUCGGAAUCCCAAAAGAAAGCAAAGAAAACUCGAAUGUACGGAUACAAAAGGGGGCAACACGGAACCCAAUCAACAACAACAAGAGAAGAGAUUAAAAGCAGUACCUGAGAUUAACUGGCCCUGAUAGCGCUGCCGUGACAGAGAAAAAACCAGCAAGUAGAAACUCCGGACGCAGGAAGUGUGAGUAAAGUUCAGAGAGGGGGCUGGUUAACGGUGGAGAAACGGAUAAACAAAGCAAUGAGGAUUUCAACCUAGGGAUUUGAAGUGAAAAGGGGAAAGAUAGAAGCAUUUAAGUGAUGAGGAUGCCAGCUCACUCACCACAUAUCGAGGGUGGAUAGCCCGUCGUUUCAAAUUUCAAAUACGAAGAGUCUGGUGAUGCCACGUCACUAACCGUUACAAGAGGCCAGGAUAGAUGUAAGCCCAGAUAUGCAAUGGACAUGUUCACUUAGGCCCAUGCUCAGGUCGGAGUCUCCCCAGAAGAAAAAUGGUACAUCAGGUCAGGCCCAUCCCAAUAAACAGAGGACCAGAUGAGAAGCUCCCCGGGUUGGUGAGAUUUGACCAUCAGUUUCUACUCUUAACUCAUUUCACUCGCCAGACCAGAAACUGGGGGACUGGUGUUGAGUACAUAAAAGCCCCAGGUCGGCCAUGCUACUAUUUCCACCCCGGCAUGGAUCACCUCAGCCAAAUGGUAUAAGCAGAACGCGGGAUAAACACGAGCCAACCAGAGACGAGUACCGGCCAGGGUAAUGUACCGACCAGAAUCAUAUACCGAGCCGACACCAAUUCCCCAAAAAAGCGGGAACAUGAUCCCACAGAAUCACUGUAGUUGCGCUUUUCCCAGAACCGUUGUGGGAGAUGCGAGAUCCCACGUUUGCCCACAAUGUAGCAGUUAAAAUCCCAUGAGAGGCUACCACUACCCGAGAAAGGGGGGGAUGAAGGGUGAGUGAAAACGUGGGACAGCGGCUAUAAAAGAAGAAGAAACCGAUUAAGAAGGGGAGAGAAAAAUUGAGAGAGGGAAAACGCUGCCAAAUUGCAAUCAGGCCAUUUUCUGACAAGACUCCGAAUAAUUUAGAAACCAUUUUUAGAUCUAAAUUGCACUGUUUUCCCGUAAACACCUUGAGCUAACUUAGGCAUCGGAGGGUUUUCGCCGGAAAAACCACCGUCGACUCUGAUCCGUUUUUGGUGAACGCAGGUUUAGUAAGAGAAAGGAGGGUGAUUCCAACCUCAGAGGUUCGAGCAACAGUCGAUAACGUAAACGUUGGUGAAAGAAUCUGGUCGGUCAAAAGGCGAGCAGAUUUAAGCAUCAACAUAAUAAUUUUGAUAAAAUUAGAAAAGAUAUAAUAAUUUUUUUAUUAUAUAAGUGUAAAAUCAAAUCAUCUUAACUUCUAAACUACAACAACUAUAACAUUUGAACUAUUCAAUCUCAAUUCCUAAUAGACUCUUAAUUUAUAAUUAGAUUGUCACUAAAAGAUUUUAAGUAUGUAUUUUAGAAUUUAACGAAUACACUUUUAAACUACCUUUGCCGGAUGAAAUGUUGGGAAAUUUUUAUUAAGAUCCAAAAGUAUUUGAAAUAAAUUUAUGUUUUUAUGAUGCCAAAAAAAAUAAAAAAUUAUGAACAUUUUUGUGAAGCUUAGGCGAAAAUUUUUGUUAGGCUCUAUUGGGCUAGAUGAGCAGCUCGGGCAGUUAAUUGUCGCCCAAGAAGCCCAACCCAGAUUACAACAAGCUGGGAUUUAGUUAGCUCGUUGACGGCCAUUUGGGUAUGCAUGAAUUGGGUGGAUGAUUAAUAAAUACGUUUUAUUAAUUAUUUCGCCGAUUGGGAUAUUCUCCUAAUUUAAUCUUUUCUAAUAUUAUAAUAAAGAGAUUUUGACAUGUGUAAUACAUGUGUUAUUUUAAUAAUCCAAUAGAUAAUAUCUACUUUAUUUUUAUCUUUCGUUAUUAAAUACAAAAACACUAAUAAAAAAAAAAUGACUUAACUCUUUUUAUAUUUUUAAUUUUUAUUUAUUUCCUUUUAUUGCUUUCCUAGCAAUGUUCAUCUUUUUACUAUACAACAUCCAUAACCUUAACUUUGGAAAUAAAAGAGAAUAUGUGAAAGUAUAAGUAGGAGAAAGACUUCAUUGAAAUCAAACAAAUUGGGCAACGUUAGAUUUUUCUUUAAAAUUCUCAUGAGAUAUUAAUUAGUAGUAUUAUCACUGCUGCCUGCCUAUUUCUAACCUCAACCAAUAUAUGAUCAAUGCUUGAUUUGGUCAAUCUAAAUAAUUAUGAUCGAUGAUUGGAUAUUGUUGAAGGGCGGCCCUAAGGAUGAGAGAGGGGAAUGCGUGUGCAAGCCACAUGUGUGAAGAAAAAGAAAAAGGCAAGAGUGAAGAUGACGACGAUUAAAAUCUUGUUUGAUUUCUUUUUCUGAUAAUUUUGUUAAUCUGCUGUUGUUAGUUCCAAAAUUUUAGUUAGCAACAAAAUGACAUGUUUUUGUGUUUAAUAAGGAAAAAGUAAAUAAUAUAUUUUCUAUAGGAUUCUUAGAAUGGAUUAGAUUAGACUACGGAGAGAAAUAUAUUUGAGAAUAUUAGUGUUGAGUUAUUCUAAUGUCUUUAAUAGUAAAUUCAAUUAAGACUAUUUUAGUAAUAUAUUUUUUUUAUUGAAAUUAGAGUGUUCAAAGUUAUAAAUAAAAAAUUCAAUAAUUUUUUAUUGAAUUUAUAUAACUCUGGAUUCUUUUUUUUUUUUUCCAACACUGAUAUGGUUCUGUUCUGUGUAUUUAUAUACAAUUUAAUGUUUACAUACAAAUUAAAUAAGAUCAAUUUAAUGUUUAUAUACAAUCCUUCAAGUCGUAACUCAAUUUUAUGGAGGUUUAUACAUCUGCACGCAUUCCUUGAAUUUCUCCUAGAUUGGAACUUCUUAAUUGAUCCAAUGCAUUUUUCCAACAGUCAAGAUCCUUAGUUGUCAGAGCAUUUGCAAUCGUACUCAGUGCACCAGGCAAACCUCCGCAUCUUUCAACGAUCGAGGAGUAUUUUUGUUGAAUCACCGACUAUAUUCUCAAAUAACUGCAAUGCUUCUUUUUUUGAUAACGCAUCGAUCGAGGAAUUUUUCUGAGAUUUCAUAUCAUUGCACAAUAAUAAAUCUCGACUUCUAGACGUCAAUAUUAUUUUGCAUUGUCUCUGAUCGUCAACAUCCCCGGAAGUUAAUGAACGGAAUUCUUUUAUCCUUUCUAUCUUUCUCAUCAACAUCCCCGGAAGUAACCACAUCGAACAACUUAUCUUCCCUCACUUGCUUUGCAACAUCUUGGAAUACUUUCAUUCUGGAAUCAAAGGCUACGUAAUCUUUCACUUGCACGUACUCUGUACUCUCUGGAGCAGGACGGUAGGAAACAUGAUUACAGAUGUUAAAUUCGCCUUUUUUCACAAGUUUAUCAGCUUCGUUUGCGGCCUCUGCUGCUUGUUUACCAAGCUUGUAACGAGAAAUCAAAUUUGGGCACAACCCUUUGAAGCAGAACAUCUUAGCUCUAUCUUUAUCAUCAAUCAUGGAUUUUGCAACCCCUUCACUGAAUUCAGCAACUCUAUUUAGCCAGUCUCAGACACCCUUAUAAAUCUCAUCUCCUUGUAGAGUAGCCUCUCUAACCAGCGUUUUCACCCUUUCUCUUAUAUAUUCCAGCUCCUUCACUCAAUCUUUUAGCCCAUCUAUGUAGCUUUGGUAUUCGAACACAUAAGAUAUGUGCCGCAUAAUCGGUUCGAAUAAUGCUUUUGAACCUUGUGAUACAAUGCUGGAAAAAGCAGGGAGACACCCUUCAACAGCCAUUGCCUGUUGCUUAACAAUAUAUAUAUAUAAAUACAAGUGUCAAAGAAAGGAAUGCAAAUAAAUUAAAAUGAACUAGAGGGAAAGAUAGAGAAUGAAAAGAUCACAAACAAUAUGGCUAUAUUGAUCUUGAACCAACUAAUAACUAAAUAGAGAAUUUCUUUUUCUUUCUUAAGGAUAAGAGGUUUUACUAUUAACAAAAAGUUAUUUUGAGGGUCUGAAUAAAAAACCAACCAUAAAUUAUCAAAAGCUAGUAAAAACACAGACAUAAAUAAUGAACAAUUACUUAAGCAAAACAAACUAUGAAACAAAGAAAAUCUAAUAAAAUGACAAAGAAAGAAAGAAAGAAAAUACAACAAAAAGUAUUGAAGUAUUGAUCAUGAGCCAACUGAUAUUUAAACAGAUUUUUUUUUUAAUUUUUAGUCUUUUGCUAAAGGAUUAGAGUUUUUGCUAUUAACAGAAAUGUUUCAAAAAUCUAACACUACUAGAAAAGUAUUAAAUAAUGACAGAAAUUUGAUGACAUAUAUCGUUGUGUCACGAAUGUGUCAUAAAAAUAUGAUAGAUUCAUAAUAUAUAUUCAUAUGUCCAGAAUAUAUGACAUAUUCAUGACUUAUAAUUUAACCGUCCUAGAUAAAUGAUACAUAUAAGUCAUGCUUAGGUUUUGUGAACUUAUAAGAUUGUAAAACAGUGUUGUUUAAAUUAACGACACCGUUCUGUAUAACUUAAAACACAUCAACACUUACAGCCAAAUUUUGGCUAAGCGUUGAAUGAAUCCCUCUCUCUCCACUGGCCACUGCAACCUAAAAUGAAUGUUUAAAUUAACGACACCGUUGAAUUAAAGCCUAGCUCAAAUUCCUUUUUUCAAUCGAAAUAAAACGUAGCCACAAAACCCUAAUUCACCACACCAAAUUAUCUCUGCUCGGUAUUCAUUUAAACCCUACCUCGCGGUUCAAUGUCAUUCAAUACGAUUGCAGAUGCCGUUUCAACUUGUCAUUUAGUUAGCGCCAUCCAGUUCCCUAUGGUAAGCCUUAACCCUAACGCUAGUAAGAUUUGCUAAAAAUUUCAUAUUUUGUAUUGUUCCAGUUGAAUUUCAUGUUAAUUUAAUUCUUCUUUGCCUUCUUUUUUCUUCUUCUUUAUAGUCACGCUCUGGCUUUGGUGCUAUGCUUAGUGCAGUUUGUGGUUUCAAGAUUAAGUCAUGUUUAUUUGAUGGCAUCGAUUCCAUCGUUGAGGAUUGGAUUGUUGAUCAAAUGCACCUAGUAAGCUCUUCUUAUUUUAUCUCAGUUUCAAUUUUCUUUUAUUAUCUGCCUCUACCUAAAAAUGGACGUGUUUUACUAGUAAGCAUAGACUUUGUUUAUUUAAUUGAUAUUUUAAUUUUAUGUAUAAGAAUGGAGGUUUAUUUUGAAAAAAAAAAAAGGAAAUUAAAAAAUAGAUUCUGUUGAAGCUAAUUAGUACUGAAUUUUUUUGGUGGUGCGACCAGAGGUGGAAACAGGGUAUGAAAAUGUGUUACUGGUGAGGUUGCUGCUUAAGAUGAGAAUGCAUUCUUUUCAAAAAUCCUUGGUAGGUGUUAUCUAAUUAUCUUUGAUGGAAUAUCAAAUGGCUAAAAAUCUGUCAUACGUUCAAACUUUGUUUGUGUUUAGAAGAAUGGUGUUGACUGUAUAUUCGUUUGGAAGAAUGGUGUUGAUUGUAUAUUCAUUUGCUUAGCCUUUUGACAGAUGGAUUGUAUAAUUGUGUUUGCCUCACUGUUUUUUUUUUAUGAGAUCUAUAAUUGAUCUGGGGAUAUUACUUUCUAGUUCUCAUGCAAGCAAGUUACUACCUUCCCACUGCAUCUCGUCCUUUAUCUGCUAUUCAAGAGAUGCGUGCCAUAAUCUGGUGUUACCUCUGCAAGAUUGUGAAUGAAUAUAAUGCCUCUAAAUUUAUUUUAUACAUAAUGCUGAUGCUGAAUAAUAUAUUGUAGCUCCUGUCAUAUUCUACUUUGACUUUUUAUAUUCUGUUUCAUAUAAAAAUCUUAUUCAACUUUAGUUGUUCAUGAGCAAAUGUCGCAUGUAUAAGCCCAAAUGAUGUUUAAAGGUAGCGCGGCUACCUUUAGUUUGAGCUUACAAUGGAUGAAAAAGAAAUUGAAACUGUUUUUCUGAUUUUUCAAAGUAUUUUAGAUCCUGACUUUUGUUUGGACUUGAUGGUUAUAGAUUGUGUCUAGAUUUGUUAAGUUGUUUCCAACACCUCGUGCCAAAUGAAAGCACAAUCUUUCUGAUUCAGAUGUUUGGUUAAUUAUGCUUCAUUUUUUUGUUAAAGAUUGGAUGGUUGCAUGGAUUGAUGGAGUUGGAGUUCAACCAAUAAUUCUAAUUUUUUGGACUUAAAAUGCCUUUUUCUUCUGUAUAAAAACUUUAGUAAGUGCUAUUGAGUUGACAGAAGUUGAAUACUUACAGGUUGUUUCACACUUUUUAAUAGUUUUACAUAUAUGAAUUUCUGUUUUUUGAAUUGCAGAAAGGAGGUGGAACUAUUGAUUUGGAGCCUUAUCUUACUCACUCAUCGACAACGGAGCCUACCCUCGCUCCCAUGGCAGUGGAACGGACAACGACUACUAGGGCUGCAACAUCAGUUGGUUUGGGUCUGUUUUGAGUUUAUUUUCAUUUAUUUGGCUAUGUUUUGAUAGCGAAUUUUGAUAUGUCAAUAUAAUGUGUAAUUGUUUUGGGUUGAGCUGGUAUUUAUGCUGGAUUAGAUUGGUUUGGUUUUGGUGCUUCUCUGAUGGAACACUGCUUCUUUUAGAAAUUUUGAAUGUAAUAUGAGACUACAUUUAGUUUAAUUGAACACUGCAUCUAGUCUAAUUACUAGAAGUGUGGCAUUUGGUUUGGUUUAUCCGAUAUUCUCCAGAAUUUCACUUGCAUCUGGUUUUGUUGCAUAUGUUUGCUUGCAUUUGAUGGCAGUAGCAGACUGUUUGGUUUUGUGACAUUUGACGGCAGUUUGGUCUGUUCUUGGUGUUGAUUUAAGAUUGUUCCUGUUGUGCUGAUGUUAAUUGCAGGUGCUGGAAUCAGCUAGGGUUGCUGGUUUAUUCAGAUAGUUGACUCAGGCGUUGUUACUGGUUAAUUCAGGUGGCUGACUCAAGUUGUUCAUUUAAUGUUAGGAAGCAAAUUAAGAAUUAAUGAAGUAUUCAUUUAACUAUAAUUAUUGUAGUUAUUUUAUUUCAUAACUGAAUUAUAAUCUAUGGUACUUGUGAACAAAUUAGAGAAUUUUUAUAUAUGAAUUAUAUAUAUGUGUGUGUAUGUACAUUUUGCUAUUUAUGUAAUAAUUUAAAGAAUAUAUUUCAAUUCCCACAAAAAAAAUGGCUCCAAUUUCAAUAAUUCCCGCCAAAUAAUUAAUUUUUUUUUAAUUUACCACUAAAAUAUAUCUUAAAGAAAUUUUAGUUAUUCUUGCUAGAUUUAACAAAAAUAAUUUGUAGGAUUAACAUUUAAUUAAAAUAAUUAAAAAAUUUUAUUAUUCCAAUUAAAAAUGUCAUGUUUAUACGAUAGACAAUAUUCAUGAAUGGGAAGUAUUAGUUACAUAUUUUUCCUUGGGAUUUCAGGCAAAUGAAAAAAAGAUUGAGAAUGAUUUCAAGAGGACAGGUGGAUGAUAAGUAUUCAUUUUUGUAUAUUUGGCUAGUGGAUUUUUAUGGUAUUGAUCUUUUUUUAAAAAAAAAAAAAAAUUUCAAUUAGUUGCAGCCCUAGAGGAAGAGCAGGCUGAUCAAAUUGAUUUGUCUUGUUUUUCGGGCAAUCUACGACACGAUGACUGUGAUAAUGCUCGUGACUGCUGGAAACUUUCUGAUGGAAAUAACUUUAGAGUUCGUAGCAAGCAUUUUUGUUAUGACAAAACAAAGGUUCCCCCAUAUUUUGUUUGUUUGUUAUGGUAUUUAUAUAUCCUGCAUAGGCUAGGUAGACAGGUUAUGAUGUAGUUUGGUUGGCUCUUCUUGUGCUUGUGCAAUUUGUAACUGCAGAUACCUGCGGGAAAACAUUUAAUGGAUCUUGUUGCUGUUGAUUGGUUCAAAGACACAAAGAGAAUGGACCAUGUAGCUAGGCGUCAAGGCUGUGCUGCACAAGUAACUAUUCUUUUCUUUUUAUUUUUCCUUUUCCAUUGAUGCAUUAGGAGAAAAUACUGCCUGUGAGAUACUACAAUGUAAAUAACUUCUCAUGGUUCAUUGAAUCUAUAACACACUGACCCUCUUCUAAAAAAUGUAGGUUGCUUCUGAAAAAGGGCUUUUCUCACUGAUCUUUAAUCUUCAAGUAAGUUUGUUUCAUUUCAGAAGGUAUUAAGUUUCAAACUUAUUGUAUUGGGAGGUUGUAUAGUUGUAACCUAAGCAUCUGCAGGUUCCUGGAUCAACACAUUAUAGUAUGGUAUUUUAAUUAGUCGCAAGGCAAUUGGUUGUGGGAUCACUUUUGCAACGGUUUGUUGAUGGCGAUGAUGAGUUUCGCAAUAGUAGGUUGAAAUUUAUUCCAUCUGUUCCUAAGGUAUCCAUCUUGGCCUUCAUGUAUUAGGACUAUAUUAACGUAUACUAACCCUUUACUGCAUGGUACACUUCAAUUUGUCCAAAGAAGGCAUGCAUUUAGGUGUAAAUGUAUUGAUGGGUUGUACCUUCAAACUUCGUGUCCAUUUUUACCCUCUUGAAUUUGUUUUGCACUUGUUCUUGAUUUUAAGCACUGAAUCAUGCAGGGGUCAUGGAUGGUGCGCCAAGAGUGUUGGAAGCACCCCUUGUUCAUUAGUGAAAGUGGUUGAUUGUAACUACAGAUGAAUUGUUCCCCUUUCAAAUAGCGUCCGAUACCAUUAACAUGGUUUAACAUUGUUCAUCUUUCUGUAGAUUAAUGUUGACAUCGGUUCUUCUACUGUUGCUAAUGGAGUUUUGGGCCUUGUAAUUGGUGUAAUUGCGACAUUGGUGGUUGACAUGGCUUUCCUUGUACAGGUAUGUAUGAUUGUUUUUUUCCCCCACUUCUAAAUGGACACAAGGGAAAAGACAUGAUUUUGAGAUAUUGCACUGCAAUUUGCAUUUUUGCAUACUUGAAUGUUCUCAGAAUGGUAUAAUGCUUCGUGUGUGUCUUCUUUAUCUUGCUCUUCUGUAUGCAGGCAAAUACUACAGAUGAAUUACCGGAGCGGCUGAUUGGUGCUGUACGUGUUUCUCAUAUAGAACUCAAGUCUGCUGUUGUCCCAAAGUUGGAACCAGAGAUAUCAUGACUCUGGUUUCAUUUCACCUCAACUGUGUUUUUUUUUUAAUUAAAAAAAUCAUUUGUUUUAGGUAUACAUACAUGUAUUUUGAUUCUAUUUUCAUUGUAAUUUCUCAUUUACUUUGAAUGAAAGUCAUUGGUGUUUUCGAAUGGGAAUUUUGCAUUAAAAAAUGAAGAAUAGUGAUUUUUGGAGUGUAAUUAGUAGUAAAGUUGGUUUCUACUCGCAAACAAGUGAACUGCUCGAUUCCCGAGUGGUAUCAACCAGUUUCCAACUUUUUAAUAUACACUAAUUGUUAUUGUUUAAUAGCUACUACUAUUAAAACUCGACAGCUAACAAAAAUACUUAAAAAAAACGAUUUUUCUUAUGAUGCUGUGAAAAAAAUUACGGGUUUACUUCUUUCCACGAGAUCUAUAACAUGGUCUUGACUUCACGAAAUUCUUUUAAUUUAAAGCGUGCUGGUGUGAGAAGGUCAGUUUGACUGAUUAAUUCUUUUUAACAGUGGUCGAGAUAAUUUUACUAUACUCAAAAAUAUUCUUAUUCUGAUAAUGCCACAAAUGUUAUGUUGUUUUCUUAGGCUAAGGAUCUUCUAUCAGGAGAGGUUAGAAAUUAAAUGCUUAAAAGAGAAUAAUACAGAAAUUUAGACAGAAUCUAAUCGAAUAUUGCAUGAAACAUGAAACAUCAAUUCAAGUCCUUUCUUUAAACAGAGAAUGCAUCAAACAAAAUCCAAAGUGUCUUGCACGUCUGUAGCAUGAGCAAAAAAUUGUAAAUAUGUAGAACCAAAUUAUUCAAGUAUAGAAGAACGAGCAAGCUAAAUCAUGUAUAAGAGAUUGGCCUGGUUCGAGAUAGCUUCUUCACUGUACCUGAAGGGUUGGCUCAAUAUCUUCUUUAGAAUUCUGCACAUUUUGUAAUUACUCGUGUAAGCAAGCAUACAUUGCCACCAUAAGAAUAAUAAAGCUAGAGUAAUGAUAGGACCACCACCUCUUGUGCACAAACAAUAUUGUAUAAACUAAUGCGAGAUAAUAUGAUUGGUUAAAUAAAAACAUUAUAUGGUCCUCAUAAUUUAUUUAUUUAUUUAUUAUUAUUAUUAUUAUUAUUAUUAUUAUUAUUAUUAUUAUUAUUAUUAUUAUUAUUAUAUAUUUUCAGUCAACCAAUCAUAUUAUAUCACAUUAGUUUCUAUAAAAUAAUUUACUAAAUAGCACCAAAACUUAAUUGAUACUCACCAUUUCAUUGAACAAUUUUUUUAUGGUGUCAUUGAGGUUGCCUUCCCAACAUGCUUCAUCAUCAUCAUCUUCUUCAUCCUGAUCAUCCUUUUCUUCUUCGGUGACGUUCACUUUGUUUAGCAUUGGUGUGUCUAAGACUCCUUGAGAGAAGAUCUUCAUUUUUGGACACUGUCUCACAACUACUUGUUUCAAGGACGGGAAUUCAAGAGCGUAAUUACCCAAACUAAAGCUUGUUAGGCUUGGCAAACAAUCAAGUGUCAAGUACUCCAAUUCCCUGAAAACAAUGCAGUCUUUCGCUUCUUCUCCAACCUGCGAUUGUAUGAUUUCUUCUAUCAUUUUGCAAUCAGCUAUCUUCAUUCUUUGAAGAUUCACUAGACUUUCAGAUGUCGAGAAUGUCAACACAUUUAUCAACCCGUGACAUUUUGAUACUUUCAAAGCCUCAAGAUUUUCCAAAUGCCACGAAGGUGGUACUAAUUUUUGCAACUUACUACAUUCCGAUAUUUUUAGACUUUCCAAAUUUGCAAAUACUUUGUUGGAUUCGGCAUUUUCCUUCCAGAGAUGCUGCACUUUGUGUAAUCUAGACAGCCUUAACUUCCUCAAUUUAGGGAAUGCAACCUGAAAAUCAACAAAAUUAAGUUGUAAAUGAAAAUAUGUAUCCAAUCUCUGGAGUCUUCCCCUGCAUAUUUUAUGGACAAGAUUAAUCACGGCAUUUUAUAUUUUAUCUCCAAAUUAGUAUGCUUUGUAGUAGGAUCCCAAAUAUAAGUAUCAAAUCGAUUACCCUUUGAAACACAUAAAUGAAAUCUGAUGCUAAAUCCAAUAUGAAUUAGCUAGGAAAACAGAGAUGUUACACACAUAAUUAAUAUAGUUCAUCACCUCGUGUUACUAGGCAUCCAAUUAAUUUCAGACAUUUUUAUAAUUCAUACUAUAAAGAUAGUUAAUAACUGCGGUUAUAUUGUUAAAUCAGAUAUAAAUUAAGAUGACAUGCAAAAAGAUGAGUCAUUAAAUUUGACUUGAUUCUAAUGAAAUUACAUCUAUGCGAACGAAAGUGAAGGGAAAAAUAAUAAUAAUAAUAAUAAUAAUAAUAAUCACCUUUUCAUCAAAGAGGGGUUGUACUUGAUGAGCCAGCAAGAAGUUCUCUUCUGAUGUUAAUUUUUCAGGUUUCUUGUUAUCUGUUGUCACGUGCACUACAGAGUUGGAUAUGAAUGUUUCCAUAUCAGGGCAAUUCUCAAUAGUUAGAUUCUCCAACUUAGGCGGUUCAAUUAUAUUCCCAGUGAAGUUGCAGAAUCUUUUGAGUUUUGGAAGAUCAAUGAGCCUUAGCUCGGAAAGCUUAGGAAACGGGGGGCCUAUAUGUUCUUUGUCAGCAUUUAGCUCUUCGAAAUGAAACACCUCUUCUAUUGAAUCACAAUUCCUCACUUCCAGCCAUUCCAAAUUGUUCAAGCACCGUAGCAGAUUGGCAGGAAUAGCACUCGACAUAUUCGUGCAGUCAUCCACCACCAGCUGUGCUAAAUUGUUGAAGAAGCUGACAGGCAGUGCUUGGCCAUGCCAUAUUUCUUGCAAGCGUGGAAAAUGCGAGAGUUGCAAACGGUUUAUAUCAAGGAAUCCAAUCUGCACAAACCAAAACAAUUUUGUUUUUGAAAGGCAUUAUAUAUACACACAUUAAACUUACAUGUUUUGUGUUUUAACUUCUAAAAAUAUAUAUACAAGGGAGGUGUAUAUGCUUAAAUGUGCAAGUGCAGGGGAGAUGCAUGAACAAUUUGGUUGAAUCGAUUAACACAUACCAUUUCGUCAUAGCACUUUUGUAUAGUGGAACUAAGGUUAUUGCCUUCCCAAUGGUGCAGUUCACCCUCUUCCUUUUCAGUCACUUGUACUUUGCAUGGCUUUGGAAUGGAUAAGAUUCCGUGAGAAAAAUUCUUCAUGUUCGGACAAUGUGUCAUAGAAACUCGUUCCAGUGAUGGGAAUUCAAGAGUGUAAUUCUCCAAACAAAAGCUGGUAAGCCUUGGUAAAUCAUCAAGUAUCAAAACUUUUAAUUUGCUGAAAGCAAUACGAUUCUCCUUCACUUCUUGUCCAACAUGUCCUACGAUUUCUUCUAAUUUUGGGCAACCCGAUACUUUAAGAUUCACCAGGCUACUAGGAAUUCCAACCUAAAAAUAAGCAAAAGUGUGUGUACGUUAAAAAAGUAAAAAUGUAAGAAUAUCAUUCAACUAGGUUCAAAGUAUGUUUAAUCAUACAAUUAUACAUUUUAUGAACAUAACAAAUUAUGAAAUGUCUACUAGAUAUUUUUUGUUAAACAAAAAUAGAACAAGAUAAAUAAAUAAAUAAAAGCCAGAUAAAAAAAGAUAAUAAAAAUGCAUUUACACUAUUUAGUAUUAGAAACGUAGAAAGAAUUUAAGGCAAUUUCUAAAUAUUUUAGACUUCUUUUGCAUCUUGAUAUCAGUUUUUAAGCAUAAAUUUGCAAAUUUCAACUAUUCCUUUUUUUUUAAAAAAAAAAACUCAACCAUUUUUCCCUUUUCCUUGGUUCCUUUUUUUAAUGUAUAUUUAAAAAUGGAAAAAAAAUUGGAAAAGAUUUCCCAAUACUGUCAACAAGGGACUACUGUAAAGUGGAUCUUUAUUAAGUACUUCCAAACUCGAGGAAAUUUCUUUACAAUCAAGGGUCAGUUGUAAAUAAUCAUGAAUUUGUGGUUAAUUAAUGGCAUAAUCAAUUCGUAACUAAACUAGAGAUAUUAAUUAAAUUUGAAGACUUUUAUUUUUUUUUCCAAUCGAAACGUGAAGAAUUAAGGAAAAGAGAAAUAUAUAGAUGAAUUUGUGAACCUAUAAGAUGAGAGACGAUCCUUUAAUUUUUGAAAAUCGUACUUUUAAGAUAUGAGCAAAAACAAUUAAAUUGAAAACCGGACUUAAAACGUAGAUUUCAGAGUAGUGGUUAAUUUGAAGUACAAUACAAAAAUGGUUAAAAAAUGGUUGAAUUUUAUCUGGGAAAAAAGAUUCGAAAUGAAUACAGCAACCUUACCAAUGGAGGAAAAAUAUUUCUUAGGUUAUCACACCACCAUAUGUCCAAAUUCUUCAAUUUGCUGAAAGACUCCGAAGCAAGCUGGUGGUGCCAUAUUCUUCUCAAAUUAUCCAUCAUCUCCAUAAGUAAUACCUCCACCCUAGGAAGUCGUACCUGGCAGUUAAAGAUUAAAUAACUAAUUAAUCAAUUAAUGGCAUAAUCAAUUGAUAACUAAAUUAGAGGUGGAUAUUAACUAAAUUUGAAGACUCAAGGAAAAGAAAAAUUAAGUAUUGUGACUAAAAUUAAUUUUUUUAUUAAAAAAAAAAACCUUUUCGUCAAAAAGAGGAGGAGGUUGCAUUUCAGAAUGAAUGGUGUCUUCUGGUGAGCUCGUAGAGAUGAAUCUUAACAUAUUACUGCAACCACUAAUCCGGAGUUCUAGCAAAGAAGGGAAUUCAACAACUAAAUCUGAAUGAAUAUGUCCCGUAUUGGCGAAGCUUGUUAGUUCUGGAAGACAAUGGAGCUCGAGGGAGUGUAGUUUAGGGAAAUGAAUAUGUCCUUCAUCUCUUUCUGACCACCCCGUGGUGUCGACUACCCCUUCCAUUGACUUACAAGCUCUUAUCUCAAGAUGUUGGAGUAGCAAAAGACUAUUAACCAUAGAAUACGAAAACAGAUACUUCAUACGAUCACAACUGCUCACGAUCACCUUUGUUAAAUUUUGACAACAGUACAUUCCUUGAUUAUGAUCGGCCCAUAAUUUUUUCAUGUUUCUUAAUAGCGUGAGAUUCAAUUCCUCUAAGCUCGGAAGAAUAACCUGCAAAGAAAACCCGUACAUUUUUGUUCCUUCAAGUACAACCGUCUAGUAUAAUAUUCUUUUGAUGAUCGAAGAUUAAUCGUGAUAAUAAAUUAAUCAAUUAAUUAUUGUACAGAAAAUUAUCACCUUUGGAGCGGUAUCAUCAUCAGCAAUGAUUUCGUUGAAUCCCAAAGAAGUUGUUGGUUUCUCCCUGUCGGGUCCUAUAAACAAACAAAAACAAUAUACAUAAUUAAUCUUUGUCGUAUUUUUUUUUCAAAAUAAUUGAGGUGAAGUCCAUAAUCCCACCAGUACUUAAUUUCAACACUUACCAACAAUCAUUUCCAGAUCACCGCCAAAUAACACUUCUACCUUUUGAAGCCGCAGUAGGUUUUUGGCCAUGGAGAAUGAGAAAAGAUGCUUCAAUUUGUCACAGCCGCGUACUAUUAUAAUCCUUAAGUUGCUGAAAGAUUGAUCUUCUGUGAGUUGGCUGUCACAUAUUGUCUCCAACUUGCUCAAACACCAAAGAGACAAUGACUCCAGCAAGGGGAAGACUUUGCGACGAACCCGUCCAACUGAACCGACAAUGUGUAAAAUCUCAGAACAACUUUCUACGUGAAGAUGCUUCAAUCGUGGAAAACCUUCCCCAUCAUCUAAUUCAUGAACAACAUUCUGAACACCCUUCAGUUCUUUUAGAUAGAGAUAUUCAGUUCUCUCCAACAACAGUUUCAUCCUGUAAUUCUGCAAAAGAAUGCCAAACUUUUCUAGCCCCUGGAGCUUCAUCAAUCUUGAUAAUCCAGAUUUAACGGACCGGCUGCUCCACCACUCAUUUCCUAUACAUAUCCUAUAGCUUUGCAAUUCCACAGAGACCAAAUCCUGCGGUAGAAUUUCGGCAUCCCGAACGUGUAUCUCCAAAGUAGUUAGCUUUGACAACCCAUUCAAUUCAGCAAGACUGGCGUUACUUCCUCCUUCAAC